RNAcentral lists this long non-coding RNA (296171 nucleotides) under Vitis vinifera (wine grape). RNAcentral describes it as "long non-coding RNA (VVIN_LNC007087)". Lineage: Eukaryota; Viridiplantae; Streptophyta; Magnoliopsida; Vitales; Vitaceae. The record is from RNAcentral.
AAAACUAACCCCAGGAUAUUGCUUAGCUCUUUUUUAUACAGUGACUGCAGUUGGUUGAAGUCUAACUUUGCAAGCUUCAGUAAAGCUUUACUAUGUGACGCUUCAUCCUGGUAGAUAGACAUGAAAGGCCUUGCCUCUAGCCUCUCCAAGCCUUUCCUCAAGGGCCUGUAUAGGGCAUGAGUUACUUGUGCUGCAAGAGGGUAUUCUAAAUGUUCUACCAUAGACUUGAGGUGAGUGGUGGUGAAAGCAAGUGCUUCAUCUAGUAUGUCUUCUUCCCACACCCUGAGAUGUGCAGCUUCAUACAAGCCUAGUAGGCCAUAUGCAUCAUUGAUCAAAGACUCCUUGAACCUUCCCUUUUCAUCUGUGUACCUGUUGAAUAUAUCUGUAAUCAUCACCAAAACAUAGAAUGUUAUAUGUGAGCUUUGCUAGAUGAUAUUCAAGCACCUUAUAAUACAUGAUAUUCCUGAGGCUUACCACAUGAAAUAUUGAAGCCUUGUUGUCUUAGUAGUCGAAAUCGAAGCACAACAUCAUAGAGAUCAUCAUUUAUGUCAUCAAUGCAAUGAUAGUUAUCAUAGGUAUUUUGUAAUGCUUCUUCUAUCUCCUUUUCAAAGUGGUAUGCCACCCCAAGCCGUUGAACUGCAUCGAUAAACUUCAGCUGUUUUGAAGGGUUACUAGCUGAAGCCAUCAGCUCUCUUCUAACUUCCUCCUUUAGAUCUUCCAACUGCUGCUCUUUAUGGGCCAGAGUUAUCUGUAUCAAUAAAUUGCAAGAACAAAAAGUGAGAAAAUCUUUAGGUCUUGUUAUGAAAACUACAUACAUGAUCAGAAAAUCACCUCAUCCUCAGGAGUGUGGCUCACGAUGAAGGUAUUGCCCCAAAUGCUAGGCUGAUAAUUUGCAGUUCGGCGAUUAGUCUCUGGAUUAGCAACUGGGGCUGGAGAAGACCUGUUGCUGGUAGCGAGAAUUAAGGCCAUGUGUAACUCACUCGAGCACUCAAUAUAUGAAUCAGAUGGCUUGCAACCUUAGGUAUUUGUAGGAUGGAAAAUGGUUCAUUACAAUGAUUGAAUAUCAAUCCGAGAUUCCCAGUAGCAUGGAUACAAUUAAUUCAAGAUCACCUAUCAUAUUUAAACCAAGUUUAUUAAAAAUUAAAUAUUUAAAAUAUGUUUUCUGUUCUCUUAGAAAUACGAAAAGUGUAUCUUAUUCCCUUAAUAAUUCUCAACAUUCGACCAGCCGCCAAACAUUGAUUAAGACUUUUUCACGGGAAGAUAAAACUUACGAUUGAUCUUUUAUUGUCCAAUAAUAUCCUAAUAAUAGAAGAAUUUUGAUAUGACUAGGAAACUAAGUUCUUUUAUAUAAAAACCAAAAAUUAUUUUAAAAAAUUAAUUAAACAAUUAUUAUGUCUUCAAAAAUACUAAUGGCAUUUGUUCCCGGAGAAAUUUCUUUUGAUGACAAAUAUCUAAUUUCUCCCAAUAAGGAAAAAGAAAUGGUGGGAGAAGUUUAAGGACUUAUUGGUUUAAGUGUCCCCAUCAUAGUUUUGAAACAUGGAGACUGAUUUCUUUUUAUGAGGCUACUUUCAAUUUGAGUACAUUUCUGGGAAAUUUUUAAGAACAAAGAAUCUGAGAAAGCAUUUGAGCUUUUGGAAAUGGUGGCUAAGAAUUAAAGGUCAUGGGACAUGCCAGCACCAUAGCUGAGCGCUGGCCAACUACCACAUCGAAGGCAUUCAUUGGCAACACUGUCAUUCAGUGGGUCAAUGGUUGUAUGUUGUUGAAAAUUAAGCAAGUGAAACUUGGUUUAAUUUGGGGCCCAUGGUAAGAAACAUUUGUGGUUAGAAGAGACUGAAGACAAGAAAAACACUGGUCUUCAAUAGUCUCUGGCUAAGUUCCCUCAAAAAAUCCGGACAAGUCAUUAUUAUUAGGUAUGCCUCGAAUCAAAUUAUUGUCCUAGCUGUCGAAAAUUCAACUCCUAACAAUUUUAGUUGAUAAAAUUAUAAGUAUAAAGUUAUAAUUUCUCAGUUUUAAAUUGCUUUGUUUAAAAUAAUAAUAGUAAUAAUGAUUUUGAUCUAUAUUUGCAAAAAAGCAAAUAUAAUCUCCAAUUUUAUCAAUUAUACCUAUUGAAUAGGUAUUUUUUCAAUUCAUGUCAUGUUUCUAAUUGUAAAAUACCUUUCUCUAAACUCAAUAGCUAUUUUUUGAAUAAAUAAUAUUAUAUGAAGAGCUUGAUUUUAUUAUUUAUUUAUUGUUUUUUGAAUUUUGAGUUGAUUGGCUAGCUGGUGAGUUUGUGAUGUUAUCAUUGUCUAGCUAGUAGGAUUCAAUUGCACAAUGCUCAUCAUAUUUACUAAAAAAACAAAUUUAAUGAAUUUAUUUUGAGUUUUCUUAUAUAGUAUUGAAUUCAUGAGAACAAGAGAGAGAAAAAAAAAAGCAUAUCCUUACGAGAAAAUGAGCUUUGAAAUGAUAAAGGAUCCCGUAAAAAAGAAGGUAUUUAAAGAAGAAAAAAAAUGCCGAUGUUAUUGAAAAGAUAGGAUAGUUACAAAAGUUGAAUGAAUGAAUGAAUAUUAUUAAAAAAUAAUUAUUUGAAAAAUAAAUAUAAUAAUACCAUGUUUAUAUCUAUUAUCUUAUUUUUAUAUUAAAUUUGUCUAUUCAAAAGAUCAAUUCACUUUUUCAUAUUAAAUUUAUUUAAAAAAAAUAAAUAAAUAUUAGGUUGUUUGAAUCACUUGCUACCUAGAGGAAAAUCGAUACAAAGAUAUGUUUUGACUUCCGGUAGAAGAUAUUUGAAAUCCUAAUUUAUGGUAGAAUUAUUCUCAAUAGAACAAAUUUUUUAAAAUUACUCUACCAUGCAAAAAGUCAUUCAAUGGUUGUAUAUUGUUUGAAAAGCAAUUUGGAUCCGUUUGGGGGCUAAUAAUGGUAAGAAUGGAAGUGAUAAAAAUUAAAUUUGUAACAAACUUAAAAUAUAAAAUUAUAAAUAAAGGGUUACAAUUUCUCACUUUUUUUCUAAGUAAUAUAUGAUAUUUCCCAAGAAAAUAAAAAUACCCUUUUUCCAUUCUCAAUAGCUCUUUCUCAAUAAAUAAUAUAUGAAGCAUUUGAUUUUAUUUAUUUAUUUAUUGAAUUUUGAGGUGAUUGACUGGCUAGCUUGCAGAUAAGUUUUUUUAUGCGGUCAUUGAUCAAUAUCUAGGCCAAUAGAUAAGUUUUUUAUGUGAUCAUCAAUCAAUGUCUAAGCCAAUAGAUAAGGUUUUUUUUUUUAAUUUAUUUAUGUGGUCAUUAAUCAAUAUCUAGCUAGAAGGUUUCAUUUUCCACUAUGCAGCAUCAUACUCACAAAAGGGAAAAGGAAAAAAAAAAUGAUUUUUAACAUUCAUUUGAAAAAAAGUACAAAAUCGAAAUCCAAGUUUAUAAAAUACAAAUUUCAAGUAAUUAUUUAAAAAUAAUUAAUAUGUCAUACACUUUUUGAUUAAAAGUAGUCUUUGAUUAUUUAGAUACUACAUUUUUAUGAUAUAUGUAUUAUUUAAUUAGGUACUUAUUUUUUAUGAUAUAUGUAUAAUAUUUCAUCAUCUUAGAUAAUAUAUUUGAUUAUUAAGUAUAUAAAAUUUGAAUUAUUUUUAGAGAGUUAAUAUUUUAUAAUUAUUUUUACAUAAGUACAUGCAAGCUCACUAUUUCCAAAAAAAAGAAGUCGAUUUAAUGAAUUUGUUUAGUAUAAAGGGUUACAAUUUCUCACUUUUUUUCUAAGUAAUAUAUGACAUUUCCCAAGAAAAUAAAAAUACCAUUUUUCCAUUCUCAAUAGCUCUUUCUCAAUAAAUAAUAUAUUGAAUUUUGAGGUGAUUGACUGGCUAGCUUGCAAAUAAGUUUUUUUAUGCGGUCAUUAAUCAAUAUCUAGGCCAAUAGAUAAGUUUUUUUAUGUGAUCAUUAAUCAAUGUCUAAGCCAAUAGAUAAGGUUUUUUUUUAAUUUAUUUAUGUGGUCAUUAAUCAAUAUCUAGCUAGAAGGUUUCAUUUUCCACUAUGCAGCAUCGUAGUUACAAAAGGAAAAAGGAAAAAAAAUAUAUGAUUUUUAACAUUCAUUUGAAAAAAAGCACAAAAUCGAAAUCCAAGUUUAUAAAAUACAAAUUUUAAGUAAUUAUUUAAAAAUAAUUAGUAUGUCAUACACUUUUUGAUUAAAAGUAGUCUUUGAUUAUUUAGAUACUACAUUUUUAUGAUAUAUGUAUUAUUUAAUUAGGUACUUAUUUUUUAUGAUAUAUGUAUAAUAUUUCAUCAUCUUAGAUAAUAUCUUUGAUUGUUAAGUAUAUAAAAUUUGAAUUAUUUUUAGAGAGUUAAUAUUUUAUAAUUAUUUUUACAUAAGUGCAUGCAAGCUCACUAUUUCCAAAAAAAAAAGAAGUCGAUUUAAUGAAUUUGUUUAGUAGAAAGGGUUACAAUUUCUCACUUUUUUUCUAAGUAGCAUAUGAUAUUUCCCAAGAAAAUAAAAAUACCCUUUUUCCAUUCUCAAUAGCUCUUUCUCAAUAAAUAAUAUAUUGAAUUUUGAGGUGAUUGACUGGCUAGCUUGCAAAUAAGUUUUUUUAUGCGGUCAUUAAUCAAUAUCUAGGCCAAUAGAUAAGUUUUUUUAUGUGAUCAUUAAUCAAUGUCUAAGCCAAUAGAUAAGGUUUUUUUUUAAUUUAUUUAUGUGGUCAUUAAUCAAUAUCUAGCUAGAAGGUUUCAUUUUCCACUAUGCAGCAUCAUACCGACAAAAGGGAAAAGGAAAAAAAAAAUGAUUUUUAACAUUCAUUUGAAAAAAAGUACAAAAUCGAAAUCCAAGUUUAUAAAAUACAAAUUUCAAGUAAUUAUUUAAAAAUAAUUAGUAUAUCAUACACUUUUUGAUUAAAAGUAAUCUUUGAUUAUUUAGAUACUACAUCUUUAUGAUAUAUAUAUUAUUUAAUUAGAUACUUAUUUUUAUGAUAUAUGUAUAAUAUUUGAUCAUCUUAGAUAAUAUCUUUGAUUGUUAAGUAUAUAAAAUUUGAAUUAUUUUUAGAAAGUUAGUAUUUUAUAAUUAUUUUUACAUAAGUACAUGCAAGCUCACUAUUUUCAAAACAAAGAAGUCGAUUUAAUGAAUUUGUUUUGAAUUUGUUUAGUAUCGAAUUAUACUGAGAAAUAACAAAAAAGGGAAAAAAAAAAAAGUGACAAAUAUGGUCAUAAAAGGCAGUGCAAUAAUAACCCUUUUAGGCAUCGGAGGGAGCAACCCGGAAGCUACUCCGGGUAGUCCUUGUUUGUUUUGUAGGUCCCGAGGGCUCGCUGGAAGACAGAAGUUUCCAAGUUACCAACACCAAUACGAGAAAAUGGGCUUUGAAAUGACAAUGGGUUAUCAAUAUCAAUCCUUAAGUAUUUAACAGAAAGACCCUGCUGGCGUGAUUGAGCUUCUCAGCUUCCUUGCCAAUGCAAUUCACAUGUAUGAAGAGACACAUGUCAAGUCGAACUUUCCCACAUACGAAUUUUUUAAAAUUUGGACAACUUUUCUACAAAAUUUGUCUAAUUCCUAUAAGUUAAAGCCUAUCAAUACCAAAUUGUAUUUAAUUUUUUUAAUCUUAUCUAAACUUCAAAGUGCUACCAUGAGAUUGCAAUAGUGUAGUAGUUCCAAGUAAAACAAAUUUCUGCAAUUUCUUUACAUUGAAAAGAAAAAAAAAUGUUAUUAUGAAAAUGUGAGAAUAUGUGAACUACUCUUUACAUCAUAUUUUUGUGAAAUUUUAUGAGUUAGGUAGGUGGCCAUGUUAUGUUUAAUUUCAAAAUUAUUUGAGUCAAAGUUAUGUAUGAGGGUGAAAAGGGUUAAGCCGUUAUUUUAAUAUAUGAUUUGAUGCCUAAAUAAUAUGAUUACUGAUCUUCUUUCAUCAAUAUAUUUUAUAAAAUUGCUAAAUAACUUUUAAGCUUUCUAUGGUACACCUGGAUUGAGUUAAGGAAUCAAAAAGGGGGAUUACAGAUAUAAUGUAAUGACCUACUUUGAACCAUGUAAAUAUUGUCCAUCUAUACUUAAAGAGUUCUCAUAACUUUAAAACAUGUCUAUAAGAUUAAGAUGAUCUCAUACAAAUAUAAUAUCAGAAUAUUUUUAUUCUCUCUGAUUUGAGAUGUCGCACAAAAUAACCAAUUAUGUGUCAAUUUUUUAUUUAAUUAAACAUAUUUUAGCUUAUAGCCACAGAACUUGAUAUAAAGGGCAACAAUUAAGAUGUUCCUCUAUCUUAAUAAUAGAGGAGCAUUCAAGGAAGUGUGAUGCAAGAUGGCUAUCAGUCUAAUAACCAGCCAUUUAGGACAUAUAAGAGACUAUUUUUUCAAUCACCAAGUGUGAGUCCCCUUUCAUAGAUUGUCUUCCGUUACAAUGCUCAGCUAGCAAACUUAAAACAAUUCAUUUUGUUGUCAUACUUUAUAGGGUUUAUGAUCAUUAGAUUGAACUUGAGGAGGUUUUCUCCACUUUCUGAGAGCCUAAUGUUAACUUGGAGAAUUUAAAGAAGAGAUUAUUUUCUUUUUCUUUAAAAGAAAUGGGUAAAGAAUGGGUAUAUAGCUUGACAACAAGGAGCACUGACUCUUAGGAGAAAUUACUUUUGAUGACAAAUAUAUCUAAUUUCUCCUAAUAAGGAAAAAAAAAUGGUGGGAGAGGUUUAAGGACUUAUUGGUUAAGUGUCCCCAUCAUAGUUUUGAAACAUGGAGAUUGAUUUCUUCUUUUUAUGAGGCUACUUUCAACUACCACAUCGAAGGCAUUCAAUGGCAACACUGUCAUUCAAUGGGUUAGUGGUUGUAUGUUGUUGAAAAUUAAGCAUGUGAAACUUGGUUUAAUUUGGGGCCCAUGGUAAGAAACAUUUGUGGCUAGAAGAGACUGAAGACAAGAAAAAUACUGGUCUUCAAUAGUCUUUGGCUAAGUUCCCUAAAAAAAUCCGAACAAGUCAUUAUUAUUAGGUAUGCCUCAAAUCAAAUUAUUGUUCUAGCUGUUGAAGUCGCGACCCACCGGGAUAUCUGUGUCUCCUUGACGUUGGUGCUCAAUCAACUGAGAAUGAUGCUUCCUUCCUUGUUACUGUAAAAGAUGUCUGGAUAGGUUGUCCAAACACACUCUCCAAAGCUCUUGUUAGUUUGACAAUUCUCUUUGAUCUUUCCUUUUGGGAGUCAAUCUGAAGUUUGUCUUACCUCCUCUCUUCAUUGAGUUCCCUCAAGGGUUUUAUAUUGUCUGGAGUUUUUGUUGUCACAUCUAAGCUAGUGGGGUCCAUUUACUUCCACAGUCAUCAUGGCUACUCAUAGGGUGGCAACGCAAUCAUUACUCUUUUGGGUGAUGGAUGGUGAUUGCUAAUGGGGCGAUCGAGCGGCGCAUCUGUCACUUCAUUCCGCAGACGGCACAGUGCAAAAUGUGUCAAGUGGCCUGAAAAGACAUGAAGAUGUCCCAGCUAGCACGCCUUUAAUGGAAGGCGAAUGAUGGAAUGUGGAGUAUGGUUAGAGACGUUGUUUGAAGCAUGUCCUGUGGCUUCAUAAAAGCAUGGGCAUCUGGCCAUUGAUCAUUGGAUCCGGAUAGAAUGGAUCCAACAUGUAUGUUACUGGCCAAUGGAUCCUGUCCGGAUAAAGGCGAAGGUUGCCAUAUGUCUACAGAAGGUUUGCUAGUGAGGGUAAGGCAGGCCGCCAUGUGUCAGCUCAGGAGGAGGGUCCUACAAUACCUUUUUUUAACCCGUUUGAUCUGUCUGAUCAGAAAAUGUGUGUUAAAAUGAUUCAUUCAAAAAAUUUUUGGGGAUUGUGCGACAUGUGGCGCCUGAGCGGGAUAUUUAUGAUGAGACACCGACCUUGAAAUUACCACCAGGCGGCAUGUCGUUUCAAAAGUAGUGCAGUUGGGUGCCUUAUCGUUUGGGGUUCUUAGGGAUUCUAUCCUAUAAAUAAGAAUCCAAUCCCCAUUGACGGUACUUUUUCUUCAUUUCGCCUUUUGCUUCUCCCUAAAUCAUUCCGACCAUCCAGAAACAGCAGUUUUGGCAUUCAAUUGGCAACGCCUUCCCCAAAGAUUCCUUAACUUGUUAACUCAGGCGAUUGUAGCUCGGUUCAUCCCCAUCUUGUAAGCAUUCACCAGGUUCGCUUCUUCUUUCUCUUCCACGUCUUCUACUUCUUAUUUUCCAUUGAUUGAGAUGUUUGUCUAUGGUUGGGGGUUUGUGGCGACGCUUAAGAGAUUCGGUGAGUCAGGGGAUGACUUUUCUAGAUUUUGCAGAGAAGGGCAUAGGGUGAUUCUGGGGUAAUAUAUCCCGCCAAGGUCGCGUCCUAAUGGGCCUUAUUAGGGUAUAUUUUAGUUUUCGCGUUUUGAGGCUCUACCAAGUCUACUAGAUGUGCGUUUUCCUUUGGUGUGCUUGUAAGUCGUAGAGGGUCAAUCCCUUGCUAGGGUUAGGAACUGGCCAAUGGAACUGGAGUUCCUGAUUUGGGAUGUCGCUAAGUCGGGCGUAUUACCCAAUAAGAUUUCUUGGGGGUGUUGUUCUUGAGGCAGUAGGGUCGGGUGACUACUUCUUAACUGUCGGCAUUGUGCCAUGCACGUUUGACUCGGCCCGACGCUUCAAGAUGCUUGCAAAGAGGGGUACUACCUCGUCCAACGCAGCUGGGCAAAGUGGGAAAAGUGGCUGGACAGCCCCGAGUUCUGUACUCCCUUAUCUGGAGAAGCCCACUAAGCUUCUCAAUGAGCGGGAGUUUCGCGACCACUUCUGUUUUACGAAUCGUAUCUCCAUUCAACUGGUAGAGGGGGAUCCAAUGCAUAUGGAAAAAACCGGACACAACGCUAUGUACUCCACCAAGGAGCAAUUCAACGCGGAGCUUCGCUUUCCCCAUCUGUCCCUUUUCAAGCAAUUCCUUCACUACACCCAAAUCCCCCCAACCUUUAUUGAUCCCAAUAUUGUUCGGGUGCUGAUGGGGUGCAGUAUCCUGAAUAUGCUCUUCCACCUAGACCUUUCCCUAUUGGAGGUCCUUUUCAUCUGUACCAUCAAGAAGGGCAAGAAGGACAUCUUCAACAUGCUUGCCCAUAUCCCAUCCUUCAAGCUAGUGAUAGGCCUCCCUAAUUCGAACAAAGGGGAAGCCAAGGGGCAUGCGCUAGUCAGGGGAGCAUGGGCAGGUUUGAUAGAGCACCUACAAAGGGACUUUUAUCCUAACCAUUUGUUGAAGAUUCCGGGUAGGGAUGACUCUGAACACCUCCUCCCUGUUAAUAUUUUAGCACUGGGUUAGUUCCACUAGGUUGCUAACACUCUUCGUUUUGGUUGGUGUAGGUACAAAUAAGAUGUGUCAUUUGGUUGAGUGGGUAGAGAAAGCUUCGUUCGUCCGUUUGAACAAGCUGUUCAAGAUCACUACAAGCGAAAUGAAUUAUCAGACGCUCAUUUCUGCCCGGAAUCUUCUAGCGGUUGUCCGGGAAACUCGACCAUACGUCCUUAAUAUCCUCCCUAGACAGUUGCCUAAGGUUGUGGUGCCCAGGGAGCAUUUUGUUUUGUGAGACCUCCCCCUUUACGAAGAGGCAUGCAAGGCGGACGCAAAGGCUCAUCAAGAGCAUCUCGAGCAACGAGAAGAGAGAAGGCAAGAGGGGACCCUACGGAGGGCGCCUGGUGAGAAGGGUCGCGUGCAAUCAUCUACGGCUCGUCCUUUAGCAGAAAAGAAAAAGAAGAUGACCCUUGUAAAAGUGACCAAAGCCCCCCACUCCGGCUCUUACCUCUCCAUCUACUUCUUCUCCUUCUGCGUCGGACAACUCUGCCCACGCCUCUGAAGGUGUCUUUAGCUCCUUGAGGCUUGAUCCUAGCAAUCCAGGAACCUGCCCUUCCGAGCUUGAGCCAGAGCCUAUAGCACUUGGAGUAAUAAAUGAGCCAGAAGAAGAAGAAGUAGACAUGUCAGCUGACUUGAGAGCUGGCUUCAAAGAGAGGCAUCACAAACACCUCUAUGAAGCCAUUGACAUGGUUCCUCCUCCUACUAAGAAGGCUUGUCCAGAAAAAGUUCGGGAGGAAACCGAGAGAGAGGCUCCUACAACACCAGUGCCCCAACUGGAUGUUAUGGGGCCAAGCAGUGUGCCCGCUGCUGAGGAAGAGGUUGGCCCGGCCCCAGGGGCCCUCUGAUGGCACUGCUCCUGAUGAAGAAGUCUUGGAUUAGAAGGACUCUCUUGCACCCGCUUCUCUUCAUAGUUGGGAUGAAAUGAUGGAGAUGUUAAAGCAUAUCCCAUGCUUUACAGAUGCUGAGUCGCCCUCUACUAAGAUGUCCGACUUCUUCCCUCUCACCAAGCGGAUAUUUGUGAACCUUGGUGGUGACCCCCCUUCCUUUGUCUCAGCCAAACUUUCCUUCAGCACGCUUAAGUCCACAAUCGCCCAUAUUUAGCAACUUCAGGAUUGUACUAUGUCGAAAAUUGCAUAAGUGGUACUUUCUCAUACUUUGCUUCCUUUUCCGGAUUGAUGCACACUCCACUUAAUUAAUGCUAAUUUUGUUUCUGUUGCAGUUGGUGGCUAGUAUCCGCAACAUGGUGCGACAGCGCACCCUCCUUUUUGUGCGACUAAAGGUUGUUAAAGCCAUGCAGUCUUUCAUUUCCUACCGCCUGGGUGGCAGCGAGGAUUUCGCUCAAGGCUGGAGCGAUCAGAGACCGAUCUCGCUGCUACUCAGAAAGCUGCUACGGAAGGAGUCGAGGCUUUGAAAAAGGCUGGGGAAAAGAAGGAGGUGUUCCAGGUUGAGGCAAACAAGCUGAAGAAUGAGGGAGAGGUCGCGAAGGCCAAGCUUAAGAAGGCGGAGCAGGAGACUUCUCAUCGAAGAAGGAUACAGAAUAGCUUCGAGAUAGGCUCGCGACUAAAAAAAAAAGACAUAGAGGAAUUACAAGCAGGUUUCGUCGCUCAGAAAAUGGAACUAGAAGCCAGAUUUGUGCUCAAAAGAAGGAACUGGAAGUGAAGUACCAAAAGCAGGUGGACAAAAUGUAUUUCUUCGGCUAUCGCUGUUGUAUGAAGGAAAAUGGUAUCAUGCAUGAUAUUCCCUCUCUUUCUUCUAAUGACGAGGAUGAGAUACUCGCGCGGUCCUCCUCAAUGAGAUAGUGCCCUCUUUAUGUAAUUUUUCUUCUUGAUGUAAUUUUUGUCGUGAAGUGGUUCGACUGAGUAUUUGUAAAGACAAUUUUUAAUAUGUUUAAGCUAUGAAUAUAACGUUGCUUUACUUUUCCUUUUUGCUUUCAUUGAUAAUAUUGCUUUAAGUGAACUACAUUCCAUGGGUGGAGUAAAGGGGUUUCGUCUAGUUUCUGCAGAUGGUAGGCUCCAUUCUCACUUGCCUUUGACACAAUGUAAGGACCUUCCCAAUUUUCUCAGAGUUUCCAGCUCAUUUUUCAGCCGUGUUUUCAAAGACUUUCCUGAGGACAAGUGUCUCAACUUUGAAGGUGCGGGGUCGUACCUUUCGGUUGUAGUAUGCAACUACCCUUUGCUGAUAAGCAAUCAUUUGGAUAGAUGGGACUAGUGCUUUGCAAGUUCCAUAUCUUCAUUUAUCUACCCCUGUACGGUGGUCCGGGCCGUGGGCAUGCCUACUUCUGUGGGGAUGACUACGUCCAUUUCGUAUGCAAGAGCGAAAAGGGUGCUUCCUGUUAGUCGCCCAGGUGUUGUCCGAUAGGCCCACAAGACGUCGGGCAAUUCUUCCACCCAUCUUCCCUUGGCUUGUUCCAGCCUUUUCUUCAAUGCGGAUAGCAGAGUUUUGUUGGUUGCUUCUGUUUGUCUGUUGCUUUGGGGGUACCGAGGUGUGGAGUAUAAAUUCUUGAUUUUAAGCUCCGAACUGAUAGUUCUGAAGGCAACACUGUCAAACUGAUGGUCGUUGUCAGCUAUGAUCAUUUGGGGGAUUCCAAAUCGGCACACGAUGUUCUUUCAAACGAACUUUGUGACGUCUUUAUUCUUGAUGUUAGCAUAAGCUUCGGCCUUUACCCAUUUGUUGAAGUAAUCAGUGGCAACAAGUAGGAAUUUCUUUUGUGCAGCUGCAGUAGGUAAGGGUCCCACAAUAUCCAUCCCCCACUGUACGAACGGCUAGGGGCUUAUUACCGAGUUGAGUGUUUCAAAGGGCAUAUGCGGUAUAGGCUCAUACCUUUGGCACUUGUCACACUUCUUGACAUACGCUUCUGCAUCUUGCUUCAUAGUUGGUCAAUAAUAUCCUUGUGAGUGUGCGUGAUGCACUAGAUAUCAGCCUUCCGAGUAGUUGCCACAAACACCUUUGUGCAGUUUUGUCAGCACAUAUUGGGCUUCCGACUGGUCUAAGCACCUGAGGUAUGGGUCUCCGAAAGACCGUCUAUAGAGGUAAUCUCUAAUCAAAGUGAAAUGAGCAACUUGCACCCGGGUCUUAUGUGCAUGCUUGGAGUCUUCAGGCAGAGCACUUGUCCGGAGAUAUGUUUUUAUGGAGUUUGUCCAUUCCUAGUUUUCCUUGAUAGUGCGGCAGACGGGCGACUCUAUGAUGGAUGGAGCGGUAUGGAUACAUAUUGGCAACAAUAUAGAUUCACUUAUGGGAAGUGAGGCGGCUAUGCCUGCUAAGGCGUCGGCUUGCAUGUUACCUGCUUGGGGAAUCUUCUUGACAGUCCACUCGUCCAACUGCUGAUUACUACUCACAAAGUACUAUUUCAUAACUUGUAAUUAACUCUUUUAAACACUUUUGAGUAGUAGUUAUCACCUUUUAACCCAAUUAACAUAUUAAGGACCCUUGCAAUCGAUUCUAAUCAAAUUGUGUUAAGUUUUGGUGUUUUGAUAGCUUAUUGAUCACCAAAACAAUCUGAGAUUAAGAAAAGUUCUUUGGAAUCCUUAAGCAAAUCCAGAAUACAAGGAGUAUGGGAUCCUGCACAUUCCAUCCGACUGCCGCGCCAUUCCAUCCGGCUACCGCCACUUUACACCCGGAUGUAUCACAUCCGGAAAUCUGCUACUGUCAUCAUUCCAUCCGGAUGUCUUACAUCCAGAAUUCAAGAGCCGGAUGGGAGAGGAGGGCGUUUCAACUUCUCCGGACAAACAUAUCAGGAUCCGCCGAUAGCAUUCACCCGGAGGAUUUCGCAGCAAUUUUGCACAGUGCCGCAGUGUUCUCCUGAAGCUUCCCGAUAUGUGCGACCGACAUCUUUAGAUAUUUUUCUUUAGAUAUUUAUCUUUAAAUAUUUGAUGUCUAAAUCCCCAAACUCUCCUUAUAACCCACCAAUUAUAGGAUUCCUUAGUUAUUAAGUUUGGAAAAAUGAUGAAUAACCUUGUAGAUAUUAUUAUUGUAAUUUUCAUAUAAAUAUUUCUCGGAAGCCUGUUCUCGAGACGACGCAACUUUUGUAUAAUUUUCAAAGGAAGAAAAAUACAGAGCUUUGCUCUGCUUUUACCUUCUCAUUUUGAUUGUAUUUUCUUACUAGCCAAACAAGCUCUGAGGAUGUUUCCUCAGAGAAUGAGUGGCUAGAAUUUUAGUUCCUUGGAGUUAAGGUUGCCGGGAAAGGUUCCAAGUGCAAGAAUUAGUAGCUUUGUGGUUUCAACCAUUAAUGAAGAGAAAGUGUGACCAGUUAAUGGUUUUAUCUUUUUAGUUAACUUAAAACGCCUUUAAAUCACCUAGGCCAACACUUGAUAAGGCAAGUGAUCUCCAUCCAUAGAGAUGCACUAGUUUAUCUUUUGCGAGCCUUUGGGAGGUGGUUUGAAGGUAGGGUUUUCUAGAAUAGCCAACACUUGGUAAGCUUUUGGACUCCACGGAGACAUCCAUUAUUUAUCUCUUGCAAGCUUUUGAUUACUACUCAAAAAGAGCAUAUUUUAGAUAAUAAUUCUCACGAGUUUCACAUCUUUUGAGUAGUAAUUAUGCCUAAAACACUCAAUUAGCAUGUUGUUGCCCUUGCAAGAGUUAUUAAGAAGUUUUAUGAAGUUUUGGAGUCAUUUCAAGGUAUAAUUUUGAUAAAUUGGUGACAAAAGAGAUUAAUCAAAUUGAAGAAAACAAAUAAAGUUGAUGAUGAUCCAAAUGCAUAAUGAAAGAAGCAAUGCAAUCAGUUUGGAUUGGGAUUUGGAGCUUAAUUGAAGGUGAUGGAAAUGGAUUAAACAUGAAGAAAUGAGAGAAAUUACAAAGAGGAGUCGGAAAAGCAUAUUUCUCGAUUUCGCAUGACCAUGCGAAAUGAAACAGCAUGGCUAUUGGCUGCAGCACAUAAGGGAAUUCUGAAAAGCAAUUUCUUUCGCACAGUCAUGCGAAAAGCUCCAGAAGAACUAAAAUGAAGCUGAUGGACUCUCCACUUUGCACCAUCAUGCGAGAUUGCUAGGGGCUCAUGCGAAAAUGCAUUUUCUCCAGAUUCCUUGAUGAAGAAGCAUCUGGAAGACCUCUAAAAUGUUGCCAAGUGUCCUUUUAACCUUAGCCUAUAAAUAGAAACGAGAUUUGACUCAUUUAAGAACUUUUGAUACAUUUUCUAAUCGUAGAACUUUUCAUACUUCUUCUCUCUAUAUAAUUCUCUACUUUCCUUCAGUUUCUCUUAUUUUCUCGGUAGCUAAACAUGUCUUGUGAGAUCAAAUCUCCAAGCAUGAGUGGCUAAAUCUCAUUUUUCUCGGAGGAGGGAGGAUCUAGAGGCAAGAUCUAUGGUGAAUUAGAGAAUUGAGCUUGAAUUGCAAAGGUAAUUUGAUCUAAUUGAUUGAUUAAUUGAAAUUUGGGGAUUUUUCUUUUCAAAUUGUCUUGGAUGAUUACUACAAUGCAAGCUAGGUAGAUUCAUCAAAUUCUUAAUGCUAGAUUUGAUAAGAUUGAAUAGUUGCAUUGUGUGAAUCAUCGGAAGAUAAUUUAAGAUGAAUUGAAUAUAUGAUUCAAAUUGAUCUCUUGGAUUAGAUUACCUGAUUUGAAGAGCAAUUAGAUCUAGAUCUAAAGCUAAAUCAAAAAUUAGUUUAGAUGAAAAUUUAGGUUUUCAAUCUAACUUGAUGAAAAUUAGAUCUCAACACCUAUUCACCAUGGAAAUUGCUCUCUAGAAAAUCCUAACUCCGAGAAUCUCACCUCUUAUUAAUUUUCUUCUCUUUUACACUUCAUUUUCCUCUCAAUUUGAAUACAUUGCUAUUUUGGAAUUUUAUCAUGCAUUUUCAAAUCAAUUUCAUUUUAUCACAAUCAUUUCUUAUCAUCUCAUUCAAGCCUUAAUUACCAAGAAUAAUCCAUCCUUGUGGACGAUACCUAACAACCACUAUACUACAGUAGUUUGUACUAAAACCACUUUUUGAUCGGGUACAAAUUGCUAUAGAAUAGUGAGUUAGGUUAUAAAUUUUGUUUUGAUCCAAUAAACGACAAAAUCUAAGCGGUAAUCCAAGGUUAAAGAUCACCUUGAAUGGCAAGUGCUAGGUGAGAGGUAUGAGCCAUUGCAAGGUGCAUCAAUGAGAGAGAAUUAUUAUUUGAAUCCAUUAAGGGGAAGCAACUGUACAAAACCAGUUAGAAAAUUGACUAUAUGUUAAUUCUCUAAUGCGAGGAAAUGAACCAAAUGACUGGAGCUCUGUUUUUGCAUAAGAAACCUCCCUUGUGAACUUAAACCUCCAAGGAAUGUUUUUUUUUAUAAGUAAUUUCCAUUACUUCCUUUGCCGUUAGUUUAAACCUAAACAUUUUUCAAUCAAAGUUUGUGUUUUAUUUCUCAAGCUAACCUUGAAAUGAAAAGACACCAAUUCAUCUUUGAAUUGGUAUCAUUUAUGAAUUGAAAACCCUUCCCAAUGAACGAUCCUAGAGCCACUAUGCUAUAAUAGCUUUGUCUUUGCUACCCUAGUCAUGGUGUAAUAGGUUAUAAAUUUUGUUGAUUUCUCCCUCAAUCAAGGAGCGCCAGCUGGACAUGAACCAGCUGAUACACCAAUUGGGCACAAAUCAAAUGGCGCCUUUGUCGGGGAAGGUGCCAACUUCAUAGUGAUAUUAUUUCAGAGUACUUGUGAUUUUCAUCACAAGUUUGGUAACUUUUCUUUCAUUUUACUAAUUCUUAUUUUUUUAUUUAUUGUAUCUUUACUUGUUCAUAAUCUAAUAUAUCUUUUAAAUCCAAUUUAGUUCAUUUUAGUUUGGUAGCCCUGCUUUCUUUUGUUUUCUUUUAUUUUUAUUUUAGUUAUAGUUGAUACUAGUUGUGUAUGCCAAAGUGGAUACAAGAUAGUGGAGGAAGGCUUGUCAAACGUGAUAUACCUCAUAACAAGGAAUUGGAAUUGAGCUUAAAUAUCAUGGAAGCUACACCUGAAGAUCAGCAUAGUCACCAUGGUCAUCAGGACAAUCCCAAUGAAUUCAUAUCAAUGAGGGACCGCAUGCAUCCACCUCGUAUGAGUGCACCAUGAUGUAUAGUGCCCCCUACAGAGCAGCUAGUGAUCAGACCCCAUAUUGUGCCACUUCUACCAACUUUCCAUGGAAUGGAAAGUGAGAAUCCCUACGCACAUAUCAAGGAAUUUGAAGAUGUUUGUAAUACAUUCCGAGAGGGAGGAGCUUCUAUCGACCUGAUGAGGCUUAAACUAUUUCCUUUUACUUCAAAGGAUAAGGGCCAAGAUUUGGCUUAAUUCUUUAAGGCUAAGGAGUAUCCGUACUUGGACUGAUUUACAAGUUGAAUUCCUCAAGAAAUUUUUUUCCCACUCACAGAACAAAUGGCUUGAAAAGGCAAAUUUCAAACUUCUCAGCUAAAGAGAAUGAGAAAUUCUAUGAGUGUUGGGAAAGAUACAUGGAAGCUAUUAAUGAUUGUCCUCACCAUGGCUUUGAUACAUGGCUAUUGGUGAGUUAUUUCUAUGAUGGGAUGUCUUCCUCAAUGAAGCAACUCCUCGAGACAAUGUGUGGAGGAGAUUUCAUGAGCAAGAAUCCUGAGGAAGCUAUGGAUUUCUUGAGUUAUGUAGCUGAAGUCUCAAGGGAAUGGGAUGAACCGCACAGAGGAGAAGUGGGAAAGUUGAAGUCUCAACCGAGUGCUUUCAAUGCUAAGGCUGGGAUGUAUACCUUGAAUGAAGAUGACGAUAUGAAAGCAAAGUUUGCAGCUAUGACAAGAAGAUUGGAGGAGCUAGAACUGAAAAAGAUGCAUGAAGUGCAAGCUGUUGCUGAAACACCAGUGCAAGUAAAGCUGUGUCCUAUUUGUCAAUCUUAUGAACACUUGAUGGAGGAGUGCCCUACACUUCUAGCUGUAAAGGAAAUGUUUGGAGAUCAAGCAAAUGUCAUUGGACAAUUCAAGCCCAAUAACAAUGCACCAUAUGGAAAUACUUACAACUCAAGUUGGAGGAAUCAUCUAAAUUUCUCAUGGAAGGCAAGAGCACCUCAGUACCAACAGCCGGCUCAACCAUCUCAACAAUCUUCAAGUCUUGAACAAGCAAUAGUGAAUCUCAGCAAGGAUGUGAGAGAUUUUUUUGGAGACCAAAAAGCAUUCAAUGCUCAAUUGGAAGACUUUGUUGGAGCCCAAAAAGCCAUCAAUGCUCAACUCAGUCAAAGGAUUGACAGUAUAGAGAGUACUUUGAAUAAAAGGAUGGAUGGAAUGCAAAAUGAUCUAUCUCAAAAGAUAGAUAAUCUCCAAUACUCAAUCUCAAGGCUCACUAACUUGAACACAGUGCAAGAGAAGGGUAGAUUUCAUUUUCAACCUCACCAAAACCCCAAGGGUAUCCACGAAGUGGAAACUCAUGAGGGAGAAUCUUCACAGGUGAGAGAUGUUAAAGCCUUGAUCACUCUGAGGAGUGGUAAAAAGGUUGAGUCACCAACACUCAAGCCAUAUGUUGAAGAGAAGAAAGACGAAGAAACAAAGAAGAGGGAGGAAAUGAAAGGAAAGAAGAAAGAUGUCAGUGAAAUGAAAGAGGACCAUGAUUCAAUAGUGAAUACAAAUCCGGAGAAAGAGCUUCUUAAGGAAGAAAUGCUAAAGAAAUCAACUUCUCCACCUUUUUCUCAAACGUUGCAUGGGAAAAAGGGGAUAAAAAAUGCAUCAGAAAUCCUUGAAGUAUUGAGACAAGUGAAAGUCAAUAUCCCAUUGCUGGACAUGAUUAAGCAAGUUCCAACAUAUGCAAAGUUCCUAAAGGACUUGUGUACUAUCAAAAGAGGGUUGAAUGUGAAUAAGAAAGCCUUCUUGACUGAGCAAGUAAGCGCAAUCAUACAAUGCAAGUCUCCUUUGAAGUACAAAGAUCCGGGAUGUCCUACCAUUUCAGUCAUGAUUGGAGGAAAGGUAGUGGAGAAAGCUUUGUUAGACUUGGGAGCAAGUGUGAAUUUGCUACCAUACUCUGUCUACAAACAAUUGGGACUUGGUGAGUUGAAGCCAACAUCAAUCACCCUAUCUCUAGCAGAUAGAUCAGUAAAAAUUCCAAGGGGGGUAAUUGAGGAUGUCUUAGUUCAAGUUGAUAAUUUCUACUAUCCGGUAGAUUUUGUUGUUUUUGAUAUGGAUUCUACUGUAAAGGAAGCUAAUUCAGUUCCUAUCAUCCUUGGAAGGCCAUUCUUUGCUACCUCAAAUGCAAUCAUCAAUUGUAGGAAUGGACUCAUGCAACUCACUUUUGGCAACAUGACACUUGAGCUCACCAUUUUUUAUAUGUCAAAAAAGCAAAUCACUCUGGAAGAAGAAGAAGGUCCAGAAGAGGUAUGCAUUAUCGACACUUUAGUGGAGGAGCACUGUAAUCAGAAUAUGCAAGAUAAGCUGAAUGAAGGUCUUGGGGAUCUUGAAGAAGGGUUGUCUGAACCCCCUGAUGUGCUUGCUACUCUACAAAGUUGGAAGAGAAGAGAAGAGAUUCUACCUUUGUUCCAUAAAGAGGAAGGAGAAGCUGCUGAAGAAGAGACCCCAAAGCUCAAAUUGAAGCCUCUGCCCGUGGAGCUGAAAUAUACAUACCUUGAAGAAAAUAAUCAAUGUCCUGUUGUUAUAUCUUCAUCUCUUACCGGUCAUCAGGAGAUUUCUCUACUUGAAGUUAUCAAAAGGUGCAAGAAAGCAAUAGGAUGGAAAAUAUCUGACUUGAAAGGAAUCAGUCCUUUGGUUUGUACACAUCACAUAUAUAUGGAGAAAGAAGCUAAACCAAUUCGUCAACCUCAAAGAAGAUUGAAUCCUCAUUUACAAGAAGUGGUGCGGACUGAGGUGCUGAAGCUACUCCAAGUAGGUAUUAUUUAUCCCAUAUCUGACAGCCCUUGGGUGAGCCCUACUCAAGUGGUACUAAAGAAGUCAGGGAUUACUAUGGUUCAGAAUGAGAAAGGAGAAGAAAUUGCUACACGCCUCACUUCAGGUUGGAAGGUGUGUAUUGAUUAUAGAAAGUUGAAUGCUGUGACAAGGAAAGAUCAUUUUCCAUUGCCGUUUAUUGAUCAGGUGCUGGAGAGAGUCUCUGGCUAUCCUUUUUAUUGUUUCUUGGACGGGUACUCAGGGUAUUUCCAAAUUGAAAUUGAUGUUGAAGAUCAGGAGAAAACCACUUUCACAUGUCCGUUUGGAACAUAUGCCUACAGAAGAAUGCCUUUUGGUUUAUGCAAUGCACCUGCAACAUUCCAAAGAUGUAUGCUUAGUAUCUUUAGUGAUAUGGUGGAGCGAAUUAUGGAGGUUUUCAUGGAUGACGUCACCGUAUAUGGGGGUACAUUUGAGGAAUGCUUAGUCAAUUUGGAAACAGUUCUUAAUAGAUGCAUUGAGAAGGACUUGGUGCUCAACUGGGAGAAAUGCCAUUUUAUGGUACGUCAAGGAAUUGUCCUUAGCCAUAUCAUCUCCGAGAAAGGCAUUGAAGUUGAUAAAGCAAAUGUGGAGCUUAUUGUCAAAUUACCGUCCUCAACAACUGUGAAAGGAGUAAGGCAAUUUCUUGGCCAUGCAGGGUUCUAUAGGAGAUUUAUACAAGACUUCUCUAAGCUUUCAAAACCUCUUUGUGAGCUUUUGGCUAAGGAUGCUAAGUUUAUAUGGGAUGAAAGAUGUCAAAAUAGCUUUGAUCAACUGAAGCAAUUCUUGACAACUGCUCCGAUAGUAAGGGCUCCUAACUGGCAACUACCCUUUGAAGUGAUGUGUGAUGCCAGUGACUUUGCUGUAGGAGCUGUACUUGGCCAAAGAGAAGAUGGGAAGCCCUACGUGAUCUACUAUGCAAGCAAAACAUUGAACGAAGCUCAAAGGAACUACAUAACUACAGAGAAAGAUUUGUUAGCUAUGGUGUUUGCCUUAGACAAGUUUCGUGCUUAUCUAGUAGGGUCUUUCAUCAUUGUUUUCACUGACCAUUCAGCCUUGAAGUAUUUAUUGACAAAGCAAGAUGCUAAAGCAAGGUUGAUUAGAUGGAUUCUUUUGUUACAAGAGUUCGAUCUCCGAAUCCGAGACAAGAAAGGGGUGGAGAAUGUGGUAGCUGACCACCUUUCAAGGUUGGCUAUAGCACAUAAUUCCCAUGUAUUACCUAUUAAUGAUGACUUUCCUGAGGAAUCACUUAUGUUGCUAGAGAAAGCUCCUUGGUAUGCUCAUAUUGCUAACUAUUUAGUUACUGGUGAAGUUCCAAGUGAGUGGAAUGCACAAGACAGGAAGCACUUCUUUGCAAAAAUUCAUGCUUAUUAUUGGGAUGAGCCUUUCCUUUUCAAGUAUUGUGCAGAUCAAAUAAUACGGAAGUGUGCCCCUGAAGAAGAGCAACAAGGAAUCCUCAGCCAUUGCCAUCAAAAUGCAUGCAGAGGCCACUUUGUCUCUCAGAAAACAACCAUGAAGGUCUUGCAAUCAGGGUUUACUUGGCCAUCACUUUUCAAAGAUUCCCACAUCAUGUGUAGGAGUUGUGAUAGAUGCCAAAGACUCGGGAAGCUUACAAAAAGAAACCAAAUGCCCAUGAACCUCAUCCUUAUAGUUGAUCUUUUUGAUGUUUGGGGUAUUGACUUCAUGGGACCUUUCCCAAUGUCUUUUGGUAACUCUUAUAUAUUGGUGGGGGUUGACUAUGUUUCCAAAUGGGUUGAGGCAAUCCCCUGUAAACAUAAUGAUCACAGGGUGGUUCUCAAAUUUCUUAAGGAGAACAUCUUCUCAAGAUUUGGGGUGCCCAAGGCCAUAAUCAGUGAUGGAGGUACUCAUUUUUGCAACAAACCUUUUGAAACCGUAUUAGCCAAGUAUGGAGUGAAGCAUAAGGUAGCUACACCUUAUCAUCCUCAAACUUCCGGGCAAGUGGAGCUAGCAAAUAGGAAAAUAAAAAACAUGCUGAUGAAAGUGGUGAUUGCAAGCAGAAAAGAUUGGUCUAUUAAGCUACAUGAUUCAUUAUGGGCAUAUAGAACAGCUUAUAAGACUAUUCUUGGCAUGUCCCCCUAUCGUCUCGUCUAUGACAAAGCAUGCCACCUCCCUGUGGAAGUUGAAUAUAAGGCGUGGUGGGCAAUCAAGAGGUUGAACAUGGACUUGAUCAGAGCUGGAGAAAAGAGGUGCUUAGACCUUAAUGAGAUGGAGGAAUUAAGAAAUGAUGCUUACAUCAAUUCCAAAAUUGCAAAACAGAGGAUGACGAAGUGGCAUGAUCAACUAAUCUCCAACAAAGAAUUCCAUAAAGGACAAAAAGUUUUGCUUUAUGAUUCAAGACUCCAUGCCUUUCCAGGGAAGCUCAAGUCAAGGUGGAUAGGCCCUUUCAUUAUUCACCAAGUGCAUCCUAAUGGAGUGGUGGAAUUACUGAAUUCCAAAACCACCGACAUUUUCAAGGUCAAUGGUCAUCGUCUCAAGCCAUUCAUUGAGCCAUUCAAACCAGAAAAGGAGGAAAUCAACCUCCUUGAGCCACAGAAAGCCUGAUCAGAGAAGGGAUAGAUGGACUUGGUUUCACCAAAGUCCAUGAUUUUGUUAAAUAUGUUAAUUUUUAAGUCUUAUAAAUUAUUUGAUCGUAAAUUUGAUCUUAAAUUUUGUUAAUUGUAAGAUCAAGAGCUCAGGCCCAGCACACUACCAUCCUGGGGCAGAUCCAGCAUCAUCUCGGCAUUACAUUAGCUCCUAAGCAUGCCAUUUCCCAGCUCAUCAGAGCCAUCACAGGCCCCUCCUUUUGUUGAUUAGCCUAUGCCUCAUUAAGAGCCUCCUAUAGGAGAGGCAGCUGAGUAUCACUCCACGUCAUUCAGGAGGUACCACUUCCUCCCUAUGUUUCAAUCACUUUUAUCACAUUGAGGACAAUGUUCAGCUUGGUUGGGAGGAGAGUUGAGGAAUUAAGUUUUUGUUAUUAAUGCGAAGUUAUUUUGGUAAUUUAGUUGCUUUUUGCUUAAUUUUAAAAUUUUAAAAGUUUUUAUUCUACUCUCCAUGCUUAUUAAGGAAAAAAAUUUCAAAUUGAAAUAGGAGAAAUUGAAUUUUUGUCUUUUCACUUGACUUAGAGUUUGUAUUAUGCUUAUUAAAAUUGAUGAAUUGUUGAAACUUCUAUUGAAUUCGAGCUUAUGUCUUCCACUUUAAGCUAUUCACACACUGUGCACAAUAGGUUCCGAGUAUAAGAUGAAAAACUAUUUCCCUUUUGACUUAGGAAAAUUUUAGACUUGGUACCUUUGACCUUAUUUAAUAGUGUUGGAACACCUUAUAAAAUGCCAAUGAGCCUUUGAAAAAAAAGAAGAAAGAAAAAAUGUUUGCUUGCCUUGAAACCCGAGUAAGGUCCGAGGGGUAUAUGGUGAAAAUCUUUAAAACCUGGUGCCCUAAGCCUUCAUUGGUUGGGAGUCACCGACCUCAAUGCUCAUUACAAGGGUGAAUAAGUGGAGUUUAACAUACUGUAGGUGCUUGGGUAUUAAAAUUUUAUUCUCAAAAGUCCGGGGUAAAAUCCAAGGAGUUAGUGGUUGAAAUAUCCUUAAAGCUUGAUGCCCUAAACCUUAAUUGGUUGGGAGUCAUCGAUGGACCCUCGUUACAUGGACAAUUUAGAAAAGAAUACCCUUAAGCCUUGUACCCCUGCAAUGAAAAAAAAAAAAAAAGGGUGCGUUCUUAGCCUAUUGAAGUUGGUCAGUUUGCUAAGUGUUGAAAAAAGCUAGGUUGGGGGGAGAGAUUAGUUUAGCAUACUAUAUUCGGAAGCUAUCAAGUAACACUUAGAUUUUUGUGGAAGAGUAAGGAUUGGUCCUUUGGAAGUGGAAAUGAAUUUAAAGCUUAAAUUUGCAUAAUGCCUUCUCUUUAAGAAUUGUGAUUAGAUAAGUUAUUUGAUAACUCUUGAUGAAGUUUAAGUUUUAUUUCUUUAAUGUUCCAUGUGAGAGUUAGAUCAUCAUGCCACUUGGAAAUUGUUUUUGGAUCAGCAUGAUGUUGUAAAUUAUAGUACUGUUUAUUUUUAUUUUUCUCUCCUUCAUUGCUAAGGGACUAGCAAUAUGUCGGUUGGGGGGAGUGAUUACUACUCACAAAGUACUAUUUCAUAGAUUGUAAUUAACUCUUUUAAACACUUUUGAGUAGUAGUUAUCACCUUUUAACCCAAUUAACAUAUUAAGGACCCUUGCAAUCAAUUCUAAUCAAAUUAUGUUAAGUUUUGGUGUUUUGAUAGCUUUUUGAUCACCAAAACAAUCCGAGAUUGAGGAAAGUUCUUUGGAAUCCUUAAGCAAAUCCAUAAUACAAGGAGUAUGGGAUCCUGCACAUUCCAUCCGGCUGUCGCCACUUUACACCCGGAUGUAUCACAUCCGGAAAUCUGCUGCCGCCAUCAUUCCAUCCGAAUGUCUUACAUCCGGAAUUCAGGAGCCGGAUAGGAGAGAAGGGCGUUUCAACUUCUCCGGAUAGACAUAUCUGGAUCCGCCGAUAGCGCUCACCCGGAGGAUUUCGCAGCAAUUUUGUACAGUGCCGCGGUGUUCUCCUGAAGCUUCUCUAUAUGUGCGACCGACAUCUUUAGAUAUUUUUCUUUAGAUAUUUGAUGUCUAAAUCCCCAAACUCUCCUUGUAACCCACCAAUUAUAGGAUUCCUUAGUUAUUAAGUUUGGAAAAAUGAUGAAUAACCUUGUAGAUAUUAUUAUUGUAAUUUUCAUAUAAAUAUCUCUCGGGAGCUUGUUCUCGGGACGACGCAACUUUUGUAUAAUUUUCAAAGGAAGAAAAAUACAGAGCUUUGCUCUGCUUUUAUCUUCUCAUUUUGAUUGUAUUUUCUUACUAGCCAAACAAGUUCUGAGAAUGUUUCAUCAGAGAAUGAGUGGCUAGACUUUUAGUUCCUUGGAGUUAAGGUUGCCGGGAAAGGUUCCAAGUGUAAGAAUUAGUAGCUUUGUGGUUUCAGCCAUUAAUGAAGAGAAAGUGUGACCAGUUAAUGGUUUUAUCUUUUUAGUUAACUUAAAACGCCUUUAAAUCACUUGGGCCAACACUUGAUAAGGCAAGUAAUCUCCAUCCAUAGAGAUGCACUAGUUUAUCUCUUGCGAGCCUUUGAGAGGUGGUUUGAAGGUAGGAUUUUCUAGAAUAGCCAACACUUGGUAAGCUUUUGGACUCCACGGAGACAUCCAUUAGUUAUCUCUUACGAGCUUUUGACGGGUAAUCCAAGGUUAAAGAUCACCUUGAAUGGCAAGUGCUAGGUGAGAGGUAUGAGCCAUUGCAAGGUGCAUCAGUGAGAGAGAAUUAUUAUUUGAAUCCAUUAAGGGGAAGCAUCUGUACAAAACCGGUUAGAGAAUUGACUAUAUGUUAAUUCUCUAAUGCGAGGAAAUGAACCAAAUGACUGGAGCUCUGUUUUUGCAUAAGAAACCUCCCUUGUGAACUUAAACCUCCAAGGAAUGUUUUUUUUUAUAAGUAAUUUCCAUUACUUCCUUUGCCGUUAGUUUAAACCUAAACCUUUUUCAAUCAAAGUUUGUGUUUUAUUUCUCAAGCUAACCUUGAAAUGAAAAGACACCAAUUCAUCUUUGAAUUGGUAUCAUUUAUGAAUUGAAAACCCUUCCCAGUGAACGAUCCUAGAGCCAUUAUGCUAUAGUAGCUUUGUCUUUGCUACCCUAAUCAUGGUGUAAUAGGUUAUAAAUUUUGUUGAUUUCUCCCUCAAUCAAGGAGCGCCAGCUGGACAUGACCAGCUGAUACACCAAUUGGGCACGAAUCAACUGUUGCAAGGAGUCUUGGACUUUCAAUAGGUAUUAGGACAUGCGUUCGUCUUUAGCUUCAUAUUCUUUUUGUAUAUGCCCCACGAUGAGCUGAGAAUCACUAUAGAUCCUCAGUUUAGAAGCAGAGAGUGCGAAGGCUAGGUUUAGUUCAGACAAAACUGCUUCAUAUUCAACUUCAUUAUUUGAUGUAGGGAAUCCUAGCCGGAUAGCCUGCUCUAGUUGUUUGCCUGUCGGAGAUCUUAGAAGGAGGCCCACUCUUGAUCUGGACGACCGGGAGGCUCCAUCAACCUACAAAAUCCACCACCCUUCCUCGCCAAUCUCCGUGCUUUAGGUAUGCUGUCGGGGAACCUCGGCUAUGAAAUCAGCCAUGACCUACCCCUUCAUAGACAACCUAGGUUGAUAUUCAAUUCCAUACUCACUCAACUCUAUGGCCCACUGGAGCAUUCUUCUUUAUAUGUCUGGCUUAUGCAAGAUACUUCGAAUUGGUUGGUUAGUGAGCACGACUAUUGGAUGAGCUUGGAAAUAUGAGUGAAUUCUCUAAGCGGCAUUUCGCAAAGCUAAGGCGGUCUACUCCAUUUUUUAGUACCUAGUCUUUACGUUGGCCAUCGCUCUGCUGAUGAAAUAGACAGGUCUUUGUUCUUUAUGCAACAGGGAAUGAAACAAUACAAUGCUAAUCGCCCAAUCAGAUACUGCAAGGUACAUGUACAAUUGCUCUUUAGGUUGAGGGUUGCUCAAAAUGGGGGGUUGUGUAAGGUAAUGUUUGAUUUCAUCGAAUGAAUUCUGGCAGCCGUCCAUCCACUCUGUUGCAUUGGCUUCUCUGAGCACUAGAAAGAAGAGUUGCAACUUGUCUGUGAAUCAAGCUAUGAAUUGUCCGAGCGCAACAAGCAUGUCUAUGAGGCGUUGCAGCUUUUUUUUGCUCCUAGGCUCAGGUGUAUUCAUGAUUGCCUUGAUUUGGUCUGGUUUGACUUCUAUUCCCCUCUAGGAGAUCAUGAAUCAUAGGAAUUUGCCUAAGCUUACACCAAGGUGCAUUUAGACGAGUUGAGCUUCAUACUCUAUCUUCUCAACAGAUUGAAAACUUCUUGCAAAUGCUGGGCAUGCUUUUCUCGGGUUUUUCUUUUGACCACUAUAUCGUCAAUGUAUACCUCUACCAUGCGACUGAUCAGAAGUUUGAAGAUUUUAGUCAUCAACCUUUGGUAAGUGGCUCCAGCAUUUUUGAGCUAGAACGACAUGACCUUGUAAUAGUAGAGUCCGUGCAGCAUUAUGAAGGUGGUUUUUUCUUUGUCCGUUAGAGCCAUAGGGAUCUGAUGAUAUCCAGAGAAGGCAUCUAGGAAAGAGAGCAUCCCAUGUCCAAAGGUGGAGUUCACUAUCUGGUUUAUCCAUGGCAGUGGAAAACUAUCUUUGGGGCAUGCGUCGUUGAAGUUAGUGUAGUCACGCAUACUCGCCACUUCCUUUUUUUCUUGGGAACCACCACUACAUUAGCCAGUCAUUCUAGAUAAUCAACUUCCCUAAUGAAUUUAGUUGCCAACAACUUUUCUACCUCACUUUGAAUGAUCUUUUGUCUAUCCGGAUGAAAUCGUUGGGCCUUUUGCCGUAUAGGUCUUGAUGAUGCUAGGAUGUUGAGUCAAUAAGAGGCGACCGAUGGAUGGAUUCCAGGCAUAUUGGACUGUGUCCAUGCCAAAACAUCUCUGUUUUGCUGGAGUGUGUUUUGAAGGUGUUGCGUCUCGUUUGGCUGUAAGAGGGAACUGAUGUGCAUAAAGUGAUCUUCUCUCUUCUAGACCUGAACGAUUUGCAAGGGAUCUACUACCGGGGAAUCCUUAUCCGCUGGAUAUUGCAAUUUCUAUUGGUCAGGCUAGUCUGCUUGCUUAGAGGGAGACUCACGAUCCUUGCUGGAUCUAGUCUCCCAUACAACUUGGUAACAUUGAUGGGCAACCAACUGUCUACCGUAGAGAUCGAUCUAUCCAUCAUGUGUGAUGAAAUUCACCAUCUGGUGAUGUGUGGAAGGGAUGGCCUUCAUGCUGUGCAACCAGGUACGCCCCAGGAUAGCAUUGAAGGGUGAUAAAUCUUCUACCACUGAUAAUUGUACAUUAAGGGUGAUUGGACCUGCUUGGAUUGGUAGUACGAUAUCCCCAAGGGAUGUUGUUGAGGCCCCAUUGAACCUUGACAGUAUCCGUCCCGGGUUCUCCAAGCUGGAGGGCAUAAAUCCCAUUUGUUUAACUACAAACACUUGUAAGAAAUCUGUCGAGCUACCCGGGUCAACCGGAAUCCUCCUCACAUCGAAGUCACCAAUUCCUAAUGUCAAGAUGAGGGUGUCUCGGUGCUGUUGCAACACCUGGGCAAGGUCCACUAGAGGAAAGAGGAUUACUUCAUCUAUUGGGUGAGCGUUUCCGCUAGCUAGAUCAAGCCGGAUGGAGCUAAUAUGCUCUCGGACCGUGACGGCUCGUAGCAACCUCUGCCUCUUCCUCUUGGAGUUGUACUUUUCAUCCAAGGGUCCAUCAUGGAUGUAGUUAAUUAUGGCUCUGGGAAUAACGGGAGCUAAGGGAGCCCUGGGGGCUUGAUUGUGACUCUUUACUCCUGAGUGGACAUACUAUUUUAGAUGUCCUACUUUUAUGAGUUUUUCCACCAGAUAAUGGAGACUUCUGCAUUGCUCCGUGGUAUGUCCAUGCUCUUUGUGAUAAGCACAUUUUUUUUAGUGAUCUCUUUUGGUUGGAUCCGUUUUCAGUGGUUCUGGCCACCUGAAAUUAGACAGCUCACGAAUCAAAGAGAGUAGCUUCUCAUACGUCACGAUGAGAGGUGUAAGCGGGGAUUGUUCCUGUUGGCGUUGCUCACCUUGCCUCAUUUCGGGAGGCCUUCUUUGACUUGAAGGCUUGAGGUUCCUUGCCGCGUCGUUUCUGACCGAUUGGCCGGUGACUAAGAUCUAUUGUGUGGCUACACGGACAUCAUCUUCCAACAUAGAAUAUUUUUUUGCGAGCCGAAACAGAUCAUCUAUAGUCGUGGGAGGUUUUUUGGCAAGAGAUUCAAAAAAUAGCGCACCCAGACAUAUGCUACGCUUGAAAAUUUGGAGGACAACAUCCAAGUUGUAGGAUUCCACUUGCAAUACAGCUUGUCCAAAGCCCUUCACGAACUCUCUUAGGGACUCAUUCUCCUGCAUUUUUAUGUUUUGCAAGGUGUCGAUAUUUUGCUUAUACCGAGCUAUGCAUAGGUAUUGUCCCACGAAGGUUUCUAACAGAUCCCUGAAAUUAUCAACCAAAUUCAUGGGGAGCCGAUGAAACUAUGAGAGAGCUUGGCCUUGGAGGCUAGCGGAUAAGACUUUGCAUAAUAGCAUGUCAUUCCCUAUGUCCAAAGUCAUGAGCUGCCGAUAGUUCAUGAUAUGGUCAAACGGAUCGUUGGAUCCAUCAUACGCAAAAAAUUUUGAGACGAGGAACCCUCUUGGGGGUUCGUAGUUGAUAAUAUGAGGAUUGAAAGGCAUGGAGAGCAUGUCGUCCAAUCAUCUGCUAAUGGAGAUUGAGGGGGCUUCAUUUGCUGGAUCUCCCCCGACUUGUUGUAGUGGUUGGUGCGGGGUAUAACCCUAUGAGAUGGGCGCGGCUGAGGGCCCGGGGUAUGUCCCCUAUGUCAUGGCUAUGUGCGACCUAUCUUUGCCGGGAGCUUAAGGUCCUAACCUUGCAUGCAUCGCGUCAGAUAAUUGGGGUCUCUUAUCACGUUGCCUCUUUGAUGAGACACGAGUAGAGUCAGAGUUUUCGUCUUGCGGUGCGCGAUACGCAGGUAAAGGUCCUUUGUUAGGCCAUACACCACGUACAUUAGGGGGAGGUCCCGCUCUUCCAAGAUAUGUGGCCUCCUGGUUAUGCCUAGAGUUUGUUCCUUGGUCUCUUGGUCGGUGGUCACGAGGAGGUUCUGAGGAUGAAACUUGGAUUCUCAACACCUUGUUUUCCUCCUUGAGUUUCCUCGUUUCUUAGAGCAAGGCUUGUACCUGCCAUUUGCUUUCUUGCUGUCGUCUUUCCAUGCUCUUAUGCUAGUCAAAAUAACCUUCAUUACUCAUAGUUGAUGAACGACUUCUUGAGGGUGUGGACAUCUUCGUAAAGGAGAAAGUCGAGUUCCCACAGACGGCGCCAAUGUUGAAGUCGCGACCCACAGGGAUAUUUGUGUCUCCCUGACGUUGGUGCUUGAUCAACUAAGAGUGAUGCUUCCUUCCUUGUUCCUACAAAAGAUGUCCGGACAGGUUGUCUGGACACACCCUCCGAAGCUCUUAUUACUUUGACAAUUCUCUUUACUCUUUCCUUUUAGGAAUCAAUCUGAAGUUUGUCUUACCUCCUCUCUUCGUUGAGUUCCCUCAAGGGUUUUAUAUAGUCUGGAGUUUUUGUUCUCACAUCUAGGCUAGUGGGGUUCAUUUACUUCCACAGUCAUCAUGGUUGCUCAUAGGCUGGCAGCACAAUCAUUACUUUUUUGGGUGAUGGAUGGUGAUUGCUAGUGGGGCGAUCGGGCUGCACAUCUAUCACUUCAUUCCAUAGGCGGCAGAGUGUAAAAUGUGUCAGGUGGCCUGAAAAGACAUGAAGAUGUCCCAACUAGCACGCCUUUAAUGGAAGGCGAAUGAUGGAUUGUGGAGUAUGGUCAGAGACGUUGUUUGGAGCAUGUCCUACGGCCUCGUAAGAGCAUGGGCAUCUGGCCGUUGAUUGCUGGAUCCGGAUAAGAUGGAUCCAACAUGUAUGUUACUGGCCAGUGGAUCCCGUCUGGAUAGAGGCAAAGGCUGCCACGUGUCUACAGAAGGUUUGCCAGUGAGGGUAAGGCAAGCAACCACGUGUCAGCUCAGGAGAAAGGUCCUACACUAGCAGUCGAAAAUUCAACUCCUAACAAUUUUAGUUAAUAAAAUUAUAAGUAUAAAUUUAUAAUUUCUCAAUUUUAAAUUGCUUUGUUUUAAAAAAAAAACAUAAUGUUAUUGAUUUAUAUUUGCAAAAAAGCAAAAAUAAUCUCCAAUUUUAUCAAUUAUACCCAUUCACAUAUGUAAAAAUCCAUUCAAAUUUAUAUCAUGUUUCUAAUUGUAAAAUACCUUUUUCUAAACUCAAUAGCUAUUUUUUGAAUAAAUAAUAUUAUAUGAAGAGCUUGAUUUUAUUAUUUAUUUAUUUAUUUAUUGUUUUUUGAAUUUUGAGUUGAUUGCUUAGCUAGUGAGUUUGUGAUGUUGUCAUUAUCUAGCUUGUAGGAUUCAACUACACAAUGCUCAUCAUAUAUACUAAAAAAAUAAAUUUAAUGAAUUUAUUUUGAGUUUUCUUAUAUAGUAUUGAAUUCAUGAGAACAAGAGAUAAAAAAAAUAAUAAAUAAUAAUAAAUAAAUUAAAAUUUACCCAUACGAGAAAAUGAGCUUUGAAUGAUAAUGGAUCCCGUCAACAAGAAAGGUAUUUAAAGCAAAAAAAAAAAAAGUCGAUGUGAUUGAAAAGAUAGGAUAGUUACAAAAGUUGAAUGAAUGUAUGAUUGUAAAAAAUUCCAUGAAUGUGAAGUUGAACUUUAAGAUUGUUCUCAAGAAACCAAUUAAAUACUAUUCAUUUGUAUUUUGUAAUCUUAUGUAAGUUAGAAUAGAGUCAUUGAAACUUUUACAGAUCCGACAAGCGAAAAUCCUUUCUUUUCUUGAAUGAUUACUUGAGUUCAACAUAUUUAGACUAGUUCUGAGUCCUAAUUUUCAAUCCUUGGAUGAACUUAUGGGUCUAAUUAGUACAAUGGACCUUGAAAGAAUAUUGAAUAUGUUAGUUGAUUACAUAAUAGAAAGAUCUAAAACUUAAGGAUUAAAAAGGUAAAAUUUUGAGAGGUUGAUAGCAUAUACUUCAACGGAUUCUAGACAUCAAUUCAUGAGGAGUCUUCAUGUAGUGAAUAAUAGGGUAUAAACCCAAGUUUAUAUUUUCUUCUAAUAUUGUAGGGUACUACAGUGAAGUUGACUCUUUAUAGUGGGAUGCCAAGUCAACUUCAAAAUUUAAUUUUGUGGGAGCUAGUAUUUGUUGGGAUAGAGCCCUAUAAAGCAAGUCAUUUUGUGACAGAUUUUAGAUUAAUUAAUCAACUUAUUUAUUUAUGGUUCUGGUUCUAUUUAUUAUCUCUUCUUGCAUUAAUUUUUUAUCAAAGCAUCACAUUUUGUAUCAUUUAUGUUAUAUAUAACUUGAGUGCAUUAGGAGUUAUAUAGAAGAUAUAAGUCAUAAAUUUUUGAGAAGGUGAUAAGUGAUUUACAGUCAAUUUAUAGAUUUUGACAAUUCAUAAAAAACUGUAGUGCACUAUCUCCUAAUUAAAGAGAUAAUUUGUCUUAAAUCAUCAUGAUAGUUUGAUUUGAAAUUAUUUUUAUUAAUUAAUAAUUCUUUGUAUUAAGUAUAGUUUGAUUUGAAAUUUAUUUAUUUAAUGAAAAAUUUUGGAGAGAUUAAAGAAAAUUUUUAAAACAAGUGUAAUUCAAAAGACGAUCAUACUUGAAGAUUUUCAAUUCAUAUCAAUAUUGGAUCGUGGAAAUAGAAGAGGAAAGAUAUCAUGUUAAAUUUUCAUUGCUUUUUUAUGGGUUUUUUUUAAAAAAAAACAAAAUUUUGUUAAUGUUUUUGUUUUGUUCUUAAAAAUUGAUGAAAACAAUUUCAACUUCUUUUCUGAAAACCAUUCUCUAUUUCAUCAUGUUUUUAAAACCUGGAAACAUAAGACAACAAUCAAAUAAUGAUACAAAUUUUUUAAAAUUGGUUUUCUAUUAUUAAAAAUAGAAAUAUAUAUAUAUAUAUAUAUAUAUAUAUAUAUAUAUAUAUAUAUAUAUAUAUAUAUAUAUAAUCACACUACAAAAUAGGUUAUUAGUUUUUAUAUGAAAAUAUAUCCAUUUAUGAUAAUCCCUAGUUUAAUAAAAAAAAUAUUUAUAAAUUUAUUUUAAGAUAAUAUUUAUUUUGCAUAGAUCUGAUAUCAUAUUUUUUUAUAUUCAUAUUUUUAUAUUUAUGAUAGUCAUCUUCUUAUUAUGUUACGGGUUGCACAAAGCCCUUUAUGUGAUUUUUCUUCAAUUCUUUAUUUUAAAAUUUUUAAAGAACAAUUGAAGAUGAUCAUUUGCUAUUUUCACUCUUUCUAUUUUCUUAACAUAGUUUUCCAAGAAAUGAAAAUGCAAAAAGACCAUCCAAACAUGGUUUGAAGCAUGAUUUUUAUUUUCUUUGAACCUUUUUUCCCCUGCCACCAUGUUUCCCAACAAUGCGGAAAAGCUCCUGGGCUUGUGUUUUUGUCUCUUAUUCUCUUCUACUAAAGGAUAUUCCUAGGAUGCCUCCUGUGAUUCUUUCAUGUGUCUUGAAGUUUAGGGAAACAUUUGGAAAACAAUAAAAGGUCUUCUUUGUAGCUAUAAAAUAGUUCUUUCUCCAUCCGCUUGGGGAAGGCCCUAUGCAUUCAUUUUCUUCAUGUUUUAAGUAAGAUUAGUGUAACUUCUUUUUUAAAAGCAGAAAAGGUAUGAAUUUGUAAGCUUGUGAGUGUAGUCUCUUCUAUGAUUCUUUUAGCUUUUCUUAAGCCUUAACCCUGGUUUGGACCUUGAUGUGUCUUAAAUUACAGCUCGAACCUCUGCGUUUCUUAAGCUAGCCUUGGACUUUGGCAUAUCUUGAUCACCUGAACUUGGACAUUAACAUGUUUUGGGUCGGGCUCAGAUCCUAGUAUUGUCUUAUGUUAGGUUUGGACCUUGACAUAUCUUGACUUGAGCUUAGACGUUGCCAUGUCUUGGGUUGGGCUUGGAUGUUGGUUUAUCUUUAACUAUGACAUGGACUUGGAUUUCGGCUUGUUUGAGGCCAGGGUAUGGACUUAUACCUUGACUUGUUGAUGCCUAAAAUUUAAGCUGACGACUUUAGAUUUGCAUUAUUAUCUUUCUCUGGAUGAGACAAUUAUAGAAAAGGGGGUCUUGCCAAUCCACUUUUAUUCGAACUGUUUGUUCUUAUUCUCAACCAAGGAAGCAUUUUAUUUAAAGCAGAACACUCUAAAACUGCAGGGAUCUAGCGGCCAAAGCACAUAUUCCAAUCUUAUUACAAUGACAUCAAUAUACAUUAUUCCCUUAAUUUCCAUUGCUGACAUAUGGAAGAAGCUGGAAUUAGCUUUCAUUUGGUCAUACUGGCACAGGGUCAAUGAGCAAGGAUGCAAUAUUAUCAUUCAUCACUUUCCCAACAUGAGUGCAUUCAUUGUUUUCCUUAUAAGUGAUGUCUACCACUUGUGUAAGAUUCAGAACUCCGGUAAGAAUUAGGACCAACAUGGAAGUAGGUCUAAGGAACCCUUGGUUAAUUCCUUCCAUGCAUUCACAAUUUGCUUGUUAAACUCGUCAUAAGCUUAUUGCUCUAAGACACUAUAUUGCUUGACAUAGCAUUCAAUGGCUAAGGCAACAUGCCCUCUCUCUUGUUCAAACUUCACACAAAUAUAUAGUAAUGCAAAAUAUGAGGAAAAAACCACUAUACAAAUUGUUAUGAAUGAACCUAGAUGUAAUAUAUUCUACACGCAUACCUAAUGUGCAAUCAUGUCGUUCAUGGCUCAUGAGCCUAGUAAUUAAACAUACAGCUACUGUAAAAAAGUCAUUGUAAACCCCAUCAAAGGCUUCUUUUGUUAUCAUUUCUCCUAUUCCAAUGAAAAAAAAUGGUUGUGGCCAAGGGGAAGGCCGAGCUUACUCAUGCAACUUGCAUGUAUUACUGUAUGGUAGGUACAUGUUCUUAUUCCAAUCUUAUUACAAUGACAUUAAUACAUGUUAUUCCCUUUCCAUUGCAGACAAUAUGGAAGAAGCUAGAAUUAACUUUCAUUUAUUUACUCAUACCGACACAGGGUCAAUGAAUAAGGAUGCAAUAUUAUCCUUCAUCACUUUCCUAACACGAGUGUAUUCAUCGUUUUCCUUAUAAUUGAUGUCUACCACUCGUGUAAGAUUGAGAACUCCUGUGAGGAUAGGGACCGACAUGGAAGUAGGUCUCAGGAACCCUUGGGUAAUAUCCUUCCAUGGAUUCGCAAUUUGCUUGUUAAACUUGUCAUAAGUCUAUUGUUUUGAGACACAAUAUUACUUCACAUAGCAUUCAAUGGUUGAGUCAACGUACAUGCCCUCUAUUUUCUUCAGCAUUCCUAGCAUACCUUUCUUUCCUUCCCAAGGCCGCACAUGUUUUUUCACUUAAAAUUGGAGAACCUUCCUUUCUUCUCACCGAAGCAGUGCACUUUACUUAUAUUUUUCUUCAAUUGGUGCACUUUUAUCUAAAACUUGACUGCUUCCUAUCUUCUUUUCUUCUUCUUAAAGUGGUGCACCUUUGUUACUUGACACAUCUUUUUACCUUAGGGACUUGGUGCACCCUUGGAUUGUGCGACCAUGAUAUAAUAAAGACUUCGUGAUUUUUUUUUUUUUGAUGACGUUAUUGUGUCAGGAUAGAGAAAGUUGUGAGAGAGGUCAAGGAAUCAAAAUGAGAGAAGUUGGGGUUUAGAGUGGGAACGAAGAAUGGUAUUUGAUGAAGAUCUCGGUUUAAAAUUGAAAAUUUAGUCUUCAUAAUAUUUUUCUUUGAUUUGAGAUUUGAUUUCAGAAGUAUACGAAAAUUAAAAAGGAAAUUUAGGAUUAGAGUUAGGGUGUAAUUUUUUUUUUCUCCUAUUUAAGGUUUGAUUUAGGAAGAGCAUAAAGAUUUGAAAUUAGAUUUUCUUUGUCCAUUUAAGGUUUCAUUUGGGACGUGCAUAAAGAUUUUUUUUUAAAAAAUUAAUAUUUUUUUUCCACUUAGGAUUUGAUUUGGAAAUUUAAGUUUUCAUUUGGGCAAUAGAUGAAGAAGAUUAAAAAAGGAAGAAAAAGAUGAUAUUUUAAUUUUUAUUUAAUAUCUUAAUUUUAAUUAUCUAAAAUUAUUUAAUUAUUCUAAUUAAUGAUACUUUGAGGUUAAUUGUGAUUAUUAUAUUUAAUUAAAAUUAACUAAAAUUAAUUAUAUAUAAAAAUCUUAAAUUAGGAUCAAUGGUAUUUUAGAAAUUUUUAUUAAGUUUAGUUGGUAGUAAUUUGACUAGAAUUAGGAGUAGAUUAUUUUGUAGAAAGUUUAAUUAGAAUGAAUUAAAUCUUUAUAUUAAAAAAUUACUUAAGAAUAAUUAGAUAAUGAGAUAAGAUAUACUAAGAUAAAUAAAAGAUACUUUAGGCAUUUUCUUUCUAUUCUUUAACAGUGACAUCAUUAAUCAACUAACAAUCAAUCCUUAAGGUUAGUCAAUGAUUGAUUGAUGGUCAAGUUAUAUAAUGGUUGAUCAAGGGAGUGUUGAUAUAAUUUCAGAAUCCUGAAGAAUUAAAGAUAAGUUGCUUCAAUGAUUGAUUGUCGAUUGAAAUUUUACUCCUAAAAUAUGCUUGUGGCUUUAGCUUGUCAAAGAAUAUGCUGGGAAUCAGUUAUGCUUGGGUUACGAGUUCCAUAAGCUUACGGCUUUAGAUUUUCAAGAUUGUCUUUCUUUGGAUGAGACCGUUAUAGAGAAGAGGGCCUUGCCAAUCCGCUUUCAUUCAAACUGUUUGUCCUUUUUCUCAAUGAAACUCUAAAACUGUGAGAAACUAGCCGCCAAAGCACUUAUUCCAAUCUUAUUACAAUGCCAUCAAUGCAUAUUAUUCCCUUAAUUUCCAUUGCUGACAUAUGGAAGAAGCUGGAAUUAACUUUCAUUUGCUCAUACUGGCACAGGGUCAAUGAGCAAGGAUGCAAUAUUAUCUUUCAUCACUUUCCCAACAUGAGUGUAUUCAUCAUUUUCCUUGUAAAUGAUGUCUACCACUCAUGUAAGAUUGAGAACUCCGGUAAGGAUUGGGACUGGCAUGGAAGUAGGUCUGAGGAACCCUUGGUUAAUAUCCUUCCAUGCAUUUGCAAUUUGCUUGUUAAACUCGUCAUAAGCCUGUUGCUUUGAGACACUAUAUUGCUUCACGUAGCAUUCAAUUGCUGAGGCAACAUGCCCCCUCUCUUGUUCAAACUGCAUACACAUAUAGUAACGCAAAAGAUGAGGAAAAAAACUACUAUACAAAUUGUCACGAAUGAACUUAUAUGUAAUAUAUUCUACAUGCAUACCUUAUGUGAAGUCAUGUCAUUCAUGAGCCUAGCAAUUAAACAUGAAGCUAUUGUAAAAGGGUCAUUGUAAACCCAUUCAAAGGCCUCUUUUGUUAUGAUCUCGUCCAUGCCAAUGAAAAAGAUGACUGUGGUAAGGGGUAACGAUGAGCUUACUCUUGCAACUUGCAUGUAUUUGUCUAUGGUAGGUACAUUUCCUUCAUGGAACCAUUGUGCUUCAUCAAAGUAAGCGCCAAUCUGAAUUUUCAUCUGACAAAACAUUCCUCCACAUUACAUACUUCUACUUAUGCUUUAAUUUUUAGUAUAAACUUCUCGGAAGGUAAACUUAAUAUGAUUCCUAAACAUAACUUGAACCCAACACAUUUAUUUUUCUUGGAUUUGGGUUGAGUGCAAGUGAGUUUAGGUUAAGUUCAUAUCAAUCUGUAUAACCAUUUAAUAAAUAAAUUAUUUUUUUAUCAACUUGAAUGAUACUAAUUUGAUUUAAAUUGACCUAAUCUAAUAAUCAUAUUGAUUAACUUGAUUAUAAUUCUAGCUUAUUUAAUCAAUAUUCGAUUCAUAUAAAGCUUGAUUUUGGAUAUACUUUAAUUAAAAUUCAGUCACAAGCAUGUUAGGUUGGGAGAUCAAUAAUAUAAACCAUAUAAAAUCUAAUUCAAUUUUAUUAUUAAAUAACAUGUAAUUAUUAAAUAGGUUAUAUUUUACAUGUUUAAUAAUUAGGUGAUAUUUGAGUUGACCUAUUUAUUCGAUCUAUGAUAUGACACAAAUAGGAUCCAGACGAUUUGCCAACCCUAGGUUUCUAUGCCACUAUAAACCAACAUCAAAUCAAAUAGUAGGGCAGCUACAAUUAGAAAUCUCGUACCGCUUCUUUUGCAUGGUGGAAGCUGUAUGCUUUUCCUUCUUUAUCCAUCUCUUCUUCAAUUUCUUUGUAGACAUCUAAGAGUGCCUGAUAUAUUACUUUCAUGUGUUCUGGAAGUUGAUCGAUGCUAUUGAUAUCCCACCUGAGAAUCAAACAACACCAAGGUGGUGUUUGUUUUUUUGGCUUUUUGCUGAAAAUCAUUUAGUUUUAGAAUUUAGGUUGUUUGUUUUUUUACUUUUUCAUGACUUAUUAUAAACUUUUUACUAAAUAGAAAAAGCCAAAAUAUGUGGCUUUUUCUAAAUAGAAAAAAUAACACAAUGGUUUUUUUUUACUUUUUAAUACUUAAUAGAAAUAAAAUACUACAAAAACAAACAACCUAAUAUUUAAUACUAUUAAGUAUUAAGAUUCUAUUUAGAAUUAAGUAAAAAAACAAACACCAUCCAAGUCUUGAUUAAGUUUAAACACGAGUAUUUCAAAAUUGUGGACAAAAUCAAGGUGAAUUAUUUGCAUAUUAGAAAACCUUUCAAUCAUUUCUGCAAAAAGCUUAUGUUCUUCAAGCGAACCAUAUGCAUCAUACAUAUCAUCUAUAGUGGAUAUUAUGUAAAGUACUUUGGUCAGAAUUCUUCUAGCUCGUGAGUAUUGGGGCUCAAAAUACAUUGCAAGUACAAAGAAGUAGACCUCCACGACUCUAUCUCGUGCAAAUGAUAUCUUCACGGUAAAGCCUAGUUCUGUAUGCCACCUAAAAUAAAUUAAUAUGGUUAGCAGUAAGGGAACUGAUCAUAAAAUCACUAAGUAUAUGCGUGGGUGAUUUAAAAAUUGACCUAGAAAGAUUGCUCAGCUCUUCCUUGUGCAGUGACUGCAUCAGGUUGAAGUCUAACUUUGCCAGCUUCAGCAAAGCUUUAUCAUGCGAAGCUUCGUGUUUGUGGUAGAUAUAUACCACCUCGCCUCUAGUCUGUUCAAACCUUUCCUAACGGGCUGCUUCAGGGCAUGAGUAACCUGUUCUGCAAGAGGAUAUAUUCUAAAUGUUCUACUGCCGACUCGAGGUGAGUGGUGGUGAAGACAAGGGCUUCAUCAAGUAUUCCUUCUUCACGCACCCGGAUAUGUGUGGCUUCAUACAACCCUAGCAUGCCUCUCACAUCAUUGAUCAAAGAUUCCUGGAAGCCACCUUUUUGAUCCUUGAACUUAUUGAAUACAUCUACAUUUAUUCACAAAAAUAUGAUAUAAAAGCAUUCCGGAAUAAGAUUGUGAUGAUAUUAUGAAGAUUUCAUUUUAUCUAAUAGAUGAUAGUUCAUGCCUUACCACAUGACAGAUUGAAUCCUUGUUGUCUUAGGAGUCGAAAUUGAAGAGAAACAUUGUAUAAAUCAUCAUCUUUAUGCUCAACAUCAUAAUAGUUAUCAUACAUAUGUUUUAAUGCUUCUUCUAUCUCUCUUUCAAAGUGGUAUGCCACCCCAAGCCGUUGAAUUGCAUCUAUGUAGUUCAGCUGUUGUGAGGGAUUACCAGCGGCAGUUAUUAGCCUUCUUCUCACUUUCUCUUUCAGAUCUUCAACCUGCUUCUCUUUAUGGGCACGGGCUAUCUGUACCGGCAAAUUGCAUAGACAAACUAUUGCUGAGAUAGAUGGUUAAUAUACAUAUAUAGAUAGAUAGAUAGAUAGAUAUUAGAUAUCGUGAAUUACUUCAUCAGCUGGAGUGUAGCUAAUGAACCUCUCACCCCAUAUGCUAGGUGAAAAAUCUGCAGUUGGACGAUUAACCACUGGUUUAGCAUUUUGGGCAGGAGAACAUGCUGAUACUCUAAGGGGCAUGUUGGUUGGAACAAGAACUGGGGCACAGGUAAUGACCUGGUUACCCCAAGUUCUAAGGUGAAAGUUUGACAUUGGAGGGUGAAAGUUCAGUUUAGGAUUUUGGGCUGGAGAACAUUUUGAGAAGCUUAUAGACAUGUUUGUUGGAUUAACCAGUGUAUUUUUGUAUUCAUAAAUACACCGUCACUUUAACAAAGUACACGUCAGUCAUAACCUCAUAUUUUUGUAUUCAUAAAUACACCGUCACUUUAACAAAGUACACGUCAGUCAUAACCUCCAUUGGCAGCCAAAUGCCCAUGUAGUGCAUAUUGUAUUUAGUUUUUUCAAUCAUUCAACUCAAAUUAUGUUUGAAAGCAAAAAGGAUAAGCUGUUACUGUAGGAUAUAUAAUUUUAUUCAAUAGAUAAAAUAACAUUCAAAUGACCUUAAAUUUUUAUCAUAAUAUUAUUGAUAUGUUUAUAUUCCUCGCUUAUAAUCUCUUGGUAGUUGCAGAGAAAUCGAUCUUUUUGUAGAUGGUUAGAGUUUGUAGUAUUAAUUUACUUUUUAGGAGAAUUUUGGGCUUAUUUAGAGUUUUUGAAAUCUGUUUUGAAAAACUGUUUUUAAGACCAAUUUUUUUAUGUUUUUAGAAAAACAUAAUUGUGUUUAGAAUUGAAUUCUGAAAAAUAGCUUUUAUUCUAAAAAAAAACAUAUUUAAUUGAGUUAAUAAAAAAAAAAUAUAACAAAUAAGACAAAAAAAUAUAUCUGGAAGUUGUUGUUGUUUUUAAUUGAGAUUUUUUUUAACUAACUUGAUAUUGUAAUCAUAUACAUAAUUUUUAGAUUUACAUUUUAAUUAAAUUAAAAAACUAUUAUAUUAUGAAAUUUAUUUGCAUGAGUUAUAAUUUUUUCAACAAAGGAUUACUUUACCAGUAUAUUAUACAGAAUGGAAGUCUACAAAUUUGUCCACCAUUACUUCUUCACCUCAUCCUUGGACUACUAGUUCUUCAUUGCUUGUAGUCAUUUCCUUUGCAUACUCCUUUAGUUUAUACUCACUUUAAAAGUAGCCAUUACAUGAAAACCACCAUGUCAAAGUACACACUACAUGAGAAGAAUGUUUCAUUGUAAUGUAAUUGAUGAAGGGUAAUAAAGGGACUCAGAAAUGAAUACAACACCUUCUCUCCUUGUCAGCCCACCUCUGAACAAUUGAGCCGAACCUAACUCAAUGGUGUAGUUAAUACUUAGAUCAGGCCUACUUCCCCUGGAAGUUGUAAAAAUAGUCUAGGAAGAAUUUGUAGUGAACCACUCCAAUGCUAUGAGCACCUGCAAAUCAAAACAAUGGAACAGACAAAAACCAUUUUUUGUGACACUACAAGAACUAGAACAAGAGUAGAACCCGUAAAAUCAUAGUAAUCAAACACCAAAGGUCCCAAACCAGUGAUCCAUUUGCAAGAAAAGAGAAAUCAAAUUAAUGAAACACAAAUCACAAUCAUUUUAAAUAGAGCAGAGAUCAUUCAAAACCGAUGAAACUCUAGACGAUGUGUUAAUGAACCAGGAAAUAUUCUAAGAAAUCACACGAAGUGAUCUAUAUUAGCCUAGUGUUAAUAUAAAAGAUUCAUAAUUCCAAGAACAUAUGAUUCUCCAUUUUUGGAAACCACAACGCAAGAUAAGGGCUUCAAAGUAUCUAUCCUUUUUCAUAGUCUUAGUUUUUUAUCAACCAAAAUAGAGAAAAAAAAAAUACACAGCCUAUAAUCAAACCAAUUAAGUAAAAGACCACAAAUAUAUAUAUAUAUAUAUCAAAUUAAAGAUAUACUCCAAUCCAAAUCUCAAAACCAUAAAUUACUUUCAUGGAGAAGACAAAGAAAGGAAGAAAAAGACAAUACCUAAGAAACUGACAGUCUCCUUCUCAAUGAAUCCCCUUGAUGCAAAAGAUGCUAAGGUUAUUCUUAGCCUAACUGUUAGGCGAAAAGAAUCCAUAUGUUGCGACAUCUGCAAAAGCCUAACUGUUUUCUCUCCUGCCAAUAUCCAGAGGGUAGAAUAGGCCACCAGCCUAAAAUUCAAAGCUUCAUAACACCAUCAAAUAGCGUACAUACAAGAACAUGAACACAUAGAGAGACUUUUUACCCGAACAACACCUUCUCUGGCAGCUAAUAAAAGAAUAUCAGCACAUGAAACAAUUCCAGGGUAGGUUGCUUCCAGCUCUUCCUUGAUGGAGUCAAUUAUAUCAAAGCCUUUUAGAGUUUCAUUAGAAAGCGAAUCUUUCUUUGAAUGGAUUCCAUUAACCGCAUCCAACAGUACUGAUGCAUCACAUCCCUUGAUCAAUUUCAAUUAGCAAGUGGUGCAAACCAAUGACAAAUAAUCUUAAAAAUUUCCUCAUGAAUAUAGAAACAAUUUCAAGAAAUGAAAUGAAAUGAAAUGAAUUCACCUCAAAAUCUGAAAAAAAGAAAAAGAAAAAAAAAAAAAGACAAUCCAGACUAAAAUCAAUAAUGAAUAGGAAAAUUUUCUUCAAAACCAAGUUUGAAAUCAGAUUGAUUCUAGAAGAUCACUAGAAAAUUAAUGAAUCUUAGAUUAAAUAGUGAAAAAAAUAAUGACAAAUACAAGUGAACAUCAAGGAAAAUGAAUAAGAAAAAUCGCUUCAAGACCAAACUUGGAACCCAACUCAUGUCGAAUUCAGAAAAAAUACAAGAAACCCAUAUCAAAAUCAGUAAGAAAGAGGAAGAAAAACACCAAUGCAAAAUAUCAUAAACUUCUUCCCCCUUUUUGGUUUUUUUUCCAUUUCUGGUGCUUUGUUUUUGGACCCAAAACUACUAAGAACUUGCAAAUCACUGUCCUUAUGAAGAAAAGAAAAAAAAAAAAACCCUAAAUCUAGAUUUUCUCAACAACUAAGCAGAGUAACCAAGAAGAAGCAUGCAUGAAAACUAAAAGCCCUAUAGAAAUUUCAUGAUAAAUCAAAUGAGAGUGAAGAGAGGGUUGUGAAUUGCACUUGGGAUUUCUGCUGUAGGAUCUAAUUUCGCAAAGACUUCAUGAACAACUUGAAGUAGAUCAGGAUCAGUACCAGCUCCACGUUUAUAUUGAAACAUUGGAUUAAGAAAGAAUGCUACAAUAGUAAAGUAGAAAUGUAGAAUUAGAAUGUUAUGAAAAAAAUAUAUUAAAUAGAAAUAACUUUUGAAGAUGGAUAAUACUUAGUUACCUGCUGCAUAAAGAGGAUGUUUAAGAGUUCUAUCCCAACAAUCUGUGAUUAUUUCUAACACCCAUUCUCUAGCAUUAAGCCGAAUGAGGUUCUCUUUCAUAACUCAAAUCAAUUUGUACACAAAUGGCAUUGUAGGAACAACUUCUGAAUGGACAAUGCGAAGAAUCAUGUAUAGCGCCUCAUAGAUUGACACUAGUUUUCCCAUUCUCUCCCAAUACGCAUGGUCAAACAUAAGUUUUUUUAACUUUUUUGUUGAUUAAUGUGCGACUUAACUUGUGUUGUGCCCAUUCAUCACUGAUAAACACUUUAUUCAAGUUCGCCUUCUUUUUUAAAAGACUUUCAAGGGAAAUAUAAUUGGUUGCAAAUCUUGUUGUUCCAGGGCGAACCAUGUCUCCACCACACACCUUCCACAUCUGCGCAAGCAACCAACUAUGGUUAUAGAUGAAGUUGGUUAUCUUUCGAGCCUUUGUAAUCACAUGUGCAACACUCGACCUUUUACCGAUGUCUUCGAACAUUAAGUCAAUGCAAUGUGCUACACACAGAGUCCAAUAUAAAUUGUAUUUCUUCAUUAACAACUUCCUCGCCUUCACAAAUGUCGACCCAUUAUCCAUAACUAUUUGUACCACAUUUUGUUUGCCAACUUCCUUGAUCACAUCCUUUACCAAACCAUAUAUGUAUUUGUUGUCUUUUAUAUAAUUUGAUGCAUCAACAGAUUUGAGGAAGAUUGUGCUACCUUUUGAAUAUACCAUAAAAUUAAUUAUCCUUAAUUUCAUAGGCCUAGUCCAUCCGUCACACAUAAUCGUGCAUCCAUAAGUCUUUUAUUUUCUCUUUGAAUAUUAACAUAAGCUUCCAUGUCUUUGUACUCCAUAUCCAAGUACUUGUGUUUGAUUUCAUAAGGAGACGGUGGUUCUAUACCCAUACCUACCUUCCAUAUAUAAUUAAAGCAUAUAAGAACAUUUUUGGCAAUCGUACUUUAUAAAUAAUAAUGAUAUUGUUAAAAUGAAUACAAUUUUGAAAAUUAUAGUAAUUACCUACUUGUUGUGCAUCAACAAUCAUGUUCUUGAAGUGGUGAGAGUCUGCUUUAUUAGGCGCAACACUUUAAAAAAUGAAGAACUUACUGACAAACGUCUCAUGGUUUCCUUGAUGGCACCACCUUUGAAAAUAUUUUUCAUAUUUUUCUGUCUUGCUGCUAAAGAUUUGUACAAUGAGGGUGCACUAGGCGGUGAUGGAUCCGAAUAUCAAACACUUUGCAAUCUUCGCAUAUGCCUUAUUGGAUUAGUUAAAUGUGAAGACUCACCUAUUAAAAUUAUUAAAAUUAAACAUAUAUGUUAAUUUAAUAUUAUUGAUAAAGUUGAUAAGAAAUAGUAAUAAUUCAAAUUGAUAAGUUAGUCUUCCAUUUUGCAUAUACCUGUCUCACUUUUGUCUCUUACAAAAUGUUCUUUUUCUUGUUGAUUCCAUUCAAUAGCUUUUGAUGCUCGAACCGCCGCUCUAUAAGCAUGCUGCUCAUCAAGGUGCAUGUCAGCCGGAUACAUAAACACAUCAUCAUCAUCAAGGUUUUCCUCAUCCUCCUCAUCAAUUACAUGUCUAUGUAUUCCUCCCAUUGUGUCUCGCAAGUAAGCUUGGAUCUCUUCUAUAUCUAUAGUCUUUUUCGCUUUUGCCUUUUUUUUUUUUUCCUUUAGAAGUCAUCUUAUUUCUUGUUUCACUUUUAAAGGCACGUUAGGACAAUUUUUUGUAUUUGAAUGAGGUUUGUAUGCGAUAGGUGAAAUUUAAAACGAGUAAUCCUACCACUCUUUAUUGUCAACCUAUAAUAAUUGCAUGUUGUUCCAUUUUUGUUCCCUUCCAUAGGUGUACAAUAUUUCCAACAAGGAUCUCGACCCAUGAUACCGCUUCCACUUCCACUAGCUAUUUUCUAAACAUGUAUUUUAAAUUCUCAUACGAAACUAAUAUCAAAUUUAUAAUUAUUAAAGAUAAAACAUCUAAGAAAUUUAAUAUUAAUAUUAUUUAUGAAAUUGAUAAGAAACAUUAUUAAUAAAAAUUGAAAUUACAAUUGACUUAUGCAUAUAUGAAAUUGAUAAUUAAAAAGACAAACAUUAUCAUAUAUGUGAUGUGAUAUUGUAGACCCUCCAUUUUGUCCUACUAACAUAUGCCCUAUUGCCUGUUCGUUUAGUACUUUACAACAAUUCCCUCGUGGCCCAUUACUACUUGUGUAGCCUAUCUUUUCUAAGCCACUUUGGGGACUUUGGUUGAGGGAUUUAUCUAACCCCAUUGUGACUCUUGGCAGCCUUAAUUUAGACUUAGGCUCACUUAGGUACCUUAUGCCCACUUGGGCACCCUAGGCCCAUUUAGGCACACUCGGCCCAUUAGCCACCACCCUAGGCCCACUUAGGCACCUUAGGCCCACUUAGGUACACUUGGUCCAUUUAGGCACCCUAGGCCCAUUUAGGCACUUUAGGCCCAUUUAGGCACCCUAGGUCCAUUUAGGCACACUAGGUCCACUUGGCAAUUGCAUGGAUGCAUGGUUUGCAUGGCUUACAUGGUUGCAUAGCUCGUAUGGCUUGCAUGUACAUGAUUUUGUUUUUGUUUUUAUUUUUAUCUUUCUCUACACACCCUAGGCCCACUUAGGCCCACUAGGCCUACUUAGGCAACCUAGGCCCAUUUAGGAAUCCUCACAUUCUUCGUACCCUCCCAAUUCUCCACUUAUUUGGACUUUUUAAAAUUUUUUGGGACUUCAUAUGGGUUGGAUGUUGUUUAAAUAGAUUCAUUACACUUAGAAGGUGGUGAAAUGAUUUCCGGAAAAAUCCAAAUCCAAAAAUAUUAAAAAAUUAACAAGGGUACGAAGAAUGUGAGGAUGUUUAAAAUUUGUUGGGACUUCAUAUGGGUUGGAUGUUGUUGAAAUAGGUUCAUUACACUUAGGAGGUGGUCAAAUGAUAUCCGAAAAAAUCCAAAUCCAAAAGUACUAAAAAAUUAACAAGGGUACGAAGAAUGUAAGAAUCCUCACAUUCUUCGCCCCCUCCUAAUUCUCCACUUAUUUGGACUUUUUAAAAUUUGUUGGGACUUCAUAUGCGUUGGAUGUUUUUUAAAUAGGUUCAUUACACUUAGGAGGUGGUCAAAUGAUUUCCGAAAAAAUACAAAUCCAAAAAUACUAAAAAAAUUAACAAGGGUACGAAGAAUGUGAGGAAUCCUCACAUUCUUCGUACUCUCCCAAUUCUCCAUUUCGUUGGACUUUUUAAAAUUUGUUGGGACUUCAUAUGGGUUGGAUGUUGUUAAAAUAGGUUCAUUACACUUAGUAGGUGGUUAAAUGAUUUCCGGAAAAAUCCAAAUCCAAAAAUACUAAAAAAUUAACAAGGGUACGAAGAAUGUGAGGAAUCCUCACAUUCUUCGUAUCCUCCCAAUUCUCCAUUUCUUUAGACUUUUUAAAAUUUGUUGGGACUUCAUAUGGGUUGGAUGUUGUUUAAAUAGGUUCAUUACACUUAGUAGGUGGUUAAAUGAUUUCCGGAAAAAUCCAAAUCCAAAAAUACUAAAAAAUUAACAAGUACACACAUGUAGUUGAUUAUCGUCCCCUAUGUAUUGCCUUGUGGAAGAAGUAAUAUCUAAUAAAUCAUUAUAAUAAGGUGAGGGAACAAUACGUAAUAAAUCAUUGUAAUAUGGAAAGGGCGACACAUCAUAUGUAGCACCUAGUUUCUCUGGGUUCAUAGUGUUUUACUUUUGAAUAUUCCCUGAAUAUUUAAAUAAGAAUAUGUAUUACUUAAAUCACCUAAAUAUAUUAUUUAUUAUAUUAUAUUCUUUAAUACAUAUGUAUUAUUGUGAUUCAACUUGAGGAGUAUUGAUACUGAGUCUUAAAAUACAUAUGUAUGUAGAAUAUAUGUCUACAACAAAUCUGGAUCUCCUUGUUAAUGUGUAAUGGUGUUUUGGAGUACUACAAUACUCACCAAAUUAAUUAAAGAUUUCACUCUAUAGCAAAUUAUUAUUAUUAUUGUUGUUGUUAUUGUUGUUGCUAGCGUUAUUAUUAUUUAAUUCAUUAUUAUGAAAAUUAUUAUUAUUAUUACCAUUUAAUUAUUAUUAUUAUUAUUAGCUAUUAAUUUUAGUUUUUUCUUUUUCAUCUUUUCUUUUUUGUUGUUUGUUAUAUACUUCAUAAAAUUAUAAGUUAUGGUAUUUUAUUAGGUUGAAAUCGGAAGUUCAAGUUCAUUAAAGUAUGACAUAGUUAACUUAGGUUCACUAAUUUUGUAAAAAAUUUAAUGCAUUUAUAAGAUAAUUAAAUAAUACAACAAACUUAUCAUUUUACUAAUUAAGGUAUUUUAUUUUAUUUUAUUUUAUUUUUAACUUUUUUACAUGUAAGAAUACAAAAAUUAUGGUUCAAUGUGAAACUUUGGAAUUGCAUGCAUAUGAAAGUGAAAUUUGUUGGUGUCGUUCCCAACUAGAGUUAGGUUCAUCCAACUUCACUAGAGUCAGGUGGACUGCUUCCUUUCUCCAAGUCGUGAACUUAGCCGAUACUAAGUGAUUACUACUCAAAAAGUGCUAUUUGAUAGCCUUUAAUUAAUCCUUUUUAUCACUUUUGAGUAGUAGUUUAGGCCUUUUAACUCAAUUGGCAUGUUAAGGAUCCUUUAAAGCAAUUUUGAUCACUUUGUGCAAGUUUUGGUGUUUUUGUUAGUAUUGUGAUCACCAAAGCAAGUCAAGAAUGAGGAGAGCUAUGAGGAAUCUUGGGCAAAGCUUAGAAUUCAAUUGCCAAGAGUGAAUCCGGAUUGCAAGGAGAAAAAGCAAAGAGAAUCUGCCAUGGAGCAUAUUCUUGAUGACAGUCGUAGCAGCCACUUUUGGAGCACUUUCUGAAGUCUAAAUGAUGCAAGCUAUAUACCAUUUCAAAGCUCAGAAAGUCAACAAUCCAAUGCUUCAAACGGUGCGCGAUUUGGAGUUGAAACGAAGAAGUUGCAGCCAUUACAAGCCAGUCACUCUGAAGUGCUGCGGAAUCAACCUUUUGUUGCGAGAAUUUCGCAACACUUUUGUACAGUAAGGUGUUUCUUCUUCUGACGAUGCACGAACCAUGCCGCGAGAAGGGAGCUGGAAACUUCAAGAUGGAAGCCAACUUUGCAGCCUGGUGAAGAUAGCUUGGUCUUGCGAAAUAAUUUCGCAGCCCUCUUGGGUGUCUGCGAAAUUUCGCAGGCACCACUUUUCUCCUGCGAAAUGGCUCCUGAAGCCUCCCGAAGCUUGCUACCGACAUUGGGAGAUAUUUUCCAUUAGAUUUUUGUUGUCUAAAUCCCAAAAUACUCCUUGUAAACCACCAAUUACAUGAUUCCUUAGUUUUUAAGUUAGUAAAAAGACCAAAUAUCAGUGUAAGAAUUAGUUUUAUAUUGCUUUAAUAUAAAUACCUCUCGGGAGCCUGUUCUCAGAGAAGAGUUUUCUUCUGAAAACAUUUGGUAAGGAAGUAAAGGUCUUUUCUUUCUACUGCCUUACCUUCUCACUUUGUAUUUUCAUUUUAUUUCUAAGUUAUGAAUUCUCUGAGGAGUUUUCCCCAGAGAAUGAGUAACUAAACCUCCAAUUCCUUGGAGCUAAGGUUGCCGGGGAAGGUUCCAAGUGCAAGAAUGCAAAGCUCUGUGGUUUUAGCUAGUAAUGAAGAGGAAGUGAAAUCCUUUAGUGAUUUCAAUGUUUUUAGUUAACUUAAAACACCUUGGAGUCACCUGGGCCAACACUUGGUAAGGCAAGUGAUUUCCAACCAUGGAAAUGCACUAGUUUACCCCUUGCGAGCCUCUGGUAGGUGACUUCAAGGUAGGAUUUUCCGGAAUUACCAACACUUGGUAAGCUUUUGGACUCCUAGGAGACAUCCAUUAGUUAUCUCUUGCGAGUUUGUGAAAGGGAAGUCCAAGGUUAAAGAUCACCUUGAAUGGUAAGUGCUCGUGAGAGGCAUGAACCAUUGCAAGUUGCAUCAGUGAGAGAAUUAAAGUGAAAUCUAAUUGAAGGAGUCUCUGUACAUCACCGGUUAGAGAAUUGACUAUAAGUUGAAUCUCUAAUGCGAGGAAAUGAACCAUCUGACCGGAGCUAUGUCUAUUGCAUGAGGAACCACCCCAGUGAACCUAAAUCUCCAAGGAAUGCUUUUCUUCCUAAAUUAUUCCAAACUUCUGUUAAGUUAGUUAGUUUAAAUCUCAACCCUUACCAAUCAAAGUUUGUGUUUUAUUCCUUAAGCUAACCGUGAAAUGAAACAAGACCAAUUCACUUGGAAUUGGUAUCCUUGAUUGCUUGCAAAUCAUUCCCAGCGAACGAUCCUUAGAGCCACUAUACUAUAGUAGCUUUGUAUUUGCUACCCUAGUGUAUGGUGUUAUAGGUAUAAAUUUUGUUGAUCACUUCCUCAAUCAAGGAGCACCAGCUGAACACAAAUCAGCUGAGACACCAAUUGGGCAUGAAUCACUAAGUUAUGUGAUAGCACCCAAUUUUUCCGUUCGUGCUUCUUGAGAGUCCGUCCAGUUGUACUGGAAUCAGACAGACUUCUUCCCUGCACAAAAGGAUGUCCAGACAGGUGAUUUGAGCACAUCCCUCCCAAACUUAAGUCAGUUAAGGAUAGCUCUAACUUAUUUUUGUGGCAAAAAAUGAGUGUAUGGGCAUGCCUACCUUGUUCGUGCUUUUUGAGGGGUUUAUAUAGAACUGAUGAUACUGUCCCUAUAGUGUUGACUAUACACUCUAGUCUUUCUUGUAAUGAUGAUUGCCCUUAGGGCGGUUGAUUGGUGCCAUCUAUUGAUGUGCCAAAAUCUCAAACCAUGCAACUAAUUGUCCAUUUAGCUUGCCAAUGUCUGGGAUUGUGUGUAACAAUUAAUUGACAUUGACUUUUGGGUAUAAAUGGAGUCCCGUCCGCUGCUUAGAUGUCAGGCGUCUAAUCCGCCGCUCAAAUGUCAUGUGUAUGGGCCAACGCUCAGACAUCAAGCAUAGUUGAUCAUGCAUGCCAGAAAUCCUAAGGACUUGAUUAGACUGAUUUUUUCGUCUGAGAGUCCAACGAGCCCAGCCUAUCGAUUCCCUCCGACCUUGUGGAAGAAGAGAAACCUCUCACUUCUUGUGUCAGACAUAACUUAUCUUGGUCCAAACGGAUUGAUCCCAGACGGGUUACAAGUUUGUCCUGGUCGACCAAGGGGUCUUAAGCUUGAAAAUGACACAUGAAGGGAAACCCCCCACAAUGCCCCUUUAAUCCGUUUACUUCUAUUCAAAUGAAGAGGAGAUGUUUUUGGAGCGUCCAGUUAGUCUCCUAUCUGAACAGGAAUUUCGGGAUCAUUUCCAUAUUCCAGACAAUAUCCCUAUCCUUCUAAUAGACGACGAGGCGUUAUCCUCCGUUGACCUGCCCAACAACAUGAUGUAUUUUUCUAAGGAACAAUUCAUUGCAGGGCUCCGUCUACCUAUCCCCUCUCUCUUCAAGCAGUUCCUUCAUUUUAUGUAAAUCCCUUCAGCUUUUCUUCAUCCGAACGUUGUCCGGGUAUUGAUGGGAUGUAGUGUUCUAGACAUGCUCUUUUAGUUGAAUCUCUCAUUGUUGGAAGUUUUGUUUGUUUAAAAUGUCAAAAUGAGCUGGAAGGAAAGGUUCAGCUUUUCUUCCCAUAUUCCUUACUUGCAGCCGGUGACUGGUUUUCCUGAUUCAUGCAAAGGCUAGGUAAAGGGGCAUGUCCUAGUCUCCGGUCCUUGGAGUGGUUCGUCUAAGGAACCAAAUGGAGUCUUUUCUCCACAACAUUCAUUGGAGAUUUCGAGUAGGAUACACUUCCAUCACUUUCUCUAUAUUUUGCAAUUAUUUCUUCCUCGUUGUCAAUUUAUUGUUGAUCUUUUUGUUUGUGUGAUAUAGGCAAGGAGAGGCGGGGACGCCUUGUAGAGUGGGUAGACAAGGCUUCUUUCACCUACUCAACAAGUUGUUCGAAAUAAACGCAUUCGAAUGGGCCCCUAAAGUUCUUCUGUAAGAUAAUAAGUUGCUAACGCUAAUCGAUAAUCCAAAGUCGUUCAUCAUCCCCGUAUUUCCUCAUCUGGCUCCCCCGUCUUUGGUACCUGGUGAACAUUUCGUGCUAAAGGAUUUUCCAUUCUAUGAGGUUGCUCGUCUGGCAGAUUAUAAGGCACGUUAGGCACAUUUAGAGGAGUGGGAGAAAAAACAUCAGGAAAGGACAUUGAGGCAAGCUCUGACUACUAGUCUUCUAUCUUCCAAUUUUGUUGUCCAUCCUCUCACUGAAAAGAGGAAGAAACCUACUACUUUGCCUAUCUGGAGGGUAAGGACUCCACCUCCUUCAUCUUUAUCUUCUCCAUCAGCUUCAUCAUCUUCGUCAUCUCCAUCUUCUUCAUCUUCCAAUGGCAAGCCAAAAGCAUGGGUUGUCCAGGUAGUGUCCCUUAUUAUUUGUGAUGAGGAAAAAGAAGAGGAUAUGGCUUCAAACUUAAGGGUCGGAUUUCGUGAGAGGCAACACAAGGGCUUGUCCAAAUCCAUUAUUGUCAACCCUACCCCCUCUAAGAAAGCUUGUUCAAAACCUACUUCAGCUUCUGCGCUCGUGUCGGUUCCUCUGACUACUGCUAUAGUCUUCACCCCUAAGCUAGAUGAGAAACUUCCUUCUGUUGAUGAACAUGCUUAUCAUAAGACGAGGAGACCCUUCAUCAGCCCGAACAACUUCAACAAGGAAUCGUUCGAAUACAUGACUUUUUUUUCUCUUUGUUCGAAGUCAACCUAUGUCCCCAAUCGGGAGGAGGUAUUCAAGCUUUUGAAGUGAAUCCCUGUCUUCACCGAAAGAGAGUCCUUGGUACAAAACAUGGGGUACUCUUUCCAGCUACUCAACAAAUCCCAAUCGAGAUAGACAACGAUCCCAGUCGAUCUUUCAUGACCUGGCUUCUGUACGACACUCCGAACAUUGCCAUUUCUCGCAUUAUUCCCAUGCAAGACUAUAAGGCUUUUGAAACGACAAAUAUGGUAAGUCACCUACCCUUUUCUUCUCAUUUUUCCUUAGCCUCUUGUUUCACAACGAUUUCUUUAUUGCAUCUUCAGGUGAUAGUCGAAGUCUGAAACCUCAUGCGGUAGCACGCUCCUCUUUUCUAUCGAUUGGAAACAAUCGAGACCAUGAGGCCAUACUUUGCCCAUAAUAUGGAUGGGAAUGAGAAUCUUCUUGCCAGCUUGGAGACGACAAAGAGUGAAGCCAUUGUUGCCCAAAAGCUUGUUAAAGAAGAAAUCGGUCUGUUGAGGAAAACCGAGGAAGAGAAUGAGACAGUUCAAACUGAAGCUCGCCAGCUGGUUGAAAAGAAGGAAACCAUGGUGGUUGACAAAAAAAAAAAAAGGCUGAAGAAGAGGCUGCCUAGUUGAGGCAGGAGCUACAAGAUCUCCGAGCAGGGUUUGCCUCUCAAAAAGAAGACUUGGAGGUUCACUACCAAAAGCAAGUGGAUGACAUGUUCUUGUACGACUAUCGUUGUUGUAUGAAGAAACAUGGCUUCAUCCAUGAUGCUCCCAGUUUUCCUUUGGAUGACGAGGAUGAGUUUUUAGGCGACCUUGCCGAGGGAGGAGGAGAUGUUUUCAAAGGCGGUCCUUAUGGCGAGUAGGCUUGAUCUCUUUGUUUGUAUUUAUUUAUUAUGGAUGGACGUGGCCUAGACUACUACAUCUAUAAAGACAAUGAAUGCUUUAUUUUUUCAAAUAUAUUUACUUUAUCCGUUUGUCUCUCAUACAUUGUUUUCAUAAGCAAACUUUAUUGAAAGUAAUGCUUUAAAUUGGAUACAUUCCAAGAGCAGAGCAGGGGUACGUUGUCUAGUGUUUGAAGAUGGUAUACCCUUAAGUCUCUAGCCUUAGUUACAACAUAUGGCCCUUUCCAGUUAGCUUGAAGCUUUUCGGCUCCUAUUUCAGCUGUGUUCUCAAAUAUUCUUCUGAGGACUAAAGUUCCUAGCCAAAAAAACUAUGGUCGUGUUUUUUUGUUGUAAUGAGUGAUCGUCUUUUGAUGGUAAGAAACCAUUCAGAUAGUUUUGUCUCCUAGCAUUUCAUCUGCCCAAUCCAGUUGUCUUAUGAGUUUUUCAUCAUUGUUCCUCUUAUCUUAUACAACUGUUUUAGCGGUAGGCAUGUCAAUUUCAGUUGGAAUAAUGACCUUCAUCCCAUAAGCAAGGGCAAAAGGAGUAGCUCCUGUUGGCCAUCUGGAUGUCGUUCUAUAAGCCCAUAAGACUCCGAGCAGUUCAUCCACCCAUUUUCCUUUAGCUCCUUCCAGAAUUUUUUUAAUGCAUUCAGUAGGGUUUUGUUUGUCGCCUCAGCUUGCCCAUUACUCUACGGAUAGCAAAGUGUUGAAUACAGAUUCUUGAUGUUUAACUUCGAACAGAAAGUUCGGAAGACGGUACUGUAUGAUUGCUCACAAAACUCCAAAUCGACAUACGAUGUUUUUCUAGACGAACUUGAAGACAUCCUUAUCUUUGAUGCUAGCAUAGGCUUCUGUUCCACCCACUUGCUGAAAUAGUCAGUUGCAACGAGUAAAAACUUCUUUUACGCUAUUGCAACAAGCAAGGGAUAGAUUAUGUCGAUCCCCCACUGCGCAAACAACCAAGGGCUUGUAACCAGGAUGAGAGCUUCAUAAUGUACACGGGGAAUGGGAGCGUGUCUUUGACACCAGUCACAUCUCUUAACAUAGUUUUCAGCGUUUUGUUUCAUGGUGGGCCAAUAGUACCCUUGCAUGUAAGCACGAUGUGCCAAGGUUCGUUCGCCUGUAUGAUUUCUAUAUACGCUUUCAUAGAGUUCGGCUAGGACAUACUUGGCUUCUGGCUUGCUCAAACACCUUAGGUAUGGUUCUCUAAAUGAUCAUCUAUAAAGCAGGUCAUUGAUCAAAGUGAAGCGGGAUGUUUGCACGCAGAGUCUGUGCACUUGCUUCUAGUCUUCUAGUAAUUCCCUCGUCUAGAGGUAUUUUACGAUGUCAUGCAUCCAGCCAAGGUUUGCUUCAUUGGUACUGCACACUAGUUCAGGUGUGAUUAAUGGUGUGGCUUGGAGGUAGAUAGACAACAUCAUUGCCUCUUUUAUAAGGAGAGUGGCAACUAUUCUGGCCAAUGCAUCCGCCUUCAUGUUCUCCUUUCGGGGUACCAGUCUAACAAUCCACUCAUCUAGAUUUUUCAAGCGAUCUUCCACCAUGGUGAGGUAGCGAGCCAUGCGUUCGUCCAUUACUUCAUACUCUCGUUGAAUUUGCCCGACAAUUAGUUAAAAGUCGCUUCUGAUUUUCAACUUUGUUGCAGCCAGUGUUAGGGCAAGAUCUAGCCCAACUAGGACAAAUUCAUAUUCUACUUUCGUACAAUCUCUCACAAAAUUCGUACACUCUCUCACAAAGUUCGUAUCCUCUCUCACAAAGUACGUAUCCUCUCUCACAAAGUUCGUACUAUCUCUCACAAAGCCCAUACCAUCUCUCACAAAGUUCGUACCAUCUAUCACAAAGUUCGUACCCCUUCUAACAAAGUUUGUACCCCCUCUCACAGAAUUUGUACUCUCUCACAAAGGUCAUACCCUCUCUCACAAUGUUUGUACCCCCUCUCACAUUGUUCAUAUCAUCUAUCACAAUUUUCGUACCCCCUCUCAUAUUGUUCGUACCCUUUCUCACAUUGUUUUCCUUCUUCAAGAUAUAUAAAACUUCAUCUUCAAAUUUAAUCUACAAAUAAACAAAAUAAUAAUAUAAAAAUAUUGAUGACAAUUUCAUAAAAAAUGACUAAAUUGUCUCAAUUUGAUUAAUAAUAACUCAUAAAAAAUUCAAAAAUCUAAAUGUUAUAAAGCAUUACAUAUUUAAAUGUCAUUUAACAUGACAUUUAUACCUACAACAAUUAUAUUUAAAUGAAAAAAAAAAAAUAUCAAAUGUUACCUUUUAACACUUGUAAUCACUUGACAUCCUUCAUAUAAUGUCUUCUUCAAGACAUAUAAAACUUCAUCUUCAAAUUUAAUCUAUGAACUUACAAAAAAAAAUGAUAUAAAAAUAUUAAUAACAAUUUGAUAACAAAAUUUAAUAAUAGACUCAUAAAAAAUUCUAAAAUUUAAAUUUUAUAAAUCAUUACAUAUUCGUUAUUUAACAUCACAUUUUUACCUACGAAAUUUAUAUUUAAAUAAAAAAUAUCAAAUAUUACCUUUGACACUUGUAAUCACUUGAAAUCUUUCAUCUUUUUCGUAUAAUAGAAAUUUUAAAUUUUCUCCCUCAAAAAGUUUCAAACUUGAUCUUCAAAUUUGAUUUAUCAAAACACAUCUCACAUAUUUUAUAAUAUGGUAGUUGAAACUAUUUAAUUUUCAUAUUAAAUUAGUAUCCCUUUUUGUAUAUAUGAAUAAUGAGAGUAUAAGGGUAGUUGGUAGAAUUUUCUUUUUUUGAUAGAGUUAAGUAGCAUUAAAUAACAAAUUAUAUUUGAUAUUUAAUAAUAAAUUAUAAAAAAAUUAUAAUAUUUAGAUAUGUAUGAAUUGCAUGUGAUUAUUUCUCACAAACAAGUAAGUUUUUAAUUUUUUUUUUUAAGUGGGUAGGUACCUAAAAUAAAGAGUGGGUACCAAAGAACGAUAUAUAUUUUGUCUAUAUUCUGUAAGUGGCUGAAUGAUAAGAUGCCUGUUGGUGAAAGAGAUGCCUGUACGUCGUCUUAAAAGAUGUUUAUAUCAAACAAUAUAUAUUUGUCUAUAUUCUGUAAGGGGCUGAAUGAUAAGAUGCCUGUUGGUCAAAGAGAUGCCUGUACGUUUGUCUCAAAGAUGCUUGUUUAUAUCUAAGAAACAAAAGAUUCACAAAAAAAAAAAAAAAAUGAUGCUUAGAUUAUAAUAUUGAUCCUUGUUCUAUUUGGUUUAAGAGAAUAGUUUGACAUACAUGCAUAAGGUAAUUAUACAAUUGUAUCAAACAAAUUCCUGGUCAAGUGUCACGUUCAAACAAGAAGAUUAAUUAAUAAAAAAGGUCAUUUCUAGGAGUAAAAAAAUUAUGAAAAAUAUAUCAGUUUUAACCACUAAUAUUAAUUAUUAGCAAAAGUCACUUUGAACCAUAAAAAUAAAAAGAAUAAAAAAAAUUGAUAACAAAAUAUCACGUUGAACCACAAAUAUUAACUCACAGCAAAAGGUCACCCUACGCCAUACCUACUAACAGAAACAUGUUCUGUAGUUAACAUGUACACCAAACCAUCACUUUAACAAAGUAACGUCGGUCAUAACCUCCAUCUUACAUAUUUUAUAAUAUGAUAAUUGAAAUUAUUUAAUUUUCGUAUUAAAUUAAUAUAUUUUUUUUAUAUAUGAAUAAUGAGAGUAUAAGGGUAGUUGAUGAUAAGAUUUUCUUUUUUUAGAUAGAAUUAGGUAGCAUUAAAUAAUAAAUUAUAUUUUUGAAUUAAAUCUACCGCAUUCAUUGAACUGACUUAGUCCCAUUUUCCCAAUCAACUUAGCACGUUGUUUGAAUUAAAUACCUACGGAUUGAUAUUGUUUGAAACUCAAGCAGACCAAUAUUUUAUAGUCUAUUCUGAGCACGACUGUUUCACACCGUGGGCCCCAAAACUAAACCAAAUCCCACGUACCAUUCAACUUAAUACAACCGCUGCACGCUACUGACCAAUUCUUUCUAAUUUUAGUAAAUAGUACAUAAAAAAAGGACAAGAGACUCUAAAAAAAGGAAAAAAGAAUAGAAAAAAAGGUCCAAUUCAUACCUUAGCCGCCCCUAACGGUUUGGGCUUUUGCGUGAAUUUAGGCAAGGGGUUUCUCUUUCAUGUCAUCAAUCUCUUUCAUACAUUAUAUUCAACAACAUACAGCUUCAGGAGGCCAUUGCUCCCCUAUAAAUGCAAUGGAGCUUCCCAAGCUUUUGCACUCAUACUUUGCAAGUCAGUUUUCAAAGAAGUGUUCUACUACCAUUCCAAAAAAUUAACAUGUCGGGUCAAGUCUUAGCAAGCCCUCUAGGCCAAUUUCCUGAUCUGGAAAAUCGUCCAGUGGUCAAGUAUCACCCUAACAUUUGGGGUGACCAGUUCUUAUCCCACACUCCCGAAGACGAGGUAAUUGAAUGAAAAUCUGUGUUAAAUACCUGUAUAUUCGAAGGUUGUUUUUCUUGAUGUGUUGUUUAGUAAAAUUACUUGGUUGCCAUAGGUAACACGUGCCUGCAAAGAGAAGCAGCUUGAAGAUCUGAAAGAGGAAAUUCGAAGGAAGCUAAUGAAUACAGCUGGUAACACUUCCCAACAACUAAAAUUUAUCGAUGCUGUGCAACGUCUUGGGCUGGCAUACCACUUUGAAAGAGAGAUAGAAGAAGUGUUACAACAUAUUUAUGAUAGCUAUCCUAAUGGUGAUGAUAUGGAAGGUGAUAUCUAUAAUGUUGCUCUUCAAUUUCGGUUACUAAGACAAGCUGGGUUCAAUAUUUCAUGUGGUAAGAGCCCAAAGAAUUGUCAUGUAUAAGCUAAAAUGUAUCCUUCUCAUAAUUCCAAUCUUAUGUAUGUUUAAAUUACGGUAUUGUGUAGGCUUGUUCAAUGAGUUCAAGGAUGAAAAGGGUAACUUCAAGAAAGCUUUGAUCAGUGAUGUAAGAGGCAUGCUAGGCUUGUAUGAGGCUGCACAUCUCAGAGUUCGUGGAGAAGACAUACUGGAUGAAGCACUUGCUUUCACCACCACCCAUCUUAGGUCCAUGGUAGAACAUUUAGAAUAUCCUUUUGCAGAACAAGUUGUUCAUGCCUUGAAGCAGCCCAUUAGAAGAGGUUUAGAGAGGCUAGAGGCAAGGUGGUAUAUAUCUAUCUACCAGGAUGAAACUUCGCAUGACAGAACUCUACUAAAGCUGGCCAAGUUAGAUUUCAAUCUAGUGCAGUCCCUACACAAGGAGGAGCUAAGCAAUAUUUCUAGGUUUGCUUUCAAAUCACUAGCAGAUAUACGUAGUUACCUUCUCAUUUUAACCUGAGCUAAUUGUUUCAAUGAAUUUUAGGUGGUGGAAAAAAUUAGACUUUGCUACAAAGCUACCUUUUGCGCGAGAUAGAUUGGUGGAAUGCUACUUCUGGAUACUUGGGUUUUACUUUGAGCCUCAAUAUGUCUGGGCUAGACGAAUUCUAACCAAAACAAUUGCCUUGACAUCCACUAUGGAUGAUAUAUAUGACGCAUAUGGCACAUUUGAAGAACUCAAGCUCUUCACCGCGGCCAUUGAGAGGUUUGAUACAUGCAAAUUACCAACCUUCAUCAUUUAUACCGUAUGUGAUACUUAAAUCAGGCCUGGUUUUAUUUUCAGGUGGGAUAUUAACAGCAUAGAUCACCUUCCAGAAUACAUGAAACACUUUUAUGUGGCACUCUUAGAUGUGUACAAAGAAAUUGAGGAAGAGAUGGAGAAAGAAGGAAACCAAUAUCGGGUUCAAUAUGCCAUAGAAGCAGUAGGACAUUCUGCAUUGACUUUGUUUUGUAUACUAACAUAUCGUUGGGAUAUAGAUGUGACUUGAUUGAAUGUUUGACAGAUGAAAAACCAAGCUAGAGCUUAUUUUCAUGAGGCUAAAUGGCUCCAUGAAGGACGCAUACCAACAGUGGAAGAGUAUAUGAGUGUAGCACAGGUAAGCUCAGGUGACUCCAUGCUUACAAUCACGUCUUUCAUUGGUAUGGGAAAAAUCGUAACAAAGGAGGCCUUUGAUUGGGUGAUCACUAACCCCAAGAUUGUCACUGCAUCAUCUGUAAUUUCUAGGCUUAUGGAUGACAUCACUUCACAUAAGGUAUUGUGAAUAUAGUAUUUCUUGUUAAGCUAUAAUUUGACCUUAACCUUAAAGCUCAAUCAAACAUAUUUACUGCACUGUUCUUCUAAACCAUAUAUGCAGUUUGAGCAAAAGAGAGGACAUGUUGCCUCAGGCGUUGAAUGUUACAUGAAGCAAUACGGUGCCUCUGAGGAAGAGGUAUACGAUAAGUUUCAGAAGCAAGUUGAGGAUGCAUGCAAGGAUAUUAAUGAGGAGUUCCUACGACCUACGGCUGUUCCGAUGCCUCUCCUUAUGCGUGUGCUUAAUCUUUCUCGAGUGAUGUAUGUGAUCUACACGGGGGGAGAUGGGUACACUCAUGUUGGAAAAGUGAUGAAGAAUAAUGUUGCAUCACUGCUCAUUCACCCUAUCGCAUGACCAAAUGGAUCAAGUUGAUGAGCAUCUACAUAUUUUGCCAUACCUAAGGAGUAAGAUGAAUAAAAAUGAUUGUAAUAAUAUGGGAUAUUGUUACAAUGUUUGAUACUAGUUUCUCUCUCGGUUUGGUCGCAUCCAUUUUAAUAUAUGUUUAAAACACAUGGAUCAAGUUUGAUACUUUUCUGUCAUUUAAAGUUCACGUGAGGGAGAAAAUUCUCCAUAGAAAAUCACUUGGCGGAGAAAAUUCAAACAACACGUGUAUUCACUAUGGAAGUUACCAGGAAAAAGAUGUUUUGGUCAGACCGCUUAUAUGACCUUAUUAGCAGAAGAGGGUUCAGAGCAAACAAAGACAUAAAACACUAAAAAAUUCAUCCUAACGGGUAAAAUAUGAUUAUUAUUAUUAUUAUUAUUAUUAUUAUUAUUAUAAUAUUAGACAUGAUAAAAGUUUUAUUAUAUAAGUUAUGAUAUUACAUAAGAUUGGAAUUCAAAGUUCAAGCACAUUAAACUAUGCAGAGUUUAAAUUUUUGCCAAAAAAAAAAAAAAAAAUUGGAGAAUCAAUUCAAUCAACUCAUCAUUUUCCAAGCAAGGAUUACAAUAUUGAAAAUUAUAGAAGGAUCGAUGAUUAUAUUUUAAAAAAAAAUCUUGGAAUGAAACAAUAAUACAUGUAUAGAAGUUUUUUAAAUAAUAUAUAUAUAAUAACAUUUGUGAUAUUGAAUAAUAAUCCAUAGAGCUUGAAAAUGCAUUUAAUUAUAAAAUAUAUAUGAUUCCAUGUAAUUUGAUAAUAAGUAUUUAUAAUUUCAUUUACAACAUUAUUUCUUCCUCAUUAUUUAAUUGAUAUAGACAAGGUAUAAAAAAAAAGACUUACAAAAAGAAUUAUCAUAAGGUUUUAUUUUUUUAACAAUAAGUUAAAAUAAAUUUGAAAAAAAAAGAUAAUUAAAAUUAAUACAUUUUUAAACAUUUUAUUUAAUAUUUUAUCUUGUGCAUAAAUAUGUCAUAAGAAUAGGAUAAAUAUAGUACAUGUGAUUGUAAACAAUAAGGCCAAGUAGCCUAGGUGGCGAAGUAGCCACCUCCCUUCCUAAUGUAGUUGAAAUUACCAUAAAUUGCCAAAAUUAGUGAUUAAUUGAAAAAAUAACAAAAGAACAUGAUUAAUCAAGAUAGAUUAUCAAAAUUUCAACAAAAAUUCAUUGAGUGAAAUUCUCCCAUAAUUUCCUAUAUUGGUGAUAUUUUAAUUAAGAUUAUGUUCUAAUGGUGAUAAAAACAAAUUAAGACAGCCUUCAAAUCAAAUGUACUUUGCAAUGAAACAAAUUAUGCUUAGUAGACAUAUGUAUGUUUUUGAAAAGGAUGGAUGUUAAUUUCAGAUUUUGCUUUGAAAUUAAGCCAUCUGACACAGUUGUCUUUUAAAGACGACUUUAGUGAAUGCAACUUCAAAUGACCAAUAAUGCACGGUAGCAGUAAGCGAAGACUCAUUAUUUUGACUUCAAGGCAUUAAUUCAUAUUUUAACCAUUACACAACAGAAUAUAUAUAAUAUUUAUAAGUAACAACUUUCUUCUUAAGCAAAGCAGACAAGAAAGACUACAAAAUCUAUACCAAACAGAAUAUCUACUAGGAAUUUAAUUGAUUGGCUCGAACCCAAACUACCUAUGGACAAAUUUGGAUAAUUAUUUCUAACACAAUGAAUUUUUCACAUGUUCCUACUCAAUGAGGAUACUCAUUUAUUAUGAAAAAUGAUUAUUUGAAAACCCUUUUUAGGUUUUUUAGAGUGAUCAUUUAUUUUAUUUAUUUUUAAAAAAGGAAAACAAAAUGAGAAAAAAAAAAAAAAAGACAAGUUCAUAAACCAAGAUUGAGUUAGAAGUCAAAUUACCUAUUGGGAAAAUACAAAGAUAAGUCAUACAAAACAACCAUCUAAGCUUAUAUACCUAUAGUCUUUACUAAGCAAAUGAAAUAAAUUAUGACAAUUAAAUAAUUGAUUAUGGAUGCUCAAGAAAAGAAAAACACAAAUAUAAAACAAGUCAUGGUGUUUAUCAUGUCAGAAAAAUAUUAUUAAAAAAAAACAAAUGAUAAGAGAAUUUGUAUAAAUUGAUUUAUGAAACUAAUUAAAAACAUGGGUUUAAUUAUUUCUAAAUUCAAAGGAUUAAAAAAAUUAUUCCAAUUUGAUGGUUUCAAUCUAUUUUAAGUAUAAACUAAAUUUUUGAUUUCGUUUUUUUUUUUAGAAAAAAAUGCUUCACUUUAUUCAAUUUAUAAAAAAAUGUUUUUUAUUUACUUUUUCUGCAUAAAAAUAUAAAAAAAAUGGUUUUUAUUUACUUUUUCUUCAAAAAAACAAAUGUAGUUGUCCUAUCUGGUUUUUGUCAUAGUUGGCACCCGAUCCAAUUGGUCAUGACAGUUUAGUAUCGUUUUCAACGUAAGGUGCACCUGCACGAUCAGUCAUGUUGUUGUCCUAUUUGGUUUUCGUCACAGAUGGCACUUGAUCUUAUUGGUCACAACAACUCAGUAUCAUUUUUGGUAUAGACCCUACCUAUACGAUCGAUCACGUGAAGGGAAAAACCCAGAUCUCUCUAUUUCCCAAGUUCGGAUAGGUUAGGAACAUGCAUAACUAUCCUAGGCUUUUUCUAAAUCAUAUACACAAUAAAUAAAUAAAACAUUUUAUACUUUCAAAGGAAUCCAAAAGUGAUAAUGAAAACCAUACCUCAUACAUAAAUGUUCUUGAAUCAAAUCCGCAUAGGGAAAAUAAAGAAGGAAAUCAUAGAAGUCUUGUAAACCCGAAGUCUUCUGCCCAAUGAUUGGAACCUUGAUCUUGGCAGACUUCCGAUGGGGAUGGAAGGGAGGGUGGAAGCUAUGACUCUUUCUCUCUCUCUCUCUGGAGGUGGAAAAUGACUCUCUAGAAAAACUAUGGGAACCCUAACCCCUAAGGGGGUAUUUAUAGGGUUUCCUAUUAGGAUUAGGUGACUUGAGCCCACUAAGGGCUUAGGUUACUUAAUGUAACCUAAAACGAGGACCUAAUUGAUUAAUUAAACCAAUAGGGCCUACUAAUUAAUCAAUUAGCCCAAUCUAGAUACCUUAUUCACUUACCUUGCAUAAUUACCAAAACAUCUUUAUGAAUAAUAGUGAACCUAGAGCAAAUCCAAUCCUCAUAACCAAUUCUAACAAGGUAUAUGAGCACAAAACGAGGACGAUUGGGACCCAUAGGAAUAUUGGCUUCCUUAUAAUCCAAUUCUAAAGUUGAUUCAACAUUCCACUAUAGAGAAUCAAUUGAACUCUAGUAUCCUAUGUAAAUAACAACGAGACACCAAGUGCUUAGGUUUGUGACAUGUUAUCCAUUGUGUUUAAUCUCCCCAUGAACUAGUGUCCUUAGUUAACAAGGUGAAAACUAUCAGCCUUUCAAGACUACCUCUACCAUAUUUGAGUUAUAGAUCCUCCUAUUGUGUGUUCAAUUGACAUAUUUUAACUCUCAAAGAGCCUAUGUCAAGUUCCACUUAAGGAACUACUAUGGCCAUAGUUACCAUGAACACAUCUCCUUAGGAUCACCCAAGGGGACACACUAUCUUAAUCCUAAGAGAUAUCAUGUUGCCUCUAUAUACCUAUUGAGAAUACCUAUUGCUAUUGGCUUUCAUCAACAAUGACCCAAUCCAUAGGGAAUAUAUGAUCAACUUACAAUCUCACCCGUAGGUCAAAGCCACUACUAACUUCAGCAUAAGCUUAUUACUCUCUCAAGGUUGAGAGAUAAACACAAUGAAACAUCUUAGUGGAGUCAUGACUACUUGAUAGCCUUAAGUCAUAACUCACCAUAGGUCCUGUCUAAUGUGCAACCUACACACUAGUGCACUCACCAUGGGAAACUCAUCCCAAUAGCCAAGACCAGUUAUCCCUCCAAUUAGGAGGUGGUUCACUAUAGUCUCUAAUGGAUUGCCUAGGCCCAUGAACCGAUUGUGAACAAGUCAUCAAUUUGUAAGGAACCCAUGACUUAGAUCGUAUGUGCAACUCCUAAUGCACCUAAGUCACGUACAAUGCAAAAUACGUAGGUAAGAAUGCUCAUAAAGUAUAAUACAUGUAAUAAGGAUAGGUAAGAGUGAAACUAAAACAUCAUUAAAUAACUAAUAAAUUCCAAACUUAUUACAUCAUGUCAUGCUUUUAAGGGCUCUAUCCUAACAUCACGUCGUUGUGCUACUUGGUUUUCAUCACAAAUGGCACCCAGUCUGAUUGGUCUGAUUGGUCAUGAUAAUUUUCCUGGCCAAAAAGUGAUACAUAUACUAAACAUUCCUUUUUUAUUUUUAUGCAGAAGUGAAUACUUUUAUAAUUUUUGUUACAACAUGAUUUUUACAAUUUUAUUUUAAAAGAAAGUAUCCAAAUCUCAUCUUAUGUGCAAGAGAAUCUUUUUACAAAUUUAUUUUUAAAAAAAUAUUUAGAAAUUACUUUAAAAAAGAUUUGUACAAAUUUAUUAAUAAAAAAUAAAUAUUCAGAUCCAAUUUUAUUCACAAAAAAAAAAUGAAUUUUCUUUUUUAGUUUUUAUUGAAAAUAAGACUUUUACAAUUUUAUUUAAUUAGUAUGAAAAUCCAAUUCCAUUUUAUUAAUACUAGAACUGAAUUUGAACCAAUAAUAAUUAUUUAAAUGAGCAAGUCUAUUUUAUAAAGAGACAAUAAAGUUUGGAAGGAAGUACACCCGUGUUGGACGUUGGUUUGGAGUGGGGGACCAUCACCAUUGAAUAACGACCUUCAGUGUUCUUCUAUAUAUAGAAAGGGAUGUGAGGUGAUGUUGUGGGUUUUGGAUGUUAAUAUGAAAAAAAGGGUCAAGUGUUUUGCAAAUGGCCCCACUUGGUAUUACUGAGUGUGGAUAUGUUGGAGUUGUUUUGGGGCUUAAAGUUUUAGUUUGACUUGUUUAAAUUUCCCUUUUUUUCACGUACAUUGUAUUGACUCUUCUCAUCGUUGUUGUCGCAUUCCUAGGUCCUUAUUUUAAUAAUUUAUUAUAUAUAUAUAUAUAUAUAUAUAUAUAUAUAUAUAUAUAUAUAUAUAUAUAUAUAUAUAUAUAUAUAUAUAUAUAUUUUAUAUGAAAUGCAAAAUAUUUGAGUGGUUGCUUAUAAUAAUUUAAAAAAGGUUGAGUAUAUAAUAUUUGGUCAAAUAUGUUUCUACUAUCAUUUAUUAAAAGUGGUAAAUAUUUGCUAUACCAUUUGUAAAGAAAUUAAGAUUUGUUCUACUAUCAAUUGUUAAAGUCGUAAAUAUUUGUUAUACCAUUUGUAAAGAAAUUAAGAUUUGGCAACUAUAUUUCUUCUAUCAUUUGUUAAGGUGAGUAAAUAUUUGACUAUAAUAUUUCUAAAGAAGUUAAGAUUUGGUUAUGUGGACCCCUACAUUUUGGAUCAAUGAGUUCCAUUCGAUGGCGAACUCGUUUUUUAUUUGAAAAUAAUUUUUAUUUAUUAAGAACAUGACUUGGAGUCGCCAUUUAUUUUUGUUUUAUUUUUAAAAAGGGUAAACAAAAUAAGAAAUAAAACCCUAAGUAUGACUUCUUAUUUUAGAAAAGAUGGUCCAUGAAAAACCGGAUCGGGAUUAAGGGUCAGAUUACUUAUCGGAAAGGUACAGAAAAGAUCACAGCACCCUCUAAGUCCCUAAAAUCGGAUUUAUAAAAUGAAACUGAUGUGACAAUCAAUAAGAAAAUCAAUUGAUACUCAAAUCAAUCAUGCACAUAUCGAAAUCAGAACGUGCAUAGAGAAUGACCAGAAUGGGAGUGGAUGCGUACUUGGGCUACAAUGCGCUAUCAAGAAAUAGGGUUAAUGCAUAAUAAAUAAAUAUAAAAUAUAAUACACAUGCAUCACUAAAUAGGGUAAAAAUAGUCAUUAGAUAGCACUCCACACUUCACUCAAAUUUAUUUUUAAAACUUGGAUGUUGGGCCUCCACCAAAACCCAAUUUAUCACAAAUUUCAUUAUUUCAAAAUUAUGAAAAAUUUGUUCUAACUUAUGCAAAAUAAAGAGAAACAUAAAGUUAUUUGAAAACCAUAAUAAAAUUAAGACUGAUCGAGAGAAAACUAGAUUUUUGAAAUUUAUUUGAAAAUUGGAGUUUCGAAAAUUAUUUGAAAAUUGGAGUCUUGGAAAUUAAAUUUAAGAAUUGGAAUUUUGAAAAAAAAUGUUUAAAAAUGGAAUUUUAAAAUAAAUAAAUAAAUAAAUAGAAUAAUAAUAAUAGCAAAAAAUAAUAAUGAUUAAAUAAAUGAAUGUCAAUAUUGAAAAUUUUUAAAUUGGAAAAAAAUUAUUUAAAGAUGAAAUUUUAAAAUAAAUAAAUAAAUAAAAUAAUAAUAAUAAUAAUAAUAAUAAUAAUAAUAAUAAUAAUAAUAAUAAUGAGAAUAAUGAUUAAGUAAAUAAACGUGAAUAUUGGAAUUUUUGAAAUUAGAAAUUAAAUUUGGAAUUUUGAAAAAUUGUUAUUGUUUAAAGAUGAAAUUUUAAAAUAAAUAAAUAAAUGGGAUGAUAAUAAUAAUAAUGAAAAUAAUAAUUAAAUAAAUGAACGUGAAUAGUGGAAUUUUUAAAAUCAUAAAUUAAAUUCGGGAGUUGGAAUUUUGAAGAAUAGUUAAAAGAUGGAAUUUUAAAAUAAAUAAAUAAAUAGGAUGAUAAUAAUAAUAAUAAAAAUAAUAAUUAAAUAAGUGAACGUGAAUAGUAGAAUUUUUUAAAUCAUAAAUUAAAUUUGGAAGCCGAAAAAAAAUAAAAAUAAUAAAUAAUAAAUGAAUAAAGACAUAGACACCACCUAUAAUCUAUUUCUAUUUCCAUAUGUUUGGUUUCUAAAAUUUUGAAGACUAGCGGGGUUUUACUGCAAAUUCGGGUCGAUUUGAUAAAAAGGGUUUUUACGGAUACUGCAACUGGGGUUUGGGGAUGCUGCUUGAGAUGGACAGGUAAGAGUGAGGUAGAUUUGAGUUUGCUGGUUUGGAUUGUCUGAACAUUUCCCUUUUUUAUUUUGGGGGUUUAAUCUUUGAGUUACUCUACUCUGGUGUUUGGCUGAGCCCAUUUGGGGAUGUGAUUUGAAGGCAGAGCAAAAUAAUUGGGUUUUUGGAAAAUAAACAAAUGAAUAAAAAGAAUAAUAAUAAAAACAAAAUGAUAAUUAAAUAAAUGAAUAUGAAUAUUGGGGUUUUUUUUUUUAAAUGAGAAACUAAAUUUGAAAACCGAAAUUUUAAAAAAUUGUUUAAAAGUGGAAUUUUGAAAUAAAUAGAAUAGUAAUAAUAACGAAAAUAAUAAUUAUUAAAUAAAUAAAUAUGAAUAUUGAGAAAUGGAAUUUAGGACCUAAAAAUUUUAAAGAUGAAAGAUUAGAGAGUUAAAUUAUUUGGAAACUAGAUUUUUGAAAAUCAAUUUUUAAGGAUUGUGGGCUUUGGAAAUGGGCCAAGAAAGGUGGCCAUGCAAACUGGAAUCAUGCACGUGGACCCAAUCAUAGUUGGGCUCAACCUCUUUCAAAGAGCCCAAAAUAUCAGGAAUGAAAUACUUGUGGUUUCUCAGUAAACAACAUCUCCAAUUGGAUUCCGGUUGAAGUAGCCAAACAAAACAUGUCUUGUGAUCACUACUAGGCCUUCGCUCCUAGCCUUCAAUGAUACCAUCAUGCGCACGUACUCCUCAAGCUUUUGGACUAGGAAAUAACAAUCUCCAUGACUUCAACCCCAAGCUGAACUUCACCAGUAUGACCAUGUUCAUGGAAAUAACAAACUCUACCUAAAUCAGUUUCUAUCCAAUUAAUACUAUAUCGAGAUAUUUUCAUUGUAUAACUAGGUCCAAUUUAAACAUGAAAUAAGAGGUGACUAGUUAAAGAUAUGAUACCAGUAAUAAAUAUAAUAAUUCCAUGCAUUAAUAAAAGGAACUGAGCAUUCAAGGCAAGUUGGUAAUUAAUUUAGCAAAAAUGUAGUGCUUUGAAACUACAUGUCCUUUUGCAAGGUGUCCUAAUAUCAUAAGAAUCAACCCUACUUUAGGCAGGUCAUGACUCUUAUUACUAAGAUAGAGACCCUAUUUAUUUGAUAAACUUGCCUUAAACUUUAAAAGUUAACCUAAGGCAUUGAUCAACAUACCUUUCUUGUUUAGCCCUUAACCCAUGCAAUUGGUACUACUUGAAGUGAUUCUACCUCUUCAUGUCCAAGUUAAGUGUGUAACAAAGAUCCUUGACAUAAAUGUUAACAAGUGAAGAGUUUCAUCUUUAGGAUUGGCCGCUCUCACCACAAACAUAUAUAGUCUCAUCCAUAAAGGAUAGUCCAUAUCCCUUAAUUCCUUGGGUCAUCCCCUCUUUAGGAUGGUGAUGUACCCAAAAUCAAGAUGGGCUCGAUCUUGGAAGCUAUGGGCUUGCCUAUAGCCCUCUUCCACUUAAUCUUUUGAAAUUAGAGCUUUUAAAACAUUAGUAAUUGCCUAUCCUCUUUAAAAUUUCAAUGAGAGUAUUUUAUCCACAAAUGAAUUUUGAUAAAAUGUCCAUUCUCAAAUUUUAAAAUCUAUUUUUCAUAAAAAAAAAAAAAAAAAAAUCUCCUUCUUUACACAAUUACAAUUAAUAAAUAUUUUGUCUAUGAAAUUGUGGACCCCGCAUUUCGGCUCAAUGCGUUUCCCACUCGAUGGCAAGCUCGAUUUUUAUUUUGAAAAAUAAUGAUUUAAUCGGCUAAAAAAAAAGCGGAUUUGGAGUCACCACUUAUUUUUGUUUUAUUUUUAAGGGUAAACAAAAUAAGAAAUAAAAACCCUAAGUGUGACUCCUUGUUUUGGAAAAGGUCGGUCUACGAAAAAACAGAUCGGGUUCGGGGGUCAGGUUACUUAUCAGGAAGGUACGGUAUGAACCGUAGCACCCCUCUAAGCCCCUAAAAUGAGUCUCUACUAAUAAAAUGAAGUAGUCAUGGCAAUUAAUUAGGAAAUCAAUGAAUACUCGGAACUAUCAUGCACAUAUGAGAAUCAGAGUAUGUAUAGUGAAUAAUCAGAAUGAGUGAAUGCGUACCUGGGCAACAAACAACAACGCGCUAUCAUAGAAUGAGGUUAGUGAAUAAACACAAAAUGGUGAUAUGCAUAUCAUGGAACAUAGCAAAUCAAUCAAUCAAUCAAUUAGUCAUGAAUUCACAUAUGUAGGGCCCCCACCAAAGCCCAUUUUAUCUUACCUGAAUCAAUUCCGAUAACUCCAUCGUUCGGAAUUACGGAAUUUGAUUCCUUGCUUAUUUCAAAACAUUUUAAAAACAGAGGAGGUAUGUAAAUUACUUGCCAGAAAUAAAAGCGGCGGCAAAGUGUUAUUGAAAAUGUGAUUUUGGAACCUAAAGAAACUCUAAGGAUGAAGUAUGAGACAAUUGGGAUUAUUUGAGUACCAGGAUUUAAAAGAAUUUACAAAAUGGGAUUCCGGAUGAGAUAUCCGGGGAAAGCGGAACGUCGGCAGGCAGAAUUCCGGGUGCGAGAUGUCCGGGUGGAAUGUUGGGGGGGAGGAAUUCCGGAUGCGAUGCGUCCGGAUGGAAUGGCGGCGGGAGGAAUCUCCGGAUGCGGGGGGCGUCCGGGUGGAAUGGCGGAGGGAGGAAUUCCAGAUGUUGGGGCGUCUAGGUGGAAUGUUAGCGGAGGAGCGGGAGGCAUUCCGGGUGCGAUGUGUCCGGAUGGAAUGGCGGCGGGGGAAUUCUGGAUGCGAUAUGCGUCCGGGUGGAGUGUUAGCGGAGGAGAAAUUCCGGAUGCGAUGGGCGUCCGGGUGGAAUGGCGGCGGGAGGAAUUCCGGAUGCGAUGCGUCCGGAUGGAAUUAACAUGGUUGUGAGUAGCAUGAAGAAUGGGUAUGGACUGUAUGGACAUGGGGGCUUGGGUGAGUGGUUUUAAUGGGUAUGCAAAGGAGUGAAGGAUGGCAUGCACCCGUGAGACUCCAUGUAAGCGGGGGAGUGGGAUGGAGAAUGAAUGAGAGGCGGAUAGGUGUGGUGGAGGAUGCUUGACUCCUGCAAGCUCGAGUGAGGAAAAUGGAUAUGACGACCUAGAGAGAGAGAUAGAUAGAUGAACGAUGGGUAUGUAGGCAUAUUGGAUAAAACGAUGAAUAACAAAUGAAAAUGGGUAUGGAGAGGCUGAUGAGGUGAGCUUUGCCGCCAUGACAACUACCCCAGGUUUUUUAGGAUCUCUUUCGAGCGGGGAUGAGAAAUUGGACGCGUACCAUAACGGACAUCAAGAAACAGGGGAAGUAGAGAAACAGAACGUAAAAGAAGAUGAAUAAAUAAAGGAAAAUAUCAGAAAAUCCACUUCAUGAAUCAUGCAUAAAUCUUCUGAGCAGGUGGGUAAACCAUAUCGGAUGCAGCCACCCUCAUGACUCUCAAGCAUUUCAUAACCACAACAGGAACAUAUCAAAUUAAAAUGGACAAUGGCAAACACGUUUGCAAGGUCAUACUUCAACAAGCAGACUGGUGGCCUUCAUUAUCCACCCUAAACAACAUUAUGUUAUGGAAAAUCAGUGAAUAAUGAGAGACGAGGAGAAAACUGUGUACGUACCUGGUUCCUCAAGCAAAAAGAAAUCAAGUCUCAGCUCUCUCAAUGGAUUUUCUCUCUGCCGUCAAGAACUCUCCCCUGGCCAUGGAAGACCUUGCCGAGCAAAUCUCCUUUCUCUCGAAAAUCCCUCAUCUAGCCAACUCUUCCCUCACAAAACUUUCUUCCUUCUUUCCUUUCUUUUCUCUGCCUUUCUUUCUGGAUUUACCUUCUCGACCAUCUCUGCCGCAGCCACCUUUUCUCUGCCCUUAUCCCCCUUCUGCGGCCACCUUUUCUCUGCUCCACUCCUUCUACAGCCACAUUUUUCUAAUUCACUCAUUCUAUAGCCACCUUUUUGUCCCACUCCUUUUGCAGCUUCAAAAAGCGAAGUUGAUUCCUUAUGGCCACUAAGGAUGUGACACGUGGCCCGUUGGGAUAGUGACACCUGGGUAAAAAUGUGAUCUGCAAAAACAAAUAGAGAAGAAGUGACCCAUACCUAAAUGGGGGUCUACAAAUAUGCCCCUCUUCGGUAGAACUCACGAGUGCAAGGAAUAUGAACACUGAAGUGAAAGGGAAGUGUGAAUAGUGAGUGGAAUGAAGUGAACUCUACCGAAGAACCAAGGAGACCCCCAUAGGGACACUAGCAAACACUACAAGGAAAAUGUAAAAAGAUGACGUUUUUUAAGCAUCAAGAUAGAUAUAAGAUGACGCUUUCCAAAAGCGUCAUCUCUUAGACUGACAUCUUAUGAAUUUCCAAUUGUUGAUGCUUUUCAAAAGCGCCAUCUUCUUUGGCGGUUAACCAUGACGCUCAUAGAAAGCGUCAUUAUUCUAAACCUUGGCACUCUAUAAGUGUCAUUGUAAGUCUGCAAUUUCAUUCAUCUCAAUAUUGACACUCAAUAAAGCAUCAUUGUAUAGGUAGGAGCAACAUCGACACUCAUGAUAAGUGUCAUCUUAUAGCAUUUUUCAACCUUGACGCUCAAAAAAAGCAUCAUGUUCUUAAAUCUUCAACCUUGAUGCUUAUGAUAAGUGUCAUCUUAUAGCAAUUUUCAACCUUGACGCUCAAGAAAAGCAUCAUGUUCUUAAAUCCUCAACCUUGAUGCUUAUGAAAAGCGUCAUUGUAUAUUUUAAAGUGACGUUGACACUCAUAAUAAGUGUCAUCUUCUGCCUUUAUUAUCCUAUGAGAACAAAGCAUGACGCUUUAAAAAAGUGUCAUCUUAUCUCAUUCGAAAUUUUAAUAACCCAUAAAAGUCCUAAUUAUGCCCUGUUUUAUAAUUUUUCACAAACAAUGAAUGAGUAAUAAAAAGUUAAUUUAAGAAAGUCCUAGGAGAAAAAGUACUAAUUGUGGUGUUUCUCUUUCACUAUUAAAAUUUACUAAUAAACAGACAUAAUUAAAUAUGAAUUUUCUUAGCAUUAAAUUUAGUUGAAAUUGUUCAAAAAACUAAAAAAUUUACAACUUCUUUUUCAACUUUGAGUUGUUCAUAGUCUUUUGCUGCAUCUAGUUCUACAUCAUCUUUCUUCAAAAUGUAUAAGGAUGGUUACAAGUCACAUUCUAGAUGCUCAACCUGCAAAAAUAAUUGAGAGGUUACAUAUAACUAAUAUUGACAAAUAGUAAAAUAAAAAAACAACUCUAUAAAUGAAAUGUGUAUAUACCAAUUUUUUAAAUUUCCAAGAUAUAUUUCUUCUACUGCAAUAAAUUUUAACAUGUUGGAAGAACUAAACAAACCCCAAUAAUUUUGUUACACCAAAUUUCUAAAUAUUCCUUGAACUCUUGUUAUGUGUUUAAGAAAGCAAUCAAUAAACCACUUUCUAGUGUUUUCCCAAAUGCAAUAUUUGAUUUUGUCUAACUUGGGUUGAAUGCAAUAAUUAAAUUUGUCCAACUCAUAUUAUCAUUCAUAUUGUAAUCAUGAGUGAAUGAUGACUUGCAUCCAUGGUUAUCAAAAUAUGUUAUAAGUAUAUCUAACUUGGGUUGAAUGUAAUAAUUAAUUUUUUUCAACUCAUGUUAUCAUUCAUGUUGUAACCAUGAAUGGAUGAUGACUUCCACCUAUGGUUAUCAAAAUACGCUAUCAACAUAUUGGGUCUUGUCUUAAAUUUAAAGCAUGUAUACACUUAAUCAUUUUCUUAGACUAACUUAUUAUGGAUAGAAUUAAACCAAUUAAAUAACUAGGUUAGGUGGUUUCCCUUCAUCAAUGAAGAUUGUAUAUCCAUGUGGUUGCCUUCCUCCCUAAUUAGGCAUUACUAUGAAUUACAAUUAGCUAAAUGACCCAUUGUUCAUCAACUAUCUCCAUUAUAUGAUGGUCUUUUAGCCCUUCCACCCAAUUGGCCUUUACAAGUCAUCAAUUAUAUGUAUAAACAAAUGUCUCUAACUCUUAAAAAACUCAAAAAAAGAAAAGUCUUGAUCUUAGUGACUAUUUUGGUAUGAUUUAUAUCUUAUACAUGAAACUUCAACCAUUAACAUCUUUUCAUCCUUCUUAUAGGUCCUACAAGACACUGGAUGUUUUGCAAAGAAAGCAAGUAAGGAAUUAAAAGGAAAAAACUAUAAGUUUGAAAAAUUCUGAAAUUAUAAGUUAAAAUAUCUAUGUUCUUCCUACUGUUAAUAUCUAUUAUAGAUGAAAUUUACAAUUCAUUGGUUUUAUCUAUUUAACCAAUUAAUGUAGUUGGUAUGAAGUAUAAUGUCAAGAGAAGAGCUAGCUUGCAUGGGUACAUUAACAUCUAAUCAUGUGAGGAUAUCUAUUAUCCUAAGUAAACAUCCUAAAUAUGAAACUUACAUGAAAUGAUUUUGUAAACAUGGAAUUUAUUCAUAAAACUAACAAUAACCUAAGCAUCUUACCUCAACAUUCUUUUAUGAAAAUUUUCAACUAUUGCAGGGAGUCCUUCAUGUCAUUGAACAUGUUUAGGUCUGAAUAAGCAAGAGUAGUAGUGACGUACUUAAGAGAAUGACCUAUGUCUUUCAGUACAACCUGAAGAAUAUACAAUAAACAAUUUAGCAACAAAAUUAGAUUCUUAAAAGUUUUAACACAUUAAAUUCAAUAAGCUCAUUAAUUUCAAAGAAGGUUGGUAGCCAAAGGUAGUAGAAUAAUUGAGAUAAAGAAACUAGGAAUAAAGAAAAAUUAAUUUUAGGUAAAACAUUAUAAUUAAAUUGAUAUUUUAACUUGACAUGUUAUGAAUCCAUGAAAAAUAAUACAUUGGCAAUACUUAAUUGAUUAAAAGAGUAAAAUAACACCAAAUAUAGCAAAAAACUACAUGAUAUGGACAAAUGGUUUAUUUUUGUAACAGUCAUUAGCAAACUAAAAUUAAAAGGGCCUUGGUGGAGGAAAAAACUAUUAUAUCAAAAUGACUAGUUUCUUUCCUUAGAAUUGCAUUUAGAUUGAGGAGCUAUUAUUCAAGUUGAUACCCUAUUUUAGACAACGAGGCUUUGGAGGCCUAUUUAGAGAGAAUGAGAUGUUUUUUUUUUUUUUUUCCUUAGGCUUAUUUGUAAGAAGUCUUAAUCUAAUUUCCUAUUUUUUUAAUGUCAAAGAAAAUAUAAGUAUAAGAUAUUUUAAACUUUAAGCCCAUUAGUUUAGGAGGAGGCCUCUACAAAUUUAAAUUGAAAAAAGUUAUACAGCAAGUGAUCUUAAGGAUCUAAAAUGUUUUUUUUUUUAGGAUAGACAUAUUCUUAAUGCAUGCACAUGUAAUGAGACUAAAGACUUUCCUAAAAAUAGUUUGAAAAUGCAUGAAUUUUCGUACCAUUACAACACUAGGAUUUCAACAAAUCCAACUAAUAAGGAUGUAUACAGGAAAUACACAAAGGGUGUGACACCUACCAUGUCUACUAGGCUUCACCUCUCAAUUUGCCAAUUACACAUCCAUCAAAAUAGAGCAACCAUUGGAUGAUCCAUAUUGAAAACACUGCCAACUAGGAGUACCAAGAUAUAUAUUAACAAAUCAUGACUAAGAAUAAAUUAUAAAAUUAACAUUAACAAAAUAUUCACUAGAUCUUUAGAAUAAUAUGAAGUUAUAUUAGACUAUAGGUCAUACAAGGUACCUUCAAACAUGAGUAAUGAUUAAUUGAGUCAUUAACAUAACCCAAUCUGAGCGAACUUCAUUAAUUUCCAUUUCACUAUAUGUUUUUCUCCCAUUAAACUGAAAUGGAAUAACAUACAUCUUCACUAAGUUGAAAUGGAAAAUCAAGUGCUAUAGAAAAAUGACCAACCAUAUGAAUUGCAUUGCAUACAAACCUUUGAUGUUAGUUGGUUUGGAUUAGCAAUGAUUUCUUUCAUGUAUCUCAUCACGUAAUACCCACAUUCCACACUACCUGGUUGUCUUGGACACUAUGGCAAAAGUAUCAACAAUUACAACAAACAUAGCAUGAUGUUCUUACUUCUUUAGUAUCUAACUGAUCAUCAUAUUAAUCAUCGCCCAUUUCCUAAUUUUGUGUAGUGAAUUAAGUGGUCAAACAAUAUAUUUUAAUCUAAAGGAAUAAGUACUUACAACCACUUUCACCCAAGUCGGCUCUCUCUUUGAUGUUUUCUGUUUUUCUGGUGGGUUGAUUCUAAUUGCCCUAUAAAAAAGAAAUGAUGUUCUAUAGAUAAUAUGCAUUGUACUAAAAUAUGAGAAGUACACACUUACAUGUUAACUAUCUCCCUAAGAUCAUCACAUGGUUGACAAGCCAUUGGAUCAAGGUAAUAUGCAAUCAUUCUCUUCAUCUCCAGUGACACUAAGACCCAGUGGAAACUAAAGAAAAAAGAAAAAAAAUUGUAAUAUAAUAUCCACAAAUUAAUACAUCACAAACUAACUUAUAUACAAUAUAUCGAGAUUUGGGAUAAAAGGUUACUCUGGAUUGUAUGGAAUAAGCAUAUAUUCAGCAUGUUUUGCAUUCCUUAGUCGAUCCGCAAUGACCCUUGACCUGUUUUCUUUACUUCCCUCUCCCAUUCCAGCUUUUGAAACCAAUGCUGGAUUGACAAAAACAUAUUGUUCAACCUGCUUUCCAUCAAUCAACUUUCUAUGCAGGUGCCUAAUUAAAUCCCACAUAAUAAGUUAUCAACAAUCAUUAUAGGUCAUUAGCAAAUAACCUUUUACCUAAAAAAAGUGUGAAGAGUAAUUAAAAAAAUUAUAAAAUCCCUCACCAGAUGUAGUAUAAGAUACAAUUGGAUGACACUUCUUUUGAUGAUAUAAUCAUGUCCAUAUCUUCUUUCAUUAGGAAGGUCUUGAAACUCUCACCAAAAACAUCAUCUGGGAAGUCAACAGGAUGUACUCUUGAGGUACUCAGCAUGAGGCCAACCAAUGCCUCAAAAUUCUUGAUAUCUUGUGCUUUCUCACCCUUAGAUUUGACUUCAACUUCAUUUUCUUUUUGUUUCUUUCCUUUCUUGGAUGUCUAUACAAUUAAGAACCAUGAUACAAAUCAAAUCAACUAGUUGAAUAUACAAAAAAAAUGAAAAAUAAAAUAAAAUUUAAGGUUAUCAUAAAGCUUGGUAAAUAAAUUUACUCACCGAGAUAAGAGUAUGAAUGAUGACUAAAUGAGCUGGCCACAAAACUUGGUAACCAAUUGCAGCCCUAACAGUAGUAGUUUGUCCAGGAAUAGGAAUGGGAAGGGGUGCACUUGAAUCAUAAGAAGCAUCAACAACUACUAGAUAGUUGGGACCACAUUCAAGUAUAAUUGUGCCACCGGCCACUAUAUUUUCCUUGGUCUCCACAGCCAACUCACAUUUUCUAACCUACAAAAUGAAGUUAUAUUAUUAGAUAUGAGCCAAUAUUCUAUAUUUCAUUCUUUCAAGUCUACAUCUUCAAAAUAACAUUGGUUAAUAUUGAAAGCCAUCUAUAAGGUACAAGCAAAAAUGUGAGAUAUGAAGUAAUUUUAGAUCACAUUGGAAAGAUUAAAUGAAGGCAUGCAAAUUAUUAUGUGUUUAUAUAAAGAAUAGCUAUUCUUAAAAUAAAAGAGGUUAGUAAUGCAUAAUCAAUCAAAAUAAUUAUUGAACAUUAAAAAGUUUCAUAAUAUAUGAAAUAAAAAUCUCAUAUGAUCUAAUUAUGUAGACAACAAAAUUAUAUUAUCUAUUUUGUAAAUGCCCAAAAUGCUAAAAAAAAAUUUGACAACUUUUUGAUUUUCUUAUAUUGCACCACAUAAAAGAAAACCAUAUAUGUUCCACCAACAAUUAAAUUAAAUUCAAACAAAAAAAUUUACCUAAAUUAUAUCUCCUAUUACAACAAAAAUUAUCAUCAAAUUAACUAGAUAAAUACCUUGUUCUUUGGUUCUAUUGGCACUAGUGGACUUGCAUCUUCACCUCUACGGAUUGGCUUCUCCACUACUUCUAGUAGGAGAAGCUGUUUUUGUUUCAUGUUCGAACUGCUAACAUCAGAUUGGGGAGUGACUACUCCCACUUGAGACAGUUUUGCUAGCACUUCUGCUUGAAAGUUUCUUUGCUCUUCUUUAGAUGCUGCUAUAAAAUCCCUAACAGCACGAUCUACAGCACUAUUAAAAUAUUGACGAGGUAUGUGGUGCUUCCCUUUGGCUCUAACUCGACCACUAUACUCAGGAGUACCCAAUGCUUCUACAAGUAUAUCAUUACUCCCAUUGACACUCCUACCAUUCUCUUGAGACUCUUUCAACAACUUAUCCUUAAAAAAAAUGUUAAUUAUGAAGUUCAAUUAUAAAUUUGUUAUCAUAAAUUAGCUAUUAUAAAUAAAUGAAAUUAAGGUUGAAAAUAUCCACUUACUAUUUUUUCAAUCACUGGUAUGGCCACUUCAUCAAAGGUGCCAUCUUUUUUUUCUCUUGCUUUCUUCCAUAAUAUGCUUCGAUCAAUACUUUCAGUUGACCCACUUGCAACCAUCUUUUAAAAGGAGACAAUGUAUAAUGUAAUAAGCAUAUAACACUAUUAUGUAUUAUGUAUAAAAUAAAUAAAUAAACUAUAAAUUAGUAUAAACUUACCAUCUCUUCCUCAAGACCAGCAUUUCCUUUCCUACUUAGAUGGUGAUUAUAAAUGUGUUUCUUUCUUCUUUCUUUUUGAACUUCUCGAUAUUCCUAUAAAUUAAAAAUGCAUAAUUAAUGAAUGUGAAUACAAGAUAUGUAAAGAGUUGUAAUUAUACCUUAAAUCUAUCAGACAAUCGAUCUUUAACAAACAUUUUCCAAUCUUCAUCCUCAAUAAAAAUAUAUUGAAUUGGCGGUUUUUUGAGGAGCUCCGGUUGGUCUUUGAAAGGAAGAAUGUACUUCACUGUUAGCAUGUUCUUAAAUGAUCGAAAACAUUUUCCAAUGGUUAGCAUACAAUUCCUCCUACUUUUGGGAUUCAAUGAAAAAGCACCCUACACAUUAAUAGUAUACAUGUUAGUAACUUAAUAUGGUUAGGAAUGAUUGAUGUUUUGCAUAAAGAUGAUGUAGGUAAGAAUGUGUUACCUCAAUGCUAUCCCAUAACUUAUCCUUCAACUGUUUAGGUACAACAUGCCACGUUUGAUAUCUUAUUGGCACCAUAGUGUGUGCUAAUACGCCUAAAUAGCUUGUUAGAUGAACUGCUGAUUCUCCUAUGAAAAUGCCAUCAAGAUUGUACUUAACCUGCAACUUGAUCCCUUUGCUUCUGUUCUUGGUAAUCAUGGACUUUCGUGUCAUUCCUCUGUACUUCCUUUUUGUGGUUUUUUCUCCUUUCUCUGGAUCCAUUCUGGUAACAAAAAACAAAAAAACAAAACAAAACAAAACUAAUAAAGAUUAGUUAACAUUAUAUUAGAUAUAACCGUGUUAGAGAAGAGUUGUAAAAAGAAAAUUUUAGACAAAACAAUCCCUCAUCAUUGCAUAAUGAAAUGCCACCAAUGAAAUGGCCUUAUCUAUUCUCAGUUUCUUAUUCACUUGUGCCAUAAAAGUGAGACAACGAUAGUCUUUAAUUAAGUUCAUUUAGUUGUGUGCUUCAAUUAUUUGGACCUUUUGUUGUUUCAAAUACUUUUUUUUAGUGAAUUGUAUGUAUUUAGAUCAUACAUUUCAUGGACCUUUUUUUUGGAAUGGUUCAUCACAUAACGAAGUUGACAUUUCAGUUUAGCUAUUUUUUCUCCCUCUUUCUUGCUCAUUUGAUUUAUUUUAAUUUAAAUUUGUUUUAUUUUAUGAACUUUUAUAUUCUAGUAUGUGUUUCUCUUAUUAUUUUUUUCUAAUCCAUUGUCAUUUUCUUUUGAAUUUUCCUAUGAGAGCCUUUUAGAAUUGCAUAUUUAACUUACUGAAUUGUUAACUAGUUCAUAUCAAAACUAAAAUUUACAUAUAAGAAUUUUACAAGAAUCAUACUUGAUAUUUGCUUUAGUAUAUCAAAUUUUAAUAACAAGAAAUGUCAAAUGUAGAAGCAAAAUAAUAAUAAGAAUAAUAAUAAUAAAUAAUAGUAAUAAUAAUGUCAAAAUGGCAUCAACUUAGGCAAUCAACUUGAUGUUCUUUGGAAACAAAAAGAAUUAAAAUUACCUGUUUUGUGGGAUCUGCAACCCACUCGGCAUCCUUUAUUUCUACAUCAUUAUUAUAAGUUUACAAUUCAGCUACAUAGAGGAUUUGUUCUCAAUCCAAAUCCCCUCACAAUCACCUCUUAUACAUAUUGCAUCUGAGUCAUCCAUUGCAUCAAACGCUUCAACUUCUGGCAAUGUCCCUAUAAAGGGAUGGUGUUCAAUAGAAUUGUCCACAAGGUCAUCACUUUCUUCCUUAUCCAAGAAAUCUUUUUAAGGAGUUGACAAAACAACUGAAUAUCUUGGAUCAAGUUGGUCUUGCACAUAAAAUACUUGCUUGGCUUGAGAUGCCAAAAUGAAAGGAUCUGAUUUAUGAGCAAUUUUAUUAAAGUCAACUAAUGUAAAGCCAAGAUCGUCAACUUUUAUGCCAUUCUUAUUAUCAAUCCAAUCACACUUGAAAACUGGUAUCCUAAACAUGGUAUAAUCAAGGUCCUAGAUCUCGUUAAUAAUCCCGUAGAAACAAAGCUCACCAAACACUGGCUUUUGAUCCUUGGCACUUGCAAUUUGCAUUGUUGAAGCUAUAAUACUAACUCCGCUAUUUUGGGUAGCUCGUAAGUCAUCACGCUCCUUACUAUGGUAUCGACAUCCAUUAAUGACAUAUCCAUGAUAUUUCGAGACAUAGUGGCUAGGACCAUGAGCUAUCCACUUAAGGGUCUCAGAUAUAGGUUCAUUGUUACCAAUUGCAACUUCAAUCUGCAAUUAUAAAUAAUAGUUACUAUGUAUGUUCAACAUUAGUAAAAAGAAUAGUUCAAAUUUGAGCACCAAUUUGAUACCUUUUUUCGAAACCAAUAAGUAAAUGUUCGCAUGUGUUCAUUCUGGAGCCACUUUUGUCUUUUAGAUUGACGAGGAUUUUUCAAUUUCAACCAUUCCAUGUGCUCUCUAUGCAAUUAUUUAUAAAAAUUUCAAAGUUUUUGUCCUGUAGUUAAUUUAAGUAUAACAAAUAAAUAUUAAGUGUUAGUAGUUCUUACUCGAUAUAAGGUUGGACAAUAGUUGUAUUCUCUAAAACAUAAUGAUGUGCAUGCAACCACAAAUUAGAAUCAACGAUCACAACUUGACCUCCAGGUAUCGGUGCCCCAAUUUUUUGGUUAAUGUUUACACUAAUAGGAAUCCCAAUUGCAUCUACAUUUGAUAAGUACUCUGUACAAAAUUCAAUAGCUUCCUCCACAAUAUAGCAUUCGACGAUGCAACCUUCGGGUCGGUUACGAUUUCGCACAUACCCUUUCAAAACUUUCAUGAAUCUUUCAAAAGGGUACAUCCACCUUAGGUAAACCGGUCCACAAAGUCUGACCUCUCUUACAAGAUGCACAGUAAGAUGGAGCAUGAUAUCGAAGAAGAAAGGUGGGAAGUACUUCUCAAGUAAGCAUAAUGUCACCACUACAUCAUUUUGUAACUUAUCCAAUGCAGGCACAUCAACCACUUUGCUACAAAGAGCAUUGAAAAAAAAACUCAAUCUACAAAUAGCAUGUCUUACAUGCUUUGGUAAAACUGAUCGUAAUGACACUAGCAAUAACUGUUGCAUUAAUGCAUGAUAGUCAUGGGAUUUAAAACCAUAAAGCUUCAAGUCUUCCAUUGACACAAGGUUUCUCAUGUUAGAGCAAUAACCUUUAGGAACCUUUAAUUGUGAUAAAGUUUGGCAAAAAAGCUUCUUCUCCACUUUAGAUAGUGUGUAACAUGUAAGUGAGAGGUAAGUUCGAUUUGAUUCAAACCUUGGCCCUAAUUCACACCUUAAGCCCAUCUCCAGAAGGUCUAAACGAGAAUUAAGUCCAUCCUUUGUCUUACCUGGAAUGUUAAGUAAGGUACUGAUGAUGCUUUCACAAACAUUUUUCUCUAUAUGCAUUACAUCCAAGUUAUGACGAACAUGUAGGUAUUUCCAAUACUCAAGAUCAAAGAAUAUAGACUUUUUCUUCCAACAAUUUCUAGUUUUGACAUUCAACUUACCUUGAGUCAUCUUAUUUUUUCCCCAUGAAUUACAAAUGACAUCAAUUUUCCUUAGAAUUUCCUCUCCACUCAAUGGUUGCAAAGGUGACCGAAACUCUUGUUCCCCAUUAAAUGCUUUUUUUGUUUCCUAAAAGGAUGAUUGCAAGGAAGAAAUCGUCUAUGACCUGUAUAUGAGUUCUUUUUCCCAUGCUUCAAUCUAUGAGAGUAGGUAUCUUCCCCACAUAUGGGGCAUGCAAAAUAUCAUUUAACUGUGCAACCAGAUAAGUUUCUGAUAACCCGACUCUUGGUAGCUUGGCAUGUAAGGGUAUCAACAAAAUUUAUACCUAAGGUCCUUACACUAAAGUAGCAAAGCUACUGUAGCAUAGUGGCUCUAGGAUCGAACACUGGGAAGGGUUUUUACUUUAACUAGUGAAGUUCGGAGGAUGGAGUGAACUUUUCUUAAUAAAAAUUAGGUUAAGAUGAAAACAUAAAAAGAUGAAGGUGUUGUAAACUAAACCAACAUGAAAAUAGGUUAAAAGAUGGAAAAAGAAGUUUCUCAAAGCUUUGGAUAGCCAUGCUUAACUCACUGUGUAAAAAUGGAGAUUUUGGGACUCUUCACCUCGAGUUGGGGAAGCAACUAAGGUGAUGCUUACUUCCCGAACCGGUAUGAGUUUAACAACUGAGUUUUAGUCCUUGAAAACUUACAAAAAGGGUAGUUGAACCUCAUAAAUGCUCUUUUAAUGAUAUAGGUCAUCUCCUCGACUUGCAAUACAAUGGCUCGUAGGAGAUAACUAAUGAACAUCAGUGGAUCUAACAAUAAGAAUCCACUGAGACCAAAAGGUUAUCAAGUAUUGGCCAUUCAAAGCAAGUCAGAGGGAUUAAAAGCUUUACUUUGAAUGAAAACAUUUAUGACGCUCAGCUACUUACAUUCAUGGCUUGGAAAUCUCCAUCCUGACACGGGAGCUUCACAUGGCAUCCAUUACUUCAAGAAACUAAAAGGUUUUAGCCUCUCAUCCUUGGGGAUUUCAUCCUCCAAGGGUGUUUGGCUACUAAGAAAAUGAGAAAGAAAAGAGAAAAGAAGCUUCUGAACAAAAGUGCUCUUAUAACUUAUAAAGUUACAGGUUACAAGAUUUUAUAUCCUUGUCUGAGGCUCUUCACCUUUAUUUAAAGACAAUAACAAGCUAAAUUACAAGAGCUAUUACAAAAGCAACCUAUUCAUUGGUUGAUUACAAGGGUAAAAUAGGUAUUUACAAAGCUAAAAAUCAAGCAAAAUAUCUUGGAGAACCGGUAGUGGAAUAACAUCAACAACGUCUCAAAACAGGGGAUUCAAAGGAAUUUCGCAAUGUGCCUAAAUCCUCCUUGCGAAAUUUUCGCAAUGUGAAAUUCACAUUGCGAAAUGGCAAAAUUUCGCACCAUGAAGAAAAUCCCCUUGCGAAAUGGCAAAAUUUCGCACCAUGAAGAAAAUCUCCUUGCGAAAUUGGUCAUUUGACAUGAUGCAGUUGCCUUCCAAAAGUCAUAUCUUCCUCAUUUCAGCUCCAAAUCAUACACGGUUUGAAGCGUUGGAUUCUUGACUUCCUAAGCUUUCAAAUGGUAUAUAGCAUGCAAAAAAUGGACUUCGGGAAGUGCUCCAAAAGUUCAAAGGAAGACUGCAGCUGUUUUCUUCACUCUGUUUUCCUCUUCUCCAUUGCUUGUGCUCGUGUUUCCACUUGAAAUUCAAGCCUAUAAACGUACAAAAUCCUUGCUUAACUCGCCCAAGUAGCUCCUCCAUCAAUUGGCAUGCUUGAAUCGAUUCAUAAGCUGAUAAAAACAUGUAAACUUGCCACAAAAUGGUUAAAACCAAUUACUAAGGACCUUAAUGAAUUAAUUGGGUUAAAUGAAUAUGAUUACUACUCAAAGGUGCUUAAAACCAUUAUUAUUAGGUCUACAAAAUAGCACUUUUUGGUAGUAAUCACACCCCCCAACCGACUCAUUGCUAGUCCCUUAGCAAUGGAGGAGAUAAAAACUAAGUAAACUAUAAUAAUAUACAUAAAAGGGAUCAUGCAAAUCACUCCAAAAAAUGAUAUGAGUGGCAUGAUGGACAUCCAUGGAUCAAUAAAGAUGUGAAACUCAACCUAUAAUAAGAGUUGUCAAAGCAUUCACUUGAUCAUAGAGUACAAAGAAUGGAUAUUAUGCAAGUUUAAGCAUCAAAAGAAUUUCCACUCUCAAAAGAUCCAAAUCAAAUUCUUCCACUACAAGCUAAGUGUUAAUGUGAUUAGCUUCCGAGUAUAGUAUGGAUAACUAUCAUCUCCCCCCAACCUAAGUCUUUCUUUAAGCUUAGCAAAAUUAACCAUCUCUUGAUAGGCUAGGAACGCACCUCUUAUUCACAAUUCUUUUCACUUACUAAACUUAACCAAUUCACCCAUGUAACAAGCAGAGGAUCGGUGACUCCCAACCAAUAAAGGCUUAGGGCACCAGGCUUUAAAGGCUUUCGCCACCCCUUCGGACCAUGCUCAGGUUUCAAGGCAAGAAAAGAAGUUUAUUCUUUUUUUUUUUUUCUUUUUCUUUUUCUUUUUCUAUUUUUUCAAAGACUCAUUGGUCUUUAUGAGGUGUCCCAACACUAUUAAAGAGAGGUUAAAGGUGACAAAUUAUGAUUUCUCAAGCUUAGAGGGUGAGAUAGUUUCACAUCUUAUAAUCGGAAUCUAAUGUAUGUGUGUGCGAAUAGCUUAAGGUGGAAGAGAUAAGUUUGCAUGCAAUGGGAGCUUCAACCAUUCAUCAACUUUUAGAAGAGCAUAAUACAAACUCUAAGACUCAUGUAAUCAAGUUGAAACUCGACUUCUCUCAUUUAAUUUUGAGAGUUAAUCCUUAAUAUCCAUGGAGUUUAAAGCAAAAAUUUUAAAAAUUUAAAAAAGUAGCUAAUUUAACUAAGUAUGAUAAAAAUUUAAACUAAUACUUACUUCCUCAUCUCUCCCCCCAACCGAGAUGAACAUUGUCCUCAAUGUUUGAAUCGAAAAUAAGGAGGAAGGAAGUGGUACCUCAUGUGAUGUGGACUUGGAGUUGAGAAGGUUGAACACCUGUUUCAAAAUUCAAAAAUUGAAUGAGAGAGGAAUUUAUACUAAAUAUUUACAAAAAUGAUGAGUGGGCCCCACUUUGAGCAGCUGAGGACAAGACUCAAAGGGUCCAUGCCAUGAUGGUAUAUUCAUAUAAGUUGCAAUGACAUUUGAAUGUAGCUUGCAGGGGUGUUAAAAUUGGAGAUUUUUGGCUAAAACAGGGGAAAACAAAGGAGGAGUGAACAGUGAGUGCCAAAAUUGGCACAGUCACUGUUCACCUCCUUUGAAGCCCGACUGUGUGUUUUCCAAGUUUUGGGAAAAAAUUCAAAAAUGGUUUUUUAAAAGGUAUGGUUAGGCUCUAAACAAGAUUCCUGAGGUGUUUGGGUAGUUUUUAAAUGAUGAAAAACAAAAUUAAAUGAUGGAAAAUGAAAAUCAAAGUGGACGGCCAUGCAUGGAAUGGUUUUGAAAAUUGAUUUUUAAAAAGUUUUGGAUGGAUGGGAUUUCUAAAAUUGGGUUUGGAUUUGAAAACAAAAGGUUUGGAAAUGCAUUCAUGAAUUUUUAAACUUGGAAAAACAUGGAAUUCAAGAAAAAGGCCUUUCCGAGAGCUUUGUUUUUAGAAAUUAGCUUGAAAAUCAUUUCGCACCAAGAUAAACAAGGUGCGAAAGUUUUCGCACUGGUAAUUGAGGUGCAAAGAUAGCAUCCCGGGAGGCUUGGCUUUCCAAAAUGUAUAGAAAUUCCUUUUCGCACCAUGCACUGUCACUGUGCGAAAAAUUCGCACUGAGUGUGUUCAUGGUGCGAAAUUCCACUGAGAGCUUUGCUUAUGCAUUUUGGCUCCCCUGUUUCCUUUGUUUCACCUCCAUUUCGAUUUUUGCAAGCAUCGUACCUGCAUGAACACUUCAAAACUCAUCUUAAAACCAUAUUAAAACUAAAUUAAAGCUAAGAAUUCAAACUAAAACAUGCAUAAAUUUAAAGAAAGCAUAGAAUUUAAAUGAAGCUGAUAGCAUGUACCCCAAAAAGAAGAUGAACUAUUUAGCUCAUCCUCACUCACACACCCACUUCAUGCUGAAUUCCCCCUGGAUCCCAAACAAAAUUGGCAUCCCUCACUUGAGACUUGCUUUGUAUGAUCUUGCCAUACAAAGCUUGGGGGAAAAAUGGAUGCAUCUGUUUCUUCAUUAUUUCUUCUUUGAUGACUAUCUUCUGAGGUUCUUCGUCUAUAUAGUCAUCUUUCUCUAUGCUUUUCCCCUUUUUCUUUCCUUUGAUUUCCUCCCUCUUUUCUUUCUCUAUUUCAUUCUCUACCUCAUGCUCUAGUUUGCAUGUGGGCAGAUCAACCUCUUUAUCUCCCUCCUUAGCCUCCAUUUCAUGGAUACCCUUUUGAUUUUGAUGAGGUUGAGAAGGAGAGUUUUCUUUCUCUUGCAUUGUGUUGAGGUUGGAAAACCUUAAGAUUGAAUCUUGGAUAUUAUCUAUCUUUUGAGAUAGAUCAUGUUGCACUCCAUCCAUCUUUUUAUUCAAUGAACUCUCUACUCUGUCAGGGAGUGAUAUUUUUUGACUGAGCUGAGCAUUGAUGGAUUUCUGAGGUUCAACAAAAUCUUCCAUGACUUUGUUAAGAUUCAUCAUAGCUUGUUCAAGGUUUAAGGCUUGCUGUGGUGCUUGAGCAGGUUGCUGGUACUGAGGUGGCUGUGGUUUCCAAGAGAACUUUGGAUGUUUCCUCCAAUUGGAAUUGUAGGUGUUGCAAUCACCAAACAUUUUCCUUACCACUGGAAUGGUAGGACACUCCUCCACUAAGUGCUCAAAAGACUGACAAAUGGCACAAAGCAUAGCUUGCAAUGGUGUCUGAGAGAUGGCUUGCACUUCUUGCAUCUGGUUCUUUUCUAGCUCUUCCAAUCUCCUCUCCAUAGCUGCAAUCUUUGCCUUCAUGUCCAUGCCAUCAUUCAAAAUAUACAUCUCACCCUUAGCUUUAGGUUGAGACGUCAUUCUUCCCAUAUCUCUAGCAUUUGGUUCACCCCAUUCUCUUGAAAAUUCAGCCACAUAACUGAAGUUCAUGGCUUCCUCUGCUAUCUCAUAUUCAAUAUGGCAUGCACAACUAGCAAUUUGUGAAUUAAAAACAGAGAAAACAAAAGAAAAUAAAAGAAAAUAAAAUUCUAAAGAAAAAAAAUUAUUAAGAUUAACUAAAAACUAAAUAAAAGAUAUACUAACACAUGAACAAAGAAAAAUAAAAUAAAAUAAAAAGUUAGUAAAAGGAAAAUAAGAUAGAAUUCACCUCACUCAUGAGAAGUCUCACAAGUUACCUCCGGCUGAUAUAUUCAUAGUGAAGUAGCACCUUCCCCGGCAACGGCGCCAUUUGAUAACCCGACUCUUGGUAGCUUGGCAUGUAAGGGUAUCAACAAAAUUUAUACCUAACGUCCUUACACUAAAGUAGCAAAGCUACUAUAGCAUAGUGGCUCUAGGAUCGAACACUGGGAAGGGUUUUUACUUUAACUGGUGAAGUUCGGAGGAUGGAGUGAACUUUUCUUAAUAAAAAUUAAGUUAAGAUGAAAACAUAUAAAGAUGAAGGUGUGUAAACUAAACUAACAUGAAAAUAGGUUAAAAGAUGGAAAAAGAAGUUUCUCAAAGCUUUGGAUAGCCAUGCUUAACUCACUGUGUAAAAAUGGAGAUUUUGGGACUUUUCACCUCGAGUUGGGGAAGCAACUAAGGUGAUGCUUACUUCCCGAACCGGUAUGAGUUUAACAACUGAGUUUUAGUCCUUGAAAACUUACAAAAAGGGUAGCUGAACCUCAUAAAUGCCCUUUUAAUGAUAUAGGUCAUCUCCUCGACUUGCAAUACAAUGGCUCGUAGGAGAUAACUAAUGAACAUCAGUGGAUCUAACAAUAAGAAUCCACUGAGACCAAAAGGUUAUCAAGUAUUGGCCAUUCAAAGCAAGUCAGAGGGAUUAAAAGCUUUACUUUGAAUGAAAACAUUUAUGACGCUCAGCUACUUACAUUCAUGGCUUGGAAAUCUCCAUCCUGACACGGGAGCUUCACAUGGCAUCCAUUACUUCAAGAAACUAAAAGGUUUUAGCCUCUCAUCCUUGGGGAUUUCAUCCUCCAAGGGUGUUUGGCUACUAAGAAAAUGAGAAAGAAAAGAGAAAAGAAGCUUCUGAACAAAAGUGCACUUAUAACUUAUAAAGUUACAGGUUACAAGAUUUUAUAUCCUUGUCUGAGGCUCUUCACCUCUAUUUAAAGACAAUAACAAGCUAAAUUACAAGAGCUAUUACAAAAACAACCUAUUCAUUGGUUGAUUACAAGGGUAAAAUAGGUAUUUACAAAGCUAAAAAUCAAGCAAAAUAUCUUGGAGAACCGGUAGUGGAAUAACAUCAACAACGUCUCAAAACAGGGGAUUCAAAGGAAUUUCGCAAUGUGCCUAAAUCCUCCUUGCGAAAUUUUCGCAAUGUGAAAUUCACAUUGCGAAAUGGCAAAAUUUCGCACCAUGAAGAAAAUCCCCUUGCGAAAUGGCAAAAUUUCGCACCAUGAAGAAAAUCUCCUUGCGAAAUUGGUCAUUUGACAUGAUGCAGUUGCCUUCCAAAAGCCAUAUCUUCCUCAUUUCAGCUCCAAAUCAUACACGGUUUGAAGCGUUGGAUUUUUGACUUCCUAAGCUUUCAAAUGAUAUAUAGCAUGCAAAAAAUGGACUUCGAGAAGUGCUCCAAAAGUUCAAAGGAAGACUGCAGCUGUUUUCUUCACUCUGUUUUCUUCACUCUGUUUUCCUCUUCUCCAUUGCUUGUGCUCGUGUUUCCACUUGAAAUUCAAGCCUAUAAACGUACAAAAUCCUUGCUUAACUCGCCCAAGUAGCUCCUCCAUCAAUUGGCAUGCUUGAAUCGAUUCAUAAGCUGAUAAAAACAUGUAAACUUGCCACAAAAUGGUUAAAACCAAUUACUAAGGACCUUAAUGAAUUAAUUGGGUUAAAUGAAUAUGAUUACUACUCAAAGGUGCUUAAAACCAUUAUUAUUAGGUCUACAAAAUAGCACUUUUUGGUAGUAAUCAGUUUCCAUACGCAGGAAAAUCAUUGAUUGUCCACAGUAGAACAGCUCUUAAUGUAAACAACUCUUGUUGAUGUGCAUCAUAAGAUUCAACCCCCACCUCCCACAACAAUUUUAGGUCAUCCAAAAAUGGUGCUAAAUAAACAUCAAUGUCAUUUCCAGGUUGUCGUGGACCCGAUAUUAACAAAGACAACAUCAUAAACUUCCUUUUCAUGCAUAACCAGGGAGGAAGGUUAUAAAUUACCAUUAUAAUAGGCCAACAACUGUGUCUACUACUCAUUGAACUGUGAGGAUUUAUACCAUCUGCUGAAAUAGCAAGUCUAAGGUUUCUAGGUUUUGAAGCAAAAUCAGGCCAUCUGUGAUUGACUAGUUUCCAUGAUGGGGAGUCAGAUGGAUGACGUAAUUUUCCAUCAAAUUCUCUUUCUUGGGCAUGCCAUAUGAGGUAUUUUGCAACUGUUGGGGACCGAAACAAUCUUCUAAAUCUUGGAAUAGGAGGAAAAUACCACAUUACUUUUGCAGGGACUCCCUUCCUCUUUUUAGUUUUUGUUCUAUCUAACUUCCAUCGUGAAGUUCCACAAGUUGGACAUGAAGAUGCAUCCUUCAAAUCAUUCCUAUACAAUAUGCAAUCAUUCGGACAAACAUGUAUUUUCUCAUAUUCCAUUCCCAAUGCAUUCAAUGUCUUUUUUGCUUCAUACAUAGACAAGGGUAACUCAUUGUUUAGAGGUAACAUAUCUCAAACAAUUCCUAAAAGCUCUGAAAAACUUUUAUCAGACCAUCCAUACCGUGCUUUCAGGUUGUAUAAUUUCACCAAUGCAGACAACUUUGUAAAGUUUCUACAACCAGGAUAUAAAGGUUUUUGGGCAUCUUCAAGCAAUGUUUCAUAAAAUUCUGGGUCAUUCUUACAAUCAUCAUGUGCAGCUGAACCAUUUCUACUGUACUAUCCACAUCAGUAAAUUGAACCGUAUGAUGACAUUCUGCCCGACUAGUUGGUGGUCCACUUGGAGCGGCAUCUCCAUGCCAAUACCAUGUAUGAUAACUCUGAUCAAUUCCAUAGAAAAAUAAAUGCUCUCUAAUUUUUUGAGAAGUAUGGAAUAUCAUAUUACCACAUUGAAGGCAUGGGCAUUUAAUGGAGUUUUUAUAUGCAGAAUGUUUUAAUGCGAAUGCGAGAAAGCUUUCUACCCCAUCCGCAUAAUCCUUUGAUCUCCUAUCCUUUGUCAUCCAAGAGCGAUCCAUUUGAUGUACAACAGAGAAACAAAGCUCCUAGAUACCACCAACCACUAAAGUUAUUAAUAACUAUCCUAUUAAUAACCUCAAAAUAUAUGAUCCACCAAUUUCAAAUUUCAAACAUUGUCACAAAUACUUUUACCAAUCCAAAAAACAAUAAUGUGUAAGUCAUCUAACUAUAAGCAAUAUGACAACAAAUAUAAUUAGUAUAUUAGGUUAUUAAAAAAUUAGAAUAAAAAAUGGAUCUGAAUUCCAUCAUUAUGUUUGGUUUGUGCAUGAAUAGGAAUCAAAAGUUAGAUGUAACUCUCAAUCUUGUGUUCUAUUCUCAAGUACACCAAGUUUGAAAUUUUAAAAAGUUUGAAAAAUACUAAAUCACAUAAUUUCUGUAAUGCCACAAGAUGAGCAAGACACAUGGAUGGAAAUAUCUUUUUAAUUAUGGGUUGAAAAUCAUUUCUUUUAAAUCUAAGUAUCUUCUUAACAUCAUCUUGAUUGUUGAAUAGUAUCAAACAUAGACAUAUGAAAGAGUAAUAAUUGAGAUAAUACCAACUAAUACAUAAAUAUCACUAUGGAAAACAACAAAAGUUUCCAAAUGUUUCAAUUAAUAGGAAAAAAUGGGUUUACUCCAUCAAAAUUUGAUAGAGUACUUAAAAUGAGACUUAAAAGUUCACUUGUUAGAUGAAGCACAAAAUAAGAAAGGUAAGUAGAAGGAUGAUACUCAAUGAUAAAGCUUUCAUCAAUUUCAUUGAAUUUGCUCCUAGAGGAGACAAUGAUAACAUGAACUAAAAAAGUGAACUAAUAUGGCUAAGCUUUCGAUGAGUACAAGCAAGUGAUUUAUGCAUGAUUUAUGCAUUCUAACAUCUCCAACAUCCUUAAUUAGGUAGUGGUUCCUAUCCCAUAUAGGAAUACAUAAUCCCUAUGUAUCAAUUGCCUUGUACUCAAUUUAAUUUUAAAGAAAUUUCGGCAGCAUUUUCCUAUAGUUCUCCAAGUACACAAAAUGGACAAGGCACAAUAUGUAACCUUGUCCAAAUAUGCACCCAGAGAACAAGAGGAAAGACUACCAAACUUUCUAAAAAUUGAAUUAAGAACAAAGAAUUAACUUCAUAGAUAUUAUGUUUUCCUAUACUGUCCUAUUGGACAAUUCAAGCAUCAUUUGUAGAGAAAAGAACUUUAUCACAAGCUAGACAAAUUUAAAAGUUGUCAACUUGAAAAUGGCCUAGAUAGACAAUUUUCACCAUUUGACAACUUAAAUGUCUUUAUUAUGUAAUAAGAGAACCUUUUGUCUUCCAAUGAUACUUGAAUGGGAGCUCUAAGGUUUCAUGCAUGCAUGUUUGAUUAAAAUUAAAACAUCAUAAUGAUUUAUUGAAUUAUUAUAACAUAGCAACAUAACUCUCAUUCUAUCAUGUUUAUCUCAAAUAUAUAACAUUUAAGAUGGAGCCAUAAGAACCUUUUCACAACUUAGACCAACAUCUUCUACAAAAAGGGUUCAUAGUAAAUAUAAUCAAAUUAAUAUGAUUUGACAAUUUUAAAUGCACAAUAAGUAAUUAUCUUACAAAACAAAUAAUAAGAGAACUAAAAGAAAACCAUGGUGACAUGAUCAUGCAAAUGAAUUGCACCUAGAAAACUAGUAAUAUGAAUGUCACUACUUAUAAUAGAAUAUAAGGUUCAGGAGGAGGUGGAUAAGCAUGCAAAGGAAAAGUCAUGACUGAUAACCCAUUUGUUGGUUUUAGUAGCCCAUUUGGACACUCUUAGACCCUUUUAGGCACAUUUGACCCAUCUAGGCUCAAUUAGUUUAAUCUAGGCACACUUUGGAUCACCUAGACCCACCGUAAGCAUACUUAGGUCACCAUUUAGGCAUUCUUUACGUAACUUGCAUGGUUGCAUGACUUGCAUGACCCUCAAUUUAUUUAUUUAUUUUUAUUUUUAUUAUAAAAAUAAAUGGAGAGAUUAAGUUUUAAAUAAAAAAAAUCAGGAUACUUUUUAAACGGAGGAGUUGACACUUAAAUGUUUUUUUUUUAAAAUAAAAUAUUAAGUUUUUAGAUUUGAAAAUCAGAUUUUUAUUUUUUUUUAAUAAAAUUAAUUUUGUAAUAAAAUAUUGAAAAAUUGAUGCCAUAAUAUUUUAUGUUUUUAAUAAAAAAAAGAGAAUUAACUUUAUUGUUAUUAUUAUUAUUAUUAUUAUUAUUAUUAUUUAUUUAUUGCAAAAUCAUUUUUUUUAUUGGAGAGAUUAAGUUUUAAAUUGAAAAAUCAGGAUAUUUUUAAAAUGGAGGAGUUGACACUUGAAUGUUUUUUUAAAAAAAAUAAAAGAUUAAGUUUUUAGAUUGGAAAAUCAGAAUUUUUUUUUAAUAAAAAAGAAGAUUUUUUUUAAUAAAAAAGAAGAUUUUUUUUAGUUUUUUUAAUAAAAGAUUGAAAAAUUGAUACCGGAAUAUUUUAUUUUUUAAAAAAAAAAAUAGAAUUAGCUUUAUUGUUAUUAUUAUUAUUAUUAUUAUUAUUUAUUUAUUUUUUUAUUGAAAAAUUAUUUUUUUUAUUGGAGAGAUUAAGUUUUAAAUCGAAAAAUCAGGAUUUUUUUAAACGGAGGAGUUGACACUUGAAUGUUUUUUUUUUUUUUGGAAAAUAAAAAAUUUAAGUUUUUAAAUUGGAAAAUCAGAAUUUUUUUUAAUAAAAAAUGAGAUUUUUAUUUUUUUAAUAAAAUCAAUUUUUUAAUAAAAGAUUGAAAAAUUGAUGCCAGAAUGUUUUAUUUUUUUAAUAAAAAAAAGGGAGAAUUAGCUUCAUUGUUAUUAUUAUUAUUAUUAUUAUUUAUUGAAAAAUCAUUUUUUUAUUAGAGAGAUAAAGUUUUAAAUCAAAAAAUUAGGAUAUUUUUUAAACGUAGGAGUUCACGCUUGAAUGUUUUUUUUUGAAAAUAAAAUAUUAAGUGUUUAGAUUGGAAAAUAAGAUAAUUUUUUGAAAAAAAAGAGAUUUUUAUUUUUAUUUUAAUAAAAUCAAUUUUUUAAUAAAAGAUUGAAAAUUUGAUGCCGGAAUAUUUUAUUUUUUAAUAAAAGAAAAAGAUAAUUAGCUUUAUUGUUAUCAUUAUUAUUAUUAUUUAAUUUAUUUAUUUAUUUAUUUAGUGGAAAAUUAUUAUUUUUUUAAAUGGAGAUAUUAAAUUUUAAAGAUCAAGUCAUCAAAUGAUUAGCCAUAAGGUUUUAAGAUGAGAUUCACUGUACAUGUACAUGUAUAAAAGGGAAACAAAUAUGGAAGUUGGUUGUUGUUUACAGUAAAUCAAAAUAAGAAUGAGAGAUAUAACAAGGAAAAAGGCAAAGAAUAUCAAUUGUAGCUCUUAACUCCUCCUAAGUGCUGAAUAACAUAUUAGUAUCAACCUCAUUUCAUGGUUAAGGUUUCUAUCAUGGCAUAUUCACAGUUUCUGUCAUGGCAUAUUCAUAGUGAUCCAAUGUGGAUAUAAUGGAUACACCACCAUUAUGCUUUUCAUGGCUCAUUUAGGACAAAGCAAUGCAUGGGUCUCUUUGAGUGUCAUAGGAGGGACUAUGAGGAAUCAAGGCAUGGAGAUACAAUGGUGCUUGUGCUUCUUGGCAGCUACCUAGUAGUUGGUGUAUUUGUAUCAAGAAAUAUUUAGUGAUGAAUGCAUAGGAAAACCUUUUGAUUUGCCAAAUCAUGAGAAACAAUUUAACCAUCACUUGAUUUUCAAAGUGGAAUUUCAAACUAGCCUUGAGUUAUUUCAUCUUACACACAAUUACUUUUUGCAUAUUAUAAACCAAGGUUUGGGUAAUAGAAUGGAUAAUCUGUCUUGAAAAACUAACCUGUAAACAAAAGUCAAAUGUGUCUGUAUGCCCUCAGAUUCCAGCAACCUUGAGGCCUCUAUUCCCUGAAUUGAAAACCAACUAUUAAGGGACCAUAGUGGGAUGAAAGUUAUUAGCUUCUAUAUACCAAGCACUAAAUUCAGAUACUCACUUGCCAAGUUGAAGGAAUUUUAAAUAACAAACACUUUGGAGGGACAUCAAUUUCAUUGUAUAGGGUCAAAAGGUCAUGCACCUACAGAUUAUGAUAAACUAAAUGCAUCAGACUACAUAAAAAUGUAAUUACUGAAUAAAGAAAAAGGUCAGCGUAUCAUAGUUUGAACCAUCCAUCUAAAUUCCCAAUAUUGUCUAUGUAUCACCCAAAAGAGAUCUUAGUGGAACAUGCUCUCUUUCUCUCGCAUACACGGGCACAAAAGCAAAUGCUUAGAAAUAUGCAGUAUUUUUGUUUGAAAGAAAAUUCCCAAGAAAGAGAAUUGCUACAUUGAGCUGCACAUUUUCAACUUGGAUCAGCCUUCAGUAACCAAAAGGGCCUCAUACAUUGGUUUUUUUAAAAAGAGCACCAUAAGAAGGAAAGGAAAAGUGAGACCAGUCAUCACCAAACGCACAAGCAAAAAUCUCCAGCAGCCAUUAUGAGUCAUUUUUCCUUGAAAUUGCUUCCAAAUGCAACCAGCAAUACUAUACAUAAAUUCAAAAUAUACUUCCUAAAAGCAUAAACUAAAUAGGUGUCACAUAGAUGGACAUUUGACCCUUUAUCCUCUAUAUGAUCCACCAACCCACUCCAUCCUUUCAUAGAAACGUGUUUGAUUGCUAUUUAAAAAAUUUCUUAGUACUUAAAUAUCUCUGUUGCAGCUGGCAUGGAUUCAUCAUACUCCUUGGCCCCACUGGCUACUGUCAGGUCAAGAUGUGUUUCAUUACCAAAGCAUGCCUUCUUACAAGAACUAUAGUGGAAACUAGACCCUCACAUAGAUUCUCUGUCCAUAACCAUCCAAUAUAAACAUUAAACUAAGUAAAUGAGAAUGACUAGCUUGUAACUUGACAAAGAAUAAAUCAAAAGGUAAUUUAAAAGGACAUGACAGAAUAUCAAUUAGCAUAUAAAAGGUGGAGGGUGUAGAAGAAUUAUCAGAAAAAUAAAGACAUGUCUUCAUUUUAAGGCAAUAAUAGAUAUGGCUUACAUUGAUAAACCUAGAUUACCAUUCCAUGUGAAUGGUUGAUAACAAAUAGGACAAGCUAAAAUGCUCUUGCUGAUGCUAACCUCCUUUUCAACUGAAAUAGAAUCCUGAACAUAAGAAAUAAGAUACAAUAUAUUGUGUCAUGACAGGAAAAAUUAAUUAUUUCGUAAUUCCUCAUGUGAACUGACUGUAAUUGAAAAAAUAAAAAGACAUCAUCUCAUUAGCACCGUAUGAUAAUUUUCCUCACAUUUUCCCUCAAAAUUUCCUAAAACCAAUUAUAGGGAAAAAGAAAAAGAAAUUAAAGCAUAAAAGAUGAAUUUGGUUGUAUAGAAUUUGCAGCCUUGGAAUUGAUAAUUUUCCCCUUUUGUGGUGGAUGCCCCAGUGUCAAGUCCACCGUUUGGUUGUUUUCUAUACCAACUGGAUUUCUAGUUGAAUUUAAAAGCCAUAAACCCAAAUUCCUCAAGAACAAGUAAGCAACUCCAAGAUAAAAGUUGGUUCUCCAGUUCCGUAAAAAUUGAACUUUGAACCAAAUCCAAUUCUACCCAACCAAAUGCAGCCUAAUUCUUCAAGAACCAUAAAAGAAUAAUGAAUGAAUCAAGAAUGGACAAAUACAUUGAAAAAAAAAAUCGGGAGCAGUACAAAUUCUCAAAAAAACUAAUCAUAAAGAAUCACAUAUGAAUUAAAACAAUUCCUAUGAAUUUUUUUUAUGCUCGAUUGACCAAAAAAAUAUAACAGUAGAACUUGUUUUGUCUCUCACGUACAUUCAUUGCACAUGCACACACAGUUACCAAUUGACACAGCCACCAAUUGCAAUGGAAAAUGGGGGCUGGUGGUUUUGGAGAGUGGAGGAAUUUAUUUUAAAAGGGACAUUCAACAUGCACAGAAGGAGAUGGGAAUAAAAAAAAAAAAAAAUUGGAAAGAUAAGGGGUGAGAAGACACAACCGAGAAGGAGGAUGUCUUUGAGGGUGGAGAAAACACACAGCUGGAACUCUCCACUACCAGCCACAAGAAAAGUAAAAAAAUGUGACCAGAUCAGGGCACAAAUGGGUAAAUCAAAAUGAACAAAACCCAUAUUUCAUGCCUAAUCAACAAAUCAAGAACAGAGUAGAACAGAGCAUGUACCACGAACCGUGUUUCUUCUCCACUACAGCCCAUAAAAUUAGGGCACGAUUUGAAACUCGACCAACAUCAGAACACUUGCAAUAAAUGAUGAAUAUGGAGUUGAAAGAGUGGAGAAUCACCUGAUUUGUCGCUCGUUGGUGGAAUUUGUAAGAGAAGAAUGGAGUUUCAGUGCUUAUUCUCUGUUAUGAGAGUCACAAAAUGGAGAUUCAAAAAUGAUCUCCAAUUUUUAAUACUUAAGAUCUCACACUAAGGCUUGGAAACACACCGUCUAGCUAGAUCUCCAAUGUCAAGAGCCUCAUCUGGAGUCAUUGAUCGACGUUGAUUACGGUUAACUGGGCUUCUAGGGUUUGUCGGGGUUUUGCGAAAAUGGAGGGAAUGUUUGGCACUAUGAGGUCGUGGGUAAGAAUGGGAAAUUUUUGAGCCAUAUAUAAAGGUGUUAUUUUAAUGUCACUUUUAUAGAGCGCCAAGGUAAAAAUUGAUAAAUGAAAACGCUUAUAUAAAACAUCGUGCUAUAAGAAGCACCAUCAUCCUUCAGCAUAAAGCGCCAUGGUCUAAAAUUUUCCUUUUAAGCGCCAACUUCGACCACUUAUUUACUCAACUGCCACUCUAAAAGCCAAGUAAUGACGCUUAUUUGAAAGCGCCAAAGAAUCAAGCGCCAUAAAUUGUGUUUUUUGUAGUAGUGAAAACACGAAUUCGCUCAGGCUGACAGACUAACACAAAGGCUCUGAUCCUAAAACAAAAUGAUGUCUCAAAAUGCCUCUACGGCCACACUAAGGAUCCAAGCUCCCUCUAAGAUGUCUCCAAAAGUGACCCGAAGAUCGAUGUCGAAGAUGAGUAACGGUUGAACCACCCUAGAGUACGAACAAGAACGUGUCCAAAGGAGACUGCCCUAUGUGGACUACGAGAUGAAUAUGAGAUAAGCACAGGGUAAUGACGUGAGGAGAGUGAGAAUAAGUGCAAAACCAUGAGGGUAAGAUGUGCAAUGCCAAUGAAUAUGAAUGCUGGGAGCUGUGACUCUGAAUGACGGGACUGACUCUAAACGCUAAACUGAGAAAAACAACGGCUCUGGAAGCCAAACCAAAAAGCUAACUCUAAACGCUAAACUAGAAAAUAACAGCUCUGGAAGCCAAACAAAAAAAAAAACUAACUCUAAAAGCUAAACUAGAAGGCCCAUAGGUAAAGACCUACGAUGGUGAUACAAUAAAAAUGCCCAUAGAUGAAAAUCUACGGUGGUGAUAGCUGAAAGAAUGGGGAUUCCCUCAACAAACUAACGGUAGGGGGAUGCCCUAAACAAACCAACAAUAAUGGCUCUGGAAGCCGAAUCAAAAAGCUAACUCUAAACACUAAACUGGAAAAAUAAUGGCUCUGGAAGCCAAACAAAAAAAAAACUAACUCUAAAUGCUAGACUGAGAAAACAAUAGCUCUGGAAGCCAAAUCAAAAAACAAAACUCUAAACGCUAAACUAGAAAAUAACAGCUCUGGAAGCCAACCAAAAAGCUAACUCUAAAAGCUAAACUGGAAGAAUAAAGGUUCUGGAAGCCAACCCAAAAAAACUAACUCUAAAUGCUAGACUGAGAAAAUAAUAGCUCUGGAAGCCAAAUAAAAAAAAACUAACUCUAAAUGCUAAACUGAGAAAAUAAUAGCUCUGUAAGCCUAAACAAGAAGCUAACUCUAAACACUAAACUAAGAAAAUAAUAGCUCUGGAAGCCUAAACAAGAAACUAACUCUAAACACUAAACUGAGAAAAAAAAAAAAAGCUCUGGAAGCCUAAACAAGAAACUAACUCUAAACACUAAACUGAGAAAAUAAUAGCUCUGGAAGCCUAAACCAAAAAAACUAACUCUAAACACUAGACUAGAAGAAUAAUGGCUUUGGAAGCCAAACCAAAAAACUAACUCUAAAUGCUCAACUGAGAAAAUAAUAGCUCUGGAAGCCAAAUUAAAAAGCUAAACUCUAAACGCUAAACUAGAAAAUAACAGCUCUGGAAGCCAACCCAAAAAGCUAACUCUAAAAGCUAAACUGGAAGAAUAAAGGCUCUGGAAGCCAACCUAAAAAAACUAACUCUAAAAGCUAAACUGGAAUAAUAAAGGCUCUGGAAGCCAACCCAAAAAAACUAACUCUAAAAGCUAAACUGGAAGAAUAAAGGCUCUGGAAGCCUAAACAAGAUGACAGUAGGGGGAUGCCCUAAACAAGAUGACAGUAAUGGCUCUGGAAGCCUAAACAAGAUGACAGUAAUGGCUCUGGAAGCCUAAACAAGAUGACAGUAGGGGGAUGCCUUAGGUGAUAGCUCAUAAAGAUCGGCAAAUGGGUCUAACAAUCAUGGAAUCUGCACGAGGCAUGGCAAACCCAAAGAGAGGGUGUAUGACCCAGUAGGAAAUGUGAUAAAGGGGGUAUGCCCCGGUAUGAUGACUCACAAAGAUCAAGAAAUAGAUCGAGCAGUGAGGCAGUACACAAAAGGCCUGAUAAACUCAAGGACGGGGGUAUGCCCCAGUGCGGCAUGCCGUUGCAAAUCUCAAUCCGCUGGAAAUGGCUGAAAGGGGCUCUACGAGUCUCGAACGACGCUCCACUAAUAGCUCAUAUCGAUGAAGAGCUCAAGAAUAAUGGUCAGUGAGGCGAAUACAAUAUAUCCCGGCCGAGUGAUGGAAACUGUGGCGGACAUGUGAGAGAACGAUCGCCUCCAUGGCUAAAUGAGGGAAAUAUGCCCCAGUGUGGCAUCAGAUGUACCCGAUAUGCCCUGAUGACCCGAGAACAACAUCAUGGGGAUGCGUAAAAGGCCUUACGCGUACCCCACUAAAAUGAUGACGUGGGAAUCCAAGCACUCGACAUGACUUCGUCCAAGAACCACGACUAUAUCAGAGAGUAAUAAUCUGGCUGAACGACUCAAGAGAGGCUCCUCGGAGUAUCAGCACAAAAUAAAAUCGAAUCAUCAACCUAGCAUGUAUCUCAUAUCCGUGGAUGAUCAUGUAAACCAGUGGGGGAUCUCUACAUCUCAACCGAAAUGAGGAAUAUGCCCCAGUGUGGCACCAAGAAUGCAACAUGUCACAAAAUCAGAUGAGCUUAAAUCAUCUAUGCCUGCAACUGAAUCAAACCCACAUAUCAAAGAGGCGUCCCUCGGAAGGAAGCAUGACAACAUCUAAGCAUCUAAAAGCGCGGGCCUGGCUCCACUAAGGAAUCAUCGUGAGGAUAGCGAAUAUAUCAUCAUCUCUACAUACAUCUCGCAAAUAAGGAUAAGCACGCAACUCCCUCAUGAUCUGUAAAUCUCAUCUGGACGGAAAUAUGCCCCUGUAUGGCAUCUGAUUCGUGCCCAAUUGGUGUCUCAGCUGAUUCGUGUCCAGCUGGUGCUCCUUGAUUGAGGGAGUAAUCAACAAAAUUUAUAACCUAUAACACCAUACACUAGGGUAGCAAAGAAAAAGCUACUAUAGUAUAGCGGCUCUAGAAUCGUUCACUGGGAAGGAUUAACAAGCUAUCAAUGAUACCAAUUCAAAGUGAAUUGGUCUUGUUUCAUUUCAAGGUUAGCUUAAGAAAUAAAACACAAACUUUGAUUGGCAAAGGUUUAGACUUAAACUAACUAACACAACAAGUAAUAGGAAUAACUUAGGAAGAAAAACAUUCCUUGGAGAGUUAGGUUCACUAGGGUGGUUCCUCAUGCAAAAGACAUAGCUCCGGUCAGAUGGUUCAUUUCCUCGCGUUAGAGAUUCAACAUAUAGUCAAUUCUCUAACCGGUGUUGUACAGAUACAUCCUUCAAUUAGAUUUCACUUUAAUUCUCUCACUGAUGCAACUUGCAAUGGCUUAAGCCUCUCACUAAGCCUUAACCAUUCAAGGUGAUCUUUAACCUUGGAUUACUCGUCAAAAGCUCGCAAGAAAUAACUAAUGGAUGUCUCCUUGGAGUCCAAAAGCUUACCAAGUGUUGGCUAUUCUAGAAAAUCCUACCCUAAAGUCACCUCCCAGAGGCUCGCAAGGGGUAAACUAGAGCAUUUCCAUGGUUGGAAAUCACUUGCCUUACCAAGUGUUGGCCCAGGUGACUCUAAGGUGUUUUAAGUUAACUAAAAACAUAGAAAUCACUAAAGGAUUUCACUUCCUCUUCAUUACUGACUAAAACCACAAAGCUUUUCAUUCUUGCACUUGGAACCUUCCUCGACAACCUUAGCUCCAAGGAAUUAGAGGUUUAGUUACUCAUUCUCUGGGGAAAACUCCUCAGAGAGUUCAUAACUUCGUAAUAAAUAAUAAAUACGAAGUGAGAAGGUAAGGCAAUACAAAGAACUAAACUUUACUUGCUUACCCAAAACUUUACAAAAGGAUCUCUUCUCCAAGAACAUGCUCCCGAGAGGUAUAUAUAUGAACAUAAUAUAAAACUAAUUAUUACAUAGAUAUUUUCUCUUUUUUACUAACUUAAAAGCUAAGGAAUCUUGUAAUUGGUGGCUUGCAAGGAGUAUUUUGGGAUUUAAACAACAAAAAUCUGAUGUAAAAUAUCUCCCAAUGUCGGUAGCAAAUAUCGGGAGGCUCCAAGAACCAUUUCGCAUGAGAAAAUGGUGUCUACGAGAUUUCGCAGACACUCAAGAAGGGCUGCGAAAUCAUUUCGCAACAACAAGCUAUUCUCGCAGGGCUACGAAGUUGGCUUCCACCUUGAGGUUCCCAGCUUCCCUCUCGCGGCAUAUGUCGGGUAUCUUCAGGAGGAAAUACACCACACUGUACAAAAAGGCUGCGGAAUCACUUCGCAACAAAAGGGUGAUUUCGCAACACUUUGGAAAAUGCUUCCUUCAACUGGGAGUGAUUGGCUUGCAAUGGCUGCAACUUCUUCGUUUCAACUCCAAAUUGUGCACCAUUUGAAGCAUUGGAUUGUUGACUUCCUAAGCUUUGAAAUGGUGUAUAGCAUGCAUCAAUUGGACUUCAUAAACUCUCCAAAAGUGGCUGCUACGACUGUCAUCAAGAAUAUGCUUCAUGGCAGAUUCUCUUUACUUUUUCUCCUUGCAUUCCGGAUUUACUCUUGGCAAAUGACUUCUAAGCUUUACCCAAGAUUCCUCAUAACUCUCCUCAAUCUUGACUUGCUUUGGUGAUCAAAUUACUAACAAAAACACCAAAACUUACACAAAGUGAUUAAAAUUGCUUUCAAGGGUCCUUAACAUGCCAAUUGAGUUAAAAGGUCAAAACUACUACUCAAAAGUGUUUAAAAUGAUUAAUUAUAAGCUAUCAAAUAACACUUUUUGAGUAGUAAUCAACAUCGAAUGUGUGAUAAACCAGAAAAGGCCAAGUGUCAUCAAAUCAUCCUCCGUCAAAUGCACGAUCCCGAUAAUCCAAACACAACUGAAACGAAUCUAACCAUCAGAAAGACGUCUCCCAGAAGAAGAAGCAUGACAAUAUCUAAAAAGCAACCAGAUCUCAAACACCUGUCCAAGCAGAGGCUGUCGAAGACGACAUCUGAUCCCAUGGCCUCAGGGUGGUCUUAAGACACGGGACGUAACGUAGGCUAGGGUGAUAGGGUGAUAGAAAUGAAGGGAAACUAGUCCCAAAUACCCAAUGGUGCCUAAUGUGAACAUAGUGUAAAUGAGGAGACAAAUGAAGCAAAUCAAACUGAUAGUGAGAUGUGUGAUGAUGAUGUGAAGGAAGUAUCAAACCCAAGAUGGGUCACUGUAGGAAAAGAAUGAGAGGUGAAGUGAGAAUAAUGAAUCAGAAACGAAAACGAGGAUGAUGAUAAUGAAGCAAAUAACACCAAAAGGAGUAAUGAUCGACUCGGAUCAAACAUGGAGUGAAGUCACGUCAACUACGAACACGAUGAUGGAAUGGACAAUGAGCCAAAGCUCCUAAGAGAAGGUCACUCAUCCCGUUCACAAGAUAUACGACAAAAUGAAUACAAAGCCUGAGGGAUCCCGGGAAGCUCACAUACGAACUCCCAUCAACAAACAUGCUCGAUCAAGUGACCCUCGAAUAUCAAUACAUACUCAGUGAUAGAUAACAAUACACACAUGCUUUUAUUUCUUUUUCCUUUUUUUUUUUACAACAUAUAAAUGAACUGUACAUGCUCUCUGAACGCAUACAAAGAAGACUCAAAAACGGGAUUAAAAAUGAAUAAACAUGCUCUCAAAUAUCAAUAUAUCACAAACUCUCCCUGAUGAGGUGACCUUCUCAAACUGAGGAUCCUUGGAUCAGUGUCCAUAGGAUAGAUAGUGGAAAUGACAUGACUACCCUCCAUGUAAUGAACUGAGGAUGAUCAUCCUUCAGGAUGAAAGAAGAUGAUGUGAAACGAACAGUAGAUAGGAUAGGAUGAUGAGAUGAAUAACACAAACAGUGAGAUGAGAUGAAAUGCAAUGAUGUAGUGAUGAGAACAGAUAGUGAGAAGAAAUGCGCCCCUAUGUCUAAGGCUCAUGGAACUCUCAAACAAUGCAUGCACACACUAAAGGGCCCCGAUCCCGAUAUGAAAGUGCGAGCAAUUCAAUGAGAAAGAAAAGCUAUAAUGCGUGUGUGAGGCUCAAGUGGGGUAGCAAACGGACUGUAUAUAUCAGAAGGGGGAUAAAGGGAUAUAGCUAACCGAAAUGAUGGCCACCCAUCCUGCGACCAUGGACUCAAACAUAGUACCUCUUUAGCUGAUCCACGUUGGUCGACUCUGAGAAUUGGUUUCCAUCUAAAUCCAUCAACCAUGCAGCGCCCUCUGGAGACAACUCUCUGAUGAAGUAAGGUCCGCUCCAAUUGGGUCUGAACUUCCCUCUAGGAUCUCUGAUCAAUCCUCUGAUGGCUCUCAAAACUAAGUCACCUACAUGUAGUGGUUUGGGCUUGACCCGCUUUUUGAAAGCACGGGCCAUCUUCCUCUGAUAUGCACGGACGUGAUCUGCCCCCCUCAAUCUCUUCUCAUUUAGGAUAUUGAGCUGAUCAAAUCGAGCCUGAGCCCAAUCCAUCUCGGGAAUCUGCUGCUCUAGUGCUACUCUCAAUGAUCCCAUCUCAAUCUCAACAGGUAGCACUGCCUCCAUGUCGUACACUAAGGAAUAAGGUGUGGCUCCUUUAGAGGUACGAAAAGAGGUCCUGUAAGCCCAUAGUGUGAAAGGAAGCUUCUCGGACCAACCCCGAGAAGUCUCAACCAUCCUUCGCAAAAUCCUCUUGAUAUUCCUAUUCGCGGCCUCUACUGCCCCAUUCAUCUGCGGCCUGUAUGCAGACGACCUAUGAUGCCGGAUGCCAUAUCGCCGUACUAAGGCAUCAACCUCUGCUCUGAAAUGUACACCUCUAUCUGAAAUAAGCUCGUGAGGGACUCCAUAGCGACAAAUGAUAUGUGAUAUGAUGAAUCUGGCAACUCCAGCUGAUGUCAAUCUCGCAUAUGAGGCGGCCUCCACCCACUUGGUAAAGUAAUCAAUACCGACAAGGAUAAACUCAUGACCACUGGAAGAUUUCGGUGAAAUAUUCCCGAUGAUAUCGAUACCCCACACUGAAAACGGCCAUGGUGAAGUCAAUGCAUGCAACUCCGAGGGCGGCACGUGAAUGAGAUCUCCAUGUAUCUGACACUCGGGACAUCUCUGAACAAACUGGCAGCAAUCCGUCUCCAUGGUCAACCAGAAGUAACCAUUCAUCAUGAUCUUACGAGCCAACAUAUGUCCUUCUAUAUGUGGUCCGCAGACUCCCGCAUGAACCUCUCUCAUCACUCGAUCGGCAGAGGCGCGGUCCAAACACAAUAAUAGCAUCCCGUCAGGAGAUCGCCUGUACAGUGUCUCGCCACAGAUCACGAAUUGAGCAGCCAAUUGUCUCAAUGCUCUCUUAUCCUUGACCGUGGUUGCCUCAGGAUAUAUGCUAAGUCUCAAAAAGUGAUAUAUGUCGUGAUACCAUGGCAAACCAUCAUAUGGCUCUACAUCAUCAAUCAAGCAACAGUAAGCAGGAGCAGAUCUCGACUCGAUCAGCAAAGGUCGAACAGUGGCGUCAACAGGAAUAUCAAUCAUGGAAGCUAGAGUAGUUAAGGCAUCAGCAAACUGGUUCUGCGCUCUAGGCAGAUGUGUGUAUCUCAAAUCCUUGAAUUUCGCGACCAGUAACUCCAAAUAUGCGUGAUAAGGCCUAAGCUUCGCAUCUCUAGUCUUCCACUCGCCCUGAAUUUGUCUAAAUACCAAAUUGGAGUCACCAAACACCUCCAUCUGUCCAAUCCCGAGCUCAAGGGCCGUCUUCAAUCCUAGAAUACAAGCCUCAUACUCAACGAUAUUGUUCGUGGCCGGAUGUCGAUCCGAGAAUGUCAAACGAAUAGAUCUGGGAAUGUGAUCACCAUGAGGGGAUAUCAAUAAGACACUUAUCCCGUACCCAGAAUGGUUGGUUGUACCAUCAAAGUACAUGCGCCAACCUGACAGACUAGUCACAACUGCAACAUCCUCGUUUGGAAAAUCAUCGUCACUGGCAUCAGAAACUGGUAAUGAGGCUAGGUAAUCUGCGACAAUGCUCCCUCUAAUGGAUUUCUGAUUGACAUAAUGGAUGUCAAACUCAGUCAGAAGCACCAGCCAUCUCAUAAGGCGACCAACUAGAGCGGGUCUAUCAAACAAAUAUCUCAAAGGAUCUAGUUGGGAUAUCAAAUGCACUGAAUACUUUGUCAUGUAAUGUCUCAAUCGGCGAGUAGCCCAAACCAAUGCCAAGCAGUAACGCUCAAUCAUGACAUAUCUCGUCUCGUAGUCUAGCAUCCUCUUACUCAGAUAAUAAAUGGCCCGGUCUUUACCCGAAUCAUCGAGCUAAGCUAACAUACAUCCCAAAGCCACGUCUGAGAUUGAUAAGUAUAGGAAUAGAGGGCGGCUCGGUGUAGGAGGCGCUAAGACUGGAGGUGACAACAAGUACUCCCUGAUCCUCUCGAAUGCAUGCUGACACUGAUCACCCCAAACAGUAGGUUGACUCUUCCUCAAGAGUCGAAAAAUGGGCUCACAGAUGUCUGUCAAUCUGGCGAUGAAUCUUCUGCUGUACUGAAGUCUGCCCAAGAAGCCUUUGACCUCUCUCUCUGUCCUCGGUGCAGGUAUGUCAAGGAUGGCUCUAAUCUUGUCCAGAUCUACCUCUAUGCCUCUCUCACUGACCAUAUACCCCAAGAGUUUCCCAGAAGUCACUUCGAAAGUGCACUUCUUGGGGUUCAGUCUCAAUUUGAACUGCCGGAUCCUAUUAAAGAACCUCUCUAGAGCUGCUAGGUGAUCUGAUCUACCUCGGGAUUUCACUAUCAUGUCAUCUACAUAAACCUCGACAUCCCGAUGCAUCAUGUCAUGGAAGAAGGUGGUCGCUGCCCUCUAAUAGGUGGCUCCUGCGUUUUUCAAUCCGAAUGGCAUGACUCUAUAGCAAUAAGUGCCCCACUCGGUAAUGAAGGACGUCUUUUCCAUGUCAUUUGGAGCCAUCAAGAUCUGACUGUACCCGGAAAAUCCGUCCAUAAAGGACAACAUUGAAUGACCUGUCGUACUAUCAACUAGCAUGUCGAUGUGUGGAAGAGGAAAAUCAUCCUUAGGACUAGCCUUGUUGAGAUCUUUGAAAUCAACGCAAACUCUCACCUUGCCGCCCUUUUUGGGAACAGGGACGACAUUGGCCAGCCACUCCGGGUACUCAACCACUGAUAAGAAUCCUACACUAAGCUGCUUCUGGAUUUCCUUUUUAACCUCCAGGCUCCAACGAGGAUGCAAUUGCCUCAACUUCUGCUUAACCGGUUUGGCAUGGGGCAGAAGCAGCAAACGAUGCUGGACGAUAGACGGAUCAAGGCCCGGCAUGUCCUCAUAGGACCAUGCAAAGACAUCCAAGUAUGCUCUGAGCAACUGGAUGAGGCUGUCCCUCUCAUCUAUAGAUAAAUCUGAUCCGAUCCGCAACUCUCUAGGUUGAUCUGCUGUGCCAAAAUCAAUAAUCUUCGUGUCCCCUACAGCGGGUGAAACUCUCCUAUCAACGAGAUCCGAAUCGGAAGCAGAAGACGAGUCAUCGUCAGAAUCGUGCUGUGCAAUCUCAUCAUCAAUGUCAAAAAUCUGUGAUGUGGGUGAAGAUGGUGUAGAUAGAUCAAUAACAUUAGAGAUAGGCAAAUACUCAAAGAUGCUCAAAUCCAUAGAUGAAACAUCGGAAACAAUGUCAGAACGGGAGACGAACCCCGAUAGAACGUCAAAUAAAAGAGGUGGGUCCACAAAGUCGGACGCUCCCUCGAUAAUGCCAACAUGGCUAUCAAACAAAUCAUAAAAAACUAUGAUGUCCUCAGCAGACUCUAAAGCAGAAGCAGUCAGGAUCUCCUCGGAAAGCUCGAUAGUGGACACCCCAAAAGGGUCAAAUAAUGAAGCAAGCCCUGGUUGAACAGUCUCCUCAAUCUGGCUCAAGCUUAGUGCGAGCAUCUCGUCAAUAUACUCGUCAUGUGGUGCGGCUCUGUCUACCAUGUCACUGAUCUCGACAAAUGUCCCGUGAUCAUCGAUCUCAUCUGGGAAGCAAAGCGUCAUAAGGCUCGUGCGAUCCGAAGAGGAAGGAGCAAUCAACACAGAAGUCGAAGGACCAGGGGCUCCGUCUCUCAAUCGUAGCUGCUGGAUAAGGCGCUGAAGCUCGGCCUUCUGGGUGGUGCUAAGUCCUCUGAUGAUCCCAUCAGAUGGUGUGUGCGGCUCCGAUGCCCUCAAGAAGUAAUCUGCUAGGCUCCUAGUGUACAGACGCAUGGGAUAAUAGAAAGGAGUAUGAGUCAGUCGAGUCCUCACUCUCUCCUUGCGCAAGCGCACCAUAUAUCGGUAGUCAGCCUCGGUGGGGAUGAACCCGAGCCCAAAUGGUACGUCAUGAUCAGGAAUGGCGAUGAACUCGCUCGGUCCAUGCUGACGUCGACCCAAUCCCAUGCCGGGAAGAUAAGACAUGCUCCGCAUAAUAUCGAGCACCACUAUGCUGCCGUGCUGGUCAAAUGACAUAGCUACAAAGUCUCGGCAAAAGUCCUCCAUCUCAAGGGUCUGCACCUCGUCAAAAGUGAACCCGAUCAGCAAUAAGUCAUCGUCACUAUGGCUGAUCUGGAGCACGGGCUCAACAGAAAUGAACAUGUGCCCUGUCGACUAUACGGUGACUACCUGGCCCUCAUGGAUGAAUUGCACUUUCUGAUGAAGUGAAAAAGGGAUGGCCCCGGCUCGGUGAAUCCAUGGUCGGCCCAAAAGUAGGUUAAAGGAUGUAGGAAUCCUCAAAACCUGAAAUACAGUGACAAAUGUGGUCGGACCUAUCAGGAGCUCAAUCUCCAAGGUACCCAUGACCUCUCUACGGGUACUGUCAUAAGCGCGAACGGUCUGAGUGGAGGGACCGAAAUCGUAUGGCGCAUAUCCAAGGGCAAUGGCAGUGGCAAGAGGGCAUACGUUCAAGGUCGAGCCAUUGUCCAAAAGGACAGAUGGGACUCGGUGGCCUGAACAGCCAACAGAUAUGUAGAAGGGACGAGUGUGGUCCGAGCCCUCCGAUGGCAAAUCGUCGCCCGAGAAUACGAUACAUGUGGCUCGGCCAGCUGUCAUCAUGUGAAUCAAACCCUUAGGAGUGGUGGUGGUCUCAACUCUGAUCUGGCUCAAGGCUCGAAUCAAUGCAUCUUGGUGAGUGCUCGAAGAUGCCAACAAACUCCAGAUAAAGAUACAAGCCUGAGUGCUUUGUAGCUGCCUCAAAAUCUCAUCAUCCUCUACUCGGACCUCCUCAGAAACAGAUGUACCCUCAACUGGCCUAGCUGCCGCGGGAGGUGGCUGUCGCAUCACUCUACCCCCUCGGAGAAUAUACUGGAUGUCCGGAGUCUGAGAAAUAUCAACAUGUGGAGCCCGAACCUCUUCAACAUCCGGGGCUAAAACGAACGGCGUCUGAACGCUAUAACGCAUGAAGGUCGGAGGCUCGACAAUGGACACAUGUACUGGGGCUGUCUCAGGAAAUAAUCUAAAAUGAGUGGGCACCUGAGGCUCCAAAGACAUGCUGCUCAUCUCAUAAAUAUCCCCCAACUCUAUGGGCUUCGGAUCCAUGUCAUCCCAGCUCAUCAUGCGGACAUGGUCAUCAGAAUCAACAAAGUCCAGGAAAUGAAUACCUCCGUCUGGUGGAGGAACUGCAUGCGUGGUAUGGGCUGGUAGUGGGUUUUAGGUUACACUUGGCUGACCCAAGUGAACCAAACCCUGAUCAAUCAAGUCCUGGAUGACAUGUCUCAGUGCGGUGCAUCGAUCAGUCUCAUGUCCUAGCCCCUAAUGAUAGGCACAACGCAGAUCCAUCCUGAAGUGAGGAGGUAGAGGCUGAAGGGGCGGUCUCGGAGUGAGUGCAGUCAGCAGAUCGGCCUCUGUGAGCUUCCGAAGAGCCUGGCUCAACGGCAUGCCUAUCUGUGAAAACUGUCUCUGCGUCCUCAAAGCAAAGGGUGUAGAGGUCUGCUGAGAUCGAGGCCUGGGGUAUGAAGGUGCGGGCCUCGGAGUGAACUGUUCAGUGUAGCACGGCUGUCCAGUGGCCGUGUAUGAAACAGGAGGCCUCUCAAUGCCCUGAGUGGCAUAGUAAGGUAGAGCCAAUGGUUGAGCCUGAUAUGUCUGAUCAAAAGUCGGGCAAGGUGCCUGUGGCCUGAACUGUUAAGGUGUGUAAGACGAAUGAGUCUCGAGGAGCUGUGGGAUCGGCUGAUGACGCCUAGGAGGCCUCUGACUGGAUGAACUGAUAACACUAACAUCUAUCGUCCUCCGUCCUACGAAUGGUUUCUUCCCCUUAACAUCACUAGGGGAAGAAUCUACCCAUAAACCUCUCGAGAUGACGUCCUCGACAUCAUACAAAGUCAUAACCAGAUACCCAAAAUCUGUGAACGAGACCCCGACCACAUGUCUGGCAAUCACCGGCUGUAGACUCCUCAAAGCCAUCUGAAUCUGGUCUCUCUCUGAUGGUCUAUCCACUAUCUCAGCUAUCUUCCCGCGCUAGCGGGAAAUGAAAGAAGAAACAGACUCCUCUGCCCUCUGUCUCAGAGCCUUGAGUUCUUUCCUCGAUACAUCUACGACAGUGUUAAGCGAAAACUGUCAUAGGAACUCCUGGGCCAAGUCAUCCCAUGUGCGGCGUCUUGAGGACUCCAGAGACGCAAACCAACGCUGAGCCGCCCCACUCAGAGAUAGGGGGAAAAAAGUGAUCAUUUGAGGCUCGUCUAGUCCAUGAGCCCUCAUCACGGUGCUGUACAGUCAGAGAUGGAUGCGUGGACAACCAAUGCCUAUAUACCUCUCAAUAUCCGGCAUCCUGAACUUAGCUGGCAAGCUGGCUACCGGCACUCCAUCAAAACCCUCCCAAGUAAUGGCUCUGUUUGAAGUCCUCAACUGCCUCAAACCCUACUCAAGCCUAUCCAGGCGAGCAUGUGGAUCCUCUGAGGUCGGGGUAGACAUGGUGAUGGGAGGCGGGGCAACCUCGGUCUGACUAUGCAGAGUGAACGGCAUGGCCUGUCGCGCUGACUGACUGGGUGGAGGGGGUGGUGGCACUGUAGGGUCAUACUGGGCGCCAUCUUGAGACGGGACCUGCUGGGCCUGCUGCCCAUCUAUCCUCUGGCCGAGGCUAGCCAAAGCCUCCUGGAUAGAAGCCAUGGCGGCCGUGAACUAAUCGACAGUGACGACCUGCUGAUCCAUAUCUGGUGUGUCUGAAACCCGAACUAAUCUGCCCUCAACUCUGACCCAAGAAGGUGUGUCCAGACUGCGAAUGAAAUCUGAUCCUGGCAAGGUGAGAAGCGGAAUGAGGAUACGGUAUAGGAAAAGUAUGAAAUGAAUGAUAGUCUGAACUGAAACGGGCAAAUGCAUCCAAGACGAAGACGAACUGUCCGACCAUACUCAAACUCAUAUCGAUCCCCAAGCACUCUCAACUGGAGACUAAAGAGAGGGAAAAUCGGAUCCGAACUGUAACUAAAGAGGCUCUGAAGGCCCUCAGAUACACCCACGUGUAGGGAGGGAGUCCUAAUCGGAGGAUCUAUGGCUCAACCUACAAGGUCAAGGUGACUCUAAAUGGAUAUGGGUGGACUUUAAAAGAUCCCUAGCAGAAGCGAUCUUACCCUCCGGCAGUACGCAACCCUCUGCACGCCUCCGAAGAGACGGGGCACUUCCAUGCAAGGUGGUCAUCACCUCCACACAUGCACUACCUCGCAUCCCAGGGGGCUUCCUAUGGUGAAACCUCUCACACUCUCAACACUCAAUAGUCAACUAAAGUGCACAGUGAACGGUGUGGGUACAUCCGAAAACCUUAAGAAGCUAAAACAUAAAAUGAAACACACUGGCCACACAAAUAUCCAUGAAACCUAGCUCCGGGCUAUACAGGUCUUCAAUGAUCGGACUCCAAUCGACAUCAAAGUGUCGCUCUCCUCCAGAAUGCUCCCGUGCAUCGGUAUAGCCCGUCGCUAGACCCUACUCCUAAUCUCUGGCUCGGUCAGAGAGCAAGCAAAUAGAAGGCCUCACACUUGCAAUAGUGAGAACCGGGAUGAAAGGAAUGACCGAAACUAAGAGAGUUGGAAGUAAGGGGAUAUAUGUGCGACCCACAUGGACAAGCAACAUGCAAUCAUGCAGAGGGAGGGCAAUCAUGCAUCAUACAGUCAAGCAGAGUACAAGAUAUAUCACUCAUGUCCACACAAAAAGCUACAACUAUCAGGAUGAAUAGCGAUAUGAACAUCAUGCUCAAAAGACGAUCAAGAUAAUAUGCAAGCCAGAGAAAAUAGCACAGCAAGUCAAAUGCUAUACACCAGUGAAUCCAUGCAUGUGAGGUGAACAGAACAAUCAUGGCAAAAUCAGAAUGACUACGCUAAGCAAUGCAAGAUGAUCAAUCAAUAUAAUCAGCAUGUCAAUGUACUCAACAAACAUGACAAUGAAGCACAGAAAAAUCAAAAUCCUCAAUGUGCAAUCAAGAUAUGAGCGUCCACUGAUCGUCCAAUUGAAUACCACGUUUGCUUCAUUCUAAGUUCAAGUUUGACCCUCUAAACAUCCCCAGCGGAGUCGCCAUUUUGUGGACCCCGCAUUUCGGCUCAAUGCGUUUCCCACUCGAUAGUGAGCUCGAUUUUUAUUUUGAAAAAGGAUGAUUUAAUCGGUUAAAAAAAAACUGACUUAGAGUCGCCACUUAUUUUUGUUUUAUUUUUAAGGGUAAACAAAAUAAGAAAGAAAAACCCUAAGUGUGACUCCUUGUUUUGGAAAAUGUCAGUCUACGAAAAAACAGAUCGGGUUCGGGGGUCAGGUUACUUAUCAGGAAGGUACGAUAUGAACCGUAGCACCCCUCUAAGCCCCUAAAAUGGGUCUCUACUAAUAAAAUGAAGCAGUCAUGACAAUUAAUUAGGAAAUCAAUGAAUACCCGGAACUAUCAUGCACAUAUGAGAAUCAGAGUAUGUAUAGUGAAUUAUCAGAAUGAGUGAAUGCGUACCUGGGCAACAAACAGCAACGCGCUAUCAUAAAAUGAGGUUAGUGAAUAAACACAAAAUGGUUAUAUGCAUAUCAUGGAACAUAGCAAAUCAAUCAAUCAAUCAAUUAGUCAUGAAUUCACAUAUGUAGGGCCCCCAUCAAAGCCCAUUUUAUCUUGCCUGAAUCAAUUCCGAUGGAAUUAUGGAAUUUGAUUCCUUGCUUAUUUCAAAACAUUUUAAAAACAGAGGAGGUAUGAAAAUUACUUGCCAGAAAUAAAAGCGGCGGCGAAGUGUUAUUGAAAAUGUGAUUUUGGAACCUAAAGAAACUCUAAGGAUGAAGUAUGAGACAAUUGGGAUUAUUUGAGUACCAAGAUUUAAAAGAAUUUACAAUAUGGGAUUCGGAUGAGAUAUCCGGGGAAGGCGGAACGUAGGCCAGAUGGAAUUCCGGAUGUGAGGUAUCCAGAGAAGGUGGAAUGUCGGCAGACAGAAUUCCGGGUGCGAGAUGUCCGGGUGGAAUGUUGGGGGGGGGGGGGGGGGGGAGGAAUUCCGGAUGCGAUGCGUUCGGAUGGAAUGGCGGUAGGAGGAAUCUCCGGAUGCGGGGGACGUCCAGGUGGAAUGGCAGCAGGAAGAAUUCCGGAUGCUGGGGCGUCCGGGUGGAAUGUUGGCGGAGGAGAAUUUCUGGAUGCGUAGGGCGUCCGGAUGGAAUGGCAGGAGGCAUGCUGAGUGCGAUGUGUCAGGAUGGAAUGGCAACGGGGGAAUUCCGAAUGCGAUAUGCGUCCAGGUGGAGUGUUGGCGGAGGAGAAAUUCCGGAUGCGAUGGGCGUCUGGGUGGAAUGGCGGCGGGAGGAAUCCUAGAUGCGAUGCGUCCGGAUGGAAUGAACAUGGUUGUGAGUAGCAUGAAGGAUGGGUAUGAACUGUAUGGACAUGGGGGCUUGGGUGAGUGGUUUUAAUGGGUAUGCGAAGGAGUGAAGGAUGGCAUGCACCCGUGAGACUCCAUGUAAGCGGGGGAGUGGGAUGGAGAAUGAAUGAGAGGCGGAUGGGUGUGGUGGAGGUGUAAACCCUCAAUUUUGUCCCUCGACACUGGCAUUUAUCCUUCGGGUGUCACAUCCACCCAUUGUUCGCAUAUGGCACCACUAGGGCCCCUUUUGGGCUUAGUCGAUGUCCGAGCCUUGUGUGGGUUUGUCUGUGGUCCAUUGUGGUGCAUAUGUGGUUCAUUUUGGAGGGUCACCCUGGCCAUUUUCCUAGUCGUUCACAUCACGCUAUAGGAAGGAAGUGGGGUCAUCCUGAUGUCUUAGCUUAGUUGGAGUUUAUAGGGGCAUGUUGAGGUUCGGAGCACUCGGGCUUGUUUUGAUCGUAUCUCCCUCAUCCAAACUCAGAAUCAAAAACCGUUUCUUUUUAUGGAUUCCUUAUUCUUCCAGGAACAUUCUGUAAAAUUUUCAAAAUUUUUUGCAACCGGUCGGCUGGUUGGCAGCCGGUUCAUCGAGUCAACCGGUGUAGAACACUGAUUUUUGGUAAUUGUUUUGAUCAUAUCUCCCUCUUUCGAACUUGGAAUCACAUACCGUUUUUUUUAAUGGAUUCCUUGCUCUACUAGGAACAUUUUGUCAAAUUUUCAGAAUUUUUUUCCAUCGGUUCGACCAGUUGGCAUCCGGUUCGGCCGGUUCAGCCGGUUCAUUGAGUUAGCUGAGGUAAAACACUAAUUCUAGUAAUUUUGAGGCCCAAAUCCUACAUGGCUCAGGCCCAUAAGCUCCAGAUCAGUUUUGGGCAAUGUUGUGGGUCCAUUUUAGGCCUUGGUUUGGGUUCCUUGCAGCCCACCAUGAAUCCAUAUGGAUUCUUGGUGGUGAAGCAAGCUGAAAAAACUGAAGGGAGUGAGCUGGCCUUGUAAGUCUAAGAGAAGUAAUGAGGGGUGUGGUUCCCAUGCUGAUGAAGGGAAUUUCGGUGCUGAAGGGGAAGGAACCCAGGAGGCUCAAAUGCUAAGAGGGGUAUGAGUAUAAAAGGUGAGAGGAUAGGAGAGCAAAUGACCUUUGACAUUUUGGAGAGGGGAAAUUCUGCUGGUGAGAAAAACAAAAGGUCAGUAGCAUCUUCUGAGUUGAGAGUGUGGGGGAAGCUUCAGCACUGUGGUUUUUUUGAAAAGGAGAGUGACAGCCUCUCAGUUUAGGAAGUCAUCAUCGGCAUGCACGAAUCAUAUUUGGUGGAGAUUCUGAGGUAACCACGAUGAAUUUUCUUUACUUACAGUUUAUCUUCCUUGUCUUCAUAUGCUUUUUCUCCUUCCUCAUCAUCUUUUCUUCCCUUUGAUAUGAAGAUUGUAUUGAUUGGGUGUGGAUAAUAAAGGCCACACAUGAUUGUUAUUGUUUUCUUCCUUGAUCACUUAGGAACUUUCUGACCGAAUUAGGGAUUUUCUACCAACCGGCUGAACCGGUUUGGAACGGGUUGAACCGGUUUAGCACCAUAGCUGGCUGCCUCUGUCAGCCAUGAGGAACACCUGCCUUUCUUUGUCCGAUUCUCACUCAUCCGAGCUUGGAAUUGAGAACCGUUUCUUUGUUCGCUUCCUUAAUCACUUAGGAACUUCCUGACCGAAUUUGGGAUUUUCUACCAACCGGCUGAACUGGUUUGGAACCAGUUCAACCGGUUCAGCACCAUAGCUGGCUGCCUCUGUCAGCCAUGAGGAACACUUGCCUUUCUUUGUCUGGUUCUCACUCAUCCGAGCUUCGAAUUGAGAAUCGUUUCUUUUGUUUGCUUCCUUAAUCACUUAGGAACUUCCUGACCGAAUUUGGGAUUUUUUAUCAACCGGAUGGACCGGUUGAGAACCGGUUCAACUGGUUCAGCACCAUAGCUAGCAGCCUCUGUCAGUCAUGAGGAACACUUGCCUUUCUUUGUCUGGUUCUCACUCAUCCGGGCUCGGAAUUGAGAACCGUUUCUUUUGUUUGCUUCCUUAAUCACUUAGAAACUUACUGACCGAAUUUGGUAUUUUUUUAUCAACCGGAUGAACUGGUUGGGAACCGGUUCAAUCGGUUCAGCACCAUAGCUGGUUGCCUCUUUCAGCCAUAAGGAACACCUGCCUUUCUUUGUUUGGUUCUCACUCAUCCGGGCUCGGGAUUGAGUGUCGUUUCUUUUGUUUGAAUCCUCACUCAUUUAUGAGUUUUCUAGAAAAAAUUGGGAAUUCUUCUCAAUAGGUUGUACCAGUUGAGAACUAGUUAAACCUGUUCUGCUGGAGAACUUUAGGUAGCCCUCGAUUUUGGCAUUUUUCGAGCCCUUAUCCAUGGGGGCUCAAACCCAUUUGCUAUAGGGCACUUGUGAGCCAUCUUGAAGGUUUAAGUCAGUGUUUGAUUUCAGUUAGUAUGGGCAAUUUUGAAGUUAUGGGUGGUGUGGUCUAGAUGAGUCUAGUUCGAUUUGUAUGACAUUUGGGGAGUCCCUUACCUCAUUUCAACCAGCUAUCUUCCUUUUUGGCACAAGCUUUGAUGCUUGAUUUUGAAUACAUGUUGCGUGACUGACUCACCCUCUACUGCAGCGCUUGGCUAGGGACCACAGGAAUGCAUCGUUGGCUUUGGUUGUUGAAUUCAUAUGCAUGCAUGGUGCUUAAUCUUGAAUGUUUGUUAUGUGUUUACCUGUGUUUGGUUGACCUUUUAUGCAGCACUUGGCUAAGGACCACAGGUACGCACCCAUUGUUUUGUUUGGUUGAAUUCAUAUGCAUGCCAAAUACCAAUUAGGAUUGUGUGAUCCAUGACAUCUAUUUAGCCUAGGGUUUCAUUUGACCUUUGACCCAUAUGCUCCCACAUACCCAAUUCAUUAGUAGAGACCGAGUUUCAGGCCUAGAGGGGUGCUACCUCGCAUGAGGUACCUUUCCAACGGGUAACCUGAUCCCCGGACCCAGAAUCUAGUUUUCGUAGACUGCUUUUUCCAUACUGGGGUCAUUAGGGGUUUUUGUUCUUACUUAAUUUUCCCCAUUUUAAAAACAAAAAUAAAAAGUAAGUGGCGACUCCAAACAACACCGUUCCUCACCAGGGGCGGGUUUUUUUUCAAAACUGGAAAACACCAACUUUUUCAUUUCUUUCUUUUCUUUUAAAAGCGAGUCGCGUCGGUCCGGUGGAUCGGGUGAGGGUCCACAGGAGGAUGCUUGACUCCUGCAAGCUCGAGUGAGGAAAAUGGAUAUGACGACCUAGAGAGAGAGAGAGUGAUAGAUGAACGAUGGGUAUGUAGGCAUAUUGGAUAAAACGAUGAAUAACAAACGAAAAUAGGUAUGGAGAGGCUGAUGAGGUGAGCUUUGCCGCCAUGACAACUACCCCAGGUUUUCUAGGAUUUCUUUCGAGCAGGGAUGAGAAAUUGGACGCGUACCAUAAUGGACAUCAAGAAACAGGGGAAGUAGAGUAACAGAACGUAAAAGAAGAUGAAUAAAUAAAGGAAAAUCUCGAAAAAUCCACUUCAUGAAUCAUCCAUGAAUCUUCUGAGCAGGUGGGUAAACCAUAUCGGAUGCAGCCACCCUCAUGACUCUCAAGCAUUUCAUAACCACAACAGGAACAUAUCAAAUUAAAAUGAACAAUGGCAAACACGUUUGCAGGGUCAUACUUCAACAAGCAGACUGGUGGCCUUCAUUAUUCACCCUAAACAGCAUUAUGUUAUGGAAAAUCAGUGAAUAAUGAGAGACGAGGAGAAAACUGUGUACGUACCUGGUUCCUCAAGCAAAAAGAAAUCAAGUCUCAACUCUCUCAAUGGAGUUUCUCUCUACCGUCAAGAACUCUCCCCUGGCCAUGGAAGACCUUGCCGAGCAAAUCUCCUUUCUCUCGAAAAUCCCCCCUCUAGCCAACUCUUCCCUCACAAAACUUUCUUCCUUCUUUCCUUUCUUUUCUCUGCCUUUCUUUCUGGAUUUGCCUUCCCGACCAUCUCUGCCGCAGCCACCUUUUCUCUGCCCUUAUCCCCCUUCUACGACCACCUUUUCUCUGCUCCACUCCUUCUGCAGCCACCUUUUUAUGUUUUACUCCUUCUGCAGCCACCUUUUUGUCCCACUCCUUUUGCAGCUUCAAAAAGCGAGGUUGAUUCCUUAUAGCCACUAAGGAUGUGACACGUGGCCCGUUGGGAUAGUGACACCUGGGUAAAAAUGUGAUCUAAAAAAACAAAUAGAGAAGAAGUGACCCAUGCCUAAAUGGGGGUCUACAGAAAUAUUUUCGAAGAAAUUUAUUUCCCUCAAAUUACUAAAUAUCCUUUUGGUAAUAACCUUUAAUGACAAAUUGAGACCACCUUAUCCAAUUAUGAAACAUUUAAUUCUUCAAGGAUUCUCAAAAAUAAAUUUAAGAAAAAUAUUUCAAAUUCUUAAGAAUAAAAUUAAAAAGGAACUUUAGCUCUCAUAUUCAAAAUUCCUUAUAAAUUUAAUUUCCUUAUCCCUACCCCUUUCCAAUUUAAUAAAUAUUCUUAAAUAUGAAAACUAAUUUUCAUAAUAAUUUAUUUCAUUAAAAUUACCAAAAACUAAACUUUUAGUAAUUCCUUUAAUGAUAAAGUAUUCAUCUUGAAAUUUUCCAAAAACAAUUAUUUAUUGUCCAAAUUAAGGAUUAGUGUAAUAAAAAAGUUUCCAAAAACUUGAAAAAUAAAAACUAAAGAGCACUUCAUCCAAAAGGGAACUGUGAGGAUUCUUAUCAAAAUAAUUUUAAAGAAAAUAAUUUAGAAUCCUUUGGAAUAAUUUAGAAAAUGAAACUUUGCUCUCUAAUUUAUUUUCACAAGUUUUAUUUUCUUAAUCUAUACUAUUUCAAAAUUAAGUAAAUAACAUGCUAUGGAAUAUAAUUUUCAAGAAAAUUUAUAUCCAUUAAAAUUACUAAGAGUUUCAUACAAUUUUCGUAAAAAAACUUUCAAUAAUUUUGGUGACCUUCUUAAAAUAAAUAAGAGAAUCUCCGCUUAAUUUAGAAACUUACAUCCUGAAAAUAAAAAUAAAAAUAAAAAUAAAAAUAAAAGAUCUUUUAAGGAUUUUCAGAAAAGGAAACUAGAUUGUCUCACAAUUUUUAAUUUUUUUUUUACAAAAAAUCAUUCCAUGUAAAAAUUCCUUAAUAGUAGCACCCUUCUAAUUUUGAAUAAAACUUGAUUUAGAAAUAACUUGCUCAUGAAAAUUUAUUUUCCAUAAGAAAAUCCAAAAUUAGUAACUUUGGAAGCACUUGCAAUAUUUUUCACAUGCAAUAUAACGAUAUGCAUCAAAAAGGAAAUAUUCCAAAGGAGAUCUCAUGGCCAAGGGAUAUUUUUCACAACUUACCAAUUGUGAAUCAAACUUAAUUGUCUUCAACUUAACAUUAAUACUUGGAUUCAAAACUUAACAAAAGAAGCUCUUGUAUAGCUUCCAUAAUUCAGCAACUUUCAAGCCCAACAAGUGGCCCUAAAGAUGAGCCUAAAAAAGCAAAAAAGAAUUGGACCCGUAUGCAAUCCCAUUACAACAUACCCUCUAUGCAGCUUUCCUUCAAACAACCAUAUCUCCGUCAUUUCAACUCCGAAUCGUGAACCGGUUAUGGCAUUCGAUUCCUGACUUCCUAAGCUUUUCUCAUUGCGCUUUUCUGUCAUUGAUGCGUCCAUGGCUUCCUAACUGAUGGUACCGAAUCAAGAGAAGGAGAACUUUGUUAUCUGACAACAUGCUUCAGCUUUAGGGCAUAUACUUAUGCAGGAGUUCAUAACCGGACCUAGGUUUCUUUCCAUAUGACCCCUAGAUUUGAAUGAGAGCCAAGGGUAAAGGAAAACCACAACAAAGGAACAUCCCAAAAACACGGCAUCACACAAACCCAAGAAUCACAAAAAUAGGUCUCAUCCCAUAUUGACAUCAAUGAGUUCAUGAGUAAAUAAGGAACUUAGGUGGGCACAAGACCAAAAACAUUAAUCUGAGCAUAUCACUAGACAGCUAAAAUAAAGUUAAGCCACACUUAAACAAGACCACAGAAAGAGCAACAUGCUUCAUCUAGGCAGAGCACAACAAUCUAGAGAGACAAUAGAAAUGGACAUAUAACCAAUAAUACCCAUGUUUAAGCAACGGGUGUGAGCCAGAAACAAUAAGAAAUGCAAAUAAAGUUAAAAAGUAAGGAAGAAGAAAAAUGAAAAAUACAGAGUGUUCAUACCUGGGAGGUUCUCUUCUCAAACAAAACUUCUCUCUAGCCUUCUCUCCGUGAACUUCUCUUUUUACUCUCUACUCUCCUUCCUCACAGCUCCAUUCAUUCAUUCUGAGGCUCCUCCCCUGGUUCACUCUCAAGUCCUCUUCGGGAAAAAAAAAACCCUCCCCCUCAAAGCUCUUUGCCACCUCCAAAAAAAAUUGUCUCCUUCCCCUGUUUUUUUUUUUUCUUCUCCCGCAAGCCAUUGUCUGCUCCACUGUUCCCAGCUCAGCAAGCCUCCAUCCAUCAUCUCUUGGUCCAACCACCACCAUGGAGAUGGUUACCCACUCCACCACAUGUCCCAUGCAGCUUAUUCAUCUCCAAGACCGUCCCAGCUCUUUCCCCACCCAAAAGAAAGCCUCUCCCCCCUAUUUUUAAAGGGGUCUACAGGUUCAUUUUUUCAAAAAUUAAAAUAUUUUUUUGGAGAAAUAAAAAUGAGAACAUGUUUUUGUGUUUAUUGUUUCAAAAAUAAAUUUUUGAAAAUAAAAAGAAUGAUUGAAAAUGAAGUAGUAUACUAAUUAUGAUUGUGACUCCUUUUUUAUUUAUUAUGUCUAUAAAUUCAUUGUUUUAGUUAGAGUUCAAUAAAAACUUAACUAAAAGUUUGAACAAAUAAUAAAAUUGUAGUUUAGAUUAUUUAUUUAUUUAUUUUUGAGAAUUUUGUUAACUCAUAACUCUUGGCGUCCCUAAUUGGAAUCAACAAGGACUUUUUUAAUACUAUUUUUUUUUUCUUUUGAGAAUUUGGGAUGCAAAUUUACUCCAUUAAUUUGGUUUAGGAUUUUGUAUUUUGUAUUUUAUUUUAUUUUUAUUUUUUUUGUGAUUUACACUCAUUUUCAACAUUCAAGUUUUUUGCAUAAUUAACUUGAGAUUCAACAAAUAAGUAUAACCAAAUUGAUUGAUAAAAAUGACCCAAAAGGCAUAAGUUUUCACAUGGAAAUUGAAAAUAAAAAUUUGAAAAUGAAUUUAAAUUUAGAAUUUAAAAAAGGAAAAUCUUUCAAAUCUCUUUUAAUUUUAAAAAAUAUUUUUAAAGUUUAAAAAAGAAAAUCUUUCAUUUCUAACAUUUUUUUUUCUUUUUUAUUUUUUAUUUUUGGGUAAAAUAUCAUUUAUAAAUUGAGCCAAGCCCACUAGGAUUUCUCUAAUAUAAAUAUCUCUUAGUUCUUAGAGAGUUUUCAAAGAUCACCCCCUAAACUUAAGCCAUUAUUCUUUGUGUUCAAUAAAAAACUUUCAAAGCAUUUUAAAUUUGUUUGUUGAGUUUGUGCUUUUGCAUCAGGAACAUGUUUGGGAUAUAAGUCUAUGAGAAUAAUAAUUGCUAGAUAACACUAUGUACUUAUUCUUCAAAUUUAGGGAAUUUUAAAUUUAUGGUCUUUGACCUUGUGGCUUUUAUAUCAUAGUCUCAAGAGGUUUUAUGAGUGAUUUUCCAUGUAAUCUCAUGUAUUUCCAAAUGAUUCUUUGUUUUAAUUUAUUCUUUAUAUCCUAAUCAAAGAACAUAUACAAACUAAAAAUUGGCAUACAUUGGCUUGAAGUCAAGAAGACUAUCUAUUCACUCCCUUCGAGGUGAUUGUGUGACACAAAAUAUGAAUAAAAUUGAUUGAGAACUAAGGGACUUAUAUUUAAAAAUUUUAUCCAUUCACUCUUAAAAAUUAUGUAUGUUCUUGAAGUGUCAACACUUAACCUAUGCUUCAUUCUUGAAAAACUUACGGAGAAAUACAACGAAAAGAAAAGAAAAUAAUAAGGAAAAAUAAAACAAAAGAAAAAGUAAAAAAAAUGUAUAUAUAUAUAAAGAUAAUGAAUUAUUUUUGUCACUUUAGAUCUAUUUUACCUAUUUUAACUCUUUUAUAUAAUGACUAAAUAAUUUGAAAAUAUAUAGUUUUCUCAUAAAUUUUAAUUAUAAUUCAUUUUCUUUCAUACUUUAAUUUUCAUUGAGAAUAUUUUCCUUUUUCUUUUUUAAGCACUUCCCUGAGAUCAAACAUUGCAUAAAAAAAAUCUCUUAGAGGUUUUUAUGGCCUUUGGAAAUGGAUAUUCAAUCGGCAAGAGUUGAAUAUAGCAUUCUGAAAUCCAUGAAGGUUUUCAUUUGGUUCUUUUAAUAUAUAUGUACAACAAUAUCAUUAUUUUUCACACAUGUUUUAGGGAAACUUAUGAAUACGGCCCCUUGAUUCCUUUAUAUAUAGUUAACAAUAUCGAUAUAUGUAUUUAGUGUUUAAGUUUAUUUUUUUUAGUUUUAAUUAUAUUUUUCAUAUUUUUAUUUUGUUGUUGGCCAUAAUUAAUAAAAAUUUAAUAAGUUUUAAUGAAAUUCAAAGUAAUCUCAAUAAUGUUCCACAUCUGCUUUCCCUUCCAGCCAUUCAGUCUGCUUUCCCACGUCUUGGAUUUCAAUAAUUCUAAUGAACCAUCCCAUCAAUACUGAAGAUUCCAAGCUAUCUUAUUCAUAUAUACUUACCAAUCAAGUGCUUGAGUGAGGUACAGUUCUUGUUACCAGCUACAUGUCUACUGAUCACUCGGCCCCAAAUGCUAAUCCAGAGACAAAUCGCCCGACUCCAAAUUAUCACCCUAGCAUUUGGGGCAAUCGUUUCAUCAUGACCAACACACCUGAUGAUGAAGGUGAUUUUGUGAUAUCUGUAGUUUGCAUAACAAGAUCUUAACCAUCUAAAGAUUUUCUUAAUUUUUUUUUCUUGCAAUUUAUUGGUACAGAUAACUCUGGCCCAUGAAGAGCAGCAGUUGGAAGAUCUGAAGCAGGAAGUGAGAAGAGAGCUAAUAGCUGCAGCUAGUAACCUUUCCCAACAGCUCAAGUUCAUUGAUGCAGUUCAACGGCUGGGGUUGGCAUACCACUUUGAAAAGGAGAUAGAAGAAGCAUUACAACAUACUUAUGAUAACUAUCAUGAGAUUGAUGAUAUAAAUGAUGAUCUCUAUAACGUUGCACUUUGAUUUGGACUACUAAGACAACAAGGCUUCAAUAUUUCCUGUGGUAAGCCUCAUGAAUAUCAUGUGUUAUAUAGCAAAGCUCACAUAUAACAUUCUAUGUUUGGGUGAUGAUUUCAGAUGUAUUCAACAAGAGAAGGGAAGGUUCAAAGAAUCUGUGAUGAUCAAUGAUGCUUGUGGCCAACUAGGCUUGUAUGAAACUGUGCACAUCUCAGGUUUGGGAAGAAGAUACACUAAAUGAGGCACUUGCUUUCACCACCACUCACCUCAAGUCUAUGGUAGAACAUUUAGGAUACCCUCUUGCAGCACAAGAAACUCAUGCCCUAGACCAGCCCAUUAGGAAAGGCUUGGAGAGGCUAGAGGCAAGGCCUUUCAUGCAUGUCUAUCUACCAAGAUGAAGCUUCACAUAGUAAAGCUUUACUAACGUUUGCAAAGUUAGAUUUCAACCUACUGCAGUCACUGUAUAAGAAAGAGCUGAGUAAUAUAUCGAGGUUAGUUCUCAAAUCAUUCUUGGACUUAAAUUCAAAUUAAAAAUUUACUAGGUCUUUUAUGUGGAUUAAUGUAUUUUAUCAGGUGGUGGAAAGACCGAGAUUUCUCUUCAAGGCUACCUUUUCCCAAGGGUUGUCUCUAUCAGUAUUAUUUUAUAAUAACAAAAUUCACAUUAUUUUAUCAUUACAUAAUAUGUUAAAGACUUGAUGAACAGUAACAUGCCUUACCAUAAAUUAAAGAAGAGUAGUACAUUCUUCUACCAAGGAUUGUAUGGAUUGAUGCAAUUCUAGUAUGUAAUUAGUUUUUAAUAAAAUAAAUAAAUAAAUAAAUACAAUUUUUUUUUUGUAGAAAAUAUAUUUUAUUUUUUAUUUUAUAUAAUAAAUAAUUAAAAAUUUUAACAAAUCAAAAUGUUAAAAACCACAAUCAAUUUUUUAUAUUUUUUUAAUUAAAAUAUUAAACAUUUUAAUAAAAAAAAAACCACAAUCAAGUUAGAUACAAAUAAGUAAAAAACUAAAUUUGUUCAUUAUGUAUUUAUUUUUAUAUUAAUUUUUUUUAUUAGUUAUUUAUGACAUAUUAUUAUUAUUUUUUGUUUAAAAUGUUUAUAAAUAAUUAAAAUCAAAGGUGAAAAAGUGAAAAAAAUGAAAUUAAAAAACAAAAGCUAAAAUAAUAUGACAUGUUGGUUCGCCGAAACUUAAAAACAUGGGUGAAAGAAAAAAUCCAUUAUGAACUUUUUGACUAGUCAUGUAAAAUAUUUUUUAAAAGAGAAAAGUACGGUAAUUGACUGCAGGCUAUAGGGCAAGAAAAGUUGAAAGGGCAAUUUUGAAAUUUUGACUUCCAUGGAAGUUACCAGGAAAAAGAUAUUCUGGCCGGACGACUUCCAUGGUUUAAAGAAUUCAUCCUAACGGGUAAAAUAUUAUUAUUAUUAUUAUUAUUAUUAUAAUAUUAGACAUGCUAAAAGUUUUAUUAUAUACCAUGUAAAAAAUAAAAGUUAUGAUAUUAUAUAAGGUUGGAAUUCGAAGUUCAAGCUUAUUAAACUAUACAGAUUUUAAAAUUUUGUCAAAAAAGAAAAAAAAAUGGAGAAUUAAUUAAAUGGACUCAUCAUUUUCCAUGCAAAAAUUAAAAUAUUGAAAAUUACAUAAAGAUCGAGGAUUAUAUUUUACAAAAACAUUGGAAUGAAUCAAUAAUACAUAUAUUGAAUUCUUUUAAAUAUAUAUAUAAUAACAUUUGUGAUAUUGAAUAAUAAUCCAUAGAGCUUGAAAAUGCAUUUCAUUUUGAUUCUAUGUAAUUUGAAAAUAAAUAUUUAUAUUCUAAUGGUGAUGAAAACAAAUUAAGCCGAGGCUUCAAAUCAGAUUUUCUUUGCAAUGAAACAAACUAUCACUACAAGAAAAUGUACUUUUCGUGACAAAAAUUUAGGGGCGAAUUCUAAUUUUGUCGCUAAAAGUAACUUUUACUGAUGAAAUUUUAGAUGUUGUCAAUAAUGUCAAUUUUCUAUAAACUUUUCCUAAUGAAUUUGAAAUUUUUGUCGCUAAAAGAUGUGGCGGGAAAAUUUAGCGCUUUUUUUUUGGCGCAAACACUUUUGUGACAAAAAUAAACUAUUUCCCUACGAAAAUAUUUAUCACUAAUUAUAAUUUUUGGUGAUGAAAAUAAUUUUCUUACUAAAAGUUACAACCUUUUAUCUAUUUUUGCUUACAAAAUGGUUUCGUCGGUAUUUAUAUUAUUUCCUGACAAAUUGAGUAAUUUUGUCACCAAAUAAUGUUAUUAAAUUGUGAUAUUAAUAAAGAAUAUUAAUAAAUAAGUAGAUUAUUUAUACUAUGAAAUAAUACAAUAUAUAUUUGUUGACACUUAAUAUUUAUACUAUAAUAUUUUAUUUAUAUAAAUAAUAAUAAAAAUUAAGGAUCCACAAAAUUAAAUACUAGAAUGUAGAUUUAUUUAAAUUUAAAUGUUCUAUUAUGUAAUAAUAGUAUUGUUAUGAAAUAACAAAAAUGUAAAUUAUUUAAGCAAUUAAUAUUUAUAGUGUAAUAUGUUAUUUAUAUUUAUAUAUAUAUAUAUAUAUAUAUAUAUAUAAAUAAUAACAAUAGAUAAUCCAAGAUAUGUAAGAUUACAUCCUAUGAUAUAAAUUUAUUUAAAUUUCAAUAUUAUUAUAUGGUNNNNNNNNNNNNNNNNNNNNNNNNNNNNNNNNNNNNNNNNNNNNNNNNNNNNNNNNNNNNNNNNNNNNNNNNNNNNNNNNNNNNNNNNNNNNNNNNNNNNAAUGUAGUAUUAAAUUUAUGUUAGCUAUGAAUAAGUAAAUUUAUUCAAAAUCAUACCUUAUCCACUCAAGAAGUAAAUUUAUACUAACAUUUAGUUACCUAGUUUAAAUUAAUAGAUUUUUUUUUAAAUUAUUACUUGGUUUUUAAAUAAUUGGUCAGAAUUAACUUUCUCAAAUAAAUUGUCUAGUAUCUAUAAAAACAUUCUACCUACAUAAAAUUCCAAAUAUUAUUUAUGUGUACGAAGAUAUCAUAUAUUAUUAAUAAAUAAAUAAGUAUAAGUUAAAUAUUAUAUGAUAUAAUAUAUUGUAAGUACUAUAUGCUUAGCUCUAUUUUCAUAUUUACAAAAUAAAAAAUGUCUUAUAUAUAUAGCACAUAUGAAAUUCUAUAUAAAUAUAAAGUUUUUUUAAAAGUUUUCAACCACAUCUUUAUUAAUAAUUGGUUAUUUUAUUUUUUAUUGAUCAAUUAUAUAUUUAUUAUUUUUAAUUAUUAAUUACUAAUUUAUCAAAAUUGAUAUUAAGAAUAAAAUCUUAAAUUAUACCGCAAAAUAGUAACUUCUAUGACUACUAACUUGUAAAGGAGUUUUUAUACUUGUAUGCAUUUUUAAUCAAAUAUUUAAAACAAAUGUAGUUAAAAAUAAUUGAAAUAUAUCAUAAAUUAUUAUAUGAUUUAUAUUUAUAGUGUUUCAUUAUGUUUGAUAUUUUUGUUUGGAAUAGAUGAGAAAGGGAGAGAAAAAAAAAUGAUGUAGAAUCCUAAUUUCAUUUUGAUCAUUAUUUUAUUAAUGUCAAUAUGAGUAUUACACUUUGGCAUUCUCCUAACAUUGUCUUUCAAUUAUACUUUUAUUUUAUAUUUCAAAUUUAUCACUUUAAUCCAUAAGUCUGGAAUUGAAUUUAUUAUAGAUAUUAAUAAACUAUAGUCCUCUAAUUUGUUCUCAUUCAACAUUAGGUUUGUUUAGAGGUGACAAAAUUUGAUAUGACUUAUCAAUAUGACUUGAAUCUAACACCCUUUCAUGAUUUUGGGUUGAGUAUAAUUGAGUUCAAGUCAAAUUCAUGUCGACUAUGGAGAGUGACCUUAAAUAAUAUAAGGUCCCAAUUUUGAUCACCAAUUGGUUUUCAGAACAAAUGGGGGCCUUGUCAUAAAAUACUCUGUGGUUAAGCGUGUUACAGUCAAAGAAAUCUUAGGAUGAGUGACCCACUGGGAAGUACGGAGCACCUCGAUCUACAAGUGAUAUCAAAGCUUGGUCAUAUGUUUGACGGGUGAGCUAGCACUGUGGGUGAAUGGCGAAGGCCUAGAGCGUGGCCAAGACAACUAACAAAGAUGGUAUACUAUCACCGACAUCACCGACGAAAUUAAUUUGUUACCAAAAAUAUUUGGCAAUAAAAAUAAAAUUCGUCGGCAUUAAAUAUUGACGACUUUUGGGACAAAUUUUAUUUUUUUCGUGACAAAAAUUCUUACUUUUGUUGAUGAAAUAUUUCGUUGGAAAACACCUUCAGUGACAAAAUUUUAUUUCAUCAAGGAAAACUUUGGGCGACAAAAUAAGAUUUUUGUCACGAAACUUUUAGCAACGGGUCUAGGGCGACGAAUAAGGCACGAAAGAAUUUUCGUUGGGGAAUGUUUUUGUAGACGAAAUUUAGACUUUCAGUGACAAAAUAUUUUGUCGCUAAAAGUCAAUUUUCUUGUAGUAUAUGCUUGGUAGACAUAUUUAUGUUUUUGAAAAUGAUGGAUGUUAAUUUCAGAUUUUGCUUUGAAAUUAAGCCACCUAACACAGUUGUCUUUAGCGAACGCAACUUCAAAUGGGCAAUAAUGCAUGGCAGCUUUUGACUUCAAAGCAUUAUAUAUAUAUAUAUAUAUAUAUAUAUGUAACAACUUUCCUCUUAAGCAAAGCACCCAAGUAUUCUUCAACUCUAACUCUAUUUUAGUUGGGCUCUUACCAAGGUAGUGACAUCUUGAAUCUAACAAAAACUUGAUAAAAUAUUUAUAUAAUAAUUAUAAUUUAUAUUAUUAUGGACUCAUGCACAUUUUUCACGUGUUCCUACUCGAUGAAAUUGAACUAUGAACCUUACUGAUGUGUACCCAAAUCGUACCAUUUAUUUAUAGUAUUGUCAUUAUAAUAUUGAAAUAUGGGAAAUUUUAAUAGACCAAACAGACCUCAAUAGACCAAAGCCACCAAAUAGCAACUGAAGAAACCGGAAAGCGUUUAUUCCAAACAUGGUAUACUCUGGAACAUGAAACAGAAGCUAGAGUAUACUAUCUUUAUUUGUGUCACAUAUAUCUCCACUCUCAUAUUGGCACAGGGUCUAUGAGCAGCAUUGAAAUAUCAUUUUUCAUCACUUCUUCAGGAUGUGAGAACAUAUCUUUGUGGCCCUUGUACAUCACAUCUCCUGAUCGAGCAAAAUUGAGAAGACGACUAAGGAGAAGCAUUGGAACUGCAGUAGGUCUGAGGCUCUCUUCAUUUAUAUCCUUCCAUGCAUUCUCGAUUUGCUUGUGAAGCUCAUCAUAUGCUUGUUGCUCCGACACACCAUGUUGCUUCAUGUAACAUUCGAUGCUUGAUGCAUUAUGCCCUCUCUCUUGCUCAAACUGCAGAAAUAGUAAUAUAAGGUGUAAAAAAGAAAUUGAUAUACAAUAGAUUUUCUUUAUCUUUAUGGGAUUGAUAUCCAAGUAUCAGUAGGAAGUGUUGUUUCAUUGUACCUUGUGGGAAGCCAUGUCAUCCAUGAGCCUCAUGACUGUGGAGGCAGCUCUAACAAUCUUAGGGUUUUGUUGCACCCAAUCAAAGACUUCCUUGGUUGCAGUCUCUCUCAUGCCAAUAAAAGACAUGAUUGUUAACGGGGGGACACCAACAGUUACCAUUGCGAUACCCAUGUACUCUUCUAUUGUUGGUAUGUAUUUUCCACGGAACCAUUUGGCUUGGACCAAGUUAGCUUGGAACAAGCUUUUAAUCUAGGAUAAAAAUUCAGCCAAGUAAAUAUAUCAUGCAAGUAUUAUAUAUAGCAUUUUAUUUACAGUACAAUAUAGGAUAUCAUAAACACAAUAGAGUUCAAAGAAUCCUACUGCAUCUUUCGUAUGGUGGACACAGUAUGAUCUUUCUGUGUUUUCCAUCUCCUCAAUUUCUUUGUAGACAUCUAGGACUGCCUGAUAGCACGGCUUCAAGUAUUCAGGAAACUGAUCUAUGCUGUUAAUAUCCCACCUGAAAAUCAAGUACCAAGUUCCCUUUUAAAGUUCAAAUAUGAAAUCAAUUCAUUGGUCGUAGGUAAUUUGAAUCUCGCAUGUAUCAAACCUCUCAAUUGCCUCUGUAAAGAGCUCCAGUUCUUCAAAUGUUCCAUAUGCAUCAAAUAUAUCAUCCACAGUUGUUAUCAGAGCAACUACUUUGGUCUGUAUUCUUCUAGCAUAUGAAUACUGGGGCUCAGAACAACUUAUUGCUAUCCAAAAGUACCCUUCUACCAAUCGAUCUCUGGCAAAAGGUAGCUUUGAAGAGAAAUCUAGGUCUUUCCACCACCUAAGAAAAUACAUUAAUCCACAUAAAAGACCUGGUAAACUGUUGAUUUGAAUUUAAGUGCAAGAAUGAUUUGAGAACUAACCUCGAUAUAUUACUCAGCUCUUUCUUAUACAGUGACUGCAGUAGGUUGAAAUCUAACUUUGCAAACUUUAGUAAAGCUUUACUAUGUGAAGCUUCAUCUUGGUAGAUAGACAUGAAAGGCCUUGCCUCUAGCCUCUCCAAGCCUUUCCUAAUGGGCCGGUCUAGGGCAUGCGUUACUUGUGCUGCAAGAGGGUAUGCUAAAUGUUCUACCAUAGACUUGAGGUGAGCGGUGGUGAAAGCAAGUGCUUCAUCUAGUAUAUCUUCUUCCCGCACCCUGAGAUGUGCAGCUUCAUACAAGCCUAGUAGGCCACAUGGAUCAUUGAUCAAAGACUCCUUGAACCUUCCCUUUUCAUCUUUGUACCUCUUGAAUAUAUCUGCAAUCAUCACCAAAACAUAGAAUGUUAUAUGUGAGCUUUGCUAGAUGAUAUUCAAGCACCUUAUACAUGAUAUUCAUGAGGCUUACCACAUGAAAUAUUGAAGCCUUGUUGUCUUAGUAGUCGAAAUCGAAGUGCAACAUCAUAGAGAUCAUCAUUUAUGUCAUCAAUGCAAUGAUAGUUAUCAUAGGUAUUUUGUAAUGCUUCUUCUAUAUCCUUUUCAAAGUGGUAUGCCACCCCAAGCCGUUGAACUGCAUCGAUAAACUUCAGCUGUUUUGAAGGGUUACUAGCUGCAGCCAUCAGCUCUCUUCUAACUUCCUCCUUUAGAUCUUCCAACUGCUGCUCUUUAUGGGCCAGAGUUAUCUGCAUCAAUAAAUUGCAAGAACAAAAAGUGAGAAAAUCUUUAGGUCUUGUUAUGCAAACUACAUACAUGAUCAGAAAAUUACCUCAUCCUCAGGAGUGUUGCUCACGAUGAAGCUAUUGCCCCAAAUGCUAGGCUGAUAAUUUGCAGUUCGGCGAUUAGUCUCUGGAUUAGCAACUGGGGCUGGAGAAGACAUGUCGCUGGUAGCCAGAAUUAAGGCCAUGUGUAACUCACUCAAGAACUCAAUAUAUGAAUAAGAUGGCUUGCAAUCUUCGGUAUUUAUAGGAUGGGAAAUGGUUCAUUACAAUUAUUGAAUAUCAAUCCCAGAUUCCCAGUAGCAUGGAUACAAUUAAUUCAAGAUCACCUAUCAUAUUUAAACCAUGUUUUUUAAAAAUUAAAUAUUUAAAAUAUGUUUUUAUUUCUCUUAGAAUAGGAAAAAUGUAGCUUAUUCCCUUAAUAAUUCUCAGUAUCCAAUCAGCCACCCAACAGUUUUCACGUUAAGAUCUUUGGGAAAAGUGGGUCCUGCUUCACUAAUUUAAAAAUAUAUAAAUAAAAACAACCCAAAUUUUAUUAAUCAAUUUUAUCUUCAUUAAUUCAAAAAUAUUUUAAAAUACAUGUAAUUUUUCAAAAAUCAAAUAAUUAUUUCUUGAAAUGACCUUUUACUUCACAAUAUUAAAUAAAAUUAUGAGAAAAAAAUUAAUUUAUCACUUUAAGUUAAUAAAAGCAUCUUACAAAUAAAUAUAUUAAAUUUUUUUAUAAUAUAAUAUGGGGUACAAAUCAUUGUGAAAAAAUUUCUACAUGAUUUUGAAGUGAUAAAUAAAAUUAUUUCUAAUCUUGUAAUUAAUAAUGAUUUUAUAUUAUAUAUUAUAUAAAUCAUUUCAUCUUCCUAUCUUUUUAAAUAAAAUUGAAUAAAAUUUUUGUUGGUUGACAUCAAUAAUAAAAUAAUUUAAAAAAAUAAAAUAAAAGUUAAAAAUAUAAAAAUAAAAUAUUGACUUUUACUUCACUCAUAAUACAUUAGUUAAAAACAUAGAUAUGAGAAAUAUAAUAGGAGUUAAUGUUUUAUUUAAUUUUUAUUUAUUUAUUUUUUGAAUGUAUUUAAUUUUUAAAAUUUAUUAUUUUAUUAUUGUUCAAUAUUCUUAACCAUGUUUGUUUAUAAAGAGAAUAAAAAAAAUCGUAAAUCCAAUCUCACAGUUGAAAGGACACCAUAACUAAAAGUGAGAUUGGUUAUUUACAAUUAAGUAUCUAUAUGCUUAUUUGUCCAUUGAUAUUAUUAACAUAAUAAAUAAAAGGGUUAUUUCAGGAAAUAAUUAUUUAAUUUAUGAAAAAUGCAUAUGUUUUAACAUAUAUUUAAAUGGAUGAAAAUAAAAUUAAUUUGUAAAACUUUUAAUUUUAUAUAUAUAUAUAUAUAUAUAUAUAUAUAUAUAUAUUUUCAAAUUAGUGAGUCAUAACCUAGUUUUCCCUUAACCUUUCAUUGUACAAUAAAAUUAAUAUCAUGGUAAUAAAAGAAUUUGGUUAUAACUGGGAACUAAGUUAUUUUAUUUACAACCCAAACCCAAAAAUUAUUGUCUAGAUUAAAAGAAAAUUGAAAAUAAUUUGUUUUUCAAUCACACCUAUGGUAAGAAUCAUAUUAUUAAUUAUUUUGAUUCUUAAUUAAAAAUAAAUAAUAAUAAUAGAAAUAUAAUUUUUUUUUUAAUUGAAAUGUGAUUUGAGUUAGGAUAACUCUUAAAUUUUUGACAAAUUUUCAAUCCCAAUAUUUCAUUUACGUAAACCACAUAAUAUUUAAUAACUAAUUCUGCUAUAUAUAGGUCGUGCAUCAAUGAAAUGAUGCUUGAUAUGUCAAAUGUCCUUUCACACAUGCUUCUCAAUUUCUUCAUUUUGAAUGUUUAUAAUGACAAAGAAAAAAAGUUACCUGAUGUGAUUCAAAUUAAACCACCAAGUCCCUAAAGGAGACAUAUGUAACCAGCCAAUCACUUCUUCACAUGAAAUCAUAUUAUUAAUUAUUUUGAUUAUUAAUUAAAAAUAAAUAAUAAUAAUAGAAAUAUAAUUUUUUUUAAUUGAAAUGUGAUUUGAGUUAGGAUAACUCUUAAAUUUUUGACAAAUUUUCAAUCCCAAUAUUUCAUUUACGUAAACCACCAAUUCUGCUAUAUAAUUGGUUCAAAUGUCCUUUCACACAUGCUUCUCAAUUUCUUCAUUUUGAAUGUUUAUAAUGACAAAGAAAAAAAGUUACCUGAUGUGAUUCAAAUUAAACCACCAAGUCCCUAAAGGAGACGUAUGUAACCAGCCAAUCACUUCUUCACAUGAAAUCAUUCCUCCACCUUAUCGUAAUAAUUGAUUCUUCACCCACCAAUAAUUUUAAACUCCCCUAAUAUGGUAAUUACAUCUCCUCCUUCUAUCAAUUUCUAAACCCCAACCUUAUAUUAAUCUCUAAAAAUUCCAUCCCUUAAAUCGGAGUGGUGUGACUUAAGAGUUCUAAACAAUCAAUGAAUCCAAAAUAAUCAUUUAAGUUAUAUUAAAUCAUUAUAUUUAUUUAUUAAACAUCUUUUAAGUAAGACUUAUUAUAAAACAAGACUUACUUAUUUCGUAAUUUAACUAUUUUAAUGUUUAAGAAAAUUGGAGGAUGCUUUGAAUCCAGAAAAACUAAAUCUCAAUCAUAGCAUGUCUAGUUUGAUUUGAUGUGAUUUAGUGUAAGAAAUUUGAUGUGAUUUCAUGGACCCUUAUGUUUAUGAAAGCUAAAAAUUGGUAGGCAAUGAAAAUAAAAUAAUUUAUAGGGCAAAAGCAUGAAUUUCAAUUAUAGGAUAAAAAGUUGUAAUAUAACAAAAAUAAUCAUAUGUAUAUAACAAAAGGACUACCAAUACUUUACCAAGGACCUUUGAAGACGAAAAGAAAAUAAAGGAAUUUGAUAAAAAGUUGCUAUUGAAACUUAGCAAGACAUCGUUUUUCUAUUCUAUAUAUAGUCAUUUACAAUAUUUCAUACAACAUACAAUAUUGUCCACAGUAAAAUUCUAGGAGAAAAUUAUAAUCUACAAUAUUCUCCAUAACAAAAUUUUGGGAAAGAAUUAUAGAUGUCAAGGGAGAGUUUCGGGAAAGAAUUACAAUACUUAUCAAAGCACAUAUUUUAGGGGACUUAUGAUAAUAAUUAUACAGUAGAUUAUGGGAGAAGAAUCUAAGAGAAUUCAACUUUGGUUUGGAUUGAUAACUACAUACCUAAAUAGGUUGAGGUUGACCACUAUUUUGCUUAACACCUCCCUUGCAAGCAAAACAAGAUUUCAUAUAUUGUGAGCUUGGAUCAUAGAUGAUGAAGUCGCAAUGAGGAUAGACCUUUUGUAAAAAUAUCAACCAUUUGAUCUUUUAUGGGCACAUUAUGAAUCUCAAGGUCAUAUUGCAUCUCUUCCUCUCUAAAAAAGUCAUUGUCAAUUUCUAUAUACAUUGUGCAAGCAUGAAAGACAUCAGAGAAUGACAAUAGAUAAAACUAAAGUUCUAAUGAAUUUGAAUCAAGAUAGUUUGGUAAUUGAUUUAUAAUAGCAAAGAAACAAGUAUAAAAUGAAAAACACCCGGAUGGAUUUUUUUUUUUUUAAUCCUUAUUUUCUAAGGAAAUAAUGGGGAAAAUAUAUUUUAUUUUUGGAUCUUUAUAAAAUUAAAUAAACAAAUCUUAAUCUAGAUGGAGACCUUCCAAAGAUUUUUUUUUUAAUUGUUUAAAACCAAUUAAUGAACAUAAAAUAGUAAUCUAAGGGUUAGAAAAUUACCUGAAAAAAACUGAUCUUUGAAUCCGAAGGUCUUAAACCUUCAACCCUAUGUUCGGUGAUUUCUUUUACCUCUAUGUAAAAAUGGUUUUUGUACAAUGAAGUAAGGGAAUCUAAUUUAUACAUUCUAAUUGCAUUGUAUGUAAGAAAUUUUGACAUGUUGCCAAUAAGUGCUUCAAAGAACUCUUUGAAAAUGUCGAACUUAUGUAAAUAGGCUAGUGAGUGAGUUUAAGUACAUUAGAAAUCAUAUUUGAAUAUCAAGAGCGGUUGUAGGUUUCAUACUAGGGCCAUGAAAGGAAGCAAUCCUACUAACACUCUCCCUAAAACUACACAAAUUUGGGAUAAGAAAGAAGACCUAAUUAUACCUAAAGGUUCAUUCAUUCAUUAAGAAAUCUUUUGGAGUUUCCUCUUCUAAUUAGCCUAUUUUGUUUCAUAGCUUAGAGUCUAGUAUUAGUGUUUCAUUCUUUAUCCUUAGUAUUAUAUCUUUUUUGGAGUCUCUUACUCUUUGUUUUAUCUUUUAUUUUUUUAUUUAGGACUUCCUUGUUAAAUACUCUUUGUUUAGUCUAGGUCUAGGAUCUAGGGGGGAGUGUCUUACUCUUUAAUGUAUGAUUUAUAUCUUGUAUCAAAGUUGUAUCUCUUUUAAAUUUUAGGGUAUGAUAUUUGGGGGAUGGGAUAUUGGUUUGGGGCCUAAGGUUUAAAAUCAUACCCUUUGAAAGUUCAAUACUUUUUUUGAAUUAUUAUUUUUUAUUUGUUUUUCAGAAUUUCAUGGAAUUAGGGUAUAUGAACAUGAUUAGAAAUAUUAGAAUUGAUUGAGACAAUAAUCUUUGAGAGUGAGGAUUUAUUUAAAUACUUCAUUAUGUGAUUUAAAUGUUUUCUAAAUUCUAAAGUUAUGAGAAUAUAUUUCUUGUCACUUUUAAAAGGAAUUUGAAUCUAAUUAUUUCUUCUUCUUCUUUAUUUUUGUGUAAAACAGUCAUGCAUUCGAUGAAACGGUUUUUUGAGAGGAAGUCUCCAGAACGGCCAGGGAGAUUUCUAGAGAGAUCGGGAAGGUUGUGAGAAGAGAGAGAGUUCUAGAGAGAUCAGGAAGGUUGAGAGAAGAGAGACAGAGAUCAUACCAGAGAGAAUAACGAGGGCCAUCUGAGAAGCUUCGGAAGGUGAGAGAGGAGAGUUUUCCACGGAUACAGAGAAAUUUUCUGGAUUUCUUCUCCCUGUGGAGAGCUUGCUGGUGCAUCUUCGAAGUUCGUUACUGCCAGAAUAGCUCGCCACUGUGGAGAGCUUGCUGAUCGUCGAUCAUACACCUCCAUUGGCAAACUUGAAUCAGACUAGCUAAGUAUCACUGGUCAUUUUGGGACUUCUCCAGAAUUUUCAUCAUCACCCUCUUCAUCUCAAGAUCGAUUUUAUGCGCGUCAGAUUUUCUCCAUGUCCAUAAUCAACGUACAAGUUAGUUAUGCUUGAUUCUUUUAGUUUGAAAUCAAUAUGCGAAUGUCUUGUGCCAUGUAAUCAGAGAUUUGCCAUAAAGUUCUUUAAAGAUUCAAGUUCCAAAUGAAAGAAUUAAAAAUCAGUGUAGUUGAUCAUGCAAUGUGCUUAGCUAGCUUUGAAGAAUCAUUAUCGAUGGUCUUUGAUUUGGAGUUUUUAAGAUAUAUAUGGAUUAAAUCAAUAUAGCCAGUUGUGAUCUGAUAAUUGUUUGUGUUCUCUUGUUUAUUUAAAGUAGAAAGAAAUAUAAUGAAAGCCAAGAUGCAGUAGCUGUUCAUUUCAUUUUUAUCAUCAUUCUAAUUUAUGGAAAAUGCAUGUUAGAAAUCAACAUAAAUGAAAUAUAUUGGUUGGAUUUUUAUAAGAAAAUGCAUGUUAGAAUGUAAAAGAAAUGAGGUGUAGAGAUUGAUUUUUAUGGAAAUAGAUGUUGGAUGUCAAAUUAAAAAAUGAGAUACCAUGACUUUAUAUAUAUAUAUUGAAAAUCAAUAGAAAAUAGAAUAGAGAAAUUGAAUUUCUUUAAUACAAAUGCAUGCUAAUGCUAAUGAAGCAUGAUCCAUUGAGUGAAAACUAGAAAUUCCAAUUAUCUUAUUGUUAAUGCUUACAUGAAAUUUGAAUUAAUAAUAUGAAGAUUAUUAAGAAAAAUAGUGUUUUAUUCAUAUAAUGGUGGAACAAAUAUUUUAUUUUUGGUUUGAACUUCAAUAUGAUGUAAAUAAAUUAAUUUUAUCACUAUUUUUAUUUAGGCCUUUAUUCAUUUCAUGAUUUUUGAAUACUUGUCCGUUUAAGUUGGGUGUGGACCAAUUGGGCCACACAUGAGUGUUGUUAAAAUCUGAAAUUUAGGAAGUUAAUGAUUAAAUAUGGAUUGUUUGAUGAAUUAUGACUGAGAUAUAGUUAAUUUUUUUUCUCCAAAAUUUCUUUUCAUCUAAGUAAGCCAUUGGAUAAUCACGUGACAAUUGGCUUUGAAUAGAUUCUCUUUAUUUUGAUUCAUGUAAAUUUGGGUUAUCUUAAUUUCCUAAAAUAAUCCACACAUGUACACUUACAAUUUUUUUUGGUAAUCCAAAUUCAUAAAUUUUAAAAUAUACAUAAACCGAUUUUUUAUUUUUUUUAAAAAAAAUUGAUUUUAUACCUCGUUCAUAACAAAACCAAUCUUAGUCUAUUUUAUAAUGAAUUAUUUUUAUAUUCAAAGCCCAUCUUAGUCUCUUUUAAGCAUAAAAUUUCCCUUUUUUUUUUCGGUAUACAACUUGGAAAGGUUUUAAAAAUGAAUUUUGGUCUUAAAUACACGCGAAUUAAAAUUCAUAGUUCCAACUAAUAGAUUCUUUAUGAAUAGAUUCACGUAGAUUAAAUGGGAUUCAAUAAAUAACUACAUAAAAAAAUUCAAAAAUAAAAAUUUCUAUUGAGACUAUUGACAGCCCACGGCAUAUUUGAACUCGUUAAUUAUAAUCCGGAAUUUAUAAACUCUUUAAAAAUUUUAUAAUUAUUCCAUGAUAUUCUAGACUCUUUAUACUUAAUUUUAGAAUUUUAUUUUUUCAAAAAUGAUUUCUCGAUUAAAAGAUAUAAAUCGUUCUUUUAGAAGGUUCAGAUUUCACUCUGUUUUUUAUACUCACUUUUGCUUUGCAAAAUUAAAUUAUUAAAUGAUCUCACUAAAAUCAUUGAAAUUUUUUAUCCUAAUUUAGACUUCCCAAACUCAGCGUUUGACAAUAAAAUAUUAAUAAAUAAUUACUGAAAAGAGAGAUAUGAGUUUUUAUUCUCACGCCCACUGCACAAGCAUUUUAUGGAGCUGAAAGGUGUUUACUUGUUUUUAAAUAUGUUAUAAAUAUAAUAUUGCCUUGUGAUUAUUUUUCAGUAAAAAUAGACAUAUUAAGCUAGUUUUAAUAAUUUUUGCAUGAUUUUAGAACAUCUCCAACUUAAUUAAAAAAAUUAGAUGUGAAAUACUUUAGCAAGAUGUCCUAUUUCGAACCUAUUGAUAUCAUUAUGAAAUCUGGUAUUAAAUGAAAGCUAGUUGAUUAAUUUCAUCACUUGGAUGAUAAACUAGACACAUAUAAUAUAUUCUCUGAAAAUUUUCGUAAUGAAAUUCAACUUCUAGAUAUUUGUUUUAGAUUUAUUAUAUAGGAUCUCCUGUUUUAACCGUUUGCUAAUUUUUUAUUUUUUAUUUUAUUUUUGUAAAGAAACCCACUAGUGAAUAAAUUUUACAUUGAUUAUACAUAAGUUUAGUUUGUAAUUCCUUUUUAAAUUCAUUACUAUUAUUUAUGAAUUAAUUCCAUCUCUAUAAAAAAUCUUUAAGAUGCUGAACCAAGUACGCAAACCUUUUCUUUACAAUUUAUUCAGAUUAGAGCUUGUGAUUGGAUGUUAUCUAUUAGUGUUUGUUGAUUAUGUUGAGAUUGUGUGACAUUAGACAUGAUUUGUUAUGGAGUAUGUGAUUGCUUAGAGUGUAAUGUGAUGUUAUUGUUUGCUAUUUUAACUUUUGUGUUUUCUGAAAGCGCUUGGAAUGCAAACCAAGUACACCUUUCUCUAUCAAAUUAAUGAAUUAUGUUCAUUUAGUUCAUAGUGUCUGUGAAUCAACCAAUUGAUCUUCACAAUUAUUUCAACUUACUCAAUAGAGACCUAACUUCUAGUGCUUAGAAGGGUGCUAAGUUCUUCACUGUACCUUCCGAAUAAAUAACUUGAUCCCCUGGAUUUAGGCUCAGGUUUUCAAAUACAAGCCUUUUUCAAGAAAUAGGAGUAAUUUUUAUAGGGUUUCUCUUUCUUAUUUUAUUUUCCUUUUAAAAAAAUAAAAUGAAAAUAAGUGGUGAAUCCAUUAUUUAUAAAAUUGUUUUUUCACAAACAAGAAGCGAGUCUCGUCAUCAAAUGAGAAUGCAUGUGAAAAUGUGGGAUCACAUCUCCAAUGAAGAGUAUGAUACAAACUAGAAAAGUCCGCAUGUCAAAAUAAAUGAAAUGAAAUUGCCAAUCAUAAGCUAUAUAAAAUGAGGCCACCCCCUGAAUGAAGGAGUAGUGGGGGUCUCUUCUCCCAUAUGCACCUUUAUUUAGAUUCAAAUUUUCCUUCUUUUUUUUUAAACAAAAUGAGGAAUCUUUUAAAAAAAUUCUAUCUCACAAAACACAAUUCAUCAAUUUUAAUCCAAUGUGCACCUUUCCAUUUUUCAAACACCUUUGUUGCACCCAUUUAGCAUGAGGGGCAUCGAUCAAAACUAAAAUUCGAGGAAGGGAUCAAAUCAAAAAGAAAGAAGAGAAAAAGACAUUUUGUCUUUCUUUCAAUACAAAUAAGAGAACAAAGAAGCCACUCCAAAAUAAAAGUUGGAUAAAGAAGUUCUAAUAAGAACUAGUACUAGACUUCUUCCUCCCUUUCUAGUUUUCCAAUCUCCUUUUAUUUUUGUUUUCACCUGGGCUUUCCAUUCUAUUUUAUAAGGAUUCAAGGAUAUUACUCUAAUAAUUAAUGUAGAAAGGUGAGGCACUUUCCCUAGCAUACGGGAAAGAAAAUCCAUUCCAAAAUAACUAAUAUACCAACAAACUAGUAUCAUUUUUGCCAAAAUGGAAAGAAAUUAUAUUUUUCGAAUUCGCUACCCUUUCUUUCUUGAUUAGCUAUUUAUGAUCAAACUGAUAAAAUAAACUGAGCAAAAGUAAAACCAGAAUAGAGAAACAAUUCCACUCUUUAUUUGUACUAAGACAACCAAUAAAUAGGCAAUACAACCAACUGGCUUGACAAAGCCAUAACAACAAAGGCAUAAAAAUAGGACCAUGAAACCAUGUUUCAAUAAAUCUGCUGCCACCAUCACCAAAAAUCAGGAGAUAAUAAAGAGACUCAAUAAACAAUUUCCUAUAGACCAGGACAACAUAACAGAUAUAAGACUCAACAUAAAACAAUUUAUUAAAGACUUGGUCAAAUGACCCAUUGCACAAAGAUAUUUUAUCACCCUCCCUUAAACUGAUAUCUGCAGAAAUCAGUUUAGGAAUCAAUUUGCAAAGCCUUUCCUGAAGCAGCCACAACCUCCUUUGAAGAACAAACUCCAAGCAUACUUCGAAGUUUCAUAAAAACAGCAGGCUUGAGGGGCUUAGUCAAGAUAUCUGCAAUUUGAUCUUCACUUUUGCAAAACACCAAAUCAAUAACUCCAUCUUUACAUAAAUCACGCAAGAAGUGGUACCUCACAUCAAUGUGUUUGCUUCUCCCAUGUAAGACUAGAUUCUUUGAGAGUUUUAUUGCAGAGAGGUUAUCAUAGUAAAUCAUUGUUGGACCUUGCUACUGGUUGUACAAAACUUCAAGUAACCUUCUUAGCCAAAUAGCUUGACAUGAGCUUGAUGCUGCAGCAAUGAACCCAGCUUCCGUAGUUGACAAAGUCACAAUCUGUUGCUUCUUUGAUGACCAAGUAAUAUCUCCAGAAUUCAACAUAAACACUGCUCCAGAAGUGCUCUUUCUAUUAUCAAGAUCUCCAGCAUAAUCACUAUUUGAAAAACCAAUCGAACUUGAUCUUUCACCCCUUUUGUAUAGAAUCCCAAAGUCUACAAUACCUUUCAAAUAGCGAAAAAUUCUUUUUGCAGCCAAAAGAUGAACUUCAGUUGGAUUCUCCAUGUAUCUACUGAUUAAAUUGACUGCGUGCAUAAUGUUUGGUCUUGUAGAUGUCAGAUACAUAAGACUUCCAAUGAUCUGCUUGUAAAGAGUACUAUCCACCCUCUUUCCUGCUCCACUCUUUGAGAGUUUCAGACCAACUUCACUUGGGGUGAUGACUGAAUUACAAUCCUUCAACAUAAACUUGUCCAAAAUCUCUAGAGCAUAUUUCUUUUGAGAAAUGAAAACACCAGCAGAUGAUUGCACUACCUCAAUGCCAAGAAAAUAGUGCAUUAAUCUCAUAUUAGUCAUAUCAAAUUCUUUCAUCAUAGACUUCUUAAAAUCAGCAAGCAUGGUUUUAUUAUUACUAGUAUAAAUGAGAUCAUCAACAUAUAAACACACAAUUAAAAUCUUCUUAUCAACACCAUAUUUAGUGUAAAGAGUGUGCUCAUAUGGACAUUUAAUAAAACCUUCCUCAGUAAAAUAAGCAUCUAUACGACUGUACCAAGCUCUUGGUGCUUGUUUCAGUCCGUAUAAUGCUUUCUUUAACUUAUAUACCUGAUUCUCAUAACCUUGCUUCACAUACCCAGGGGGUUGAUCAAUAUAGACUUCUUCUUCCAACUCUCCAUGCAAAAAUGCUAACUUCACAUCUAACUGAUGGAUAGACCAUGAGUUUUGGGCAGCCAUGGAUAACACCAAGCGAAUAGUGUCAAGCUUUGCUACUGGAGCAAACACCUCUUUGUAAUCCACUCUGAAUUCUUGCUUGUACCCCUUUGCAACAAGCCAAGCUUUGUACUUAUCAACUCCACCAUCUUUGUUCAACUUCAUUUUAUUAACCCAUUUAACACCAAUGGAUUUCUACCCUUUUGGAAGUUCAACUAGUUCCCAACUAUUAUUUUUCUCUAUAGACCCGAUCUCCUCAUUCAUAGCCUUAUGCCACUUUAAAUCCUUGAUAGCUUCUUGGAAUGUAAUGGGAUCACAAUCUGAUAACAAAGCAUAAUGGGCAAUUGUAUCAUAGUUAUCAGAUUGAACUCCAGUUACCUCAAAAUCUUGCAUCCAUGCGGGCCUUUUUCGAACACGGCGAAGUCAUGAUUCAGCAACUACAUUACUCUCUGCUGCUGUUGAUGAAGUUUCAGCGGUUGUUGGAGCAUCAUUUGGUGGACUUUCAGGUAUAGAAACCGUAGGAAUUUGUUGUUGUAGAAGCUGCUGCCUUUCUUCUUCAACAUCAUUGUCAAAAAUGACUUGAGUAGGCUGCUGCCCAUUCCAAUUCCAGGUGCUCUCCUCAUCAAAAAUAACAUCUCUACUGGUCACAAUCUUCUUCGUGAGUGGAUUGAACAAUUUAUAUGCUUUGGAUGCUUCACUUACGCCAAGAAAAACACAUUUUUCACCUUUAUCAUCAAGUUUAUUCCUUUUCUCGUCUGUGAUAUGUGCAUAGGCGAUGCAACAGAAAAUUUUGAAGUGAUCUACAGCUGGUUUCCAUCCACUCCAAGCCUUCUCCGGUGUCAUGUUUUGAACAGAAAAUGUAGGACUUCUGUUCAACACAUGGAUACUCCAAUUCACUACCUCCGGCCAAAAACUCUUUGGAAUUUUGCCCCUUGCAAGCAAGCUCCUCACCAUGUUGAGGAUGGUUCUAUUUUUUUUCUCCGAUACACCAUUCUGUUGCGGUGUAUAAGCAGCUGUGAGUUCUCUUCGUAUGCCUUGAUCAUCACAAAAAUGUUCAACUUCAUUUGAACAAUAUUCUCCACCACGAUCAGUACGGAGAAUUUUGAUGGAUCUCCCUGUUUCUUUUUCAACGCGUGCCUUGAAGCUUUUAAAUGCACUAAAAGCUUCUGAUUUUUCCUGCAAAAAAGAAACCCACGUUUUUCGACUAUAAUCAUCAAUAAAGAUAAUUAGAUAUUUUUUACCCCCAUUAGAAGUUGGAUUAAUUGGACCGCAAAUGUCAGAGUGAACCAGUUCCAAGACAUUCUUUGCUCUUCGCGACUUUCCUUGAGGGAAUUGAGAACGAUGUUGUUUUCCAACAACACAUUCUUCACAAACUUGAGAAGGAAUGGAAAUUUGAGGAAGACCUGUCACCAUAUGUUUCUGUUGGAGAGUUUUUAAUCCACCAAAAUUCAAAUGGCCAUAGCGUAAAUGCCAAAGCCAUGAAAGAUCUUUCACUUCAGCCAUUAAGAAAGACUGGACACUAUCAAUCUUCAAUGGAAACAACUUGUUUGAAGCCAUUUGAACAACAACAAUAGCACCUCUCGAAGGAUCAUAUAUCUCACAAGCACCUUUCUGAAUUGUUAUUAUGUAACCCUUUUCUUGCAAUUGACCAACACUUAACAAAUUACUUUUCAAGUCUGGUACAUAAAAAACAUUGGAAAUUGUUUCUACAAAACCAUUCUUGGUUCUAAUAUUAAUAUCACCCUUUCCCAUUACAUUCACAGUAGAACAAUCACCAAAGCUCACUGUAGAACGAAAACCUUCAUUUAGAAAACAAAAAGAAGACUUACUACCACACAUGUGGUUGCUGCAGCUUGUGUCCACAUACCACACUUCUGCUUGAGGUUGUUCAUUGACUUGAGCAGCCAUCAACAAGGUUUCAACUUCUUUCUUUUCUGCAUAAUUAGAUUUCUCUCAUUUUUCUUUGUCGUUAGGUAAUUUAGUAUAACAUUCAGAACGGUAAUGGCCAAAUUUAUGACAUCUAAAACACUCUACCUUGGAUUUGUCAAAUUGUUGAUUUCGGCCUCUGCCUCUAUUUUGGAAAUCUUGUUGAUCUUCAUCAACUCUAAAAUUGCCUCAUCCACCUCUUCCUUUACCUCCAUCUCUAACUCCUCGAACUCCUCUUCCUUUGCCUCUACCUCGAUCUGUUGAUCUAUUCAUUGUCAAAGCAUUGUUGUUAGUUGAAGCCUUUAAAGCUUGCUCCUCCUUGUCCUCCUGGAUGAUUUUCUGUUCAUGAACUAACAAAGAUCCUUGCAACUCGUCAAUUGAUAGUUCAUCAAGGUCUUUCCAUUCCUCAAUAGAACAAACAACAUAGUUAAAUUUUGGCGUCAUUGACCGAAGAAUUUUCUCAAUAACAGUCACGUCCUCCAUCUUCUCGCCAUGAAUUCGCAUUUUGUUGAUGAUUGCCAUUGUUCUUGAGAAGUAAUCAGAAACUGACUCCCCCGGCUUCAUUCGAAGCGUUUCGAACUUAGAUCGAAGUGCUUGAAGCUGCUGCCUCUUGGUCCUCGUUGAUCCCUGGUACUUCUUCUUCAUGGAGUCCCAAAUCUGUUGGGAGGUGUCCUUGCACAAAAUAGUUUCCAAGAUUGAGCGAUCAAUAGCUUGGAACAAAUAAUUCUUUGCCUUUAGAUCUUUUAAUAUCUGUCCUUCAAUCUCUGUUUUCUGCGCAUCCGUCAUUGGUGAGUUCGUUGCUGGUUCUGCUAUCCCUCCAGAGACUACUUGCCAGUACUCUUUAGAUCGUAAGAAAUUCUCCAUCAACAUGCUCUAAUAUUCAUAGUGACCAUCAAAACGUGGAAUUGCAGGUUGCACAAAAUUUUCAGAGGCCAUUGUUUUUUUUUCUACUGCUGAAAGAAAAUAAACAAAGCUGCUGCUAUAUGACUCUCUGUCUCACAAACUCUCUCUCUCUGUUUUGGCACUCUCAAUUCUCACUUUCUGGUUUUAACCCACUUUUCUAACGUUAACCGGGCUCUGAUACCACUGAUAAAAUAAACUGAGCAAAAGUAAAACCAGAAUAGAGAAACAAUUCCACUCUUUAUUUGUACUGAGACAACCAAUAAAUAGGCAAUACAAUCAACUGGCUUGACAAAGCCAUAACAACAAAGGCAUAAAAAUAGGACCAUGAAACCAUGUUUCAAUAAAUCUGCUGCCACCAUCACCAAAAAUCAGGAGAUAAUAAAGAGACUCAAUAAACAAUUUCCUAUAGACCAGGACAACAUAACAGAUAUAAGACUCAACAUAAAACAAUUUAUUAAAGACUUGGUCAAAUGACCCAUUGCACGAAGAUAUUUUAUCACAAACGAAUCUAAGUUCUGGAAUUUGAAGAAUUUAAAUUUUCCUCACAGAGAAUUGUCAAAGAACUGAAUUUGAACCAAUAAUAAUUAUUUAAAUGAGAAUCUCUAGAAAAUCCAAGUGGGCACCAUCACCAUUGAAUAACGGGCCUUUAGUGUUCUUCUAUAGAAAGGGAUGUGGGUUUUGGAUCUUAAUAUGAAAAGAAGGGUCAAGUGUUUUGUAUAUUGCCCUACUUGGUAUGAGUGUGGCUAUGUUGGGCUUGUUUUGGAGCUUGAAGUUUUAGUUUGACUUUUAUUAAAUCUCCCUUUUUAAAAAUAGAUUGUAUUGGCUUUUCUCAUUGCUGUUGUCACAUUCCUCGGUCCUUAUUUUAAUAUUUUUUAUAUGAAAUGCAAAAUAUUUGAGUACUUUUUGGGUGGUUGCUUAUAAUAAUUUAAAAGAGGUUGAGUAUAUAACAUUUGGGGAAAUAUGUUUCUACUAUCAUUUAUUAAAGUCGGUAGCGUAUACCAUUUGUAAAGAAAUUAAGAUUUGGUAACUAUAUUUCUUCUAUCAUUUGUUAAGGUGUGGGUAAAUAUUUGUCGAUAAUAUUUCUAAAGAAGUUGAGAUUUGGUUCAUUUUUUUUCAAAAAUUAACUUGAGAAAAUAUAUAUAUAUGAGAACAUGUUUUUGUGUUUAUUCUUUCAAAAAUAGAUUUUUGAAAAUUAUUUGGAAAAUAGGGUAUUUUUGAUAAAAAGUUUCAAUUGUUGUUAUUUGUUUUCAUUUGUUUUCUGUGCUCGUUUAAAAAAUAAUAUAUAAAUAAAAAGAAUGAUUGAAAAUAAAGUAGUAUAUAUAAAAAAAAUUGCUUUUUUUAUUGUAGAGAAUUUGACAAACAUGCUUUUAAUGUUAGAAAAUUAUUUUUUACACUAUUACAAAACAUAGUUGUCAAACAAGGAAUUCUAUGUCACUUUCCUUUCAUCUCUAGAUUUUGUCAAGGUAAUCAAAUUACUAAUUAUGAUUACAAACUCCUUUUCUAUUUAUUAGAUCUAUAAAUUCAUUGUUUUAGUUAGAAUUCAAUAAAAGCUUAACUAAAAAUUUGAACAAAUAAUAAAAUUGUUGUUUAGAUUAUUUAUUUAUUUAUUUUUGAGAAUUUUGUUAACUCAUCACUGUUACUUAAUUGGAAUCAACAAGAAGGAUUUUUUUAAUACUAUUUUUUUUGUUCUUUUGAGAAUUUGGUUCAAUAAAGGGUUUCAUUUAAAAAAAAAAAUUCAAUGUGUUGCAUGCAUUGAAUACUAGUCAUUAGGAUAUUUAAUUGAGAAAUGAGUGAUAUUGAUUGAUUUGUAAACCCUAAGAUUUAUAUAAUCAUUAUUUUUUUUUUAUAAAAUUAUCAAAGGAAAGAUUAUUAGGGUAUUAAUGCAUUACUCCAUUAAUUUGGUUUAGGACUUUGUAUAUUUUUUGUGAUUUACACUCCUUUCAACAUUCAAGUUUUCUACAUGAUUAACUUGGGAUUAAACAAAUAAGUAUAACCGAAUUGAUUGAUAAAAAUGACACAAAAGACAUAAGUAUUUAUAUGGAAAUUGAAAAUGAAUUUAAAUUUAAAAUUUAAAAUGGAAAAUCUUUCAAAUCUCUUUUAAUUUAAAAAAAAAUAUUUUUAAAGUUUAAAAAUGAAAAUCUUUCUUUCCUAGCCUUUUUUUUUUUGGUAAAAUAUCAUUUGUAAAUUGAACCAAGCCCACUAGGAUUUCUAUAAUAUAAAUCUCUUAGGAGAAUUUUCAAAGAUCAUCCCCUAAGCUUAAAGUCAUUAUUCUUUGUGUUUAAUAAAAAACUUUCAAAGCAUUUUAAGCUUGUUAAGUGAGUUUGUGAUAGAAGAUCGCAUCCUCUCAAGGUGUUGAAGAAUCCUCCAAGGAGAAUGGUACUUUUGCACCAUAGACGUGAGAUGAGGCGGAAGUUUGGGAUAUAAAUUUUUGGGAAUAAUAAUUGUUAAAUAACAGUAUGUACUUAUCCUUGAAAUUUAGGGGAUAAAGUUAGUGAAUUAUUUUUAUGUCACUUUAGAUUCAUUUUACCUAUUUCAACUUUUUUAUAUAAUGAUUAAAUAAUUUGAAAAUAUAUAAAUUUUUAAUAAAUUUUAAUUAUAAUUCAUUUUCUUUCAUACUUUAAUUUUCAUUGAGAAUAUUUUCCUUUUUCUUUUUUUAGCACCUUCCUGAUAUCAAACUUUGCAUAAAAAAAUCUCUUAGCUAGACAAGGUUUUUAUAGCCUUUGGAAAUGGAUAUCCAUUCGACAAGAGUUGAAUAUAGCAUUCUGAAAUCUUUAGUAAGGUUUUCAUGUGGUUCUUUUAAUAUAUAUAUAUAUAUGUACAACAAUCUCAUUAUUUUUCACACAUGUUUUAGGGCAAUUUAUGAAUACAGCCCCUUGAUUCCUUUAUAUAUGGUUAACAUGACGUUGCUCUACAACAUUGCUCUUCGUUUUCAACUAUCAUGACAUUGAUGAUAUAAAUGAUGAUCUCUAUAACGUUGCUCUUUGUUUUCAACUACUGAGAUAACAAGGGUACAAUAUUUCAUGCAUAAGCCUCAUGAAUAUCAAGUAUCAUUUAGCAAAGCUCACAUAUAACACUCUAUGUUUGUGUGAUAAUUGCAGAUGUAUUCAACAUAGCGUCACUGUCUCCAUUAACACCAUAGAGGAUACCAAUUGGUGAUGUAUUUGGAAGUGACACCAAAGUAGAUAAAUGGUGAUGCAUUCGGAAGUGACACCACAUAUUUCUAGUGAUGAUAGGGUGUCGUAUUAAAUGCAUCAUCUUUGAGUUAUGAUGUCACAUUAAAUGCAUCACCUUUGAGUUAUGGUGUCACAUCAUUGUAAAUUAUUUGUGGAAGAUAUGAUUGCUUUUAGUUGUAGAUUUUUGUAAUGCUUAUGAAUUAAUAAGUAAGAUUAACAUGUGUAUAUUUUGUCUAUAAAUAUAACAAUCAUAUUACAUAAAAAACAACACUAAACAAAACAAAACAAAAAGAAAAAGAAAGGGAAUUUUGUUGAAGAAAUUGGUAUGAAUUCAAGUCAUUUUGAUAUGAGAAAUUUUAAAUAUUAACCUGUGUAUAUGAAUUAAUAAGGAACUGUCUUCUAAGGCUAAUAUAAUAGAAGAAAAACCUAAACCCAAAAACAAUAGGUUCAGAAAACAAAACUCUAGGACCAAGCCCAAUGCAUCAAACAAGGUCCAGAACCCAACUACUAAAAAAUGGGGUAAUUGCUUUGUCUAUGGCAAGUUUGGACACCAUACAACUCAAUGUCCCCAUAGAAAGAGAACUAAGAAGUCCAAUUCAAAGGCAAAUUUGGCAGAGACAGAGGUGAUCACAAUAGUAAUCUCCUUUAAGGUGAGCAUGGUCACCGAUAUGAAGGAUUGGGUGGUAGACUCUAGGGCUACCAGGCACAUCUAUGGGAAUAAAAGUGGAUUUACUUCCUAUAUCAAUGUAAAGAAAGGAGAGGAACAAGUGUCCAUGGGUAAUUCUAGGUCUACUCCAAUGAUUGGCAAAUGGAAAAUUCUCCUCACGGUAACCUCUGGAAAAGUGCUCGCCUUUAGUAAUGUUCUUCAUGUGCUAGAUAUCCACUAGAACUUGGUGUCAAUAUCUCUUCUUGGGAAAACAGGAGUGAGGAUCUUGUUUAACUUUGAUAAAAUAGUUGUAACCAAGAAUGAUGCAUUCGUGGGGAAGGGCUAUUGUAAUCAGGGUUUAUUGAAGAAAAUGGUUGAAUUGAGUUUAAUCUUUAAGCUAUCCUUAGAAAACCAUGGAAAAUGUGAAUCAUGUGUAGAAUAAAAAACCACAAAGAAAUCCUACAAGUUAGUAGAAAGAGAAUCAGAUCUACUAAGUUUAAUACAUAGUGACUUAGGAUACCUAAAAAAUACAAUGAUUAGAGGUGGUAAAUGAUUCUACAUAACUUUCAUAGAUGACUACUCAAGGUAUACAAGGGUAUAUCUUUUGAGAAGCAAAGAUGAAGCAAGAGGUGCAUUCAUCAAGUACAACAAUGAAGCGAAAAAAUAACUAAGUAAGAAAAUUAAAAGGAUUAGAACUGAUAGGGGAGGAGAGUAUGAAUCCAACCCCUUAAAUUCUUUUUGUGAAGAUCAUGGGAUCAUUCAUGAAACUACUCCUUAUUCCCCUAAGUCUAAUGGAGCAGUAGAAAGGAAAAAUAGGACCUUAAAAGAAAUGAUGAAUGCAAUGUUGGUAAGUUCAGGAGCAUCCUUGAACUUGUGGGGGGAAACUAUCCUCUUCGUUUGUCAUAUUCAAAAUAGAACACCUUACAAGAGAACUGGUAAAACCCCUUAUGAGUUAUGGAAGGGUUAUGCACCUAAUAUAGCAUAUUUGAAAGUAUGGGGGUGUUUAGCUAAAGUUCUUUUCCUUGAACCUAAAAAAUGAAAACUAGGUCCUAAAACCUUUCAUGCAAUGUUCAUUGGCUAUGCUGAGAAUAGUGCGGCAUAUAGGUUUCUUGUUACUAAGUCAAAAAAUAGUUUUGUAGAUGUCAAUACCAUAAUAGAAACCAAGAAUGUGAAUUUCUUUGAAAACAUCUUUCUUAUGAAACUAAAUGGUGAACAACAAGUUCAUAAAAGGUUCGAUCCUGCUUCGUUUGUGGGCCGAUCAACCUGAAAUUUUGAGGAGAGGUUCGUGAUUCAUUGAUCUUCAAUCUGAAUGGUGGAGAUUGGAUUUGGAGAUCCAGACAGUCGUCUUUUCGUCCGAGAAUAGAGCCUCUAUUUUGAUGCAUUUUCUAUCCGGACAAUUUUGAUCAUGACCUCUGAUCAAGAUUAAUCCGUGGUUCGAUUGAGCCGAUUUUUGGAGAGUAGGUUCAGAGCUCAUUGAUAUUCAUUUUGAACAGUGGAGAUUGGAUUUGGAGUUCAGAAUAGUUGUAUCUCAAUCCUAGAACAAUGAUGUGUUUGGUGAGAUCUCUCCAUUAUUUUUAUGCAAAGUUGUUGAAAUUGUCAAGAUUAAUUUGUCUUGAGAUAUGGUUGAUGUAUGCCUCUAGUUUUAUCUAGAAAGAAUUGUGUAACCCAUUGAUUAUAUUAGUGGAGUUUUUAAGUGGCCUAAGGGUCCCGUGGUUUUUACUUUUCAUAUUGGAGAAGGUUUUCCACGCUAAAAAUUAUUGGUGUUCAUAUACUUGUUGAUUGGGUGAAUUCUUGUUGCUCUAUUUGAUUGAUUUCUAUUAGGUUCUCACAAAAGGGGAUAAAACCUGGUUGUGCAUUGUUUGUAUUUAUCCCAUUAGCAUGGACAGGAAAAAAUUUUCAUACAUUGGUCCCAAUCCGUGCAUAGACUGAAAUACCUUGUCAAGAUCAUCAAUGGGCCUUUUUAUUGCAACAAAACUAUCACAAAUUGAGUUGAAGGCCUUCAAGUACUCAUCCAAGGAUUGAGUUCCCUUUUUAAGGGUCAUUAACAGAAUCUUCAAAUGGGCUACCUUCUCCACUGUGACAGGAAGAAGAUGUUCAUCAAGAGAAGUUUAGGUGGUGCUUUUUUUUUUACUUAAUUCUAAAUAGAACUUUAAUACUUAAUAAUAUUAAUUAUUAGUUGUUUGUUUUUUUAAUAUUUUCUUUCUAUUAGACAUUAAAAGGUAAAGAAAAAUCAACAUGUUAUUUUUUUCAUUAAGAAAAAACCAAAUAUUUUGGUUUUUUCUAUUCAGUAAAAAUUUUAUAAUAAGUUAUAAAAAAAUAGAAAAAGAAACUCCUCUAAAAGCAAAUUGUUUUCAAUAAAAAGUUAAAAAAAAUUAAAAAAAAAACCACCACUUAGUAUUGAUUCUUUCUUAAUUAUUUACACGAGGGUGUUGAAUUUUGACUAUUUUAAUAUUUUCACAUUCUACUCCAAUAUUGCCAAAAAUUAGGGUAAUAACAUUUCCCAUGAUUUUAAAAAUCGAACCAAACUGGCCGAUCAAUGGCCUGUUCUUGGAUCAAACUAGGGUUGAAUCGUUGGAUUCUUCAAGCACUGAUCAAGCUAAAAUUGUCUAAAAUAUUUUAACAUUUUAACUGCUUUGGGUCUAUUGCUUCUUGCCCAUAAUUAUAAUAGUUUAAAUCUCAUUGGGCUGAUUAUGACCCAUGAACUUCUGUACCUAUUGUUAUAGAGUUGGAAGGGGUAUUUAUACCCAUGGAUGAAAAUAUCAAGAUAUCAUGUAUCAAAGGUUAUGGAAAUGAUAUUUGGUGAAGAAAUAUCAUUCUAGCAAAAUUUUAGAAAAAAUCGCCGAUAUUUCCUAAUAUAUCGGAUGGUCAAUGAGAGUCAAUGACGAUCAAAUGCACUAUAGUGCUUCGCUACAAUGCCUUCUAAAAAAUGCCUAUUUCACCUUACCACUAGGGCAAGUUUACCCCUUGUUAAAUAUAAUGCACUAAACAUAUAUAUAUAUAUAUAUAUAUAUAUAUAUAUAUAUAUUCAAAGUCAUCAUAUAAAGAAAAUAUUAAAAGAAUAUUUUAGAGAGGAAAAUUAAUUAUAAUUAUUUUAUGAUUAAAUGCAAAAUUUUCUUUUAAUUGAUUACCAAAAAUAUAAAAACUAUCAUGAUAAUUUUCUUCAUAGUGUUUUUAAUAUCAUUAAUAGAUUAAUUAAAUAUUAAUUUUAUAUCAUUUAAUACAAUUGAAUUAAAUGGAUCAUAAUUUUAAUAUUAAUAUAUAUUUUAAAAUUAGAAAUAUUAUAAUCAAAUAUCAUAAUAUUAUUAUGAAAUAAUAUUUGAUGUAAUUUAAUAAUAAAUGUGCACUUAUAAAAUUCAUACUUUUAUUAAUGCAUACGAUAUUAUUAUCAAAUAUGAUAAAUCAUAUUAUACAUAUGUCAAAUUCUUUAAUAAAACAACUUUAUACUUUUAAUUAUAUUUUUAUGAAGUUUUUCUUAUAUUUAUAAAAUUUUGAUCAAUUUUAGGUUUAUCGAUAAUUUUUUACAACAUAUCUGUUAAUAUAUUUGUAAAAUCGAAGUAUUGAUAUAUUCAUAAUUACUGAUAUUUUCAUCAUUGUUUAUACUCAUAUUUCCUGCCGCAUAACUAGUGAUCUUUUGAUUGGGAUUCAAAAGUAGAAAAAGUAGAUAAAAAUUUUGCUUUACUAAAGACUCAACCGUUACACCUUAGGUUACCAAAAUAAGAAGUAAACCAUUGGGGUAAAGAAGCAUUUUAAAUUAUUGUUAUUGUAAAACAUUAUAUAUUAAAGAAGUCCUUCUUUAAAAAUUUUAUUAUUUAAAACCCUUAAAUAAUUAUACUUAUUAUAUAAUAAUAUUUAUGAAAAUACUAUGAUAUUUUUAAAUAUUAUAAAAUAAUAAAAUAUACAAUUUUGGACAUAAAACUAAAUAUUAUAAUUUUUCUUUAUAAUAUUAUAUAUGUUUUAUUUAAUAAAUUUUAAAAUAUUAAUAUUUAUCCUUACCAUUUAAUUUGAUAACAUCAAAUAUAAAGAAUGCAUUAUUAUUUUUUUAUUUUAAUUUUUUAUAAAUAAUUUUAAUUUUUAUAAUAUAUAAAUUAUAUAUUUAUUAUAUCAUCGGUUCGACUGCAGUUCAACCACCAGUCCAACCACUAAACUGUGAAUCGGUAAUUUUUUUUGUUCAAGUGAGAACUAGGUCCCAUGUUCUGUUGUGAAGUAGGACAACAAACUCAUCAAACAAUGUUGGAUGCUAUGCUGAGAGUUUGAGCGCUUGAGUAACAAAUAUGGGUUUAGGAAAUUCAAGGGUGGCUUAUGCUAGGAACUCUAGAUUAUUUCGUUAUCAAGUCCUAGAUCUUGUAAGAAUGCAUGUAUCCCUAAAGUUCUCUAGAUCUAAUGCAACAUGCAAAAAGUAAUAAUUUCAAAAACCAUUUUAGAAUAAAAAUCUAGAAUUUGAAUCCAAGUCGAUGAAGAUGUCGUGAGCAUCGUAGAACUUGUCUACCUAAAAGCCUUCCACCCGAUCUCUCUUUCUAUGGAACCUAACAUGAGAGAAGAGUGAGCUUCUCUCUCUCUCUCUCUCUCUCUCUCUCUCUCUCUCUCUCUCUUUCCCCCUCCCCCAUGAGGGUGGCUAGGGUUCAUCUCUUUAGAAUAUAAAAAAUCUUACUAGAAAGAAUGAAACCUUAACCCUUUAAAGGAGUUUAUAUAAGCUUCCCCGUGGGCUUAAUUGACUUAAGUCGAAAUUGGGUUUAGGCCACUUAAUCUAACCCACUUUGGUACUAAUUAAUGCAUUAGCUCUAAGUGACUCUAAUUAAUUAAUAGCACAUUCCAGAAAGUCAAUUUAUAAGAUCUAGUUCAAGCAUACAUUUUUACCAAAACACCCUUAUGUAGACUUAUGAAUUACAAAUGCCCAAAAUACUCUCAAAGCAUUCCACCAUGAAAUAAGAGCUCAAGUAGAGACCAUUGAGACCUAUAGGAAAAUACUAACUCCUUCAAAACCUAAUGUUGAAUUUGACUUUACACUCUACUAAAGAGAGUAAACUACACCCUAAUAUCUUAUGAAAUUACAACUAGCAAAGAUCAAGUCUAUGACCUACUAUUCAUUACAUGUAAACUCUUCAUAAAUUGAUGUCUGUAAUUUAACAAAAUAGUGUUAUUACCUAUCAAGAUUAUCUUUUUAAUCCUUAAAUUAUAGAUCUCACUUCUUAUGUGAUCAACUGACCUACUUUACCUUAAAGGAGUAUUAUCUUUCGCUGUGAAAAUUUAGUGUGUGUUACUUGACUUUUUGGUAGUUCUUAAAGAAUAAUUUCCUCAAAGAACAAAAGAAGCACAUAAAAAAAAAUGCAAUAAAUAAUAAUUGUGGUGGUCUCAAAGUGACCUGGCCAAAAGUGAAAUAAUUGGAGGAUGACAACACGGAACAAGGACUUUUCAAACAGUUAUAUACAAACUUAAUAUAAUAAGGGUUUUUUUAAUGAUUAUUUUGGGAAAUUUUUUUUUAAAAAGGGGAGGAUAUAAUUAUAUAAAAAUAUGUGUAUGCAUAUCAAUACAUGUGUGUAUUUACACGUAUUUUUACAUAUUAAUUUAAUAAAGUAUAAUAAAAAUCAAUUAGUAUGACAAACAAAAUUAAAGUAAUAACAAUCCUAUAAGAAAAACAAAAAAUAAAUAAAUGAACAAAAGUAAGUUUGUGUCAAAAAAAUAUAGUAAAAAAAUAAAAAUCCUUGUGGAAAAACUAAUUGCUAAUAUUUUUUUAUUUCAAAAACAUUUCUAAUAUUAACCUAUACCGGAACCAUUUAAUGAAAAUAAACUUACUUUAAUAAAAAUAUUUUCUUUUAUGUAUCUAUAGACGAGAAAAAAAAAUUGAUAUAUGUCGAAAUUUAGUGGUUAGGGCAGGUCAAUAGAAAAUAUGAUUGGAAAUUUGGUGAUUAGAUCUAAGUGACUCUAAUUAAUUAAUAGCACAUUCCAAAAAGUCAAUUUAUAAUAUCUAGUUAAAGCAUACAUUUUUACCGAAACACCCUUAUGUAGACUUAUGAAUUACAAAUGCCCAAAAUACUCUCAAAGCAUUCCACCAUGAAAUAGGAGCUCAAGUAGAGACCAUUGAGACCUAUAGGAAAAUACUAACUCCUUCAAAAUCUAAUGUUGAAUUUGACUUUACACUCUACUAAAGAUAGUCAACUGCACCCUAAUAUCUUAUGAAAUUACAACGAGCAAAGAUCAAGUCUAUGACCUACUAUUCAUUAUAUGUAAACUCUUCAUAAAUCGAUGUCUGUAAUUUAACAAAAUAAUGUUAUUACCUAUCAAAAUUAUCUUUUUAAUCCUUAAAUUAUAGAUCUCACUUCUUAUGUGAUCAACUGACCUACUUUACCUUAGAGGAGUAUUAUCUUUUGCUGUGAAAAUUUAGUGUGUGUUAAUUGACUUUUUGGUAGUUCUUAAAGAAUAAUUUCCUCAAAGAACAAAAGAAGCACAUAAAAAAAAUGCAAUAAAUAAUAAUUGUGGUGGUCUCAAAGUGACCUGGCCAAAAGUUAAAUAAUUGGAGGAUGACAACAGGGAACAAGGACUUUUCAAACAGUUAUAUACAAACUUAAUAUAAUAAGGGUUUUUUUAAUGAUUAUUUUGGGAAAUUUUUUUUUAAAAAGGGGAGGAUAUAAUUAUAUAAAAAUAUGUGUAUGCAUAUCAAUACAUGUGUAUAUUUACACGUAUUUUUACAUAUUAAUUUAAUAAAGUAUAAUAAAAAUCAAUUAGUAUGACAAACAAAAUUAAAGUAAUAACAAUCCUAUAAGAAAAACAAAAAAUAAAUAAAUGAACAAAAGUAAGUUUGUGUCAAAAAAAUAUAGUAAAAUAAUAAAAAUCCUUGUGGAAAAGCUAAUUGCUAAUAUUUUUUAUUUUAAAAACAUUUCUAAUAUUAACCUAUACUGGAACCAUUUAAUGAAAAUAAACUUACUUUAAUAAAAAUAUUUUAUUUUAUGUAUCUAUAGACGAGAAAAAAAAAUUGAUAUAUGUCGAAAUUUAGUGGUUAGGGCAGGUCAAUAGAAAAUAUGAUUGGAAAUUUGGUGAUUAGCUCUAAGUGACUCUAAUUAAUUAAUAGCACAUUCCAAAAAGUCAAUUUAUAAUAUCUAGUUCAAGCAUACAUUUUUACCAAAACACCCUUAUGUAGACUUAUGAAUUACAAAUGCCCAAAAUACUCUCAAAGCAUUCCACCAUGAAAUAGGAGCUCAAGUAGAGACCAUUGAGACCUAUAGGAAAAUACUAACUCCUUCAAAAUCUAAUGUUGAAUUUGACUUUACACUCUACUAAAGAGAGUCAACUGCACCCUAAUAUCUUAUGAAAUUACAACGAGCAAAGAUCAAGUCUAUGACCUACUAUUCAUUACAUGUAAACUCUUCAUAAAUCGAUGUCUGUAAUUUAACAAGAUAAUGUUAUUACCUAUCAAGAUUAUCUCUUUAAUCCUUAAAUUAUAGAUCUCACUUUUUAUGUGAUCAACUAACAUACUUUACCUUAGAGGAGUAUUAUCUUUCGCUGUGAAAAUUUAGUGGGUGUAAAUUGACUUUUUGGUAGUUCUUAAAGAAUAAUUUCCUCAAAGAACAAAAGAAGCACAUAAAAAAAAUGCAAUAAAAAAUAAUUGUGGUGGUCUCAAAGUGACUUGGCCAAAAGUUAAAUAAUUGGAGGAUGACAACAGGGAACAAGGACUUUUCAAACAGUUAUAUACAAACUUAAUCUAAUAAGGGUUUUUUAAAUGAUUAUUUUGGGAAAAUUUUUUUUAAAAAGGGGAGGAUAUAAUUAUAUAAAAAUAUGUGUAUGCAUAUCAAUACAUGUGUAUAUUUAUACUUAUGUUUACAUAUUAAUUUAAUAAAGUAUAAUAAAAAUCAAUUAGUAUGACAAACAAAAUUAAAGUAAUAACAAUCCUAUAAGAAAAUAAAUAAAUAAAUAAAUGAACAAAAGUAAGUUUGUGUCAAAAAAAUAUAGUAAAUAAUAAAAAUCCUUGUGAAAACUAUUGCUAAUAUUUUUUUUUUAUUUUAAAAACAUUUCUAAUAUUAACCUAUACUGGAACCAUUUAAUGAAAAUAAACUUACUUUAAUAAAAAUAUUUUCUUUUAUGUAUCUAUAGACGAGAAAAAAAAAUUGAUAUAUGUCAAAAUUUGGUGGUUAGGGCAGGUCAAUAGAAAAUAUGAUUGGAAAUUUGGUGAUUAGCUCUAAGUGACUCUAAUUAAUUAAUAGCACAUUCCAGAAAGUCAAUUGAUAAGAUCUAGUUCAAGCAUACAUUUUUACCAAAACACCCUUAUGUAGACUUAUGAAUUACAAAUGCCCAAAAUACUCUCAAAGCAUUCCACCAAGAAAUAGGAGCUCAAGUAGAGACCAUUGAGACCUAUAGGAAAAUACUAACUCCUUCAAAAUUUAAUGUUGAAUUUGACUUUACACUCUACUAAAGAUAGUCAACUGCACCCUAAUAUCUUAUGAAAUUACAACGAGCAAAGAUCAAGUUUAUGACCUACUAUUCAUUGCAUGUAAACUCUUCAUAAAUCGAUGUUUGUAAUUUAACAAGAUAAUGUUAUUACCUAUCAAGAUUAUCUCUUUAAUCCUUAAAUUAUAGAUCUCACUUUUUAUGUGAUCAACUGACAUACUUUACCUUAGAGGAGUAUUAUCUUUCCAUGUGAAAAUUUAGUGGGUGUUAAUUGACUUUUUGGUAGUUCUUAAAGAAUAAUUUCCUCAAAGAACAAAAGAAGCACAUAAAAAAAAUGCAAUAAAUAAUAAUUGUGGUGGUCUCAAAGUGACUUGGCCAAAAGUUAAAUAAUUGGACGAUGACAACAGGGAACAAGGACUUUUCAAACAGUUAUAUACAAACUUAAUAUAAUAAGGGUUUUUUUAAUGAUUAUUUUGGGAAUUUUUUUUUUAAAAAGGGGAGGAUAUAAUUAUAUAAAAAUAUGUGUAUGCAUAUUAAUACAUGUGUAUAUUUAUACGUAUGUUUACAUAUUAAUUUAAUAAAGUAUAAUAAAAAUCAAUUACUAUGACAAACAAAAUUAAAGUAAUAACAAUCCUAUAAAAAAACAAAAAAUAAAUAAAUGAACAAAAGUAAGUUUGUGUCAAAAAAUAAUAGUAAAAUAAUAAAAAUCCUUGUGGAAAAACUAAUUGAUAAUAUUUUUUAUUUUAAAAACAUUUCUAAUAUUAACCUAUACCAGAACCAUUUAAUGAAAAUAAACUUACUUUAAUAAAAAUAUUUUCUUUUAGGUAUCUAUAGAAGAGAAAAAAAAAUUGAUAUAUGUCGAAAUUUGGUGGUUAGGGCAGGUCAAUAGAAAAUAUGAUUGGAAAUUUGGUGAUUAUCUCUAAGUGACUCUAAUUAAUUAAUAGCACAUUCCAGAAAGUCAAUUGAUAAGAUCUAGUUCAAGCAUACAUUUUUACCAAAACACCCUUAUAUAGACUUAUGAAUUACAAAUGCCCAAAAUACUCUCAAAGCAUUCCACCAUGAAAUAGGAGCUCAAGUAGAGACCAUUGAGACCUAUAGGAAAAUACUAACUCCUUCAAAAUCUAAUGUUGAAUUUGACUUUACACUCUACUAAAGAGAGUCAACUACACCCUAAUAUCUUAUGAAAUUACAACGAGCAAAGAUCAAGUCUAUGACCUACUAUUCAUUGCAUGUAAACUCUUCAUAAAUCGAUGUUUGUAAUUUAACAAGAUAAUGUUAUUACCUAUCAAGAUUAUCUCUUUAAUCCUUAAAUUAUAGAUCUCACUUUUUAUGUGAUCAACUGACAUUCUUUACCUUAGAGGAGUAUUAUCUUUCCAUGUGAAAAUUUAGUGGGUGUUAAUUGACUUUUUGGUAGUUCUUAAAGAAUAAUUUCCUCAAAGAACAAAAGAAGCACAUAAAAAAAAUGCAAUAAAUAAUAAUUGUGGUGGUCUCAAAGUGACUUGGCCAAAAGUUAAAUAAUUGGACGAUGACAACAGGGAACAAGGACUUUUCAAACAGUUAUAUACAAACUUAAUAUAAUAAGGGUUUUUUUAAUGAUUAUUUUGGGAAUUUUUUUUUUAAAAAGGGGAGGAUAUAAUUAUAUAAAAAUAUGUGUAUGCAUAUUAAUACAUGUGUAUAUUUAUACGUAUGUUUACAUAUUAAUUUAAUAAAGUAUAAUAAAAAUCAAUUACUAUGACAAAAAAAUUAAAGUAAUAACNNNNNNNNNNNNNNNNNNNNNNNNNNNNNNNNNNNNNNNNNNNNNNNNNNNNNNNNNNNNNNNNNNNNNNNNNNNNNNNNNNNNNNNNNNNNNNNNNNNNUCAAUUGAUAAGAUCUAGUUCAAGCAUACAUUUUUACCAAAACACCCUUAUAUAGACUUAUGAAUUACAAAUGCCCAAAAUACUCUCAAAGCAUUCCACCAUCAAAUAGGAGCUCAAGUAGAGACCAUUGAGACCUAUAGGAAAAUACUAACUCCUUCAAAACCUAAUGUUGAAUUUGACUUUACACUCUACUAAAGAGAGUCAACUGCACCCUAAUAUCUUAUGAAAUUACGACGAGCAAAGAUCAAGUCUAUGACCUACUAUUCAUUGCAUGUAAACUCUUCAUAAAUCGAUGUCUGUAAUUUAACAAGCUAAUGUUAUUACCUAUCAAGAUUAUCUCUUUAAUCCUUAAAUUAUAGAUCUCACUUUUUAUAUGAUCAACUGACAUACUUUACCUUAGAGGAGUAUUAUCUUUCGCUGUGAAAAUUUAGUGGGUGUUAAUUGACUUUUUGGUAGUUCUUAAAGAAUAAUUUCCUCAAAGAACAAAAGCAGUACAUAAAAAAAAUGCAAUAAAAAAUAAUUGUGGUGGUCUCAAAGUGACUUGGCCAAAAGUUAAAUAAUUGGAGGAUGACAACACGGAACAAGGACUUUUCAAACAGUUAUAUACAAACUUAAUAUAAUAAGGGUUUUUUUAAUGAUUAUUUUGGGAAUUUUUUUUUUAAAAAGGGGAGGAUAUAAUUAUAUAAAAAUAUGUGUAUGCAUAUCAAUACAUGUGUGUAUUUAUACGUAUUUUUACAUAUUAAUUUAAUAAAGUAUAAUAAAAAUCAAUUAGUAUGACAAACAAAAUUAAAGUAAUAACAAUCCUAUAAGAAAAACAAAAAAUAAAUAAAUGAACAAAAGUAAGUUUGUGUCAAAAAAAUAUAGUAAAAAAAUAAAAAUCCUUGUGGAAAAACUAAUUGCUUAUAUUUUUUAUUUUAAAAACAUUUCUAAUAUUAACCUAUACCGGAACCAUUUAAUGAAAAUAAACUUACUUUAAUAAAAAUAUUUUAUUUUAUGUAUCUAUAGACGAGAAAAAAAAAUUGAUAUAUGUCGAAAUUUGGUGGUUAGGGCACGUCAAUAGAAAAUGUGAUUGGAAAUUUGGUGAUUAGCUCUUAGUGACUCUAAUUAAUUAAUAGCACAUUCCAGAAAGUUAAUUUAUAAAAUCUAGUUCAAGCAUACAUUUUUACCAAAACACCCUUAUGUAGACUUAUGAAUUACAAAUGCCCAAAAUACUCUCAAAGCAUUCCACCAUGAAAUAGGAGCUCAAGUAGAGACCAUUGAGACCUAUAGGAAAAUACUAACUCCUUUAUAAUCUAAUGUUAAAUUUGACUUGACACUCUAUUAAAGAGAGUCAACUGCACCCUAAUAUCUUAUCAAAUUACAACGAGCAAAGAUCAAGUCUAUGACCUAUUAUUCAUUGCAUGUAGGCUCUUCAUAAAUCGAUGUCUGUAAUUUAGCAAAAUAGUGUUAUUACUUAUCAAGGUUAUCUCUUUAAUUCUUAAAUUAUAGAUCUCACUUUUUAUGUGAUCAACUUACAUACUUUACAUUAGAGGAGCAUUAUCUUUCCAUGUGAAAAAUUAGUGGGUGUUAAUUGACUUUUUGGUAGUUCUUAAAGAAUAAUUUCCUCAGAGAACAAAAGAAGCACAUAAAAAAAAUGCAAUAAAAAAUAAUUGUGGUGGUCUCAAAGUGACUUGGCAAAAAGUUAAAUAAUUGGAGGAUGACAACACGGAACAAGGACUUUUCCUUAAAAAAGUUAUAUACAAACUUAAUAUAAUAAGGGUUUUUUUAAUUAUUAUUUUGAGAAAAAAAUUUUAAAAAAGGGGAGGAUAUAAUUAUAUAAAAAUAUGUGUAUGCAUAUCAAUACAUGUGUAUAUUUAUAUGUAUUUUUACAUAUUAAUUUAAUAAAAUAUAAUAAAAAUCAAUUAGUAUGACAAACAAAAUCAAAGUAAUAACAAUCAUAUAAGAAAAACAAAAAAUAAAUAAAUGAACAAAAGUAAGUUUGUGUAAAAAGAAAAUUGUAAAAUAAUAAAAAUCCCUCUUGGAAAAACUAAUUGCUAAUAUUUUUUAUUUUAAAAACAUUUCUAAUCUUAACCUAUAUCGAAACUAUUUAAUUUUAUUACAUUUCAUGGAAAUAAACUUCCUGUAAUAAAAAUAUUUUCUUUUAGGUAUCUAUAGACGAGAAAAAAAUAUUUGAUAUAUGAUUAGAAAAAUGUUAGUGUCCGAAAAUCGAAAAAUGUCCUUGGAAGAUUGUAUUUAUUUCCCCUGAAUUUUCGGUUUAUCCGGUACGCUCCAUGCCAAACACUGCCCGUGUUUUACGCGGUUUGCAACCCAUACUCCAUGCUCCAUGUCGUAAACAAAUGAGAUUAAAGAUUAGUCUGACAGCUUCAUUGGAAAAAUUCAAAACUAAUGGAAAGAAUGAAUAAAAAAAUGAAAGAAAAUGAAUUGGUCCACAUGUGAAAAGGAGAGAGCUGGUUGUUGAAUGGGAAAUGGAGGAAAAUAGAAGAAAAAUGACAAAGGAAGGAGCCAAGAAAAGGAAGGUGAGUGCUGCCAGCUGUUGGCUCCUCUGAACCAUUCUUCCUUCUAGCCUCUGACCAAAAAAAGAUUGCUUGCCAAGAGAAGAACAGCCAUUUAGCAUUGAAAGACCCUUUCUUUUCUUUCUAAGCCUUCUUGUAACUCCUCCGGAACCAGUCCAAAAAUGGCUUCAUCUGCUACUCCCAAUCCUCAUAGUUAUGAUGUGUUCUUGAGUUUCAGAGGUGAAGACACUCGCAAGAAUUUUACUGAUCAUCUUUAUAACACUUUGGUUGCAUAUGGAAUUCACACCUUCAGAGAUGAUGAAGAACUUUUGAAAGGAGAGGACAUCAAAUCGGGUCUGUCCAGAGCUAUCGAAGGAUCGAAGAUUUUUAUUAUUAUUUUCUCAGAAAACUAUGCUGCCUCCAAGUGGUGUUUAAAUGAACUCGCAAUGAUCAUCGAGUAUACAACGCUAGAGGACAAUAAGGUUAUACCGGUCUUCUACCAUGUCAAGCCUUCAGAUGUGGGACACCAAUCGGAAAGCUUUGAAGUCGCGUUUUUCAACCAUGAGAAAGAUGCAGAUCAAGAGAAGAAGGAGCUAAUAGAGAAGUGGAGGAUUACCUUGAAGAAAGCAGCUAAGCUAUCUGGAUACCAUGUGGAUAAUCAGUAAUAAUUCUUCUCUUUACCUUUGCUUUAUUUCAUUUUUUUUUUUCUCUAAUUACAAACCUGGGUAUAUUUCCUAUGUAAAUUAUUCUUUUCUAUUUAUAUCGAAAGCUUACUUCAUGAUAUCACUAUCUAAUUUUAAACAAAAUAGAUGAAUAUGUUGAAUAAUUCUAAACUAGCCUAAGUUUAAGAUUGGAUUGUGGGCUUACCAAUCCAUUCUCGGAUUCAAUCUACUUAAUAUUGGUUUUAUUACCCAUUUGCCUUUUCUUUUAAUUUGUUUAUAUGGCUAAUUUAUUUUAGGCAAGAUGACGGGGUUUUUUUAUUCAAAAAUAAAAAAUAAAUAAACUAUGAGAUUUUGUCGAUAUAUAACAUUAAAUAUUUUGUCUAACAUGAUUUCGUAUUAACUUCAGAAGAAAUGACCUUCUGUACAUAACAGGAUGCCCGUGCCACCUAGCUAACUAUGCUUUUAUUAUUUAGGGGUACAUAUUUUAUAUAUACCCACAUCAUUAACAAAUAUCUUGUACAGUAUACUUAUAUAAAAAAUGGUUGCAUGUCAUUUUUGUCUUCUGUUCCAAUUCACUAUUAUUAUUAUUAUUAUUAUUAUUAUUAUUAUUAUUAUUAUUAUUAUUAUUAUUAUUCACUUCACUUACAUAUAUUGUACUAGCUUUUACUGCAUAAUAUUGUAGUCUAGUUUACUGAAUACCUCUAGUAAGAUAUUAUUUUGGAGAGAGGAAAUGGAAAAGGUAUCUCUAAAAUUUUAACUAUUUUUAGCAUUAGCUUAGAACUGUAGUUUACUAACUUCAUGCAUGAAGGAUUUUGUCAACUCUUUGGGAUUCCUCACACUUGUCUAUAAUCUAUGAUCUCUAUCAUAUUUAUUUUAUGACACUUUUGAUGGUCACAUCUCUUCCGAGGUUUUCCAAUCUAUCGACAUAAACCUAGUACAAUAUUGUGUAUUAUUCAUAUGUUUAACCCAUUUGUGAUUGUAUAAUGUCAAUGAAUUCCAUCAUGCUCACAUAAUACAAAGAUUCCUAUGCACCUUCCCCUAUUAUUUAGUGUCUCAAUUUUCUUAUUUUUUGUGUCAAAAUUAUUCAUAGAGUUGUUUAAUUAUUCAUAUUUAUUGCACCUUAAUGAUCAUGUUUUGAGUGUAAUGUUCUUUGUAAGCUUGUUUUGUCAUUUUUUUAUUUUAUUUUAUUUUUUAUAUAAAAAGUCUAUUCCAUUGACCUUGGGAUAAGCUAGUCCUAGGCUUAAUCCCCAAAAAGUACUCCUACUAUGCUUAUUUGGGAUUAAUCUACCAACUUUGUUCUCUUAAUGAAAACACUAACAAAUGAGUCUUCAUUUCCUUAAGUUGAUCCCCCACCCAAAAAAAUAAAAAUAAAAAUAAAAAACAAAACAAAACAAAAUUUAACUAUUUUAAUUGUCUCUUAGAAGUAUUUCAACUCUUCUUUAGUUAAAUUCAAGGUUUUUAAUCAACAAGCAAAUCCUUAAAUAAAUUCAAGGUUUUUAAUCAACAAACAAAUCCUUAAAAAAUUGGUAAGUUGAUUAAACAUGGAAACAAGCAAAUAAGAAAUUAUAAUAAACUUUUUUGCAAAAUAAAUGGUGAAAGGAAACCAUAUGAUAGCAUCAAAGAGAGUUUUUAACAAUUUUUCAAUCAAUAAAGAUGUCACUAGAUUGGGGAACUUAGAUGACAAACUAGAAGCUAUCAUAAAGCUUGGCAUAUGAGGAGUUAUCUCUACUUGGAGUCUAGUAACAUUUUAUACCAAUCAACUUCAAUUUGAACUUUUCAACUAAGCCAACAACUAAAGUUCAUAUAUUUCCACUUUUUUCUCACUUGAAUUUAUGCUAGGAAUAAUUAUAAUAUAUUUCAUUUAAUAAAUUGGCCUGAUCUUUUUUUCUAUUACAUUCUACUGUUAAAAGUUUGGUUAGUACUGUGAAUGACACCAACGUCACCAAUUUCCUUUAUAUUGAUUAUAUUUGUAACUAAUUCCAAUCUUAUGUACUUAAUGAUUGACAGACAUGAAGCAGAGGUUAUUCAAAAGAUUCGUGAAGUUAUCAUUACAAGAUUGAAUCGUAAGCCUUUAUAUGUGGGUGACAACAUAGUUGGUAUGGACUUUCAUUUGAAGCAAUUAAAGUCGUUGGUAAAAACCGAGUUGGAUGAUGUUCAUAUGGUUGGUAUAUAUGGAAUUGGUGGAAUUGGUAAAACUACCAUCGCAAUGGCUUUUUAUAAUGAUAUCUCAUCCCGAUUUGAUGGUAGUAGUUUUCUUAGAGGUGUUGGAGAGAAAUCCAAAGGUGGUUUACUUGAAUUACAAAAGAAACUUUUUAAAGAUAUCUUAAAGUGUGAAAGUACAGAUUUCGAUGAUACUAGUGAAGGAAUCAAUGGGAUAAAGAAAAGACUUUGCUCAAAAAGAGUCCUUAUUGUUCUCGAUGACGUGGAAGAAUUAGAGCAAUUGGAAAACUUAGCUGGAAAAAAUGGUUGGUAUGGGGCAAAAAGUACAAUCAUUAUAACAACUAAAGAUACAAGUUUGUUGAGCCAACAUGGAGUGAACAUACUUUAUGAGGUAAAGGAGUUGAAUCAUAAAGAAGCCAUUGAUCUUUUUAAUUGGUGGGCCUUCAAACAAAAUAUUCCCAAGCCUAAAGAAGAUUUUGAAAGCCUUUCACAUUGUGUAGUAGGAUAUGCCAAAGGUCUUCCAAUAGCACUUAAAGUUUUAGGUGGCUUUCUUUUUGGUAAGAAAAUAGAUGAAUGGAAAAGCGCAUUGCAUAAACUAGAAAAAAUACCACACAUGAAAGUCCAAAGUGUUCUUAAAGUAAGUUAUGAGAGAUUAGACGAUACAGAAAAGGAGAUAUUCUUGGAUAUUGCAUGUUUUUUCAAGGGAAAAGACAAAGAUCUUGUUUCAAGAAUAUUAGGAAGGUAUGCAGAUAUUGGAAUAAAAGUUCUUCAUGAGAGAUGUCUCAUUACAAUUUCUCAAAAUAAGUUAGAUAUGCAUGAUUUAUUGCAACAAAUGGGCCAAGAAAUUGUUCGUCAAGAAUGUCUUAAAGAGCCUGGAAAAAGGAGUAGACUUUGGGAUUCCAAUGAUGUUGAUAGUAUGUUAACAAGAAAUACGGUAAGAGCCAAAUGUCAUUUAUUGAAGAAGUUAUAUAUCUAUAUAAUUUAAUUAAUUUUUAUGUAUCUUAUUUUUGGCUUAUUCUUGACUUUUAUCUUUUUAGGGGACUGAAGCAAUUGAAGGACUAUUUGUAGAAAUUCCUACAUCAAACAAGAUGCAAUUUUCUACAAAUUCUUUCACAAAGAUGAACAGACUUAGAUUGUUCAUAGUCUAUAAUAAACGGUAUUGGAAUUGUUUUAAGGGUGACUUUGAAUUUCCUUCUUCUCAACUAAGAUACCUCAAUUUUUAUGGAUGCUCUUUAGAAUCUUUACCAACAAAUUUUAAUGGAAGGAAUCUUGUUGAACUUGAUUUAGUACGUAGCGGCAUAAAGAAACUUUGGAAAGGGGAUGAGGUACUUUUAGAAGUGUUGUUUAGUUAAUAAUUUUUAUAUUAAUUUAAAAGUUUAUCAAAAGUUAUCUACUAACACAUUUUAUUUUGUUCUAGAUUUUUAACAGCUUGAAAGUCAUCAACCUUGGUUAUUCAAAGUAUCUUGUUGAAAUCCCAGACUUUUCAAGUGUGCCAAAUUUGGAGAUCCUGAAUCUAGAAGGUUGUAUAAAUUUACUUAAAAGGUUCAUCCACUACUAUUAUUAUUAGAGUUAUUAACUAACUUUUUUAUUGAAUAUAAUAGGGUGCACAAGCCUCGAGAGUUUCCCAAAAAUCAAGGAAAAUAUGAGUAAGCUAAGAGAGAUUAAUUUAAGUGGAACAGCUAUAAUAGAAGUACCAUCAUCAAUUGAGCAUCUAAAUGGGCUUGAAUACUUCAAUUUAAGUGGAUGCUUCAACCUCGUAAGUCUUCCGAGGAGUAUUUGUAAUUUGAGUUCUCUUCAAACUCUCUAUCUGGAUAGCUGUUCAAAACUAAAGGGUUUUCCAGAAAUGAAGGACAAUAUGGGGAAUCUAGAAAGGCUUAAUUUGAGAUUUACAGCUAUAGAAGAGCUUUCAUCAUCAGUUGGACAUCUAAAGGCUCUUAAACACCUAGAUUUGUCAUUUUGUAAAAACCUUGUGAAUCUUCCAGAGAGCAUUUUCAAUAUCAGCUCUCUUGAAACUCUCAAUGGGAGUAUGUGUUUAAAAAUAAAGGACUUUCCAGAGAUCAAGAACAAUAUGGGAAAUCUAGAAAGGCUUGAUUUGAGUUUCACAGCUAUAGAAGAGCUUCCAUAUUCAAUUGGAUAUCUAAAGGCUCUUAAAGACCUAGAUUUAUCAUAUUGUCACAACCUUGUGAAUCUUCCAGAGAGCAUUUGCAAUUUGAGCUCUCUUGAAAAGCUUAGAGUCCGAAACUGUCCAAAACUCCAGAGAUUGGAGGUGAACCUAGAGGAUGGUUCACACAUCUUAAGAUCAUUAAAUACAACUUGUUGCAUAAUAAAGCAAGGUGUAAUCUGGAGCAAUGGCCGCUUCUCCUCAUUAGAAACAUUACAUCUACGGUGCAGUCAAAUGGAAGGAGAGAUCCUUAAUCAUCAUAUUUGGUCCCUGUCAUCACUGGUGGAAUUAUGUAUAAGAAACUCUGAUCUCACGGGAAGAGGAAUCCUCAGUGAUAGUUUCUACCCAUCAUCAUUGGUAGGAUUAUCUGUAGGUAACUUCAAUCUAAUGGAAGUAGGUGAUAAGGGAGAAUCAAAUGAUUCUCCCUUAUCAGUAGGAAUCCAAGGAAUCCUCAAUGAUAUUUGGAACCUAUCUUCACUUGUGAAAUUAUCUCUAAAUAACUGCAAUCUAAUGGAAGUAGGAAUCCUUAGUGAUAUUUGGAACCUAUCUUCACUGGUGAAAUUAUCACUAAAUAACUGCAAUCUAAAGGAAGGAGAGAUCCUCAAUCGUAUUUGCCACCUGCCAUCAUUGGAAGAAUUAUCUCUGGAUGGGAACCAUUUUAGUAGCAUACCUGCUGGCAUCAGACUACUUUCCAAUCUAAGAGCCCUCAACUUGAGACAUUGCAAGAAGCUUCAAGAAAUUCCAGAGCUUCCAUCAAGUUUAAGAGACCUUUACUUGAGCCACUGCAAAAAGCUUCGGGCAAUUCCAGAGCUUCCAUCAAAUUUGCUACUUUUAGAUAUGCACAGUUCAGAUGGUAUUUCAUCACUGUCAAAUCAUUCUCUGCUCAAUUGCUUGAAAUCAAAAUUAUAUCAGGUAUGAUUUUCAUGGCACAGACCUUUUACUUUUGUACCCACUUGAUUUACAUAGUGCUUUUGUGCAGGAACUCCAGAUUUCUCUUGGUGCUUCUGAAUUCCGAGACAUGGCAAUGGAAAUUGUUAUUCCUAGGAGUAGUGGAAUUCUAGAGGGAACAAGGAAUCAGAGUAUGGGAAGUCAUCAAGUAAGAAUAGAGCUCCCUCAGAAUUGGUAUGAAAACAAUGACUUGCUGGGAUUUGCUUUAUGCUGUGUUUAUGUUUGGGUACCUGAUGAAUUCAACCCUAGAUGUGAACCAUUAUCGUGCUUGGAUUGUAAAUUGGCUAUCUCGGGAAAUUGUCAAUCAAAAGAUGUGGACAAAUUCCAAAUUGAAUCUGAAUGUCAUUGCUCUGAUGAUGAUGAUGAUCAUGGUAGUGCAUCAGAUCUAGUAUGGGUUAUAUAUUAUCCCAAGGAUGCUAUUAAGAAGCAAUAUCUCUCCAAUCAAUGGACACACUUUACUGCUUCAUUUAAAAGCGUAACCCUUGAAGCGAAAGAGUGCGGGAUCCAUCCUAUAUAUGGCUGCUUCAAAUGUCGACGAGAUAAAGAAUGCCAACAGAAGCUUUGUUUAAAGGGCAGUGCUAUUAAUGAGCUUCCCUUUAUUGAGAGUCCCUUUGAACUUGGUAGUCUGUGUUUGCGGGAGUGCAAAAACCUAGAGAGUCUGCCAAGUACCAUCUGUGAGUUGAAGUCCCUUACAACUCUCUCUUGUUCUGGCUGUUCACAACUAACUAUCUUUCCAGAAAUCUUUGAGACUUUGGAAAAUUUAAGAGAGCUUCAUUUAGAAGGGACUGCCAUCGAAGAACUACCAUCAUCAAUUCAACAUCUAAGAGGGCUUCAGUAUUUGAAUCUGGCAUAUUGCAACAACCUUGUGAGCCUUCCAGAAACCAUUUAUCGUUUGAAAUCCCUCGUAUUUCUCUCUUGCACUGGUUGUUCACAACUAAAGAGCUUUCCAGAAAUCCUGGAGAAUAUCGAAAAUUUACGAGAGCUUUCUUUACAUGGAACUGCCAUAAAAGAGCUCCCAACAUCAAUUGAACGACUAGGAGGGCUUCAAGAUUUGCACCUGUCAAAUUGCAGCAACCUUGUGAAUCUUCCAGAAAGCAUUUGUAACUUGAGAUUUCUCAAAAAUCUCAAUGUUAAUCUCUGUUCAAAACUUGAGAAAUUUCCUCAGAACUUGGGGAGUUUGCAACGUUUAGAGCUUUUGGGAGCUGCAGGUUCAGAUUCCAAUCGAGUUCUAGGAGCAAUUCAGAGUGAUGAUUGCCGCAUGUCAUCAUGGAAAGCAUUAAAUCUGAGCAUCAACUAUUUUAGUAGCAUAAUUCCUAUCAGCAUCAUUCAACUUUCUAAAUUGAGAGUCCUUGACUUGAGUCAUUGCCAGAAGCUUCUACAAAUUCCAGAGCUUCCACCAAGUUUACGAAUUCUUGAUGUCCACGCCUGCCCAUGCUUGGAAACAUUAUCAAGUCCGUCAAGUCUACUUGGUUUUUCUUUGUUCAGAUGCUUCAAAUCAGCAAUUGAGGUAUGAUUUUCUGAGACAUUUAACCUUUUUUUUUUUUUUUUUUCUUUUUGAAACAUAAGAUUUACGCUACUCUUUCAUGCAGGAAUUUGAAUGCGGGUCCUAUUGGAGCAAGGAAAUCCAAAUUGUUAUUCCAGGAAAUAAUGGAAUUCCAGAGUGGAUAAGCCAACGGAAAAAAGGAUCUGAAAUAACAAUAGAGCUUCCUAUGGAUUGGUACCAUAAUAACGACUUCUUGGGAGUUGCCUUAUACUCUGUUUAUGUUCCACUUCAUAUUGAAUCCAAUGAAGAUCCUUGUAGUUUAAAAUGUCAAUUGAAUUUCCAUGUUCAUCACUUUGAAUUUCUGGAUGAUCUACCAUCUAAAUUCUGGUCUAUGAAUGGUCUUUCAUAUGAAUUUUGGCCCGUGGAUGAACUCUCGUUUAGAAGGGGUUAUUUGUGCCACCAUAAUGGUGAUGAAUUAAAUGAAGUCCGGGUGGCAUAUUAUCCGAAGGUUGCUAUUCCGAAUCAGUAUUGGUCAAAUAAAUGGAGACAUUUGAAGGCUUCAUUUCAUGGUUACUUGGGUAGUAAACAAGUGAAAGUGAAAGAGUGUGGGUUCCAUCUUAUAUCUAUGCCCAAGAUUGUCAACAGAAGCAUCCCACAAGAUAGAAGUAUAAAAGGCGUCGAGCACAAUCGUCCACCAAUAUUGAUACAGUACCCAGAUGUUCAAAGAUGCUGUGACACCAAAUCAGUACCAGAAGAUACUAAUGUUAAUGCACAGAGCUGCUGUGAUGACACACAUAGUACAGAACACAACCAUUCUCCAAUGGAUACAAUAACACAUAAUGUUGAUGAUAAUGUUGUUGAUGCCCAAGAUGAAGAAGAAGACCAUAUGCACAAGUGGUUGGACCUUCUUUGCAAAUCUGUUCAAUGGAUAUGUUGUAGAAGAUGCUAAACAUUCAUCUCAAGCUUUUGGUAAGCCACCUUUCUUUUGGUAAGCUUUUGCUAUGUUCUUUCUAAAGAUUUAUUCUUCUUCUUCUCUCUUAUUUUUACCUAGCUACUCUUUUUUGAAAGUCAAGUCCAUAGGCGUAAAAUCCAAAUUUUGUUUUAUAAAAAAAAAAAUCAUUUUUAUUAGGACUUGUUUUCGAGUAUUUUUAACAAGCUUGAUUGCACUGUUAUUUUCGAAGUAUUAAACAUUGAAUUAGAUAAGUUGGUAGAGGAAAUUACGCAUUAGCCUUGAACUUGAUCAGUUAAGCCAUGAAAGUUCUUACUAAAUAAAAUAUUUCAAGUCAAUUUUUAUUUGUUAUUAAUGUAUUGCCUAUUUGAACUCACAUUUUAUUCCAUUUUGUACUUUAUAUAUUUUUUUGGUCUCAAAAAGAGAUUAAGUCUCCAAGUAAGAAAGAUCAAUCAAAUUAGGAGGGGAAGAACAUUUCAAUUUCAAGUAUUUUCCUUUAAAAUAUUUUGAGAGGUGCAUAUGUUUUAGGCAUUCCAAAUGAGUUAACAAUUAAAUUAUGACAUUGAUUUCACUAACUAGAGUUGUUUGGAUUGAUUCUUUAGUUCAAAAGUUAUCACUUCUCUAGCUUUAACUAUUCCAUUAAACUAGUUUGAUACAAAAAAAAUUAAAUAAUAUUAUUUAAUUUUAAUAUUAUUGUGUUGUUUACUGAAUGGUACCAGAUAUAUAAACUUCAUGUUACAAAUGACACCGCUAUUGCCCAUUUUAUCUCACAACUACAACAAAGAGGUUUUCUACAUGGGGAUGAUAUGGGAGAUCGGUUUUUCAACUGCUCACAGUAAUAUCUCUCUUUUGUUUGAUGUUCUAUCUAUUAAGGAUGAAAUUUUUGUUGGUUCUAUUGGAAAAAUUAUGGUUUCAGGAACUUGCUAUGGCAUAUUGUCUCUCUUAGGAAGGAAUGAAUUCUGGAUCGUUAUCACUGCAUUCACCUCAAACAGGGUAGAACUUGUCAUUUCUUGCAAUAGAUGUGUAUGCAAAGCUUGAUAUUUUUAUUAAUACAUUAUUUAACACGUUCAUUAUCAGAACUUGUUUUAUGGUUUAUUAUUUGUUUAUCAGUUCUGUGUAAUGGAGCAUGCACCAAGUAAACUCCUCCUCUUGCCAAAGGUUUGAGAGUCUUAUAUUUGGUUUAUGUAUGUUCCUGCAUCUUUAGUAGCAAUAAUUUUAUACUAUCUUUUGGGUUUUAUAGACUUUUUUUGUAACUGUGAGAGUCAUCCAAGGCCAUAUUUCAGGUUGUUCAUUAACUGGCUUUUUGACCUUGUGUCCCCAGACCCUAUCUUGGAUGGUGCUAACUUUCAGGUAUAGGUUGUUUUCAUUUCAUGCAUUAGUAUUGUAAUAUGCAAUUUGGCAUAAACUAACUAGAUAAGGUCACUUUUCAGGUGUUGAUUGCUUUUACUAAUGCUUUCCAUGCAUUGCAGCUUCUUAAAAUCCUGGUAUUCAGGUCAGCAUGCCAUGCAUUCAAGGUUUUUCUUUCCCAAAUGUUAAAAUCUGUUGUUGCAUAUGAUUUUGUGAAGCUCUUAAGAAUGGAUUUCACUUAAAAGAGUACCCAUGUUGGAUGCUCCAAAAGGGGACAAUUUCCUUGGGUGAUUGCAGUUUUUUUUAAUUUGUUUUCAGGAAACUGAUCCAAAAGGUGGGAAAAUUCAACUGCACAUUGAGCAACACAUCAAUAUUUGUGGUAUGAUUUAAGAGCUUGUUUUUAUAUAAUGCAGAAAUCUCGUUAUCAAUCUAGAUGUUGAAUAACUGCAGCUAAGCUCUGCUAGGCCUUUUUUAGAGGAAAAAAAUACUAUUAAAAAAAUUAAUUAUAAAAUAUUUUAAAUAUAUAAUUAAAAAUUAAAUAAUAUUUAUAAUAUUAUUUAUUCAAUUUUAUAUAAAUGCAUUAAUGGUUUAAAUUUAUUAAACAAAAUAUACACAAUAUUUAAAUGUGAAAAUAUAUUCAAAAUGGUAAAAAAAAAAAAAAAAAAAUCAUAUUUUAAUACGAAAACAAAUUUUUUUUAAAAAUGUGAUUUAUAUAUAUAUAUAUAUAUAUGUAUUAUUUUUUAAAUUGCCUACUUACUUAUUUUCUUGUAAAUAUUGAUAUAAACAUGGAUGCAACACAAUAGAGUAGUUAUGUCAUUAUGACCUUGUGGUUUGUGGUUCAAACCCUCUUGUGUAGGAACAAAGUUGGUUUUUCUUUUAAAUCCCUUUACCUUGUCCCACAUCCAAAGUAAAAGGAAAAGUAAAGUGCUUUAUAAACCUCUUCUCAACCAUCCAAAGCCAAGUGGUCAAGCUAAGUGAUUGUUGGGCCUUAUGGCACAACCUUUGAAUAAGGGCCCAUUUUGCAAGCUGGGGGUGGACAUUUAAUGUUGGGCCAUGGAGGGAAUAUAGCCUAUUUUGUCAAAAAAAAAAAAAAAGGGAGGCAAUUAAUGCUGGGCGGGAGUGGUACACUUAGUAUUUUAUUACGGAAAAAUGAUUUGGUAAAAAAUAAUUGUUCACAAACUUAUAACAACAAACUUGCCACAAAUAUUUAUUUGUGAAAAAAAAAUAUUCUACCACAAAAUAUUUUCUUUUAACAAAAAAUUAAUUUAUGGCAAAAUCUCUUAUUUGUUGUAGUGAAUGUAAUGCCUUAGUUAUGGGUUUGAUUGAUAUCUAGAUGGAAUAUCUCAAGCUCAAACAAUUGAAGGCGACAAGCUCAGGCAAUUAAAUGUGAAAAGCUCAAAUGACUUGAACAUCUCAAUUGCAGAAUUUUAUCAAAGGGAAGGAGGAAUCUCAACUUAAGAACAAACUAUCAAAUUCAAGAGGAGACAAACAUCUCAAUUGUAAAAUUUUCCUUCCAAAUGUUUUAGUAGAGGAAUACAUCUUGACCCCAUACAAUGAGUUUUGGAUGAUGAUGGGUAGAGAGGAGAGACCACAUAGUACAAGUGAGAGCGAGUGUGAAAGUCCUUAUGGAGGGGAACUUGAAGCCAUCUGCUGAUAUUUGACCGAAUUGAAUCAAGAAAAGAUCCCCAUCCACCCGCAUGAUUCUACUAGCAGUAAGCUAUUGUAGUUUUCAAUUUUUGCAGUGGCUUACAAGUGAAUGAUUGUUGUUAGCUUGUCAAUGUUCAAGAGCAUUAUUGAAUCCUCAAUUUUAUUCUUGUUUUUUUUUUUUUUUUUCCAACAGAUUCAAUUCUGUUUCCUGAUGGAUCAAUUUGCACUACGGUUUGAACUCUUUCAAACCUUGGUGAGUGAGAGGAGGUAGGAUGCUUCAAAAUUUUAAGCUGUGAUGGUAUGAUCGUGUGGUAAAAAAUGUUCAGCCUGGAAAGAAAAAAAAAAUUGUCUACAACAAUAUGUAUGCCAAGACAUUCAGAGAUCUUUCAAAGAGUUAGCAGCUCUAGAUUAAUCAAUCCUGCAGGAUGAAAAUGGACGGAGAUCAAAGCCCUUUGAUUCAUAUCUGUAAUUGCAUAAACAUAUGCGCCAGUGUUGUACAAGAAUAUGAGGUUUCUGACACUACGAAAGAGGCCAAGACACGAGUGGCCAUGAGUACAAGUUGAAUUUUGGAUACAAUCCAUUACCUGGAACUAUGGAUUUUCUUGCUGUUGUUCAUCCCUUUCUGGAUUUUCUUGAAGGCCCUAUCAUUUCUUGGUUGUACUGAAUUGUUUUGAAUGUUGUAUUUCAUGCAUUAGACGAUGGAGUAGAGAUCAUUCCAAGCAUUUGUAUUUAUUUUGAAAAGCAUUUGACACCCAUAUAUUGACCGUAGAAUUUUCUUAUUUAAAAUUUAGUGUACAUAUGGAAUAUGGUAUCAUUUUUCCAAACCGAUCAAACUAUAUAGAUUUUCUAAGACUUUCAGUUUUUUAAAUAUGAAACCAAUCCACAUUGGUUUGAUCAAAAUAAUAAGUUAAAAAAAGAAAAGUAAUUUAACAUAUUUCUAUAAAAAGGUAUAAUUUAGGUUGAAAAGUAUACUUGUUUGGACAAGUUGUCAUUCUUAUACUUGUUUUAGAAAUUGGUAAGUUAAAGAAUAUAAAAAAAAAAUACUAUUUUUUAAAAAAAAGAGUGUUUGUCAAGUUAUUUUUAAAAAUAUUUUUCAAAAAAAUAAAAUAAAAAAUUAUUUGGACAAGUUGUUUUUAAAAUUUUUUAUUUUGAUUUUAAAAAUAAGUAGUUUUUAUUUUUUGUCAAAUAUGAAUAGAAAUAUUAUAAUAAAAUCAUAAAUUAUAUUUUCUUUUACAAUAUAUAUAUAUAUAUAUAUAUAUAUAUAUUAUAAAAAUAUGGAUAUUAAUAUCUUUAUAAAAAUAUGAUUGAUUUAUUUUAUUAAAAAUAGAUAACGGUAAUUUAAAAUAAUAAUUGUUAAUAAUAUUUUAUUUAAAAUGAAUUUAAAAAAUGAAGUUUUUAACAUUUGAAUGAAUUAAGUUUUUGAGUACAUACAUACAAUUAGUAGUCAAUUAUAAACAUAGUGUUAUUAAAUACUUUUAAUUUAGUCAAUAAUUAAUUAGAUCUAUUUUUUGAAUUUCAAAUUAUUCUUAAAAAAUAUAGAAGAUUAAAGUACUAAUUAUGUCUCACUUAAUUUAGAAUCUAUUUAUCUAAGGAGAAAAUUUAGAAAUUAUAAUUGUAUAUAUAUAUAUAUAUGAGAAAUAGUAAAGUCAUAACUCAUAAUAGAAAAAUUAUUGUCUAUGAUUUUCUAUAGUGAUUAGAUUUAUUUUUCGAGUUCUAAAUAAUUUUUAGAAAUUAUUCAAUACAUUAAUAAAUACAAUACUGAGUGUAGCUUGUUUUAAAGUUCAUUUUCCUAGUGAGAAAAUUUAUAAGAAUAUAGUUAUAUAUGAAAAUGCUCAAGCACAGAUUAGCAAGAAUGAAGAAUUUGUUUCUAUUUUACAGUUUUUACAGUAGACCAAUGACUAUAUAUAUAUAUAUAUAUAUAUAUAUAUUACAGUAUAACUAAUCUAACCAUCUAACCAUCUGAUAGCUUGGAACAACAGAGAGACGAGUACGAGCGGCUGAGAACUGAUAGCUUGGAACAUGUUUAGUAAAGACAUCUGCCAACUGGUCGGUAGAAAGAACAUAUUGAAUCAAAAACUCUUUGCGGAGGACCUUAUCACGAACAAAGUGAAGAUCAAUCUCUAUGUGCUUGGAGCGGGCAUGGAAGACAGAGUUAGCUGCAAGAGCAGCAGCACUGAUAUUGUCACACUAGGUCAGAGGAGUGUCCGGUUGAGGAAUGCACAACUCUUUGAGAAGAAACUGAACCCAGGAAACCUCAGCGGCGAGAAGAGCAAGUGCCCGGUACUCCGAUUCUACACUACUACGAGAGACGACACGUUGCUUGGUGGAGGACCAUGAAAUGAGAUUGGUGCCAAAAAAAAAGACAAAAGCCACUGGUGCUUCUUUUAUCAUCGGGACAUGAAGCCCAAUCCGCAUCGGUAUAGCCUUGAAGAGACCAAGAUGGUGAGGCAUGGAUAGAAAGACCAUGAGUAGCAGUACCUUUGAGAUAGCGGAGUAUGCGUUUAGCAGCUUGCAGAUGAGAAGUGGUAGGAUGAGCCAUGUAUUGACAAGCUCGAUUCACUACAAAUGAGAUUUCUGGUCUUGUGAGAGUGAUGUACUGAAGAGCACCCACAAGACUGCGGUAGUGAGUAGCAUCAAGAGCAGAUAAAGGAUCUCCAUCUGUUGCUGAUAACAAUUUUCCCAAAGCACUAGGUGUGCUAGCAGAUUUGGCCCCAAGAAGAUCAACACGCUCAAGUAGCUGAUGUAUGUAGCGUUGUUGAUUGAGAUGAAGAACAUGAGGAAGCCGGGUGACUUCAAUACCAAGGAAGUAGCUAAUAUCCCCAAGGUCUCGAAUAGCAAAAUGAGAGCUAAGCUGAGAAAUGAUAUGAUGGACCUAUGGUGGAUUACUGCCAGUAAUGAGAUUAUCAUCCCACAUAGAUUAAAAUGAUGAUAAUAUCNNNNNNNNNNNNNNNNNNNNNNNNNNNNNNNNNNNNNNNNNNNNNNNNNNNNNNNNNNNNNNNNNNNNNNNNNNNNNNNNNNNNNNNNNNNNNNNNNNNNGCCAGUAAUGAGAAUAUCAUCCACAUAGAUUAAAAUGAUGAUAAUAUCAGAUGCAGAGUGGAAAUAAAAUAAAGAUGCAUCAGCCCUUGAGCAUUGGAAUCCCAGCUAUAAGAGAAAGGAGCUGAGCUUGUGGAACCAAGUUCGAGGCGCUUGUUUAAGGCUAUAGAGAGCCUUCUGUAGACGACAAACAUGAGUGGAGCAAGAGCUAUCUUCAAAGCCUGGAGGUUGCAUCAUGAACACCUGUUCCUGAAGAUCUCCAUUUAAAAAAGCAUUGUGGACAUCUAGUUGUUUAAUAGGUCAGUUGAAAGAGACGAUAAUGGAGAGAACAAGCUUGAUAGUGCAAGGCUUCACAACUGGACUGAAUGUCUCAAAAAAAUCAAUGCCAUAGGUUUGAUGAAAACCUUGGGCAACCACCCAAGCUUUGUACCUGUCAAUGCUACCAUCAGGUUUAUGUUUGAGUUUGAAGACCCAUUUACACCCAAUAAUUUUGGCCUUAGACGGAGGUGGCACCAAAGACCAAGUUUGAUUCUUCAAUAGAGCCUAAUAUUCCUGUUCUAUAGCAAGCUUCCAGUUAGGGUCUUGAAGAGCCUGUUUGACAGUACGUGGCUCAGCUAUGAGUGAGGUAAGAUAGGUCUUCUUCUUACAGAUACCAGAUUUGGAUAUGAUAAUCAUAUGAUGGCCAGGAAUUGGAGCUGUGGAAUCCUGGAGUGGAGUAGUAGAAAUCUCAGCUGCUUCAUCCACAAAUGGCACCUGAAUGAGCGGGGGUAAAGACAAAGAGCUGGCUAGAGGUGAUGUGGGAGCAGGUUGGGAUGGGAUAACCGGAGGAAAGCUGGUUGUAGAGGGGAAGAGAACAGAAGAUGGAGGAAAAGAAAAUGCUGAAGUGACAGGAAAGUGAGAUGAUUGGUGGGAAGGAGAAUUCAAUGCCUGAAAUGGAAAUGCAGUCUCUGCAAAGACUACAUGCCUAGAGAUAUACACUCUACCAGUUGUAGGAUUAAGGCAAAAAUAACCCUUGUGAGAUGUUUCAUAACCAAGAAAGAUACAGGGUGUGGAUCGUGGCUAAAAUUUGUUGGAGUUGAGAUGUUUGAGGUGUGGUUAACAAAGACAACCAAAGACUUUGAAAUGGAAAUAAUUAGGUGGGUGUUUGUAAAGAAGAUAAAAUGGGGAGCUGUAAUUAAGCAAAUGAGAAGGCAUGCAAUUGAUAAGGGUAACUGCUGUAGUGAAAGCAUAGGACCAAAAUUUGGAUGGAAGGGCAGCUGUGUAAAGAAGAGUGAGCCUGGUUUCUACAACAUGGCGCAUCUUGCGUUCGACCCGGCCAUUUUGUUCAGGUGUAUAAGGGCAAGAAAAUCAAUGGAGUAUACCAUGAAGAGAUAGAAAUCGGGUGAGGGCAAUGAACUCUCCACCAUGGUCUGUUUGAAGGCAUUUAAUGGUGGUCUGAAACUGGUUUUCAACAAGAGUUUNNNNNNNNNNNNNNNNNNNNNNNNNNNNNNNNNNNNNNNNNNNNNNNNNNNNNNNNNNNNNNNNNNNNNNNNNNNNNNNNNNNNNNNNNNNNNNNNNGAAGCACAUUGUGUAAGACAAAGGGUUUAGCAGAAGUGUGGAGAAAGGAAUGAACAACUUGGGUUAUGGGUAGGGACUUACCAUUGCCAACCAUCACAAAGUCAGUACCAUUGUGUGGAGUACCAUUGUAGAUAUUAGCAGCCAUAUGGGAGAGAUGGUGGGUGACGCUUGAAUCUAAAAACCAGGAGUCCGUUGAUGCUGGGGAAGGUGCUGCCAUCAUGGCUUGAGUAGGAGGAGUGAGACUAGUUUGAGAGGUUGAUGAGGCUGGUGCAUGUGGCCCUUGAUAAUUCACAUCAAAUCUAUGAUAACAAGAGAGGACCAUGUGCCCAAACUUGCCACAUAACUGACACUGUGGUCGAUUAUUUCUCCGGGAUCGAUUAUUGUUGAAUCCGUUAGGGCGAUAUCCUUGAGGAUGUUGCUGUCGUGAAUCUGAAAGAGUGCUAGGUCGUGGGGUUGGCAUGAAUGACUGAGGUGGUUUCCCUUGAGAGGGUUUGCUGGACUGUGACCUUUGUGGUCUGUUAUGAGUUGCAAUAUUGGCAAUGAGGAGGUCUUCUUUAGUAGUCGUGGUUUGAAGAUGCAGCCUCUGUUCAUGAGUAAGAAGGAUGCUAUGUACCAUAUGAAGCUGAAGAUCAUCAUCUCUAGUUGUGAGAGAAGCCACAAUGGGGUUGUAUUCAGCCCCUAGUCCACUUAGUAAUUGAAGGAUUUGAUCCUUUUCUGGCACUGGUUCUCCAAUAGCUACUAGACUAUCAAAGAUAUGUUUGAGUUUUUUUUAUGUAUUCCAUCAUGGUGAGAGGGUCUUUUUUGGUUGUUUGAAAAGCAAGUCUUGGCUGCAUUGUUCUUGCUUUAGUGGAAGCAGAGAAGCUUCGUUGGAGGGUUAUCCAUGCUUCAUGGGAUAUUCGUAGCCCAACAAUUUGGCCCAUAACAUCUGGGGUGAGAGAAAAGUAGAUCCAACUCAGGAUCAUAUGAUCAUAUCUCCUCCAAAUCAAAAAAUCUAGGUUCACUUCACCGAUGGAUAUUAUUUUUAGAGGACAUGGUCUCAGACCUUCAAUAUGGUCCUCAAAUCCAUUGACAUAUAUCACAUUUUCCAUUUGUGUAUGCCAAAGGAUAUAGUUAUCUCUAUCUAGUUUGAUAAGAAGAGGAUGGUUCAGCAUGCUCAUGUUUAGGGUAAAGGUUACCUGAGAAGAGACAAUCUCCUGUGUGGUUUGUGUUGAUGAAGCCAUCGGAAACUAGGUACAGUAUGUUCUUGAAGCUUUCUUGAGGUGAGUAAGAAAAGCAGAAGGUAAUCUACAGAUGACGUAUAUCAGAAGAAAGUUGUAGCAGAAAGAGUUGUUGGAGAUUUUUUUAUCGUCUUGCCGGGAGAGAAAUAAAAAAUAAAAUAAAAAAUUCAAAAGCCUAUGGCUCUGAUACCAUUAAAAUGCUCAAGCACAAAUUAGCAAGAAUGAAGAAUCUGUUUCUAUUUUACAGUUUUUACACUAACUAAUCAUAACAGCAUUUGUUAGAGAGGAGAAGAAUCAUCUGCUGAUGCGGGUGUUUGUCUAUCAAUAUACAAUAAAGAAACUAUAAUUAUUUUAAACCAACUUUUAUUCAUAAGUUUUUUGUAUUAAUGAGGUUACUAUCCGAGGUUCAAAUUAUUUUAAAAAAUGACUAGACUUGUUAAUGAGUGAUGUAGCAAUAAGCAAGAAAGAAAAGAGGAUAGAAUACGUCUAAUCCAAGAAAAUUUGGAAUCCAUUAAAGAAACUCUCAAGAAGAGAUUUUCAUUGACUAAAAAUUCAGAACAAGACAAAGGAUCUUUUUCCACCAUUUUUUCCUCCAGUUUAUCUUAAUAACCCUUCAAUGUCUUCACAACUUCCAACAUUGAGGAAAUAAAAUCUCAAAUAUCUACUAUUAGUAAUCAAGUAUUAUAAGUCUCAAGUUUCCCAGGUAAUUUAAAUCUUAUUCUAAAACUGACUUGACUAUUUUCUUCGGAGUCCCCUCUACUUGAACAAAAUUCGAUCUUGAGUCACAAUCUUGAUAAAACUAGUUGCCUUGUUAGAUGAAUGAUACUCAUACAAAUAAAAAACAUUGAAGGUCUUAAAUUCCCAUGUCUUCUAGUAAUUUUCCUUAACACCUGAAAUGGUCCACAUUUCUUCGGCUUCAACUUUUUAUAAUUUCUAGCAGAAAACCUUUCCUUGUGUAAGCAUACCAUCACCAUAACACCUACUUGAAACACUUUUGUGUCGAUGAUGUUUAUCAACUGCUACUUUAUACUUGCCAUUUACCUCUUCUAGCCUCAUCUUUGUUUCUGCUUGCAUUGCUUGAACCUUCUCAGCUAUAUGUUCUGCUAUGGUACUCAAACAAAGAGCCCUCGAUAAUUGUAGCAAAUCUAGAGCAUGCUUUGGUGACUUCUUCAUAUCUACUACAAAGGGAGACCUUCCUAUUGUGCUAUGAACAACAUUAUUGCAUGCAAACUCUGCUUGAGCAAAUGCAAAAUCCCAGUGUUUAGGCUUGUCUCCACAAAUACUAUGAAUCAAAUUUCCCAAAGUCCUAUUUAUUACCUCAGUUUGACCAUAUGCCUGUGAGUGUGUAGUGCUACUAUAAUUCAGUGAGGUAUCAAACAUCUUUCCAAGAGUGAUCCAUAAAUGACUAAGAAACUUAGCAUCUCAAUUGGAGGAGAUAGAUUAAGGAACCCCAUACAAUCUAACAAUUUUGCAAAAGAACAACUUUGCUAUAUGUGAGACAUCAGAAGUUUUUUAGUAAGGAAUAAAAUGAACCAUUUUUGAAAACUUUUCAACAACCACAAAAACAAAGUCCGCUCCUCUUUGAGUAUAGGAAUUCCUAAGAAAAAAUCCAUUGACAAGUCUUCCCAAAUAGCAUUUGGAACUGGUAAAGGCAUGUAAAGUCCAGUAUUCUAAGCUUGACCCUUUACUACUUGGCAUGUGUAGCAUUUUUUGGACAAAAUUACUAGUAUCUCUCUUUAAUUGUGGCCAAUAAUAACGUCCUUCAAUACUGGUCACAGUUUUAUCCCUUCCCAAAUGUCCACUUAAGCCUCCACCAAGGAAGGCUCGAAUAACCUUUUCUCAUAAAGAUACUCGAGGAAUGCAUAAACAAUUUCCAUAACAUAAACAACUAUCAUGAAUAUGAAACUCGCUAGCAAGCUGCCUUUGAAUGAAUUUGUUCUAGAUUUCUUUGAAAUCAUCAUCUUUUGUGUAUUACUCUUUUAAACAUUCAAAACCAACAACUUCAUUCCUAAUUAUCACAAGUAAUACAGCCCGACAACUAAGAGCAUCAACAACUCGAUUUAGUGCUCCAGAUUUAUGUCGUGUAACAAAAGAAAAAUCUUGCAGAAAAGUUGACCAACCAACAUGAAAUUUAUCUAAAUGCUUUCAACAGUUAAUGAACCUCAAAGCUUGAUAGUGAAAAUAUAAUAUAUAAAUUCUCUCUGUAUCAAAUAAUGUUCCCAAUACUUUAAUGCUUGUACAAUUGCAUAUAGUUCCUGAUUAUAGGUACUCCAUUUUUGCCUUACUUGACUUAAUUUUUACUGAGAAAAGCCACUAAUCGUCCACAUUGAGAUAAAACAACUCCAAUUCCAAUAAUGCUUGCUUCCCACUCUACCUCAAAUAGCUUUUCAAAACUUGGUAAAACCAAUAUUAGUGUGGUGCAAAGCUUUUCUUUAAUCAAAGCAAAGUCUUUGCUUCAUCACUCCAACUAAAUCUCCCUUUCUUCAAAUGCUCUAUUAUUAGUGUCGUUAUGGUACUAAAUUUUUUUUAUAAAUCUUUGAUAAAAGGUCGCCAAACCAUGAAAGUGGUGUCACAGUUUUUGGUGUAGGCUACUCUUGUGUCUUCAAAUUGAUAAAUGGUAGUUUUUUCAUUCAUUCUUUCAUUCGUUCAUGUACAGAGUAUAUAUAUAGAGGGUAAUCACCAUUCUAAGAACGGGAAAGAAUGAUACAAGGAAAGAAUGAUAUAAGGAAAUAACAACUAAUAUCCUAGUAUCUCAACUUUCCUAAUAUCUCAAUAUUCAUAAUAUCUCACCUUUCCUAAUAUCUAAACAUUCCUAAUAUCUCAACACUAAAUAAUAUAAGGAAAGCAUUCCUAAUAUCUCAACACUCCCCCUCAAGUUGGUGCAUGGAUGUCACACAUGUCCAACUUGUCUAAAAAUUUUGAAAACACUUGACUUGAGACAGCUUUGGUGAGGAUAUCAGCCAAUUGAUCUUCUGAUCGAAUCUUAGGCAAUUCCGCAAUCUUAUCAUCCAACUUUUCCUUAAUGAAGAAUCUAUCCACCUCGACAUGCUUUGUACGAUCAUGUUGUACUAGAUUAUGAGCAAUGUCACAUGCGAAUUUAUUGUCACAAAACAAUCGGAUUGGUUGCCUAGAUAGGUAACCUAAAUCCUGUAAGAGGAGUCUUAGCCAUAAUGCCUCACAAAGUCCUAGAGUCAUACCUCUAAAUUCCGCUUCUGCACUUGAACGAGCGAUGACAUUCUGCUUCUUACUUUUCCAUGUCACAAGAUUACCACCUACAAAGGUAAAGUAACCAGAUGUAAAUCGCAUAUCAUCCACUGCACUGGCUCAAUCNNNNNNNNNNNNNNNNNNNNNNNNNNNNNNNNNNNNNNNNNNNNNNNNNNNNNNNNNNNNNNNNNNNNNNNNNNNNNNNNNNNNNNNNNNNNNNNNNNNNAGUAUAUACUUCUAUACUCUGAUGAUCAACAUUUUUAGCGAACAAAAUUCCCUUCCCAAGAGCAUUCUUCAAAUACCUCAAAAUACGCAUGACUGCAUUCAUAUGUUGCUCUCCAGGAUUAUGCAUGUAUUGACUCACUACACUCAAUGCAUAAGCAAGAUCUGGUCUUGUAUAAGCUAAGUACAUUAAUCUCCCCACAAGUCUCUGGUAUCUUCCCUUAUCGGUUGAUACUUGAUUAGGUUCAACACACAAUUUCAGACCUUCUUCUAUUGGUGUAUUAACAGGUUGACAUCCCGACAUUCCAGUCUCCUGUAAAAGAUCUAAGGCAUACUUUCUUUGAGACAGAAAAAAUCCUUCACUUGAUCGAGAAACUUCAAUCCCAAUAAAGUAUUUUAAAGGACCUAGAUCUUUCAUUUCAAAUUCUCUAGAUAGAUAAUUUUGCAGAGCUUUUUUUUCUUCAAGAUCAUUUCCUGUAACUACCAUGUCAUCCACAUAUACGAUGAGUGUCGUAAUCUUACCAUGUUGCUUUUUUAAGAACAAAGUGUGAUAUGAAUUACUUUGACGAUAGCCAAAAGCUCUCAUUGACUUUGUGAACUUUCCAAACCAUGCUCUCAGGGAUUGCUUCAACCCAUACAAUGACUUCUUCAAUUUGGAUGGGCCCUAAACAUCAGAAUGUAUAACCAUAAAAGGAAACAGACUUUUAUUCAAAAUUAACGGAAACAAAGCAUGAUGGCUUUUAGCCAAUUCACAAAUAUCACAACAGAAACUAGAAAUAUCACUCUUUGUAAACAAACUAGGAAACAAUUUUUUAAAAUAAUCAAAGGAAGUGUGUCCCAAACGUCGAUGCCACAACCAAAUUUCAUAUUUUUUUCUUCUCCUCCUCAGAUCCAUCUACCAUCAAGGCUUGUUGCAACUUAUUUGAAUCCUUUGACUACAAGUCCAAGUAAUAGUGUUUUCCCCGCUUAAUACUACAACCAAUCGUCUGUCUUGUUUGGAUGUCCUUAAUCACACAAAAUUCAGGCCAAAAAAUGACAAUACAAGAUAAGGCUACAGUGAUUUGAGAAACUGACAAAAGAUUGUAAUCUAAAGAUGGAACAACUAAAACAUAAUUCAAAUUCAAAGUAUCAGUAAGAGUUAAGGAUCCUUCCCCAAUGACUGGGGUUGUGUUACCAUUGGUUGUGGAAACAAAUUUUUGUGAGGAAGGUCUAAGGGGUGAAACCUAUCUAGAAUCAAAAGUCAUAUGAUUUGUAGCACCAGAAUCAAUUAUCCAUGCACUAUUAAUAACAGGUGUAAAAGUAUUUAGAAACUUACCACCAUGAUCUGUAGCGGCUACCAAUGCAGAGGCUUUCUCAGCAACAUUAGCCUCUGUUUUUAUUUCGGCAAUAGUUGUAGUCGAGGUUUUCUUGGAAUCCUUCUUCCGUUGAUCACGAUUAUUAUCAUUAAUAACAAAGUGUUGAUAGCCUAAACAUGAUCUAAAGGUCCAUGGUUCAAACCCUCCGUUCCUCAUUGUUUUCCUGGUCAUACCAAGAGUUGUUGCUUUGAAAUUAUGGGAUAUCCAGACUGGUGGGAUCAGUCUUAUUGCAGUGAGUGCAUUUGAAGGUUGACUUAUCAAUAUUAGGGCUUGUCUUAGGAUGGUUGAUUGUUGUUGGACUACCAUAGCGACAAAAUAUCUAGGAUUUCAGUUCCAUGGCUCUGAUACCAUCUUUAAAUUGAUAAAUGGUAGUUUUUUCAUUCAUUAUUUCAUUCGUUCAUGUACAGAGUAUAUAUAGAGGGUAAUCAUCAUUCUAUGAAUGGGAAAGAAUGAUAUAAGGAAAUAAAAACUAAUAUCCUAAUAUCUCAACUUUCUUAAUAUCUCAAUAUUCCUAAUAUCUCAAUAUUCAUAAUAUCUCAACAUUGUGGAGCUUGAACUUUAUCAUUGUCAACAUGAACUCCUUCUGAACUAAUCAUAUAUUCGAGAAAUAGCAAAUUAUUGGUCAUAAAACUGCACUUCUUCAAAUUAAUAAAUUAUUUAUUUUUUUGCAGCACUAUUAGAACUUCUCUCAAGGGUUGAAUGUGUUCUUACUCAUUCUGGCUAUAAAUCAGUAUAUUGUCAAAAUAUACAAUAACAAAUUUCCCAACAAAAGGUCUUAACACUUGAUUCAUGAGUUGCAUGAAAGUACUUGGCCUAUUUGAUAAUCCAAAAUGCAUGACCAUCCAUUCACACACAAUCUUCCUUUAAUUUUAAAGGUUGUCUUCCAUUCAUCCCCUAGUCUUAUGCAAUUCUGGUGAAUCUAGUUCCAAAACCAAUUUUGAACAUUCCAAUUGAUCCAAGACGUCAUCUAAGCACAAAAUCGAAAAUCAAUACUUUACAGUGAUCUUAUUUAAUUUAUAGAACAACUAUCUAUGCACAUAUGCCAACUACCAUCUUUGUUUGUAGUAAGCAAGGUUGGGAUUGCACAUGGGUUCAUGCUUUCGAAAAUAAAUCCUUUUCUUGCAAAAUCUCACCUUUUUUCGGGCUCAUUCUGUAAAGUGGUAAGUUAGGCAAGUUUGUUUUUGGGACUAAACCAAUAUCAUGUUGGAUGUCAUGCCUUGGAGGCAAACCAUCAAGUAAAUCACUGGCAUUGAAGUCUUUAAAUUCUUCCAACAUUGGUUGCAACUAAUUAGGCACUUCCACAAAUGCUUUCUCUUCAAAUUUAUUUUAUAACACUUACCUUAUUGGUUCUAGUUCAUUAAUGGAUAAUAUUUGUCUUUUAAUUCCUCAUCCAAAUUUUACCUAGUCUGUGAAUGUGAGUACUAAUAUCUUAACAAUAAUUCUAUAACAUUGUGGCAUAGACAUUUAGGCCACACCUCUAAAGAAAGACUAGAGAGGUUAGUUAUAGAAGAAGCUCUACCACUUUAGACUUUUGAGAUCAUGGUGUUUGCAUUAAUUGUGCUAAAAGGAAGUUAAUAAAAUCUAGAAAUAAAGGUACUACCAGGAGUCAAGAGCUUCUUGAAGUCAUUCAUUAAAAUAUAUGUGACCCAUUUCUCAUUUUACCUUAAGUGGGAAGAGAUAUUUUAUAACCUUUAUUCAUCAUAUUUCUCUUUUUGUUGUCUAUUUUAUUGGUAAAAAGAUAGAGGCGAUAGAUACUAAAAUUUUCCAAAUGAAUUAGCUUGAAAAGACAAUUGAAGUGAUACAAAUUGAUCAUGGUGGUCAAUACUACAAAAGAUACAAUCAAACAAAACAUAAUAUUCUAGAAUCAUUUUCCUUGCAUUUUCAAGAGUAUGGUAUAGUUGCUCGAUAUAACAUGUCGGGUACUCCUCAAGAAAAUGAUGUAGUUGAAAGAAGAAAUCAUACUCUUAUGGAUAUGGUAUGGUCGAUGUUGUGUAAUGCAACCUUAUUAGGAUUAUUAUGGAUUGAAGCAUUAAGAAGUGUUCAUAUAUCCUAAACCAAGUGCCUUGUAAGGCAAUCUCAAAGACUCCUUUUCAGUUAUGAACAAGUAGAAAACCAAGUCUAAAACAUCUACAUGUUUAGGGAUGUGCAACACCAAAUUAUAUAACCCACAUGAAUGAAUAUUAGAUUCUAGAAUAGUGAGUUGUUAAUUUGUAGAAUAUUUAGAAAGGUUACAGAUUUUAUGCCCAUUAUACAAUCCCAAGAUUGUUGAAACUCUAAAUGAUAGGGUCAUUAAAGAUUGUUAUGAGAUCAACACUAAGUAUUAAAGAUAAUAACAAAUUUCAGGGUUUUGGGGCUGCUGUUUAAAAGUAAAUGACGUGUAAUUCAAGAUUUUACUGGUAUUAGGAGACUGACGUGUAGUGCUUAGAGGUUCAUCCUUCACUAAAAAUAUCCACUCCUUGAGCUACUAUAUCUUCAAGGCAUUGAAGCAAUGGAUUGGGUUUGUGUUUAUGGGCUUGCAUAGAUCCAUGUUUCACUUGGGCUUCAUCUCUACGUAGGACCUUGAGUGAUUCCUUUGAGGCAUGAAUCUUGUUGGUGGGAAUUCUUUUCUUUUAAUUUGUUCUACUAAGUCAAUUCGGGAAAAGAAUAAUUUAUCACACUAAAAAACCAUUGCGAAUUUCAUAGAAAAUAAUCCACUAAAACAUUUCCAAAUUGGAAGGUGAAAUAGAUUUCCUCGAAGUCUUUAAUAUUAGCAUAUGGAUUCUCGCUCCCAUGCCUCUCAACACUGACAGCAACUGCAUUAUGUUUGGUCCGAUUAGGACAUGUUGAGUUGGGGUCACAAAUCUUUAAUUUGACCCUGGCUGGGUUUGGAUGGUCCCCCACUAAUCUUUAAUGGUAGCCUUAUGGUGCAUGAGAAAUGGAAAGGUUUGAAAGAUGAAUGAAAAUUUUUUGGGCUAACUCUUUCACUCAAUUAAUAAAUAAAUAAAUAAAAAGGUUUAUGAAUUUUCAGAAAAAAAGGAUGAGUGGUUCCAUGGACUCCCUUAUUUCCAUGAAAAGUCCAAUUAAGUUAGCACAACCGAGACUACCUAUAGGUUCUCUUAGUUGGAGAAGUUUCAAUACAAGUACAAUUUAAUUAAACCCAAUGCAUUACACUUGCAAGUUGAACCUCCAUGUGAAAUCUUUAAAGCCUCCAUUUGCUUGCCAAUUUGUGGUGUUAAGAGUUCAAUAAUGACCAUCUCAAGUGAAAAUGACUCUCACCAUUAAGCACUUGAGAUACUUUCAAUGGAACCCCUAAACUCCAAUUUCCAAGCAUCAAGGUAUGAUAUUCUAACUAAAAAUAGACAAUCUAUGAUAUCCUUGAAGCAUCCACUCCCUAUUUACUUGCCAAAUUAUAGCAUUAAUGGUCGUCUCAAGUUAAAAUGGCUCUUAUCAUUACGUUCUUGGGAUACCCUCAAAGGAACCCCUAAACUCCAAUUUUCCAACUUCAAGUUAUAGUUUUCUAAUUAAAAACGAAGAGGUCAAACUUAAAAGUUGAAUAAAUCAUUAAUUAUUCAUGGGCUAAAGGGAAGUCGUAAUGAGCCCCAUCUCCUAAAGCUUAAUCUAGUACUCGAAUGACAUGAAAAUUGAAUCAAAACAAAGAACAAAAAAAAGCAUUGAAAACAAAGAUUAAGUUUCGAAGUUAUACAACAUUAAAGAGUAAUGUAGUUAAAUGUAAAUACAGUCUAUUCACAUAGGAAAAUAACAUCCAAAUCUUAUGAAAAUUGGUGAGAAUGAACUUCUAGGAGUCUAGACUUUAAUAAAGUAUAUUUGAACUCAUUUGGAUAUCUCUAGCCACUUUAACUUUAUUAAAACUUUUAUUGGUCAAAAUAGGGUAAUACCUUUGAUUUCCCUGCAACUUUGAUCAUUUGGCUCAACUCAUAUCCACUCUUGCAUUCAGAGAGACCUGAGAGGUUCUCAAGAUUAAAAUUAUUCAUGACACUAGCAAUAAAAAACAACUAGAAAAUACGAGAAAACUGAGCAUAGACAAGGUAGUAUACAAUAAACUAGUUGCGAAGCACUUUUAAUGCUAAAAUGAAACUUACUUCUCUUUCACUCAAUAAAUUAUAAUAUAUUCCGGGAUGGAGCAAAACAAGCAAUUAUUAAACUAUUAAUAUGUAUUGUGCCUAUCUCUUAUUGAUUUCAAAUACUUAAAAGUUAUGUUUGGUUCAAAGAAAGUGUGAUGAAAAAAAAUAAAGAGAAAAAGUAAAGGAAACGAAAAGUGAAAGAUAAAUAAAUAAAUAAAUAAAUUUGAAGUCAAUCAAUAAUUUUUAUAGAUUACUUUAAACUUAUUUAACUCUAAAAGAUUAAAUAAAAUUAAAAUAUAUAAGUUUCUUACUAAUCUCAAUUAUAUUUUUCUUUCUUUUAUACUUUCUAUGAUAAAACCAAAUAUAAGAAAAUCAUUUUUACUUAACAUUUUUCUUUCCUGAAUAUAUGCUUUCUAGGAAUAAAACAAAUCCAAAGUAAUUUUUUCAUAAUGACUAAUAUUUCUAUCUUAGAAAUAACAAUAACCUCUAAUAUCUUCCUUUGUAACCAAAAAAAUCAUUAAUUUCAAUCAUAUUUCACUUUUCCAAAUACUACCUAAUUAUUAAGUAGGUAACACUCGUGUAACCCAUUUAACCUAUUUAAUAAUGAAAGUUUCUUAUUUAAUAAUUAAAUUUAGAUCUUAUAUAUAUCUAUAUGAUUAAUGUUUCUACCAAAUAUAUAUAUAAUUCAAUUGAUUUAUUUAUUUUAAAAUAAAUUUAAAAUGAGUUAAAUAGUUUAAAAAUAUAAUUAGGUAUCCCACUUACGCAACAUACAAAUGAAGUUUCCUACUUCCAGGUCUAUGUCUCCAGCAUUAUUCCCAUCUUUAUGACAAAACAAGAAAUUAUUUGCUUGAAAUUUAAAAUAUCACUAAAAAGGAAAGACAAAUAUAUAUACCACUUUGAAGCCCGCUGAUGUGUGACAUGCCAUGCAUGCUACCAUCAGUAAUACUAUUGCUUUUCCAUUGGGGAGAUAUGCAAGAUGAAAAUUUCCAGGCCCUUCAAUCUCUACGUUUGCCAUGUAUAUAUAUAAUAAAUUAAUAUAAAAUAGUGAGAAAAUGUUAUAUCAAUCCUAACAAAAAAAAAAAUUGAGAGAAUUUAUUAAAAUUUUCUCUUUUAAGUUACGUUUCAUUUAAGAAAGUACAAAGAAAAAAAUGCUUAAAAAAUAAUUUUUGAUUUUUCUAUAGAAAAUAAUGAAAGAAAAUCCAAUAUAAUUAAAAUUAGAUAAAAAUUUUAUAUUGUUAAAUUACUUAAUCUUUGCAUGAAAAAAAAAAAUUAGUGAAAUGAGUUUAAAAUAGUAUAAAAAAAUUAUUAGAAAAUAUUAUUAUAUAUGAUAAUAUAUAUUAUAAAAUAUUAAAUUAAGUAACUUGGAUUAUUUGAACUUUGCUUUGAACCUCACCCAAGUUGAGUUCAAAUUAAAAAUACCUAAUUCAAACCUAACCCAAGUAUUAAAAAUCAAGUCCACCUAAAUAUUUGGCCACCUUAAGUUGUACCAGAUUUUAAUUAUAUUUUAUUUUUUUAUGUUUUUUUAUAGUGAAAUCAAAUAUAAGAAAAGUCAUUUUCUAUAUAUUUUUUUUUUUCUUUUCUUAGUACCUUCUGAAAUCAAACAUAAUUUAAAAGAUGAUAAAUUUAAAAUUGGAAUGAAUGCUUAAGGCAUAAAAUACAUUGGACCUCUCAAUUUAUUAUUUUGCUUCAUUCUAUCCCACAUGGAAGGAAUAAUCAAAAAACAAAAUAAAAUUUAUUGAAGGGAUUCAACUUCUUCUUCGUUGGUUACUUCAUGAACUCAUGGAAUGUAAUCGGACCAUUUGAGAUCAACAAACCACAAACCACUCUUAUCAAAUAUUAUACAGCUACAUUCAAAGUACAAUACAAAUAUAUGUAAGAUCUAAAAUUGCAUAUAGUUUUUUUAAAAAAAAAAGAAAUCUUAAACAAAUGAUAGUUAAGAAUCUAUUUUUGAAAAUAUAAUAUUUUAUAUUCAUACUUAUUUAUAUUAAAUAUCUUUAGAGAAAAGUCCAACAAUCGGUUAAGAUCAGUCCAAAAAGUGUUUUUGAAAAUAAAAAUUAAGAGCAUGUUUGAUAACUAUUUUUAAAAAUAAUUUUUGAAAACUGUUUUUUAAUAUUUUUUUUUCGAAUAAAAGUUUGUUUGAAAAUUUAAAAUCUUUUUAACAUUUUAAAUAUGUUUUCAAAUUAUUUUUAUACUUCAUGUUUUAUUUUUAAUCAUUCUAUAUAUUUGUAGGGGCGGAAACAGUAAGGUUGAUUCAACGUUGAUUCAACGAAACCUUCUUGUUCUCUCUUAUUGAUUUCAUAGCCAAGAAGCACUAAAAAAAUGGAGACCCUUCUUGUUUUUAAAGACCAUAUGGAUUUCAUAGCAAUCAGUGAGUAAGCUUCAGACACGAUAGUUUCUUUUGGGGGUUAACAAGCGAAUAAAUUUCAAGAUUGAUUGAAUUCACAAGAUUUAAAACUAGCUAGAUUAACAAAGAUAAACAAAGAAACAAUUCUAUAUUUUGAUCUUCGUCCAAACGACUGGAUCAACAAUUCUAAAACCUAGAUGAGGGCUUCUCAGGUGUGGUAUACGGGAUCGAGAAGACGGUUGUUUGUUGGUAGUUCGUUGAUUUUGUUUUCUACAUGCGGACACGUGUCAUGGAUUUUCAUUCCCGCUAUUUUCCUCAGUAGCGGCACUCCUGAUCUACUGAGAUUUUAUACAAUAUUUCUUUUAAAAAAAAUACAAACUACUUAAAUUCUUUUUUUUGUUUUUUUUAAAAAAAAAAAAAGAUUUUGUACUAAAUACCCAUAUUUUUAUAACUUUUCUUUUUCUUUUAACUUAAAAAUAGUUAUUAAAAAAAUAGAAAACUAUAUAUAGUAUUUAAAUGAAUAUUAUAUUUUAAGAUUUUUUAUAUUGGUCGUAGAUUUAGAGAGAGAAUAAAAUAUUAUAUAUUUUAUUUUUAUUUGUAAAAAUUUGUGAAAAAAUUCUACUUAUUAUUUAAAAAUUAUUUUAUAUUUCACUUUAUUUUUUAAAACCAUUUCUAGAAAACAUUUUAAAAACAUCACUACCAAACCGGCUUUUAUUUUUUAUUUUUAAAAAUCAUUUAAUAUAUAAGUCAAUAAAAAUAUUACUUUCUUUCUUAUAUUUUUUAUUUAUAUAAAACAUGAAAUUUUAUAAUAUCAAAAUUUAAAAAAAAAAAAAAAAAAAAAGACUAGCCGUUGAAUUCCACUUCAACUUCUCUCCCAUUCUUUGUCUUCAAAUUUGAUAGAUUCUAAUUUUAAAAAUCAACUUGUCAUGAUAAGAACAUUUCCAUUUAUAAUGGAUAUUGAAUGUUAAAAUUCACCUAAAUGUCAUGAACCCUGGAUAAUCAUUAAAAAAAAUAUAGACUCGUUUGAUCAUGUUUUCUAAAACUUGUUUUUAAAAAUUGUUUUUUUUUAAUUAAAAAAUAAAAAAUAAUUUUUAAAACCAAAUUUAAGAAUACAUGGCCAAACCACCCUUAUUUUUUCAUGUUUUAUUUCAAACUAUUUAAUGAGAGGAGAAAAGAUAAAUUAAACUCACUUGGAUUAAUGUAUAUAAAUAAUUUAUUAAUUUUAUGCCUAAAUUAAAAAUGAAGAAAAAAAAAUCCAUUGGGAAGAUGCACCUAAAAAUAUAAUAAAGUAAAACAUAAAUGGCAGAAAAAAUAAAUAUCAAGAAAAUGAGAGACUGUAGAGAUAUCACCUGCUCUGGGUUGUACAAUUCCUACUAGGGAUGGCAACGGGGCGGGUUUUUUCGGGUACCCGCCCCGCCCCGCCCCUAAUGGGAUGGGAUAAAAAUGUAUUAAACGGGUUUGGGACGGGUAUGGGAUGUUUUUAAAANNNNNNNNNNNNNNNNNNNNNNNNNNNNNNNNNNNNNNNNNNNNNNNNNNNNNNNNNNNNNNNNNNNNNNNNNNNNNNNNNNNNNNNNNNNNNNNNNNNNGGCUUUCCUCUUGUGUUUGGUAAUGCCCAACUCCGUAUGCUCAGGCACAAAGCUUCCCCAUUUCUUUUGGUGCACAACAAGGACUCUGGAGUUUCUGGCCUUGAUUUUGGGUGUAAACUGCUUGAUGGGAUGAGGGAAAUGUCAGGUUUUGCUCACUUUGUUGUGUAACUGGAAGUUUAUUUGAAUCUUGUGGUGUACUUGAGUGAGUGUUUGUAGAUUGUUAUUUUGGAAAGAUGGUGUCAUCCGGGCCACCCACUCCCAUAGGUGGAGCCCAACCUGUUCCCCCUUCACUUUUGCGUUCGAAUUCUGGUAUGUUAGGAGCUCAGGCGGGUUCUGUGCCACCCCAAACAGGGUUCCCUUCGCUUGUGUCUCCAAGAACUCAGUACAAAUUUUUUUAAAGUAAUUUUUUUUUAAAAAAAAAAAAAAAAAAAAAAAGCUAAACGGGGCGGGGAAUUGUACUGGUUACAUAUCCAUUCAUCUAAAAAAUGGCCAAUGUGUUGGCUCCAUAGGGCAUUCAUUCAUAAUCAAUAGUCACAUGGUUAGAUAUGCAGUAAAUCCUUUGGUUUGUAGACUAGGUUAUGAGAUCUAAUUUAACCUUUAUUGGACAUAAAAUUCUUAGGAAAUGCCUUGCCUAUGAGAGCUUUUAUAGGAUGUACAAGGGAAAGUGGUGGACAUCCUCUAAAAUAAUUAUGGAGACUAUUUCCUAUUUUUAUACUAACCUNNNNNNNNNNNNNNNNNNNNNNNNNNNNNNNNNNNNNNNNNNNNNNNNNNNNNNNNNNNNNNNNNNNNNNNNNNNNNNNNNNNNNNNNNNNNNNNNNNNNAUAUAUUAAAUGAUUUUUAAAAAUAAAAAAAUAAAAGCCGGCUUGGUAGUGAUGUUUUUAAAAUGUUUUCUAGAAAUGGUUUUAAAAAAUAAAGUGAAAUAUAAAAUAAUUUUUAAAUAAUAAGUAGAAUUUUUUCACAAAUUUUUACAAAUAACAAUAAAAUAUAUAAUAUUUUAUUCUCUCUCUAAAUCUACGACCAAUAUAAAAAAUCUUAAACUAUAAUAUUCAUUUAAAUACUAUAUAUAGUUUUCUAUUUUUUUAAUAACUAUUUUUAAGUUAAAAGAAAAAGAAAAGUUAUAAAAAUAUGGGUAUUUAGUACAAAAUCUUUUUUUUUUUUUAAAAAAAACAAAAAAAAGAAUUUAAGUAGUUUGUAUUUUUUUUAAAAGAAAUAUUGUAUAAAAUCUCAGUAGAUCAGGACCCCGCCCCGUUUAAUUUUUUAAACGGGACGGGGAUGGGAAUUGAUUUUGCUAAACGGGACGGGGUUGGGAUGGGGGCGACCCGUCCCGAACCCGCCCCGUUGCCAUUCCUAAUUCCUACACGCCAAAAUUCUGACGCUUCUUCUCCUACCAUCACAUUCAUACCUUCCCUUUCCCUUUUUUCGUUCUAAUUCCGACCGCAUUACACACUCGAUACCAUCGACACAGCGUUCAGGUUUGCUAAGGAAUAAGGUCAUUUCUGAGAUAUAAAAACAAAAGGAAAAGAAUUAAAGAUGAAACUCAUAAGCUUAAACUAAAUAAUGAGGAGAAGAGAAAGAUUGAAUUUUAUAUCUUGGAAUUUCAUUUUGAAAAUAUUUUUAUUUAAAAUGAAGAUAAUUAUGAAACUUUUAAAAAUUUUGAUAUCUUCUUAUCGCAAAUAUUAUUUUCAAUAAAUCUUCAUAAAUAUUAUCCAUUCAAACAGUUGAAUUCACAUAAAUAUGGACAAAAAUUUAAUUUAAAUCCCCUUAUUUUCUCUAUUUUGAACUGUUUCAUAGUUGAAUGAGUUUAUUUAUAACUAAUAAGAGUGCAACUUGAUCGGAUUCAUAUGACAGAUGCUCAAAGGAAUAAAAGAUGAACAGUAAAAAAAUAAAAAUUAUGUUUUCACCCAAAAAAGAUUAUGACCUUUGUAUUGUACAAUAAUAUUUUUUUUUUAACUUUAUAAAAACAAAAAGAAAAAUUAUGACAAAAAAAAUAUUCCACAAAAACAAAAUUUUAAAAUCGUCAAAAAUAAAAUACCAUUGUAGACCCCAUUUGGGGCACGUUCUCAUUUUUUUCUGCAGGUCAUUUUCUUUGCCAGUGGAGGGCUCUUUCAAGAGCCACGGAGAGGCUGCCAUGGAUUCAGCUAGUGCCAUUGAAUGAGCCAAUGAGGAUGAGACGCCUGUAAAGGGGGAAUCUGCAGAAGCCGUUGUAUAGGAGCGUCUUCUGUUACCGGCAGGAGGGGUUUUUGGUAGAGAGAGGAGGUGGUUUUUGAGGUGGGUUGGCAGAGGAGGUUUACAUAGUUUAAAAAUAUAAUUAGGUUUCCUACUUACGCAACAUCCAAAAUGAAGUUUCCUACUUCCAGGUCUAUGUCUCCAACAUUAUUCCCAUCUUUAUGACAAAACAAGAAAUUAUUUGCUUGAAAUUUAAAAUAUCACUAAAAAGGAAAGACAAAUAUAUAUACCACUUUGAAGCCCGCUGAUGUGUGACAUGCCAUGCAUGCUACCAUCAAGUAAUACUAUUGCUUUUCCAUUGGGGAGAUAUGCAAGAUGAAAAUUUCCAGGCCCUUCAAUCUCUACAUUUGGCAUUUAUAUAUAUAAUAAAUUAAUAUAAAAUAGUGAGAAAAUGUUAUAUCAAUCCUAACAAAAAAAAAAUUAAGAGAAUUUAUUAAAAUUUUCUCUUUUAAGUUACGUUUCAUUUAAGAAAGUACAAAGAAAAAAAUGCUUAAAAAAUAAUUUUUGAUUUUUCUAUAGAAAAUAAUGAAAGAAAAUCCAAUAUAAUUAAAAUUAGAUAAAAACUUUAUAUUGUUAAAUUACUUAAUCUUUGCAGGGAAAAAAAAUUAAUGAAAUGAGUUUAAAAUAGUAUAAAAGAAUUAUUAUAAAAUAUUAUUAUAUAUGAUAAUAUAUAUUAUAAAAUAUUAAAUUAAGUAACUUGGAUUAUUUGAACUUUGCUUUGAACCUCACCCAAGUUGAGUUCAAAUUAAAAAUACCUAAUUCAAACUUAACCCAAGUAUUAGAAAUCAAGUCCACCUAAAUAUUUGGCCAACCUUAAGUUGUACCAGAUUUCAAUUAUAUUUUAUUUUUUUUAUGUUUUUUUAUAGUGAAAUCAAAUAUAAGAAAAAUCAUUUUCUAUAAUAUUUUUUUUUUCUUAGUACCUUCUGAAAUCAAACAUAAUCUAAAAGAUGAUAAAUGUAAAAUUGGAAUGAAUGCUUAAGGCAUAAAAUACAUUGGACAUCUCAAUUUAUUAUUUUGCUUCAUUCUAUCCCACAUGGAAGGAAUAAUCAAAAAACAAAAUAAAAUUUAUUGAAGGGAUUCAACUUCUCCUUCGCUGGUUACUUCAUGAACUCAUGAAAUGUAAUCGGAAAAUUUGAGAUCAACAAACCACAAACCACAAACCACAAACCACUCUUAUCAAAUAUAAUACAGAUACAUUCAAAGUACAAUACAAAUAUAUGUAAGAUCUAAAAUUGCAUAUAGUUUUUUUUUUAAAAAAAGAAAUCUUAAACAAAUGAUAGUUAAGAAUCUAUUUUUGAAAAUAUAAUAUUUUAUAUUCAUACUUGUUUAUAUUAAAUAUCUUUAGAGAAAAGUCCAACAAUAGGUUAAGAUCAACCCAAAAAGUGUUUUUGAAAAUAAAAAUUAAGAACAUGUUUGAUAACUAUUUUUAAAAAUAAUUUUUGAAAAUUAUUUUCUAAUAUUUUUUUCGAAUAAAAGUGUUUGAAAAUUUAAAAUAUUUUUAACAUAUUUUUAAUAUUUUCAAAUUAUUUUUAUAUUUCAUAUUUUAUUUUUAAUCAUUCUACGUAUUUGUAUAAUUAUUUUUUAAAACAAUCCAUAGAAAACAAAUGAAAACAAUUUAAAAAUAAUUUUAAAAUGUUAUUUGAAAACACUCUAUUUUUCGUUCUUAGAAUAAAAUAUAAAAAAUAAAAAGCAGUUUUUUUAUCAAACAUAUUUUUCUAAUUUUUUUUGUCCUAGAUAACAUAAAUUAUUGUCGAAAACAAUUGUCAAACAAGUCCUAAGAAUUAAGUAAAUUUUAAGAAAUAUUAAAAAAAAAUCACUCGUAAUAUUGAAAAAAAAUUUAUAGUGUUUUUUAAAUAAAUAUUUGAUAAGUGAUUCUUCUAAAAAUAUAUUUUUAAAAAAUAUUUACAUUAAAAAUAAUUUAAAUAAAAAUACAAUCGGUGAUAAAAUUUAAAAAACAACCUUUAGAAAAAAACAUUAAAAUAUUAUAUUAUAAAUACUAUAUAACUUACCCAACAUCUAAAAUGAAGUGUCCUACUUCCAGGUCCACUCUCCAAAAUCAUUAUCAUCAACACCAAGCUAAAAGGAAUUUAAAACAAAACAAGAAAUUAUUUGCUUUAAAUUUAAAAUAUCACUAAAAAGAAAAAGACAAUAUAUAUAUAUAUGCCAAUUAGAAGCCAGCUGACGCGUGACAUGCCAUGCACGCCACUGUCAAUAACACUAUUGAUUUUCCUUUGGAGAGAUAGGCAAGAUGAAAAUUUCAAGGCCCUUCAACCUCUAAGUUUGCCUUGUAUGUAUAAUAAAUUAAUCUAAAAUAGUGAGAAAAUGUUAUCACAAUUCUAACAAAAGAAAAAGAUUGAGAAAAUUUAUUAAAAUUUUCUAUUUAAAGUUAUGUUUCAUUUCAGAAAGUAAAAAAGAAAAAAAUGCUUAAGAAAAAUAAUCCAAUAUAAUUAAAAUUAGAUAAAAAUUUUAUAUUUAUAAAUUAUUUAUACUUUUUUUUAAAUUUCUAAUACUAUUUGGUUGUUGUUUUCUGAAAAUAAAUUUUAAAAACAAAGUGAAAUAAAGAGCAAUUUUUAGAUAAUAUGUAAAAGCUAUUUUUUCUAGUUUUUAAAAACAAAAGGAAAACAUAGACCCAUUUAAAUAUGUUUUUUAAAACUUGUUUUUAAAAAAUUGUUUUUAAGUUGAAGAAUAAAAAUCAAUUUUAAAAACAAAUUUUAAAAUAUAUGACUAAAUAAGCCCUUAGUUUUUUAAUUUUAUCGCUCCAAUGGAAGCUCACAAUGAAGAUAAAUUUAUCAAAUGUUAUUAAUAAUUAAUAAUCUUUUUAUAUUUUAUUUUAUAGUAAUUUAAUAACUGAAAAAACUUCGCUCCCUAUUUACUAUAAUCUUUUUUAUAUUAUAUUUUAUAUUAAAAUUGAUAAUUUUAUAUUUAAUUAAUAAUGAUAUCAAAUAAGUGAUGAGAUCAUCUAUUUGAAUUUAUUUUCACAUAUUGUGGAUUGAGAUUUUUUUAUUUUUUUAUUUUUCACUCUGUGUUUUGUCUUAAUAAUAUUUUGAUUAUCACAAAAUAAGAUUAUAUGACUAAUAAAAUUUUUAAACUUUGAUGUUGAAUUUUGAAGGAAAUUAAGUCAAUCAAGAAAUGUCAUAAUGACUCAUUUAUGUAAAAUUGGUGCACUAAAACUUUUUUUUAUUAAAGGCACCUUUCAUUUAUUAAAAAUGUUCUUAAAAUCGAUUUUAUUCAUUUGUAAUUUGGUCAAAAAUUUAUUUGAAGAAAAAACAUGAGCUUAAAGUGGCCUAAAAUAUUUUCAAAAUUAAUAGGAGUUAAUAGUGGUUUGUGCCCUUGCUUUUGAGUCAAAUAAAGAAAAAUUACAUAAAUGGUAAGAGAUAUUUUUGGCAAUAACUUUGCAUUGCUCAAACAAGUUUUUUUUUUUUUUUUUGCAAUAACCACCAGUCACCACCUAGAUCAAUUGGUUUGAGGUGCUUGGCCUCCAAUGAGUAGUUGUACUUCUUGCUACUAAUGGUUGAUAUACCAAUUGAUUAUCAAGGAACCUGUAUCUAAACGAGUAGUUUUCCAAUGCAUCUUAUAAACAAAUGCUUCAAAUUUCAUUUAAUGCUAAAAAGGCACCUUGAAUCUAUGGCUUAUCAAUCUUAAGUGUUGUACAUUAAAUCAAAUAUCAAUCUACACUCGCACACUUAUUAAUAUUAGAUAAUUGUGCUUUCAAGCCAAUUGGGUUUGAUGAUUGGCCCAAGUCCUAUCACUCGUUGUUGGAAACUUGAAUUUCUCCAUUCUUUUAUCCUAGAUCAUAUAAGUGCAAGCAAAACUUAUUUUUACAUGUGAUAACAAUGAAAAAAUUAUUACUUGAGUUUUAUCUAUCAUUCCAGUUACAAGGGAUAUUUCUUAAUAGAACAAAAAUUGUUCAAAAAAGUAUUCAACUAAGGGAUUUUUUCAGAACAUGAAUAAAACCUAAUUAAACUCAAGAACGUCAAUAUACUAAAAAUUAUUAUUUGAGUUUUAUCUAUCAUUCCUGUUACAAGGGAUAUUUCUUAAUAGAACAAAAAUUGUUCAAAAAGGUAUUCAACUAAGGGAUUUGUUCAAAACAUAAAUAAAACCUAAUUAAACUCAAGAACGUCAAUAUACUAAAAAUACCUAUGAUCUUAAAAUUUUACCUUCCAACGAGAAUAAGUUGUCUACAUCCUCUGAAGUUUGUUCUAGUGUUCCUACUACAAUCUAUAAAAAAAAAAAAAUUAAAAAAAAUAAUCAUAUUUUUAGAAAAGAUAGGUAUAAAAAAAAAAUCUCAAAUAUGAAAAGCACCAAAGUUGCUUACUACUUUGUUACCAACCCUGCUGUCACAGCGUAUUGCAUUCAAAACAAUGCAUAUGCCGCUAGACAGAUACGCUGUGGAAACGGCUCUUUCAUCCAUCCUCACGUUGGCACUGUUUUAUAAAAAAUGAUUGACAAAAUGCACAAUGAAAAAAUACAUUUAAAAAGAAAAAAAAAAACUUACGCCUCCCUAACCAGAAACGUAUUCGGGAAAGGUUCACCGUUCAUGGUACACACUGGUCCGAGACUCUGAUUGUGGGUACAGAAGGGCAUAAAUGAUAAAACAGUGUAGACACCCAAGUAUUCUCACGGGAACAGCGAUGGUUGUUUGAGUGGCAUAUAUCGGUUGAAGGUGUUCAUCCAUAAUCUGCACUACCGCAUCUGCAAUAAUUUCCGGUCUCGUAAUACGUAAUGCCAUGUUUUGAGCUGCAAAACCGAGAGUGCAAAAUUUUCUUUCCUCGUGUCACUGCACAGGAGGAAAACAAAAAGGAAUUUUUUUAUUUCUCCGUAUAUAUUCCAGAAAAUUGUAAGGAAAACUUUACUUUUUUUUUUUUUUUUUUUUGUGCUUUUUCCCUUGUUUGGUAACUCGGCAUCAUCUGUCUCAAUGGAUGAUGCCUCAGUACCCUAGAGGCGGAAACAGUAAGGUUGAUUCAACGAAACCUUCUUGUUCUCUCUUAUUGAUUUCAUAGCCAAGAAGCAGUAAAAAAAAUGGAGACCCUUCUUGUUUUUUAAGACCAUAUGGAUUUCAUAGCAAUCAGUGAGUAAGCUUCACGAUAGUUUCUUUCGGGGGUUAACAAACACCAUAUGGAUUUCAUUUCAAGAUUGAUUGAAUUCACAAGAUUUAAAACUAGCUAGAUUAACAAAGAUAAACAAAGAAACAAAGAAACAAUUCUAUAUUUUGAUCUUCUUGGUCCAAACGACUGGAUCAACAAUUCUAAAAGCUUCUCAGGUGUGGUAUACGGGAUCGAGAAGAGAUUUUGGAGGAUAAGAGAGCCUUUUAUAACCAUGACGGUUGUUUGUUGGUAGUUCGUUGAGUUUGUUUUCUACAGGCGGACACGUGUCAUAGAUUUUCAUUCCCGCUAUUUCCCUCACUCUUGAAUUCAUUUCAUGUACACAUGCCAAUUUUUUUGUUUUUUUUUUUAUUUUUAAAAAUAUUUUUCUCUAAAUACCCAUAUUUUUAUAAAAAUACCAAUAUUUUUAUAAAAAUACCAAUACUUUUCUUUUUCUUUUAACUUAAAAAUAGUUAUUAAAAAAAAAUUAGAAAACUAUAUAUAGUAUUUAAAUGAAUAUUAUAUUUUAAGAUUUUUAAUAUUGGUAGUAGAUCUUAGAGGGAAGAGAAUAAUUCAAAUUUAUCUUUUUGUUAAUAUUAUUUAUUUUAUUUUUAUUUUUAAAAAUUUGUGAAAAAAAUUCUACUUAUUAUUUAAAAAUUAUUUUCCAUUUCACUUUAUUUUUAAAAACCAUUUCUAGAAAACAUUUUAAAAACAUCACUACCAAACUAGCUUUUUAUUUUUUUUUAAAAAAAUCAUUUAAUAUAUAAGUCAAUAAAAAUAUUACUUUCUUUCUUAUAUUUUUUAUUUAUACAAAACAUGAAAUUUUAUAAUAUCAAAAUUUAUAAAUAAAUAAAUAAAUAAAUAAAUAAAUAAAACUAAACUAUUGAAUUUCACUUCAACUUCUCUCCCUUUCUUUGUCUUCAAAUUUUAUAGAUUCUAAUUUUAAAAAUCAACUUGUCAUGAUAAGAACAUUUCCAUUUAUCAUGGAUAUUGAAUGUUGAAAUUCACCUAGAUGUCAUGAACCCUGGAUAAGGUUCAUUUGAUCAUGUUUUUUUAAACUUAUUUUUAAAAUCUGUUUUUUUUUCUUUAAUUAAAAAAUAAAAAAUAAUUUUUAAAAACAAAUUUAAGAAUACACGGCCAAACCACCUUAUUUCUUAUGUUUUAUUUCAAACUAUUUAAUGAGAGGAGAAAAGAUAAAUUAAACUCACUUGGAUUAAUAUAUAUAUAAAUAAUUUAUUAAUUUUAAGCCUAAAUUAAAAAUGAAGAAAAAAAAAAAACUUACCCUUCUUUGACAUGAUGCAAGUUAGGAUAGGGUUUUCCAUUGGGAAGAUGCACCUAAAAAUAUGAUAAAGUAAAACAUAAAUGUCAGAAAAAAUAAAUAUCAAGAAAAUGAGAGACUGUAGAGAUAUCACCUGCUCUGGGGUUCUACAAUUCCUACAUGCCACAUUCAUACCUUUUUUCGUUCUAAUUCCGACCGCAUUACACACUCGAUACCAUCGAUACAGCGUUCAGGAUAUAAAAACAAAAGGAAAAGAAUUAAAGAUGAAACUCAGAAGCUUAAACUAAAUAAUGGGGAGAAGAGAAAGAUUGAAUUUUAUAUCUUGGAAUUUCAUUUUGAAAAUAUUUUUAUUUAAAAUGAGGAUAAUUAUGAAACUUUUAAAAAUUUUGAUAUCUUCUUAUCCCAAAUAUUAUUUUCAAUAAAUCUUCAUAAAUAUUAUCCAUUCAAACAGUUGAAUUCACAUAAAUAUCGGUAAAAAUUUGAAUCCCCUUAUUUUCUCUAUUUUGAACUGAGUUUAUUUAUAACUAAUAAGAGUGCAACUUGAUCGGAUUCACAUGACAGAUGGUCAAAGGAAUAAAAGAAGAACAAUAAAUAAAUAAAAAUUAUGUUUUCACCCAAAAAAGGAAAAUUUAAUAUAAUAUAUAACAUAAUAAUAAAAAUAUACUGAAAAAAUAUUAAUAAUUUUUUAUUUUUUUAUAGAUAAAAGAUUAAAAUAUAUUUUAUUUAAUAUAAGGAGAUUGAUGAUUAAAAAUACGAUUAUGACUUUGUAUUGUACAAUAAUUUUUUUUUAAAUUUUAUAAAAACAAAAAGAAAAAUUAUGACAAAAAAUAUUCCACAAAAACAAAAUUUUAAAAUUGUCAAAUACGAUUAUGACCUUUGUAUUGUACAAUAAUUUUUUUAUUUUUUUUAUUUUAUAAAAACAAAAAGAAAAAUUAUGACAAAAAAAUAUUCCACAAACAAAAUUUUAAAAUCGUCAAAAAUAAAAUACCAUUGUAGACCCCAUUUGGGGCUCGUUCUCAUUUUUUCUGCGGGUCAUUUUCUUUGCCAAGUGGAGGGCUCUUUCAAGAGCCACGUGCUGCCUCAAGAGAGGCUGCUAUGGAUUCAACUAGUGCUAUUGAAUGAGCCAAUGAGGAUGAGACGCCUGUGAAGGAGGGAAUCUGCAGAAGCCGUUGUGUAGGAGCGUAUUCUGUUAGGAGGGGUUUUUGGUAGAGAGAGGAGGUGCUUUUUGAGGUGGGUUGGCAGAGGAGGGAGGUGCGUUUUGAGACGUUUUGGGAGGAGAAAAGGUUAGCUUGAGAGGAGAGUUUUGCUGGAGGAGAGGAGUUGCAGGGAUAUUUUCGGAGAGGGAUUCUUUCUUGGAGGGCACGAGAGGGGGGAUGCAUUUUUGAAGAUCUACAGAGGAGGCUUCCUGGAGCAGAGAGAGGAAAGAGCCUGAGAUAUUUUGAGGUUACUAGGAAGAGAGAGAGUUGCAGGCAGCUUAAAGGAGAAGAAGGUAAAGGUAUGACUGCCACUAAUCCUUUGUUUUGCUUCGUUGGUAAAUAGUCUCUUUCUCUUUUCUCAAUAUUUUCUGUGGAUUGCUUGACUUGUGUUUAGCUUUUAUGGUUCAUGUUUGGUUGCUAUCUCCUUCAUUUUCUUUGGGAUGAUUCGAGAGUAGCACAGCUCUGGUUUAGUUUCACUAUGCAUCAUGUGGAAGUCUUGUUAUUUUUAUUUCAAUUCCAUGGGAUACUUGUUUGAUUUCACUCACCCUCAUCUAAGCCCAUUGAUUCAAACAUGAAAUGUGGCUUUGUAUGGGUUCGUUUUAUCCCCUCCCCUUGUGCUCUGUUUUCUCUGUUUUUCCCUGUUCCUGGUACCCAUCCAUGGUGUGCAUCAGUUUUCUCAUCGGUGUCUAAGGAAGGAGGAAGCAGUAGCAUCAUAAGUCGCCAUGGUGAAGUACUCUAGAGAGUCAGACAAUCCCACCAAGUUUUGCAAGACCAGGGACUCAGAUUUCAGAGUUCAUUUCAAGAAUACCAGGGAGACUACUGAUGCAACCAGUAGGUUGCUUUUGACCAUGGCCAGAGAGUAUUUAGAGGACGCCCCAGUCCACGAGCAAGCCAUGCCUUUCACCCGGUUUUGUAGAGGUGUUGGACGAACUGCUCAGGCAAAGAAUAGACAUUCAAAUGGGCAAGGAUGUUCGUCUGUCAAAUCUGUUAAAUACAUCCUAGUUUUGCUUAAACACGCUGAGAGUAACGCAGAUUUGAAAGGUUUGGAUGUUAAUUCACCCUACAUAUCUCACAUCCAAGUGACUCAGGCAUAGAAACAAAGGACACCAGAUAAAAUCGCAAGUGUAUGGCCCUACAGAACCAAAACGAGCAUGAGCUCUUUAGCUCUCAUCGUUUUGCACAUAAGCAGCUCACUUUGUAGAGCGCAUGAAGAAAAAGGACUGACAUAGAGCCAUGCACUGGAGGUUUUCAUUUCCGUUCUCUAUACCUAUCCCACAGUUCCUCCUCCCUCUUUCCAACCCCUGAUCAAAACCAUCGGCACUACGCUCCAUUUCCGCAGCCGGCAAUGUCGGCUACCGCAUUAUUGCAGAAGGCAGCACAAAUGGGGGCAGCCGCAUCAAACGCGUCCUUGCUUCGGGGCUUAGGAUCGGCAAUGUCACCGUCUUCGUCUGCACAGCAAGAUAGCAGCACCACCCAGUGGAGCGGGCAUGUAAAGGCAGAUAACAAUCCGGUAGGAGCUGGGCUGGGAUUGGGACUUCCCUCGGAGGGAGGCCCUGCUUUAGUCGGGCUAAUGAUGGGUCCAUCAUCGCUAUUUGUGAACAAGCCAACCACUCUUGUUCUCCUCGGGCUGGGUAUGGUUCCUGGUGGCGCUUCCACGGCUGGACUCUCUGCACUGCUUGCUUCUAUCAGCGGUGGCGGCCUUGAUAUUGCAGCUGCCGGAUCCCCUUUUGGAGGAGCAGCAACUGCUACUGCCGAGGCUGCACCUGAUAAAAAGCAUAAUGGGCCUGCUCUCCUAUAGAAGAUAAUUUCCUGUAUUUUUAUUAUGGUGGGGUUAACGCCUGUCAUGAUCCUUCCUCCAAUAGACGUAAUAGCGGGUCAAAAACGACACUACAAUAGGAAGACCCAUGCAUCACAAAGGAGAGUCCUCUAAUACAGUGCAGCCAGUCCCUAAUACUAUGAGCAAGCAUCCAUUUUCUAUGUCCAGAUGCCAACCCAAUGGCACUGAACCCGAAGCUUUCUGCCAGUCCACUCAUCGAUUGAGGAGACCAUACCCAUAUGCAUGACCGUUUUUUGACGCAUGCAUGACCUUCUUGAAAGAUAUGGAGAUGUUUGGUGCGCCUAGAGCUUGACUGGCCACAUGUGAUGGGAUUUAGAGAGGGUAUUUAGUGCCGACAUACUGAACCUUUUGACAAAGCUGUACGUGAAGGAGUAGCAUUAUCAAUCCCAUUCAGUUUCAAAGACGUCCACUUCCCUGAAACCAUCAAGUCUGGUGGCAUCCUUGUGGGUUCAUUUCAUGUUGUGGGUGUUUCGGUUGUUUGUGUGGCAGGAAACAAAGCCACAGAGCUUGCUUUUAUAUCGAUGUACCAAUGUAUUAAAGCUGGCAGAUUCGGGAUUGGCAAGUGCACUUAGUUUCUGUUAAGACAUUCAUACAUAAGGUGAUGGUUUUUGUGGUGUAGAGCACCUAAAAUACUGCUUGGACUACGUCACUAUUCCUCUCCUGCUGGUGUGUAGUCUGUGGGUUGCAUAUUUGCUGAGAUGGAGAACCAGCUAUCAUUGUUUCCCGGGUCUUCAAAGCGGGAUUCAUUUAGGCAACCCCAUGGUAUCCAAUCACAUAUGAUGCCGGAAGAGGUGGGACUGGUUCAGCCUAUUCAGGUCAGUUUUCCAGAGGAGCGGCUGGGUAAGGAAAUUCAAGUUGUAGAUGCAGAGAGCAUGGUGGAAGUGAAGGAUCUUUCGCAAAUCUGACUGGUAAUGGUACUGUUGAAGGAUGUGUUGAUAGUGUUCCAAAUGGUGAUGCUGGUGUGGAAGAGCUACAGGAGAGUGGCAAUGGCUACAUGGCAGACGCACCUCCCAAGUUCCUAAUCAUUGAUGAUGAUUAAAGGAGCCGAUCGGUAAAGAGAACAAGGAUCCCAUAUGCGAUUUCAUGAGACUGCAUGCAACUCUGAACCAGUUGGAAGCACUCCUCUCAGUUUCGCUGCCAAGUCUGCAGCACUAGAAGAAGUCAUUGAUGACCUUGCAUGGCCACUAUCCCUCCAUUCGGGACCAUUACAUGUUUGCUGAUUUGGAUUUGAGUAGAAAGAAAGGUGGGAAAGGUGAUCCUGAGUGCUCGGGUAAUCAUGAAACGACUCGUGAUUAUGGCAAGCUAAUUGAGGUCUUCAUAGUAGACAAGCCAGCCACUCUAACUGAUUGGGAAAGGUCGUUAGCUUUCAGCAAGGAAUGGAGUAAUAUCCACCCUCAUUUCUACAAGCGCUGUCAGUACCUAGCAGAUAGUGAAGGGGAUACUGGGAAUAGACACAGCCUGCUCCGUCUUGGUAGGAAGCUAAAGGAGAUUGAUGAAGAUGUAAAAAGACAUAGUGAGCUUCUGGAAGUGAUAAAGGGGAACGACACCAGUUGACAUCAGUACAGUUGUUGCCAGGCAUUGGAAGGAAUUCUACUUCUUGGGCUUUUGGUUAAAAGCAAGGCAGUACAUAAUCAAUCAAUGAAUCUGUCAGCCCUGAUUGGAAACAUUGAGAAUCAGAUCAUCACAAUGCUCGAAACACUGCCAGGUAUUUCAUGGAUCAGUUGGGCCAUAAAAUUGAAACUAGAAGGAAUAUGUUGUCCCAGAAAGAAAUGAAACACCUUGAAGUGGCCCAAAACCCAAUGCUCUGCAAGUAAAGAUCCAGUGACAGCACCCACACACCAGUAAUGCAGUCUCAAUCAUACCUAUAGGCCCCACUCCUACAUGGCCACUUCCUCUCCGCAUUUCACAUUUCCUUGUGAUUUUUCAUUCUAAAUUGGUUUUCUAAAAUCUGCUUUCCAUCAAAGCAAUCAGAAUUUUUUUUAACUUCAUCCUUAAGAGUUUUUAGAUACUUUUUGCAAGCCACUUUCGAAUUUUCUUUGAUUUUCAAAAUAUUUUAGAAUAAGGGUGAAUUUAUUUUUCAUAAUUCUUGGUGAUGAAAUUUACAAAAUCGAUUCAUUCAAAAAUAAAUUGGGUUAUGGUGGGGGCUCGACAUCAAAUAAAUUUCCUUUAAAAUAAAAAUGGAUUUGAAUGAAAUAUCAUGCAUGCUAUUGGUGGUUCUUCAUCUUGUUUGGUGAUAUGAGUGAUAUAUUUUGUAUUCAUUACUGUGCACUAACCCUCUCUCUUGAUAGCGCAUGGUGGCUCAUUACCCAAGUAUGCACCCACUUUCACUCUGGUCAUUGUCUAUACAUGUUUUGAUUCCUACAUGUGCAUGAUUGAUUUGGGUAUCCAUUGAUUUUUUUAUUGAUUGUCACAUUAACUUUAUUUUAUUAGUAGAGACUCGUCUAUAGGGACUUAGAGGGGUGCUACAAUCUUGUUCAAAUUGAUGAAUGGUAGUUUUUCAUUCAUACUUUCUUUCGUUCAUGUACAAAGUAUAUAUAGAGGGUAAUCAUCAUUCUAAGAAUGGGAAAUGAUUAUACAAGGAAAGAAUAAUAUAAGGAAAUAACAACUAAUAUACUAAUAUCUCAACUUUCCUAAUAUCUCAAUAUUCAUAAUAUCUUAACUUUCCUAAUAUCUAAACAUUCCUAAUAUCUCAACACUCUCCCUCAAGUUGGUGCAUAGAUGUCACACAUGCCCAACUUGUCUAAAAAAUUUUGAGAAUACUUGACUUGAGACAGCUUUGGUGAGGAUAUCGGCUAACCAAUCUUGCUUUCCACCUUGGAUCAACUAAGGCUUCCUACACACCGUUAGGAAUAACUACAGUAGAUAAUUGAUUUACAAAUGACUUAUUUGAUUCAGACAAAUGAUGGUUAGACACAUAGUUGCUCAUGGGAUAUUUGACUUUGGUAGACAAAUCAGGUUCAUAUGUGGGUUUAGGAAUACCUCUAUUAUGACGAUGUGGUAACGGUUUCAUGAAUGGAUCGGGUUCCAAAUUAAGAACUCCCUCAACAGACGACGAUUGGUUUGGUAUUUCAGUGAAGACAUCUUCGGACCCAAAUUGUUGACCACUCAAAUCCAACUCACCCACUUCCUGGUUCACUAGUUCAGAUUGUCCAGAUUCAUCUUCCUUAGAGAUAUGAUAAUCAUAAUCAAGAGUCUGAAUUUCCUUAUGGUAGUCCCCCUGAAGUUCAUACUCAGAUGAAAAAUAUAUCGAAUCUUCAUGAAACACCACAUCCAUUGUAAUAUACAUUUGUCGAGUUGGAGGAUGGUAACAUCGAUAUCCCUUUUUGUGCAAUGCAUAUCCAACAAACACACAUUGCAAUGCAUGGGAAGUUAACUUAGUGCAUUGGUGCUUGUGUAGAUGCACAAAUGCCACGCAACCAAAAACACGAGGAGGUAGAUUUGGGACGGUUAGGGCAACUACGACAUUAGUAAGAGCUUGGAGAGGUGUUUGAAAGUUAAUUGAGUUAGAAGGUACCCGAUUGAUCAAGUAUACGGCAGAUGUGAUUGCUUCUCCCUAAUAAGAUAUCGGUGUUUUUGCUGCUAUCAAGGAAGCACGAACAACCUCUAACAAGUGCCGAUUUUUUCGUUCAACGAUUCCAUUUUGCUGGGGUGUAUUGGAACAAGUAGUUUGAUGAAUGAUGUCAUGUCCUUCCAAAUACUUUUGAAGAUCAGAACUUUGAUAUUCUCCACCAUUAUCACUACGCAGAACCCAAACCUUUGCAUUGUACUGAGUUUCAAUCAUUUUAUGAAAUUUUUGAAAUAACAAGUUCACUUCAUCUUUGGUCUUCAUCAAGCAUAACCAUGUCAUUAUGGUACAAUCAUCAAUAAAAGUAACAAACCAACGCGAACCACUCAAAGUUGGGACUUUGGAUGGGCCCCAAACAUCAGAAUGUAUAACCAUAAAAGGAGACGGACUUUUAUUCAAAAUUAAUGGAAAGGAAGCACGAUGGCUUUUAGCCAAUUCACAUAUAUCACAACGGAAACCAGAAAUAUCACUCUUUGCAAACAAACUAGGAAAUAAUUUUUUUAAAUAACCAAAGGAAGCAUGUCUCAGACGUCGAUGCUAUAACCAAAUUUCAGACUUUUUCUUCUCCCCCUCAGAUCCAUCUGCCAUCAAGGCUUGUCGUAACUUAUUUGAAUCCUUUGACUGCAAGUCCAAAUAAUAGAGUUUUCCCCGCUUAAUACCAAAACCAAUCAUCUGUCUUGUUUGGAUGUCCUUAAAAACACAAAAUUUAGGCCAAAAAAUGACAAUACAAGAUAAGGCUGCAGUGAUUUGAGAAACUGAUAAAAGAUUGUAAUUUAAGGAUGGAGCAACUAAAAUAGAAUUCAAAUUCAAAGUAUCAGUAAGAGUUAAGGAUCCUUCCCCAAUGACUGGGGUUGUGUUACCAUUGGCUGUGGAAACAAAUUUUUGUGAGGAAUGUCUAACGGGUGAGACCUAUCUAGAAUCAAAAGUCAUAUGAUCUGUAGCACCAGAAUCAAUUAUCCAUGCAUUAUUAAUAACAGGUGUAGAAGUAUUUAAAAACUUACCACCAUAAUCUGUAGCGGCUAUCAAUGCAGAGGCUUUCUCAUCAACAUUAGCCUCUGUUUUUAUUUCGGCAAUAGCUGCAGUCGAGGUUUUCUUGGAAUCCUUCUUCCGUUGAUCACGAUUGUGAUCCCACCAGUCUGGAUAUCCCACAAUUUCAAAGCAACGACUCUUGGUAUGACCAAUCUUAUUGCAGUGAGUGCAUUUGAAGGUUAACUUAUCAAUAUUAGGGUCUGUCUUAGGAUGGUUGGUCUUGGAUUGAUCCUGCCAAUUUCGGGUUGAUUGUUGUCGAACUACCAUAGCUAAGGUGUCAGGGUUGUCAGAUUCUGCUUUCAUACUAGCAUGACGUACUGUCUCUCGUCGAAUCAGUGCAUAGCAUUCUUCCAAAUCGGGAAGAUGAUCUUUGCGUAGAAUCUCUCCUCGAACUUGCUCAAAGUCACCACCCAAUCCAGCAAGAAAGAUGUGCACCCGUUGUCGUUCAAUGGAUUUCUGGUAUGCUGCAAUGUCUUCAGGGUCUUUCAUGACUACCUUAUCCCGAUGAUCCAAUUCGCAAAAGAUUCAGUUAACUCUUCAUAAUAUUCAGAAAGAGAUCUGUCGUUUUGUUUGGCAGUGAAGGCUUUUUGAUUCAAAGUGAAAACUUGUAAUUCAUCACUUCCAUCAUAGAAGGCCUUUGAUAAUGCACUCCAAAUUUCUUGAGCGGUGGGUAAGCGUAAGUAACGCUUCAUAAUUUCUGGACUCAUGGACAUUAACAACCAUCUCUUCACCUUUUGAUUCUCAGCAUACCAUUUUUCAUAUCCAUCUUCUGACUCUUUUGGUAGAUUUGUCUUACCACGGAUGUAGAAAAGUUUUUCCCGUUCGGCAAUAUGCAUCUCUACGAGUUGUGACCAAACGUCAUAGUUUGAUUCAGUCAAAAUAAUUCAUGGAUUGAAAGUACCUUCAGAUUGAAAAACAAUAGUACUUUUUUCACUCAUUUUUUUUUAUCUCUCAAAGGAGGGGCAAUUGUUGGCCUUACGACAAAAUAUCCAGGAUUUCAGUUCCCUGGCUCUGAUACCAUGUUCAAAUUGAUGAAUGGUAGUUUUUCAUUCAUACUUUCUUUCAUUCAUGUACAGAGUAUAUAUAGAGGGUAAUCACCAUUCUAAGAAUGGGAAAUGAUGAUACAAGGAAAGAAUAAUAUAAGGAAAUAACAACUAAUAUCCUAAUAUCUCAACUUUCCUAAUAUCUCAAUAUUCAUAAUAUCUUAACUUUCCUAAUAUCUAAACAUUCCUAAUAUCUCAACAAAUCUUUGUCAUACUUUCCCGAUAAGUAACCUGACCCCCGAACCCGAUCCAGUUUUUCACAGACCACCUUUUUCAAAUAAUGAGUCACACUUAGGGUUUUCUAUCUUAUUUUGUUUACCCUUUUAAAAAUAAAACAAAAAUAAGUGACGACUCAAAGUUAUUUUCUAAUAAAUAAAAUCAAUUUUUUAAAUAAAAAUCGAGCUCGCCAUCGAGUGGAAGCGCAUGAGACGAAAUGCGAAGUCCACAACCAUAUAAGCAUAUAAAUCAUUAAUUAAUUAAACUAAAAGAUCUUACAAAAAUAAAAAAUCACAUAAUUUCAUAAAUCAAUAAAUAAUUAAACUAUAGAUAUUAUCUACACACUUUACUUUUUGCCUAGCAUGUCAAGCUUCCACAAUUUUAGAUUCAAAAAUAAAAGAACUGCUCCAAUGGAAGUUGACAAUCAAGACAAAUGUAUCAAAUGCUACUGAGAAAUUCACUACAUAUAUUGAAAAACUUCAAUCCCUAAUUAAUACUUUUUUUUAUAUUCUAGUUUAUAUUAAAUUUAAUAAUUUUAUAUUUAGUUAAUAACGAGAUCAAAUAAGUGAUGAGAUAAUUUGUCUGAGUUAUCAAUGUUUAAUAAUAACCUAGUUCUAUUGUCUACUUGAGAAUCAUUAUUAGUGCUAUAGUGUUCGGAUAUAUAGUUAAAUUCUUUCUUUAAACAAUCACUAAUAAGACUACAAAUUAAAAAAAAAAAAAACCAAUUCACUCCAAAUUCUUCUUUCCUUUUUUUGGAUCAUUGCGACCUCAACUUUAUCUCCAUAUAUGAUUGAAUUAUAAAAGAUGCCUUAUUAGCUCUAUUCUUUAUGGAAUCAUAAAAAUUCUUAAUAUUAUAUAUGUAUGAGUUCUUCUUCAUGUUUGCACUGUUUAAUAAAAAAUGAUUGACAACAUUCAUAAUGAAAAAAAAAAAAAAAAACAAGCUACGAAAGAAAAAAAAAAUUUACAUGUGGUAACAAUAAAAAAAUUAUUAUUUCCUUAUAUUUUUAGUCAUCAUUCCUGUUAUAAGGGAUAUUUCUUAACAUAACAAAAGUUGUUCAAAAAAUUUAUACUACAAAGAUUUGGUGUGAAGAUAUGACACGUGCAAAAAAAAUCAAGUCGGUUAAGGGAUUUCCUCAGACAUCCUGAAAAGCAUAAAUAAAACCCAAUCAAACUCAACAACGUCGGUAUACUAGAGAGACCUAUGAUGUUAAAUUUUACCUUCCAAUGAGAAUAAAUUGUCCCUUGCUUACAUCCAAUGAAGUUUGUUCCCAUGUUCCUACUGCAAUCUAUAAAAAAUAAAGUAAAAAAAAAAUAUUUGUAGAAAAUAUAGGUAUUAUAAAAAAAAUCUCAAAUAUUAAAAGCACAAAGUUACUUACAACUUUGUUACCAACCUUGUUGUCACAGCCUUUGGAGCGUAUUGCAUUCAGAAUAAUGCAUAUGUCGCUAGGUAGAUACGUCGUGGAAACGGCUACAUAACUUUCAUCCAUCUUCAUGUUUGCACUAUUUUAUAAAAAAUUAUUGACAACAUACAUAAUGAAAAAGUAAAAUUAAAAAAUAAAAAAUAAAUGUGGUAACAAUGAAAAAAAAUUAUUAUUUCCUUAUAUUUUUAUUCAUCAUUCCUCAUGGGAUAUUUCUUAACAAAACAAAAACUGUUCAAAAAAUUAAUACUACUUAGAUUUGGUGUGAAGAUAUUGCGCGUGCAAAAAAAAAAUCAAGUCGUUAAGGGAUUUCCUCGGACAUCCUAAAAAGCAUAAAUAAAACCUAAUCAAACUCAACAACGUUAGUAUAGUAAAGAGACCUACGAUCUUAAAUUUUACCUUACAACAAGAAUAAACUAUCCUUUACUUACAUCCUCUGAAGUUUGUUCCCGUGUUCCUACUGCAAUCUAUAAAAAAUAAAUUUAAAAUAAAAAUCAUAUAUUUAGAAAAGCUAAGUAUUAAAAAAAUAUUAAAUAUGAAAAGCACAAAAUUACUUACCACUUUGUUACCAGCCCUGCUGUCAUAACCUUUGCAGUGUAUUUACAUUCAGAAUAAUGCAUAUGUCGUUGGGCAGAUACAUUGUGGAAAAUAACUGCAUAACUUUCAUCCAUUUUCACGUUUGCUCUGUUUAAUAAAAAAUUAUUGACAACAUACAUAAUGAAAAAAUAAAUUUUAAAAAAAAUAAAAGCAAUAGAAUUUUAAGAAAAUAAAAAUUUACAUGUGGUAACAAUGAAAAUUUUUAUUAUUUCUUUAUAUUUUUAUUCAUCAUUCCUGUUAUAUGGGAUAUUUGUUAACAGAACAAAAACUGUUAAAAAAAUUUAUACUACUUAGAUUUGGUGUGAAGAUAUGGUGCGUGCAAAAAAAAUAAAGUCGGCUAAGGGAUUUCCUUGGACAUCCUGAAAAACAUAAAUAAAACCUAAUCAAACUCAGCAACGUUAGUAUACUAAAGAGACCUAUGAUCUUAAAAUUUUACCUUUUAACAAGCAUAAACUCUCCCUUGCUUACAUCAUUUGAAGUUUGUUCUUGUUCCUACUGCAAUCUAUAAAAAAUAAAUUUAAAAAAAAAUCAUAUUUUUUAAAAAGAUAAGUAUUUUAAAAAUAAAAAUAAAAUCUCAAAAGCACCAAAUUACUUACCAAUUUGUUAUCAACCCUACUAUCAUAACCUUUGCAGUGUAUUGCAUUUCGAAUAAUGCAUAUGCCGCUAGACAGAUAUGCCAUGGAAACGGUUGCUGAACUUUCAUCCAUCUUCACGUUUGCAUUGUUUUAUAAAAAAAUUAUUGACAACAUACAUAAUGAAAAAAUAAUUUUUUUUUUUUAAAAACAAAGCAACGGAUGAAAUAUAUAUAUAUAUAUAUAUAUAAAUUUUAUUAAUUCCGUAUAUUUUUAUUUAUCAUUCCUUUUACAAGGGAUAUUUCUUCAUAGAACAAAAUUGUUCAAAAAAUUUAUACUACAUAGAUUUGGCGUGAAGAUAUGGCACGUGCAAAAAAAUAAAAUCGACUAAGGGAUUUCUUUUGACAUCUUGAAAAGCAUAAAUAAAUCCUAAUCAAACUCAACAACGUCAGUAUACUAAAAACACCUAUGACUUAUAUUUUUAUUUAUCAUUUCUGUUAUAAGGGAUAUUUCUUAAUAAAACAAAAAUUGUUCAAAAAAUUUAUACUACUUAGAUUUAGUGUGAAGAUAUGGUGCGUGCAAAAAAAGUAAAAUCGGCUAAGGGAUUUCUUCGAACAAACUAAAAAGCAUAAAUAAAACCUAAUCAAACUCAACAAUGUCAGUAUACUAAAAACACAUAUGAUCUUAAAAUUUUACCUUUCGAAGAGAAUAAAUUGUCCCUAGCUUACAUCAUUUAAAGUUUGUUUUCGUGUUCCCUUGCUUACAUCCUUUAAAGUUUGUUUUCGCAUUCCUGCUGCAAUCUAUAAAAAAUAAAUUUAAAAAAAAAUCAUAUUUUUAGAAAAGAUAAGUAUUAAAAAAAUCUCAAAUAUGAAAAGCACAAGGUUACUUACAACUUUGUUACCAACCCUAUUGUCAUAGCCUUUGCACCGUAUUGCAUUCAGAAUAAUGCUUAUGUCGUUGGGCAAAUACGUCAUGGAAAUGGCUGCAUGGGAUAUUUCAUAAUUGAACAAAAAUUAUUAUUUCCUUUUAUUUUUAUUCACCAUUCCUGUUACAUGGGAUAUUUCAUAAUUGAACAAAAACUAUUCAAAAAAUUUAUACUACUUAGAUUUGGUAUGAAGAUAUGGUGUGUGCAAAAAAAAUCAAGUCAGCUAAGGGAUUUCCUUGGACAUCCUGAAAAGCAUAAAUAAAACCUAAUAACACUCAACAACGUCAGUAUACUAAUCAGGCGUAUGAUCUUAAAAUUUUACCUUCCAACGAGAAUAAACUCGCCCCCUUGCUUACAUCCUCUAAAGUUUGUUCCCAUGUUCCUACUGCACUUUAUAAAAAAUAAAUUAAAAAAAAUCAUAUUUUUAGAGAAGAUAGGUAUUAAAAAAAAAAAAAUCUCAAAUAUGAAAAGCACCAAGUUACCUACAAAUUUGUUUCCAACCCUACUAUCACAACCUUUGCAGUGUAUUGCAUUUAGAAUAAUGCAUAUGCCGCUAGGCAGAUACGCCGUGGAAACGGUUGCAGAACUUUCAUCCAUCUUCACAACCUUAUUAUCACAACCUUUUCAAUGUAUUGCAUUAAAAAAAAAAGCAACAGAAGUCUAUAUAUAUAUACACACGCAGUAACAAUGAAAAAAAUUAUUAUUUCCUUGUAUUUUUAUUUAUCAUUCUUGUUACAAGGGAUAUUUUUUCACAGAACAAAAAUUGUUCAAAAAAUUUAUACUACUUAGAUUUGGUGUGAAGAUAUGACGCAUGCAAAAAAAGUAAAGUCAGCUAAGGGAUUUCCUCAGACAUUCUGAAAAGUAUAAAUAAAACCUAACCAAACUCAAUAAUGUCAGUAUACUAAAAACACCUAUGACUUAUUUUUAUUUAUCAUUCCUGGUACAAGGGAUAUUUCUUAACAUAACAAAAACUGUUCAAAAAAUUUAUACUACUUAGAUUUGGUGUGAAGAUAUGGCGCGUGCAAAAAAAGUAAAAUCGGCUAAGGGAUUUCCUCAGAUAUCCUGAAAAGUAUAAAUAAAACGUAAUCAAACUCAACAACGCCAGUAUACUAAAAACACCUAUGAUCUUAAAAUUUUACCUUCCAAUUAGAAUAAACUGUCCUUUGUUACAUCCUUUGAAGUUUGUUCCCAUGUUCCUAUUGCAAUCUAUAAAAAAAUAAACUAAAAAUAUAUAUAUAUUUUUAGAAAAAAUAGGUAUUAAAAAAAAUCUCAAAUAUGAAAAGCACAAAGUUACUUACCACUUUGUCACCAACCCUGCUAUCAUAGCCUUUGCAACGUAUUGCAUCUAGAAUAAUGCAUAUGCCGCUAGGCAGAUAUGUCGUGGAAAUGGCUACAUAACUUUCAUCCAUCUUCACGUUCGCAUUGUUUUAUAAAAAAUGAUAAACAUACAUAAUGAAAGAAUAAAAUUAAAAAAAUAAAAAAUAAAUAAAAAAACAAGCAACGGAAGCAAAAUACAUAUAUAUACAUAUAUAUUUACAUGUGGUAACAAUGAAAAAAUUUAUUAUUUCGUUAUAUUUUGAUUCAUCAUUCCUAUUACAUGGGAUAUUUCUUAACAUAACAAAAACUGUUCAAAAACUUAUACUAUUUAGAUUUGGUGUGAAGUUAUAGCACGUGCAAAAAAAAUGAAGUCGACUAAGGGAUUUUCUCGAACAUUCUAAAAAGCAUAAAUAAAACCUAAUCAAACUCAACAAUAUCAGUAUACUUAAGAGACCUAUGAUCUUAAAAUUUUACCUUCCAACUAGAAUAAACACUCCUUGUUUUACAUCCGAAGUUUGUUCUCGUGUUAUUACUGCAGUUUAUAAAAAAUAAAUUUAAAAAAAAUCAUAUUUUUUAAAAAGAUAGUUAUUACAAAAAUAAAAAUAAAAUCUUAAAUCUGAAAAGCACAAAGGUACUUACCAAUUUGUUACCAAGCCUAUGUCAUAGUUGCAUUUAGAAUAAUGCAUAUGCCGUUGGCCGGAUACGCUGGGCAGAACUUUCAUCCAUCUUCACGUUCACAUUGUUUUCUAGAAAAUGAUUGAUAACAUACUGAAUGAAAAAAUAUUAAAAAAAAAAAAGAAAAAAGAAACAAGCAAUGAAAGCAAAUAUAUCUAUAUAUAUAUAUAUAUAUAUAUUUACAUGUGGUAACAAUGAAAAAAUUUAUUAUUUCCUUAUAUUUUUAUUUAUCAUUCCUGUUACAAGGGAUAUUUCUUAACAUGACAAAAAUUGUUCAAAAAAUUUAUACUACUUAGAUUUGGUGUGAAAAUAUGGUGCAUGCAAAAAAAAAAAUCAAAGUCAUCUAAGGGAUUUCCUUGGACAUCCUGAAAAGCAUAAAUAAAACCUAAUCAAACUCAACAACGUCAGUAUACUAAAAACACCUAUGCUCUUAAAAUUUUACCUUCCAACGAGAAUAAAUUGUCCCUUGCUUACAUCCUUUGAAGUUUGUUUCUGUGUUCCUACUGCAAUCUAUAAAACAUAAAUUAAAAAAAAAUUCAUAUUUUUAGUAAAGAUUGGUAUUAAAAAAAAUCUCAAAUAUGAAAAGCACAAAAUUACUUACCACUUUGUUGUCAUAGCCUUUGUAGCGUAUUGCCUUCAGAAUAAUGCAUAUGCCACUGGGUAGAUACACUGUGGAAAUGGUUGCAUAACGUUCAUCCAUCUUCACGUUUGCACUGUUUUAUAAAAAAUGAUUGACAACAUGCAUAAUGAAAUAAAAAAAUUAAAUAAAAAAAAAAACAAGCAACAAAAGCAAUAUAUAUUUAUUUACAUGUGAUAACAAUGAAAAAAAUUUAUUAUUUCCUUUUAUUUUUAUUCAUCAUUCCUAUUACAUAAGAUAUUUCUUAACAGAACAAAAACUGUUAAAAAAUUUUAUACUACUUAGAUUUGGUGUGAAGAUAUGGCGCGUGCAAAAAAAAAUCAAGUCGGCUAAGGGGUUUCCUCGGACAUCCUGAAAAGCAUAAAUAAAACCUAAUCAAACUCAACAACGGCAGUAUACUAAAAACACCUAUGAUCUUAAAAUUUUACCUUCCAACAAGAAUAAAUUGUCCCUUGGUUACAUCCUUUGAAGUUUGUUCUCGUGUUCCUACUGCAAUCUAUAAAAAAAUAAAUUAAAAAAAUUAUAUUUUUAGAAAAGAUAGGUAUUAAAAAAAUUUCAAAAAAAAAUCUCAAAUAUUAAAAGGAGAAAGUUACUUACCACUUUGUUACCAACCCUACUGUCACAACCUUUGUAGUGUAUUGCAUUCAAAAUAUAAUUCAUAUGUCGCUGGAUAGAUACGCUAUGGAAACGGUUACAGAACUUUCAUCCAUCUUCACAUUUGCACUGUUUUAUAAAAAAUGAUUGACAGCAUACAUAUUAAAGUUUUUUUUUUUAAAAAAAAAAAAAAACCAAGUGACGGAAGCAAAAUAUAUAUAUAUAUAUAUUUUGCAAGCAGUAACAAUGAAAAAAAUUAUUAUUUCAUUAUAUUUUUAUUCAUCAUUCCUAUUACAUGGGAUAUUUCUCAACAGAAAAAAAAACUGUUCAAAAAUUUAUACUACUUUGAUUUUGUGUGAAGAUAUGGUGCCUGCAAAAAAAAGUCAAGUUUGCUAAGGGAUAUCCUCGAACAUCCUGAAAAGAAAAUAAAACCUAAUAAAACUCAACAACGUUAGUAUACUAAAAACACUUAUGAUCUUAAAAUUUUACCUUCCAACGAGAAUAAACUGUCCCUUGCUUACAUCCUCUGAAGUUUGUUCCCGUAUUCCUACUACAAUAUAUAAAAAAUAAAUAAAUAAAAAUCAUAUUUUUUUGAAAAGAUAGGUAUUAUAAAAAAAAUCUCAAAUAUUAAAAGUACAAAGUUACUCACCACUUUGUUACCAACCCUACUGUCAUAGCCUUUACAGUGUAUUGCAUUCAGAAUAAUGCAUGUCGUUGGGCAGAUAUAUCAUGGAAACGGCUACAUAACUUUCAUCCAUCUUCAUGUUCACAUUGUUUUAUAAAAAAUGAUUAACAACAUACAUAAUGAAAUAAUAAUUUUUUUUUUUAAAAAAAAAGCAACGAAAGCAAAAAAAUAUAUAUUUUUGCAUGUGGUAACAAUGAAAAAAACUUAUUAUUUCCUUAUAUAUUUAUUCAUCAUUCCUAUUACAUGGGAUAUUUCUUAACAGAACAAAAACUGUUCGAACAAUUUAUACUACUUAGAUUUGGUGUGAAGAUAUGGCUAUUAGACUAUUAGAAUCUUUGGCAGAAAAUCCAGGAGUAUUUGCACCAAUUCUUCACUCCAUCCAUUCUUUUUCCAAUUCAAAAUAAUCUAGCUAUUAGCGUAAAUUUCUCCUACAAAUGUGUGUUUGAUUGUUGAUUGUAUUUGAUUGUUUCCUUAUUAUACGCUUGACAUUUCAAUUGUACAGUUAUAAAUAUAAUGGAAAAUUACACGACUAAGGUAUGUUAGCCAAGUCAAAGAUAUCUCGUGUUCUCAUCAAUCUGUUGAAUAGUUAAGAUCUUACAUGGUAUCAGAGCAACAUCCUAUAAGCUCACGCUUUUCAAACGAUCAUUUCUCAAGCUUCCGCAUCAUCCAAAUGGCCAACACCAAUGACACCUCCAUCCCUGAACCCUAUCUCCAUCUACCACCACUAAUUCUAUUAAGCUAGACGGCUCUCAUAAUUAUUUGGCAUGGAAAAUGCAGUUCCUUAAUCUCCUUCGAGGACAGGACUUAGUUGGCUUCAUUGAUGGUACUGACACUUGUCCUCCAAAAAAUCUUACCUUUGGUUCAUUAAAUUCUACCUAUAUUGUUUGGCAGAUGAAAGAUGUUUGUCUCUUUAGAUGGAUCUUGCAUCUCUUUUGGAAAAACUUGUUUCCACUGUUUAUGGAUUGGAAACGUCUAAGUAAGUCUGGAUUGCCCUACAAACUUGUUUUUCUUCUCAAUCUCAUUCCCACAUUUCCCAUCUUAAACCUCAACUUCAAACAUUAACUCAAAGUACCAAAUCCUGUUCCGAGCAUCUUGAAAAUGCCAAAAAUAUUGCAGAUCAAUUAGCAGCAAUUGGUAAGCCUAUUGACGAUCAAGACUUGAUCUCCUUUCUUUUUGGUGGCCUGCAAUCAUCAUACACACCGUUUGUCACAUCUUUUAAUUUUCCAUCCUAUGACACUGACUUCACAUUUGAAGACUUUCAAGCUGAAUUGCUAGGCUAUGAAAAUCUUUUGGAUGUUAAUCAAUCUAUUCCUAGCACAGAUAGUACUCAUUUUGCAUUUGCUGCCAACAAAUCUAAGGCACCUAUUUAUAUGAAAAAGAAAGAAUCUCCACUCCCUCCCACAAAAAUGAAGAAUGCAUGUUCCUCUAAUUAUCGACCACACUAGUAGACCAGAUCUACUCCUCCAUAACUCCCCAACAACUGUCCGGUUUUGUCAAAUUUGUGGUAAAUUUAGUCAUACUACUAUUGAUUGUUUUCACCAUUUUGAUUGUUCAUAUCAAGGUCGUUUCUCUCCUCAAGAUCUCACAGCAAUGGUGGUUGAGACUAAUGCCACAUUUGAUCAUCAAGUGUGGUACAUGGACAAAGGCGCCAAUCCCAUAUUACAUCAGAUGCAACUAAUCUCACUCAUCAGCAGCCCUUUCGUGAAUCAGAAACUAUAACUGUCGGAAAUGGUUCAGGUCAGCAAGUUCUAAAUACUGAUUCUACAACCUUUAACUUCGGCCAAUCCAAUUUUCAUCUAAACAAAAUUCUCCAUUGCCCACAAGUAGCUACCGAUCUUAUCUCUAUCAAUCAAUUUUGUUUAGAUAAUAAUUGUUACUUUAUAUUAACUGUUAAUGAUUUUAUCGUGAAAGAGAACCUAACAGGCUGAAUUCUACUUCAAGGUGUGGUUGAAAAUGGCCUAUAUCCAAUAGUUGGGUGCAAGACUUCUCAUAAGAGCCUCACAUGUCUUUCGGCAACAAUAGGGGUUCGAGCUAAUGCAGAUACUUGGCACUCAAGACUAGGACAUCCCUUUAGUGUCAUUUUAGAUAGUUUGUUUCAUUCAAAUAAAUUCUCUGUCAAAGGUCCUUCAAAUAAAAUAAAGUUUUGCUCAGCUUGUCAACUUGACAAAGCUAAGAAACCACCUUUUCCAGAGUCUAGUCGUCAGUCUUCUGUUCCUCUUACUUUAAUCCACUCUAAUGUAUGGGUUUCCCCUGUACAAUCAACUAGUGGUUGUUCCUACUAUGUUUUGUUUAUUGAUAAUUAUUCGAGAUAUUCCUGGCUAUAUCCUUUGCACAAAAAAUAUGAUGUGUUUGCAACUUUUAUUAAAUUUAAAAUCAUUGCAAUUUUUUUUUCUCAACAUCAAUAAAGCAAAUCCAAAUAGAUAAUGGUGGAGAGUUUACUUCCAACCAAUUUAAAAAAAAAUAAAAUUGACUACACAAUGGAUAUACCAUAGGUUGACUUGCCCACACACUUCUCAACAAAAUCGAAUUGCCAAGAGGAAACAUAAACAUAUCCAAGAAAUGGGACUAACACUUCUAACCCAAUCAAGCUUGUCCCUCCCCAAUAUUGGGUUGAUGUGUUCCUUACUUCAGUGUUCUUAAUAAACAGAUUGCCUACCAAAGUCUUAGAUAAUAUGACACCUUACUUUUCACUUCAUAAAACUGAGCCAACUUAUAUGGACUUGCGUGUUUUUGGAUGCGCUUGCUAUCCACUCCUUUGACCAUAUAACGACCAUAAGUUAGCAUUCUAAAGUAAAAAGUGUCUCUUCCUAGGCUAUUCUAAUUGUAAAAAAGGAUUUAGGUGUCUUGACUUAGCAACUAAACGGGUAUACAUCUCACGACAUGUCAUCUUUGAUGAGAAAUCUUUCCCAGCUAAGGAACUAGCCGAGAACACCACAUCUCGAAGAACAAAUCCUAUUGUAGAUAAACCAUUGACAAUUCCAAGUUCAGUUAUAUCUAGUAAUUUAUCAUCUAACAUUUCUGCAGUUGUGCCACCUCAAAAUGAUCAUUCUUCUCCUUCAGUUGAAAUGCCAAUUCUUGCAGCAUCAAACUCUACACAACAAUCUCCACCUCCUACAUCCAAUGAUUAUUCUCCUUCUCCUCCUCCCACUUUAAAUUUUGAAAAUUCCAUUGACCCAAAAAUUGUCAUUCCACAAAUAUCUCCUUCUCCACAGGUGCCACAAGAACCCGAUAAUACCUCCAACAAUCCAAUUGUCUAGCCUACCUUCACUCAAAUUCAAACACGUUCCAAAACAAGUCACUCUUGACCAAAAUCAUUUCCUAAUUACAAAUUAUUCUAUAAUACCCGACAUCCUUUGCAAGUUUUUUCUACAAUCUUGGAUACUCUUAAACCAAUCUCCUACACUCAAGCAGUUUCGGAUCCACAAUGGUGUGCUGCAAUGGGAAGCGAAUUUGAUGUAUUGAUGGAAAAUGGGACUUGGUCUCUAUGUCCUCGUCCACUUGAUAAACACAUUGUCCGAAACAAAUGGGUAUACAAAAUUAAGAGAAGACCAAAUGGCAAUAUUGAACAUUUUAAAGCCAGACUCGUGGCCAAAGGGUAUGAUCAAAAGAGUGGUGUGGACUACCAUGAAACUUUUUCACCCGUGAUAAGCCAACUACUAUUUGUUUAGUUUUGGCUAUUGCAGUUUAUUUUCACUAGCCCAUUCGACAAUUGGAUGUGUCGAAUGCAUUUCUACAUGGAUUUCUAGAUGAAGAGGUGUUUAUGGAACAACCAAAAGGUUUUGUUGAUGAGACCAAACCGAACUAUGUUUGCAAAUUACAUAAGUCUCUUUAUGGUCUUAAACAAGCCCUAAGAGCCUAGUUUCGAUGAUUAUCACAACAACUUAUUGAGCUUGGUUUUCAAGAAUCCAUCAAUGACUACUCUCUGUUUACUCUACAUACUGAAAAUGUCAGAAUUUUUGUCUUAAUAUAUGUAGAUGAUAUAAUGGUGAUAGGAUCUGACAUCUCAGAAAUUACCAAACUCAUUCGACAUCUGUAGAGUAUUUUUCAUGUCAAGGAUCUUGGUUUUCUGUCUUAUUUUUUAGGUGUGGAGGCUGAUAAGAGCUCACAAGGACUACAUUUACAUCAAACCAAGUACAUUUGUGAUCUCUUAGAUCGGACUCAAAUGGCUAGUGCCAAGCCACUUGCAUCGCCGACGGUGGCAAGUACCAAACUGUCCAGUACAGAAGGAGAACUAAUAUCUGAUCCUUCUAUUUAUCGACAAAUCAUUUGGGCACUCCAAUACUGCACAAUAACACGUCUCGAUAUUUCUUAUGUUGUUAACCAGUUAUGUCAGUAUAUGCACCAGCUAAGAACUUCAUACUAGCAAGCUAUGAAGCGAGUUCUUCGCUGCUUAAAGGGCACUGUAAACCAUGGAUUGUUCUACACACCAUCUCCUCUACAAUCAAAUACCUACUGUGACUCAGAUUGGGCAUGCAAUCCAGAUGACAGAAGGUCUACUAGCGGCUAUGGAGUUUUUUUGGUGCAAAAACCUAGUUUCUUGGAGCUCUAAGAAACAAAAUGUGGUCUCUCAUUCGAGUACCGAAGCCGAGUACCAUUUAAUGGCACUUGCUACAGCUAAAGUCUACUAGCUUAGAAUGCUUUUCAAAGAAUUGGCUAUUAGUAUAGUCCACAUACCGACUAUAUGGUGCGAUAACAUUGGGGCAAUUGCACUCGCUUCAAAUCCAGUGUUCCAUGCAAGAACGAAGCAUGUAAAGAAUGACUAUCAUUUUAUUCGUGAGAAAGUAUGCAACAAUGAUAUUAAAGUCCAACAUGUCUCAACUGUGGAUCAAGUAGCGGACGUCUUCACCAAAGGCCAAACUGAACAACGUUUUCAGUAUCUAAAGAGCCAAUUAAUGGUUUGCCAAAACCCCAUUAAUUCGAGGGGGUGUUAAACUAUCAGAAUAUUCAGCAGAAAAUUCAGGAGUAUCUGCACCAAUUUUUCACUCCAUCCAUUUUGUUACCAAUUCAAAAUAAUCCAGCUGUUAGUGUAACUUUCUCCUACAAACAUGUAUUUGAUUGUAUUUGAUUGUUGAUUGUAUUUGAUUGUUUCCUUAUUAUACGCUUGACAUUUCAAUUGUACAAAUAUAAAUAUAAUGGAAAACUACACGGUUAAGGUGAGUUAGCCAAGCCAAAGAUAUCUCAUGUGCUCAUCAAUUUGUUGAAUAGUUAAGAUUUUACAAUGGCGCUUGCCAAAAAAGUGAAGUCGGCUAAGGGAUUUCCUUGAACAUCCUGAAAAGCAUAAAUAAAGCCUAAUCAAACUCAACAACGUCAGUAUACUAAAAAGACAUAUGAUAUUAAAAUUUUACCUUCCAACAAGCAUAAACUAUCCCUUGCUUACAUCUUCUGAAGUUUGUUCCCGUGUUCCUACUGCAAUCUAUAAAAAAUAAAUUAAAAAAAAAUCAUAUUUUUAGAAAAGAUAGGUAUUAAAAAAAUUUUAAAAAAAAAUCUCAAAUAUGAAAAACACAAAGUUAUUUACCACUUUGUUACCAACUGUCACAACCUUUGUAGCGUAUUGCAUCCGCCAUGGAAACGGCUGCAUCAUCCAUCUUCACAUUCGCACUGUUUUAUAAAAAAUGAUUGACAACAUACAUAAUGAAAAAAAAAAAUUUUAAAAAAAAAACAAGCAACAAAAGAAAAAAAGAUAUCUUUACAUGUGGUAACAAUGAAAAAAUUUAUUAUUUCCUUAUAUUUUUAUUCAUCAUUCUUGUUACAUGGGAUACUUCUUAACAAAAUAAAAAUUGUUCAAAAAAUUUAUACUACUUAGAUUUGGUGUGAAGAUAUGACGUCUACAAAAAGAAUAAAGUCGGCUAAGGGAUUUCCUCGGACAUCCUGAAAAGUAUAAAUAAAACCUAAUCAAACUCAACAACGUCAAUAUACUAAAAACACCUAUGAUCUUAAAAUUUUACCUUUCAAGGAAAAUAAACUGUCUCUUUCUUACAUCCUCUGAAGUUUGUUCCUGUGUUCCUACUGCACUUUAUAAAAAAUAAAUUAAAAAAAAAUCAUAUUUUUAGUGAAGAUAUGUAUUAAAAAAAAUCUCAAAUAUGAAAAGCACAAAGUUAUUUACCACUUUGUUACCAACCCUGUUGUCACAGCCUUUACAUUGUAUUGCAUUCAGAAUAAUGCAUAUGCUGUUGGGUAGAUACGCUAUGGAAACGGUUAUAUAACUUCCAUCCAUCUUCAUGUUCACACUGUCUUAUAAAAAAUGAUUGACAACAAACAUAAUAAAAAAAUAAAAUUGAAAAAAAAAGAAACGUAUUCUGGGAAAGGUUCACUGUCCAUAUUACACACUGGUCCGAUUUUGGGUGCAGAAGGGCACAAAACAGUGUAGAGAACCAAGUAUUCUGAUAACACAAUUGUACGAUUUGAAUAAUGAUUUCAUUAAUUUAAUUUGCUGUACAGGAUCACUGUAUAUAUACAAGAGCUAUGCAAUUUGUUAGACGUAAAGAUGCCUAUAUACAAGGAAAAGAUAAAAGACUUUUGAAUUACAAAUUGGUUAUAACAGAUUAAGGGAAAGCGGUGGAGAUAAAAUAGGAACUGAAUUUGUUGAAGCUGCUGCAGCUGAAUCGUCUGAUUGGGAAAAACGGAGACUGAAGCUUGAGGAGGGCAUCUGCAGAGAUAUCUUUAACAAUGGGAACAGUGAUGGUUGUUUGAGUGAAAUGUGUUGGUUGAAGGAGUUCACCCAUCGUCGCCGCUACCGCAUCUGCAAUAAUUUGCGGUAGUAAUAUUUUAUAUUUUAUAGUUGUUUAUAUUAAAUAUCUUUAGAGAAUUAGAGAAAAGUCCAAGAAUAUGCCUAAAAGUGUUUUUUAAUAUAAAAAUUAAGGAAUUAUUGGGUAACUAUUUUCAAAAAUAAUUUUUAAAAAUGACAUGUUCUCUAAUAUUUUUUUAGAAUAGAAGUAUGUUUGAAAAUUUAAAAUAUUUUUAACUUAUUUUUAAUAUUUUAAAUAUGUUUUAAAAUAAUUUUAUAUCUCAUGUUUUAUUUUUAUACAUCCAUCGUAUUUGUAAAAUUAUUUUUUUAAAUAAUUCUUAAAAAAUAAGUGAAAAUAAUAAAAAAUAAUUUUAAAAUAUUAUUUUAAAACAUUCUAUUUUUUAUUCUUAAAAACAAAAAAUAAUAAAUAAAAGCAAUUUCUUUUUUUUGGUCAAACAUGAUGUUUUUUUUAAAAUUUUUUUAUUCUAGAGAAUAGAAAAUUAUUUUAGAAAAUAAUUAUCAAACACGUCCUAAGUAUUUAACAAAAUUUAAGAAAUAUUUUUAAAAAUAAAAAAAAUCACUUAUAAUGUUAUAAAAAAUUUAUAGUGUUUUUCAAAGAAAUAUUUGAUAAGUGAUUAUUCUAAAAAUAUAUUUUAGAAAAGAAAAAAAAAACAUUUAUAUUAAAAAUGUUUAAAAUAAAAAUAUAAUCAUACACACACAACAACUUAUAAUAAAAAUUUAAAAACUACCUUUUAAAAAAACAUUCAAAUAUUAUAUUAUAAAUAUUAUAUAACUUACCCAUCAUCCAAAAUGAUGUAUCCUAUUUCCACGUCCACGUCUCCAAAAUCAUUAUCAUCCACACCAAGCUAAAAGGAAUUUUAAAACAAAACAAAGAAACUAUUUGCUUUAAAUUUAAAAUAUCACUAAUAUAUAUAUAUAUAUAUAUAUAUAUAGAUAAUUAGAUAUAUGUCACUUGGAAGCCUGCUGACGUGUGACAUGCCAUGCAUGCCACAGUCAAUAACAUUAUUGAUUUUCCAUUGGAGAGAUAAGCAAGAUGAAAAUUUUCAGGCCCUUCAACCUCUAAGUUUGCCCUGUAUGUAUAAUAAAUUAAUAUAAAAUAGUGAGAAAAUGUUAUCUCAAUUCUAACAAAAGAAAAAGAUAGAGAAAAUUUAUUAAAAUUUUCUAUUUAAAGUUAUAUUUCAUUUUAGAAAGUAAAAAGAAAAAAAUGCUUAAGAAAAAAUAAUCCAAUAUGAUUAAAAUUAGAUAAAAAUUCUAUAUUUAUAAAUUAUUUAAAAUUUUUUUUAAAAAAAAUCUAACAUUGGUCAUUGUUCUCUAAAAAUAAUUUUUAAAAACAAAGAGAAAUAAAAGAGCAAUUUUUAUAUAAUAAGUAAGAGUUAUUAUCCCUAGUUUUUAAAAACAAAAGGAAAACAUGGAUUCAUUUGGACAUGUUUUCUAAAACUUGUUUGUAAAAAUUAUUUUUAAGUUAAAGAAUAAAAAUCAAUUUUUAAAAACAAGUUUAAAAAAAUAUGGCUAAACUAGUCCUUAGUUUUUCAAUUUUCUGGCUCCAAUGGAAGCUCACAAUCAAGACAGAUUUAUCAAAUGUUAUUAAUAUUUUUUUUAUAUUUUAUUUUAUAGUAAAUUUUAUAAUUGAAAAAACUUCUCUCUCUCUAAUUACUAUAAUUUUUUUAUAUUAAAAUUGAUAAUUUUAUAUUUAAUUAAUAAUGAUAUCAAAUAAGUGAUGCGAUCAUAUAUUUCAAUUUAUUUCCACAUAUUGUGGAUCGGGAAUUUUUUUUUUUUUUUCACUCUGGGUUUUCUCUUAAUAAUAUUUUGAUUAUCACAAAAUAAGGUUAAAGACUAAUAAAAUUUUUAAGCUUUGAUGUUGAAUUUUGAAGGAAAUUAAGUCAAUUAAGAAAUGUUAUAAAGAUCUAAGUGCUUUGAAGACCUUGAGGUAGGGAUGACAACGGGGUGGGUUCGGGAUGAGUCACCUCCAUCCCAACCUUGCCUUGUUUAUUCAAAAUAAUUUUCAUUUAAAAAAUAAAAUGGGACGGGGCGGGCCAUGUAUGAGAAAUUCUCAUACUCGCCGUCUCGCCCUAUUUAACUUUUUUCUUUCGAAUUUUUUUAAUUUUUUUUUAAAAAUUUAAUUACAUUAAAAUAAAUAUAUAUUAUAAAUAAUUAAAUUAUUAUAUUUUUUAUAACUUAUCUACAAAAUAUUUUCUUAUUAUCUAUAUAAUAAAAAUAGUAAAAUAAAAAUUAAAUGAACAUAAUUUUAAAAAUUAAUUUUAUAUAUAAUCAGCGGGUGGGGAGAGACGGGACAACGCAAUACCCAAACUCGUCCCAAACCCACCUCGGGUUUUAAAAAAAUUUUCAAACCCGUCACAACACGUUUAAUUAAAAUUAAAACACAUUCCAUUAGGAGCAGGUGCGGGUACCGAAAAAAAUCCACCCCAUUACCAUUCCAAGACUCGAGAAAUGCAUUUAUGUAAAAUUGGUACACUAUAACUAUUUUUUUUAAGGCACCUUUCUUUUAUUUUUAUGUUCUUAAAAUCAAUUUUACCCAUUUGUAAUUGGGUCAAAAAUCUAUUUGAAGAAAAACUUGAGCUUAAAGUGGCCUAAAAUAUUUUCAAAAUUAAUAGGAGUUGAUAAUGGCUUGUGCCCUUGGUUUUGAGUCAAAUAAAGAAAAAUUACAUAAAUGGUAUAAUUUAACCUCAAUCCAAUUUCUUACAUUAAAUCACGUCAAAUCAAAUUAGACAUGCUAUGAUUGGGAUUUAGUUAUGCUCAAUUCAGAGCAUCCUCUCAUUUUCUUAAAUAUUAAAAAAGAAUGUAUUUACAUGUAUAAUAUCAAGUAAAAUCUUAAAGGUAAAGAUGAAAAAAAAUAAAUAAAUCAAUAAAUGAGUUAUAAGAGAGUUAUUGACCCUUGACUGCUUCCAAAAGAAUCCUCUUAUCAUCCAAAUAAAUAAAAAAUUUAAUCUCACUAUCAUUCAUUGAUUAAAAAAAUAGUUAACAAUAAAGAACUCACUAAACCAAAUGACUUCUAUCAAACCCAUCAUACCAACACCAUGAUUGCUAAAAGACAAAGGGUGGGGUUUUAACUUUGCUGUCUUGAAGUACUGGCUCCUUCAUCACCCCCGCACAAGCCUUGUACAAGCUACAGCAUAGAGAAACGAAUUAGUAAAGAGAAAAAGCUAGACUUACCCGCAUUGGCUGGAUUAGCCUUAAUCAACCGACUCAGAUGCAACGCUGCUCACUGCCCCACCUUUUUGCAAUUGCUGGCCAGUAAAUAUUUCUCAGCUAUUUCGGCCUUUUAGAGGUCUUUGGCAGAGAAGAUACAGAUGGGAUUAUGGUUGCCACCCCAUGAGGAAAUCAGCUGCUCUAGCAUUAAUCUUCCAAUCCUGAAAAAAAAUAAAAAUAAAAAUAAAAAUAAAAAUAAAAAUAAUUGCUCUUUUUCACUAGUCUAUGCCACCAAAUUUAACCCAUGAAUGAGUUGUUAAUUGAAGGAAAAUAAAAGUAACAAAAUAACAAACACAUAUUUUUCAUGAUUGUUAGAAAAUGGCUUUAUUUUUCCUGAUUCAAAGAGAAGAAGAUUGAAUACUUGGUUUCAAUUGCACUGAUGACUGACGCAUACAAUGAAAAAUUAUGUUGACUAUCAUGUGGGAAUUCCUUGAAAAUUCUUCAAAUAGAAAUCCGUGGAAAUUUCAUGUUUCUUUCACACUUUUUAAUUCUAAAGAUUCUCAAAUUCAAACUAGUAUCGAUUUCAAAUCAUUUGUAUAAGCAUCUAUGUUCACAAAUUCCUCUUAUUAUAUUAUUUUUUCAAUAAUUAGAUAACAAAAAAGGCGGCCUUGGAAUAGAUGUCAAGUGAACUCAUUGGAAUAAAUAUUAUAAAAGGAAACAAAAAAAAUUACAAAAUAAAGAUACAUCUCAAUUAUAAAAUUUCAUUUUUCUCGAAAUCUUUUACUUUUUGGGAAUAACAUAUAACUUAAAGAAAAGAAGAUGAAAUUUUUUAAAAAUAAUUAAUUAUUACUUCGCUAUAAUUUCUAUAAGCAUCUAUGUUCAUAAAUUUCUUUAUGAUAUUAUUCUUGCAAUAAUAAAUUUAAGAACAUGUUACUAAGCUUUGAAAAAAAUUUGAAGGAAAAAAAUAUAACGUUUUACUAGUAGAAUACCCAAUGAAUAAAAUUUAAUGAGGAUACUAAAAAAUAUCCUUUUUAAUUAAAGGAUGUGGGGCUGGCUGUUUGAUCCCAUGCACAUGCACUUGAGUUUGGAAUGGUGGACCUUACAACUUGGGCAAUGCAUCCUAUGGUUUAAAUUUGAGCAAACAAUUUUUAUAUAAUAAUAAAAUGAAAUAUAAAAAUAAAAAUUUAAUAAAUUUAUUAUUUUUAAUUAGUUUUGAAUGCCCCUCAAGCUAUUUGAAUGCUAUUCCUUUUUCUCUUUGCAUUUCAAUCCUUGCCUAUGACUUUUAAUUCUUAACACAUCUUAAUUUCAUAUAUUAGACAUUCCGGGUCAUUGGCUCUACCAACACCAAAUAUAUAUAUACCUUGAAAUUCACUAACUUUGAAGUGGUCAAAAUUUGAUUUAAGAAGAAUAAGACCCAAGAAAAUAUGAUGCAUUAGAGUCAUCAAUAAGAAAUGAUAUAAAAUUAUUAAUUUCAACUAAUACAUCAAUAAUAAUAUUACCAAUGAAAAAGUUAUCCAUGGUUUUACUUGGUAUAUUUUAAAAUAUUAUAGAUGAAGUUUAGAUAUAUACAUGCCACUCGAUUUAGUGAAAGUAGAAUUAUGAAGGAAUAAGGUUAGGUAUAUUAACAAAAAUUCCUAAAUAGAAUGUUUGAUUACCAUCGUAACUUGAUUAAAGGAUCUCAACCAUCCACACUAAUGAAUUUAUCUUAAUUUAUAUAUUUGGAUGAAACCCAUCACAUGAUGAAUACAAUCUUAAGAGCCUUUAAAAUUUAUGGUUAGAUUCUAAUAAAAAAAUGGUUAUUGAACUAAUAAUUCGAUGUGAUUCAAUAACAAAACAUAGCAAUCCUUUAAAAAAUAAGAAAAAUUCCAUGUGACAUUUAAGUUACUUAUUGAUGUAAAUCAUUAUCCAAAAAAUUAAAAUUAAAAAGAUAAAUGGUGCAUGUAAAACCUCCAAAACUUUCAUCCCUCAAAUGAAAGGUCUUCCUCAGAAAACGUAUUGAAGCAAUGUCAUUGGCUCAAUUAUUUUUAGACGAUAGAAAAUAAAAUAUAUGAAUAUAUUUAGUGUAAAAUUAUUCAAUGAAAAAUAACAUUAGUGCAAAAUUAUAAAAUAUACUUCAAUAGGGAACAUGGCAUUUGAUUGUAGCUCCUGAGGAAACUACACUUUUAACCAUUAUCUACGGGAUGCAUAUGAAUUUGGUUUAGUAAAAGCUUAGAGGAAUUUUAUCAAAUUUUGUGAAAAACCUUUUUCUUUUACCAUAGUCGUGAUCAUGAUAGGAAUUUCUAUUUUUAUAUUUAUUUAUUAAUAAAAAUAAUUAUAAUUGAAGACCUUUGAUCAGAUAUUUUCCCACUUUAAUGACUUGGGUUCAACAAGUGUUGAUUUUAGAAAAAUAAAAUAAAAUAAAACUCUUAAAAGAUACUAUUCUUCUUUGGAAAAAUUGAAUGGUAACAAACAAGAACAAAAAAAUGUUGCAAAAUAAAUAAUUAAAAAAUAAAUAAAAGAUUGCAUUUACAGGUAUUAGUAAAAUCUAAAAGAGAAAUGUGAAAAAUUUUAAAUGAAUAAGAGUUAUAAGAGAAUUAUUAUUGACUCUUGACUCUACCAAACCAAUUCAUUUGGUCCCACAAAAGAGGAAGUUCAAUCCCACUAUCAUCCAAUAGUUUAAAAAUAAUUAAAAACAAAAAAUCACACAAAAAUUAAUGAUUCAUGUCAAACCCACUAUGCAAGCACCAUCUUAGAAGUGAGCCUCACAAAUGAGCCUCACAAAAAUUUAAUAAUAAUAACAUAUAGCUGUGGCUAACUCCAAAAUGCAACUAUAUUAUAUAUAUCAUUUAGUGGGGGUCAAAAACAAGAUGCAGCUGUAGGAACCAUUUGCUGACCUUUACUGUGGCUGCUACUGUUGCUUUGACUUUUGUUGCAAUUUACAUGUGGUUGAGCUAUAGCUGUGGCCAACUCUAAAAUGCAACUAUAUGCUAUUUAGGGGGGGUAAAAAACAAGAUGCAGCUGUAGGAACCAUUUGCCACACUUUACUAUGGCUGCUACUAUUGCUUUGACUUUUGUAGCACUUUGCCUAUGGUUGACCUAUACCUGGGGCAACUCCAAAAUGCAACUAUGUGCCAUUUAGUGGGGGUCAAAAACAAGAUGCAGUUGUAGGAACCAUUCGCUGCACUUUACUGUGGCUGCCACUAUUGCUUUGACUUUUGUUGCACUUUACCUGUGGUUGCUUACGGUCACCUUCACAACUGCAACUAUAAAAAAUAGUUGCACCACCUAUUGUUACACCAUGUGGCGGUCAGCUGGGUGUGCAACCAUAAUUUGCAGCCACACCAUUUCUGACCUUUAGUGAGGAUCACUAGCCGCUGCUAUAAGACAUUAUUCCUGUAGUGUUUAUAUAUAUUUGUAAUAGAACUUUCGCAUGCACAUUAUUUUCAUGAUUAGGAAUUAGAGAUAGAAGAUUUUGUAUAGAUUUGAAAAGAAUCGUGGAAGAAACUCAACUUAAUUCCCAAUUUUAAAAAGAAUUGUGGAAGAAAUUCAACUUAAUUUCUAAUUUUAAAAAAGAAUUGUGAAAUAAAAUCAAUUUAAUUUCCAAAAUUAAAAAGAAUUGCGGAAGAAAUUCAACUUAAUAUCUAAUUUUAAAAAAGAAUUGUAAAAUAAAAUCAAUUUAAAAAGAAUUGUGGAAGAAAUUCAACUCAAUUUCUAAUUUUCAAAAGAACUGUGAAAGAAAUUCAAAUUAAUUUCAAAAUUUAAAAAGAAUUGUGGAAGAAAUUCGAACAAUUAACACACCUUUUUGGCAAGGGAAUCUACCGCAUUCGUGAACAGACUUAGUCCCAUUUUCCUAAUCAACUUAGCACGUUGUUUGAAUUAAAUACCUGCGGAUUGAUAUUGGUUUGGAUAUCCUGAGUGAAUUUGACCAAAGAAACUCAAGCAGACCAAUAUUUUAUAGUCUAUUCUGAGCACGACUGUUUCACACCGUGGGCCACAUACCAUUUAACUUAACAUACAGCUUCUCUUUCAUGUCAUCAAUCUCUUUCAUACAUUAUAUUCAACAACUUACAGCUUCUGGAGGCCAUUGCUGCCCUAUAAAUGUAAUGGAGCUUCCCAAGCUUUUGCACUCAUACUUUCCAAGUCAGUUUUCAAAGAAGUGUUCUACUACCAUUCCAAAAAAUUAACAUGUCGGGUCAAGUCUUAGCAAGCCCUCUAGGCCAAUUUCCGGAACUGGAAAAUCGUCCGGUGGUCAAGUAUCACCCUAGCAUUUGGGGUGACCAGUUCAUGUCCUACACUCCUGAAGACGAGGUAAUUGAAUGAAAACCUGUGUUAAAUACCUAUAUAUUUGAAAGUUGUUUUUCUUGAUGUGUUGUUUAGUAAAAUUACUUGGUUGCCAUAGGUAACACGUGCCUGCAAAGAGAAGCAACUUGAAGAUCUGAAAGAGGAAAUUCGAAGGAAGCUAAUGAAUACAGCUGGUAACACUUCCCAAAAACUAAAAUUUAUCGAUGCUGUGCAACGUCUUGGGGUGGCAUACCACUUUGAAAGAGAGAUAGAAGAAGUGUUACAACAUAUUUAUGAUAGCUAUCCUAAUGGCGAUGAUAUGGAAGGUGGUAUCUAUAAUGUUGCUCUUCAAUUUCGGUUACUAAGACAAGCUGGGUUCAAUAUUUCAUGUGGUAAGAGCCCAAAGAAUUAUCAUGUAUAAGCUAAAACGUAUCCUUCUCAUAAGUCCAAUCUUAUGUAUGUUUAAAUUACGGUAUUUAUGUAGGCUUGUUCAAUGAGUUCAAGGAUGAAAAGGGUAACUUCAAGAAAGCUUUAGUCAGUGAUGUAAGAGGCAUGCUAGGCUUGUAUGAGGCUGCACAUCUCAGAGUUCAUGGAGAAGACAUACUGGAUGAAGCACUUGCUUUAACCACCACCCAUCUUAGGUCCAUGGUAGAACAUUUAGAAUAUCCUUUUGCAGAACAAGUUGCCCAUGCCCUGAAGCAGCCCAUUAGAAAAGGUUUAGAGAGGCUAGAGGCAAGGUGGUAUAUAUCUAUCUACCAGGAUGAAACUUCGCAUGACAGAACUCUACUAAAGCUGGCCAAGUUAGAUUUCAAUCUAGUGCAGUCCCUACACAAGGAGGAGCUAAGCAAUAUUACUAGGUUUGCUUUCAAAUCACUAGCAGAUAUGCGUAGUCACCUUCUCAUUUUAACCUGAGCUAAUAUCUUUCAAUGAAUUUUAGGUGGUGGAAACAAUUAAACUUUGCUACAAAGCUACCUUUUGCGAGAGAUAGAUUGGUGGAAGGCUACUUCUGGAUACUUGGGGUGUUCUUUGAGCCUCAAUAUGCCUGGGCUAGACGAAUUGUAACCAAAACAAUUGCCAUGACAUCCACUAUGGAUGAUAUAUAUGACGCAUAUGGCACAUUUGAAGAACUCGAGCUCUUCACCGAGGCCAUUGAGAGGUUUGAUGCAUGCAAAUUACCAACCUUCAUCAUUUGUAUUGUAUGUGAUACUUACAUUAGGCCUGGUUUUAUUUUCAGGUGGGAUAUUAACAGCAUAGAUCACCUUCCAGAAUACAUGAAACACUUUUAUGUGGCACUCUUAGAUGUGUACAAAGAAAUUGAGGAAGAGAUGGAGAAAGAAGGAAACCAAUAUAGGGUUCAAUAUGCGAUAGAAGCAGUAGGACAUUCUGCAUUGACUUUGUUUUGUAUACUAACAUAUCGUUGGGAUAUAGAUGUGACUUGAUUGAAUGUUUGACAGAUGAAAAAACAAGUUAGAGCUUAUUUUCAUGAGGCUAAAUGGCUCCAUGAAGGACGCAUACCAACAAUGGAAGAGUAUAUGAGUAUAGCACGGGUAUCCUCAGGUUACCCCAUGCUUACAGCCACGUCUUUCAUUGGUAUGGGAAAAAUCGUAACAAAGGAGGCCUUUGAUUGGGUGAUCAGUGACCCCAAGAUUGUCACAGCAUCAGCUGUAAUUGCUAGGCUCAUGGAUGACAUCACUUCACAUAAGGUAUUGUGAAUGUAGUAUUUCUUGUUAAGCUAUAAUUUGACCUUAACCUUAAAUCUCAAUCAAAUAUAUUUACUGCACUGUUCUUCUAAACCAUAUAUGCAGUUUGAGCAAAAGAGAGGACAUGUUGCCUCAGGCGUUGAAUGUUACAUGAAGCAAUACGGUGCCUCUGAGGAAGAGGUAUACGAUAAGUUUCAGAAGCAAGUUGUGGAUGCAUGGAAGGAUACUAAUGAGGAGUUCCUACGACCUACGGCUGUUCCGAUGCCUCUCCUUAUGCGUGUGCUUAAUCUUUCUCGAGUGAUGUAUGUGAUCUACACGGGGGGAGAUGGGUACACUCAUGUUGGAAAAGUGAUGAAGAAUAAUGUUGCAUCACUGCUCAUUCACCCUAUCGCAUGACCAAAUGGAUCAAGUUGAUGAGCAUCUACAUAUUCUGCCAUACCUAAGGAGUACUAAGAUGAAUAAAUAUGAUUGUCUCCAUAUAAUGUUUGAUACUAGUUUCUCUCUCGGUUUGGUCGUGCUUUGCAUCAUACUAUCACUUGGGCUAAAUGUAUUAAUGCUGUUGCAUCCAUUUUAAUAUAUAUUUAAAACACAUGGAUCAAGUUUGAUACUUUUCUGCCAUUUAAAGUUCACGUGAUCAGGGAGAAAAUUCUCCAUAGAAAAUCACUUGGAAGUUACCAGGAAAGAGAUGUUUUGGUCAGACCGCUUAUAUGGCCUUAUUAGCAGAAGAGGGUUUAGAACAUACAAAGACAUAAAAAAACUAAAAAAUUCAUCCUAACGGGUAAAAUAUUAUUAUUAUUAUUAUUAUAAUAUUAGACAUUCUAAAAGUUUUAUUAUAUACCAUGUAAAAAAUAAAAGUUAUGACUUUACAUAAGAUUGGAAUUCAAAGUUCAAGCACAUUAAAUUAUGCAGAGUUUAAAUUUUUGCCAAAAAAUAACAAGGAAAAAAAAUGGAGAAUCAAUUCAAUCAACUCAUCAUUUUCCUAACAAGAAUUACGAUAUUGAAAAUUAUAGACAAGGUAUAGAAAAAAAGACUUACAAAAAGAAUUAUCAUGAGGUUUUAUUUUUUUAACAAUAAGUCAAAAUAAAUUUGAAAACAAAAAAAGAUAAUUAAAAUUAAUAUAUUUUUUAACAUUUUAUUUAAUAUUUAAUAUUGUGCAUAGAUAUGUCAUAAGAUUAGGAUAAAUAUAGUACAUGUGAUUGUAAACAAUAAGGCCAAGUAGCCUAGGUGGCAAAGUAGCACCUCCCUUCCUACAUGCACUUUCAAGUUUUUUCAGCAUGCUAAUGUAGCUUAAAUAACCAUAAAUUGCCAAAAUUAGUGAUUAAUUGAAAAAAUAACAAAAGAACAUGAUUAAUCAAAAUAGAUUAUCAAAAUUUAGACAAAAAUUCAUUGAGUGAAAUUCUCCCAUAAUUUCCUAUAUUGGUGAUAUUUCGGGAACAUUAAUCAUGAUUUCCAAGUUCAAAAGUUUACGGUAUCUACAAAUUAACAUAUCGAAGAAGUUCGAGAAUAAUUUUUAGAGGAUUAUAAAUGUCUUUUAAUAAUUAAAUUCACUUUACAAAUAGCUACAUGUUUAAUUAAUAUUAUAUUCUAAUGGUGUUGAAAACAAAUUAAGAUGAGGCUUCAAAUCAAAUGUACUUUGCAAUAAAACAAAUUAUGCUUAGUAGACAUAUGUAUGUUUUUGAAAAGGAUGGAUGCUAAUUUCAUAUUUUGCUUUGAAAUUAAGCCACCUAGCUCAGUUGUCUUUUAAAGACUUUAGUGAAUGCAACUUCAAAUGACCAAUAAUGCACGGUAGCAGUAAGCGAAGACUCAUUAUUUUGACUUCAAGGCAUUAAUUCAUAUUUUAUCCAUUACACAACAGAAUAUAUAUAAAUAUCCUUAUAAAAAAUAUAUAUAUAUAAUAUUUAUAGGUAGCAACUUUCUUCUUAAGCAAAGCAGCCAAGUAAGACUACGAAAUCUAUACCAAACAGAAUAUCUACUAGGAAUUAAAUUGAUUGGCUCGAAUAUAAAAAUAUAUAUAUAAUAUUUAUAGGAAUUAUUUCUAACACUUAAAUUGAUUGAGCUUAGGUUAAAGUACUCUUCAAAUUGAUAAAUGGUAGUUUUUUCAUUCAUCUUUCAUUCGUUCAUAUACAGAGUAUAUAUAGAGGGUAAUCACCAUUCUAAGAAUGGGAAAGAAUGAUACAAGGAAAGAAUGAUAUAAGGAAAUAACAACUAAUAUCAUAAUAUCUCAAUAUUCCUAAUAUCUCAAUAUUCUUAAUAUCUCAACUAUCCUAAUACCCAAACAUUCCUAAUAUCUCAACACUAAAUAAUAUAAGGAAAGAAUGAUAAAAGGAAAGCAUUCCUAAUAUCUCAACACUCCCCCUCAAGUUGGUGCAUAGAUGUCACGUAUGCCUAACUUGUCUAAAAAUUUUGAGAACACUCGACUUGAGACAGCUUUGGUGAGGAUAUCGGUCAAUUGAUCUUCUGAUCGAAUCUUAGGCAAUUCCACAAUUUUAUCAUCCAACUUUUUCUUAAUGAAGAAUCUAUUCACCUCGACAUGCUUUGUACAAUCAUGUUGUACUGGAUUAUGAGCAAUGUCACAUGCGGCUUUAUUGUCACAAAACAAUCGGAUUGGUUACCUAGAUAGGUAACCUAAAUCCUGUAAGAGGAGUCUUAGCCAUAAUGCCUCACAAAGUCCUAUAGCCAUACCUUUAAAUUCCGCUUUUGCACUUGAACGAGAGCGACAACAUUCUACUUCUUGCUUUUCCAUGUCACAAGAUUACAACCUACAAAGGUAAAGUAACUAGAUGUAGAUCGCCUAUCAUCCACUGCACCGGCCCAAUCAGCAUCAGUAUAUACUUCUAUACUCUGAUGAUUAACAUUUUUAGCGAACAAAAUUCCCUUCCCCGGAGCAUUCUUCAAAUACCUCAAAAUAUGCAUGACUGCAUUCAUAUGUUGCUCUCCAGGAUUAUGCAUGUAUUGACUCACUACACUCAAUGCAUAAGCAAGAUCUGGUCUUGUAUGAGCUAAGUACAUUAAUCUCCCCACAAGUCUCUGGUAUCUUCUCUUAUCGAUUGAUACUUGAUUAGGCUCAACACACAAUUUCAGACCUUCUUCUAUUGGUGUAUUAAUAGGUUGACAUCCCGACAUUCCAGUCUCCUGUAAAAUAUCUAAGGCAUACUUUCUUUGAGACAGAAAAAUUCCUUCACUUGAUCGAGAAACUUCAAUCCUAAGAAAGUAUUUCAAAGGACCUAGAUCUUUCAUUUUGAAUUCUCUAGAUAGAUAAUUUUGCAGAGCUUUUCUUUUUUCAGGAUCAUUUCCUGUAACUACCAUGUCAUCCACAUAUACGAUGAGUGUCGUAAUCUUACCAUGUUGCUUUUUCAGGAACAAAGUGUGAUCUGAAUUACUUUGACGAUAGCCAAAAGCUCUCAUUGACUUUGUGAACCUUCCAAACCAUGCUCUUAGGGAUUGCUUCAACCCAUACAAUGACUUUUUCAAUUUGCACACCUUCUGACAUUGCUUUUCUGACACCAUGCAUCCUGGUGGAAGAUCCAUAUAUACUUCUUCAGAUAACUCGCCAUGCAGAAAGGCAUUUUUCACAUCGAACUGUUAUAAUGGCCAAUCUAGGUUUGCAGCUAAAGAUAGUAAUACUCGAACUGUGUUGAUCUUAGCUAUAGGUGCAAAUGUCUCCGUGUAGUCAAUUCCAUAAGUUUGAGUGUACCCUUUUGCUACCAGUCUUGCUUUAAAUCGUUCAAUACUACCAUCUGCCUUGUACUUCACAGUAUAGAUCUAACGACACCCAACUGGCUUCUUUCCUGGUGGACAUUCUACAAGUUCCCAUGUUUUAUUCUUCUGCAAUGAUUUCAUCUCUUCAUUCAUAGCUGCUUUUCACCUUGGAUCAGCUAAGGCUUCCUGCACACUGUUAGGAAUAGCUACAGUAGAUAAUUGAUUUACAAAUGACUUAUUUGAUUCAGACAAACGAUGGUUAGACACAUAGUUGCUCAUGAGAUAUUUGACUUUGGUAGACAAUUCAGGUUCAUAUGUGGGUUUAGGAAUACCUCUAUUAUGACGGUGUGGUAACUGUUUCAUGAAUGGAUCAGGUUCCAAAUUAAGAACACCCUCAACAAACGACGAUUGGUUUGGUAUUUCAGUGAAGACAUCUUCGGACCCAAAUUGUUGACCACUCAUAUCCAACUCACCUACUUUCUGGUUCACUAGUUCAGAUUGUCCAGAUUCAUCCUCCUCAAAGAUAUGAUAAUCAUAAUCGAGAGUCUGAAUUUCCUUAUGGUACUCCCCCUGAAGUUCAAACUCAGAUGAAAAAUACAUCGACUCUUCAUGAAGCACCACGUCCAUUGUAAUAUACAUUCGUCGAGUUGAAGAAUAGUAACAUCGAUAUCCCUUUUUAUGCAAUGCAUAUCUAACAAACACACAUUGCAAUGCAUGGGAAGUUAACUUGGUGCGUUGGUGUUUGUGUAGAUGCACAAAUGUCACGCAACCAAAAACACGAGAAGGUAGAUUUGGGACAGUUGGGGCAACUACGGCAUUAGUAAGAGCUUGGAGAGGUGUUUGGAAGUUAAUUGAGCUAGAAGGUACCCGAUUGAUCAAGUAUGCGGCAGAUGUGAUUGCUUCUCCCCAAUAAGAUAUCGGUGUUUUUGCUGCUAUCAAGGAAGAACGAACAACCUCUAACAAGUGCUGAUUUUUCUGUUCAGCGACUCCAUUUUGCUAGGGUGUAUUGGAACAAGUAGUCUGAUGAAUGAUGUCAUGUCCUUCCAAAUACUUUUGAAGAUCAGAACUUUGAUAUGCUCCACCAUUAUCACUAUGCAGAACCCGAACCUUUGCAUUGUAUUGAGUUUCAAUCAUUUUAUGAAAUUUUUUAAACAACAAGUUCACUUCAUCUUUGGUCUUCAUCAAGCACAACCAUGUCAUUCUGGUACAAUCAUCAAUAAAAGUAACAAACCAACGUGAGCCACUCAAAGUUGGGACUUUGGAUGGGCCCCAAACAUCAAAAUGUAUAAUCAUAAAAGGAAAUGGACUUUUAUUCAAAAUUAACGGAAACGAAACACGAUGGCUUUUAGCCAAUUCACAAAUAUCACAACGGAAACCAGAAAUAUCACUCUUUGCAAACAAACUAGGAAACAAUUUUUUUAAAUAACCAAAGAAAGCAUGUCCUAGACGUCGAUGCCACAACCAAAUUUCAGACUUUUUCUUCUCCCCCUCAGAUCCAUCUGCCAUCAAGGCUUGUUGCAACUUAUUUGAAUCCUUUGAUUGCAAGUCCAAGUAAUAGAGUUUUCCCUGCUUAAUACAACAAUCAAUCGUCUGUCUUGUUUGGAUGUCCUUAAUCACACAAAAUUCAGGUCAAAAAAUGACAAUACAAGAUAAGGUUGCAGUGAUUUGAGAAACUGACAAAAGAUUGUAAUUUAAAGAUGGAACAACUAAAACAGAAUCCAAAUUCAAAGUAUCAAUAAGAGUUAAGGAUCCUUCCCCAAUGACUGGGGUUGUGUUACCAUUGGCUGUGAAAACAAUUUUUUGUGAGGAAAGUCUAAGGGGUGAAACCUGUCUAGAAUCAAAAGUCAUAUAAUCUGUAGCACCAGAAUCAAUUAUCCAUGCACUAUUAAUAACAGGUGUAAAAGUAUUUAAAAACUUACCACCAUGAUCUAUAGUGGCUACCAAUGCAGAGGUUUUUUCAGCAACAUUAGCCUCUGUUUUCAUUUCGGCAACAAUUGCAAUCGAGAUUUUCUUGGAAUCAUUCUUCUGUUGUUCACGAUUAUUAUCAUUAAUAACAAAGUGUUGAUAGCCUAAACAUGAUCUAAAGGUCCACAGUUCAAACCCUCGGUUCCUCAUUUUUUUCCUAGUCAUACCAGGAGUCGUUGCUUUGAAAUUGUGGGAUAUCCAGACUGGUGGGAUCAGUCUUAUUGCAGUGAGUGCAUUUGAAGGUUGACUUAUCAAUAUUAGGGCUUGUCUUAGGAUGGUUGAUCGCUGUCAGACUACCAUAGCAAAAAAAUAUCUAGGAUUUCAGUUCCAUGGCUCUGAUACCAUCUUCAAAUUGAUAAAUGGUAGUUUUUUCAUUCGUUCAUGUACAGAGUAUUUAUAGAGGGUAAUCACCAUUCUAAGAAUGAGAAAGAAUGAUACAAGGAAAGAAUGAUAUAAGGAAAUAACAACUAAUAUCCUAAUAUCUCAAUAUUCUUAAUAUCUCAAUAUUCUUUAUAUCUCAACUUUCCUAAUAUCCAAACAUUUCUAAUAUCUCAACACUAAAUAAUAUAAGGAAAGAAUGAUAUAAGGAAAACAUUCCUAAUAUCUCAACAAGUACUACCAAGGUUGUUACAUCUCAAAUCUUACCAAAAGUUGACAUAAUAUUUAUAUAAUAAUUAUAAUUUAUAUUAUUAUGGACUCAUGCACAUUUUUCACAUGUUCCUACUCAAUGAGGAUACUCAUUUAUUAUGAAAAAUGAUUAUUUGAAAACCCUUUUUAGGUUUUUUUAGAGUGAUCAUUUAUUUUAUUUAUUUUAUAAAAAGAAAAAAAAAUAAGAAAAAAAAGAAGAAGAGAAAAACCUUAUAUAACUCCUUAUUUGAAAAAAAAAAAAAAAAGACAAGUUCAUAAACCAAUAUUGAGUUAAAAGUCAAAUUACUUAUUGAAAAAAUACGAAGAUAAGUCAUACAAAACAACCCUCUAAGCUUAUAUACCUAUAGUCUUUACUAAGCAAAUGAAAUGAAUUAUGACGAUUAAAUAAUUGAUCAUGGAUGCUCAAGAAAAGAAAAACACAAUUAUAAAACAAGUCAUGGUGUUUGUAUCUUACAAAAAUGUAAAAAACAAAUGAUAAGAGAAUUUACAUAAAUUGAUUUAUGAAACUAAUUAAAAACAUGGGUUUAAUUAUUUCUAAAUUCAAAGGAUUAAAAAGUUAUUCCAAUUUGAUGAUUUCAAUUGAUUUUAAGUACAAAAGAAAGUUUUGAUUUCAUUUUUUUUUAAGAAAAAAAUACUUUAAAUUAUUCUAUUUAUAAAGAAAUGGUUUUUAUUUACUUUUUCUUAAAAAAAUAUAAUUUACACAAAUUCUAUUUACCUUAACAUUCCUUUUUUAUUUUUAUGCAGAAGAGAAUACUUUUAUAAUUUUUGUUACAACAUGAUUUUUACAAUUUUAUUUUAAAAGAAAGUAUCCAAAUCUAAUCUUAUGUGCAUGAGAAUCUUUUUCCAAAUUAUUUAGGAAAAGGAUUUUUAAAAAUUUAUUUAAAAAAAUAUUUACAAAUUACUUUAAAAAAGAUUUGUACAAAUUUAUUAACAAAAAAUAAAUAUUCAGAUCCAAUUUUAUUUACAGAAAAAAAAAAUGAUUUUCUUAGUUUUUAUUGAAAAUAAGACUUUUACAAUUUUAUUUAAUUAGUAUGAAAAUCCAAUUCCAUUUUAUUAAUACUAGAAAAAAAUUAUUAUUAUUUUUAUUAAGACAUGAUUUUUACAAUGUCAUUUACAAAAAAAAAAAAAAAAAGUUUACAAUUUUAUUUUAAAAAAUAUUUUGAAUUUUUUUUUUUAAAAAAAUGGUUUCAAUGUUUUAUUUAAAACAAAAUGCUUUUUAGAUUUUAUUUUUAAAAAAAUGAUUUUCACAAGUAAAAAAAAAAAAUUAUAGUUUUAUUUUUUUACAAAAAAGAAAAAAAUGAAUUUCCAAUUGUAUUUACAAUUUAUUUAAAAAUGGAUUUUGCAGUUUUAUUUAGAAAAACACUUUAUUGUUUUAUUUCAAUCUUAUUGUUUUAUUUUUCUUUUAAAAAAAAAAAAAAGAAGUUCAAAUUUAUUUUUCUCCUCUCUCUCUCUCUCUCUCUCUCUCUCUCUCUCUCUCUCUCUCUCUCUCUCUCUCUCUCUCUCUCUCUCUCCACAUACGCUCAUUAGUUUUGAUGUUACGGUAUCAGCCCAAUUGACAUGAUUUAUAUUGACUUGGUCUUUGGUCUAAUAGUGACCUGUGAACCUUACUGAUAUUACGCAAACCCUACCAUUUAUUUAUAAUAUUGUCGUGAUAAUAUUGAAAUAUGGGAAAUUUUAAUAGACCAGACAGACAUCAAUAGACCAAAGCCACCAAGCAGGAAUUGAAGAAACCAGAAAGCGUUUGUUCCAAACAUAGUAUACUGUAGAACAUGAAACAGAAGCUAGAGUAUACUAUCUUUAUUUGUGUCAUAUAUAUCUCCACUCUCAUAUUGGCACAGGGUCUAUGAGCAGCAUUGAAAUAUUAUUUUUCGUCACUUCUCCAGGAUGUGUGAAUAUAUCUUUGUGGCUCUUGUACAUCACAUCUCCUGAUCGAGCAAAAUUGAGAAGACGACUAAGGAGAAGCAUUGGCACUGUAGUAGGUCUGAGGCACUCUUCAUUUAUAUCCUUCCAUGCAUUCUCGGUUUGCUUGUGAAACUCAUCAUAUGCUUGCUGCUCCGACACACCAUGUUGCUUCAUGUAACAUUCGAUGCUUGAUGCAAUAUGCUCUCUCUCUUGCUCAAACUGCAGAAAUAGUAAUAUAAGGUGUUAAAAAGAAAUUGAUAUACAAUAGAUUUUCUUUAUCUUUAUGGGAUUGAUAUCCAAGUAUCAGUAGGAAGUGUUGUUUCAUUGUACCUUGUGGGAAGCCAUGUCAUCCAUGAGCCUAAUGAUUAUGUAGGUAGCUCUAACAAUCUUAGGGUUUUGUAGCAGCCAAUCAAAGACUUCUUUGGUUGCAGUCUCUCUCAUGCCAAUAAAAGACAUGAUUGUUAACACGGGGACACCAACUGUUACCAUUGCGAUACCCAUGUACUCUUCUAUUGUCGGUAUGUAUUUUCCAUGCAACCAUUUGGCUUCAACCAAGUAAGCUUGGACCAAGCUUUUAAUCUAGGACAAAAAUUCAGCCAAGUAAAUAUAUCAUGCAAGUGUUAUAUAUAGCAUUUUAUUUACAGUACAAUAUAGGAUAUCAUAAACACAAAAGAGUUCGAAGAAUCCUACUGCAUCUUUUGUGUGGUGGACACAGUAUGAUCUUUCUGUGUUUUCCAUCUCCUCAAUUUCUUUGUAGACAUCUAAGACUGCCUGAUAGCAUGGUUUCAUGUAUUCAGGAAGCUGAUGUACGCUGUUUAUAUCCCACCUGAAAAUCAAGUACCAAGUUCCCUUUUGAAGUUCAAAUAUCAAAAUCAAUUCAUUGGUUGUGGGUAAUUUGAAUCUAGCAUAUAUCAAACCUCCCGAUUGCCUCUGUAAAGAGCUCCAGUUCUUCAAAUGUUCCAUAUGCAUCAAACAUAUCAUCCAUAGUUGUUAUCAGAGCAUGUAAUUUGGUCUGUAUUCUUCUAGCAUAUGAAUACUGGGGCUCAAAACAACAUGUUGCUAUCCAAAAGUACCCUUCUACCAAUCGAUCUCUGGCAAAAGGUAGCUUUGAAGAGAAAUCUAGGUCUUUCCACCACCUGAGAAAAUACAUUAAUCCACAUAAAAGACCUGGUAAACUGUUGAUUUGAAUUUAAGUGCAAGAAUGAUUUGAGAACUAACCUCGAGAUAUUACUCAGCUCUUUCUUAUACAGUGACUGCAGUAGGUUGAAAUCUAACUUUGCAAACUUCAGUAAAGCUUUACUAUGUGAAGCUUCAUCUUGGUAGAUAGACAUGAAAGGCCUUGCCUCUAGCCUCUCCAAGCCUUUCCUAAUGGGCCGCUCUAGGGCAUGAGUUACUUGUGCUGCAAGAGGGUAUUCUAAAUGUUCUACAAUAGACUUGAGGUGAGUGGUGGUGAAAGGAAGUGCUUCAUCUAGUAUAUCUUCUUCCCACACCCUGAGAUGUGCAGCUUCAUACAAGCCUAGUAGGCCAUAUGGAUCAUUGAUCAAAGACUUCUUGAACCUCCCCUUUUCAUCUUUGUACCUCUUGAAUAUAUCUGCAAUCAUCACCAAAACAUAGAAUGUUAUAUGUGAGCUUUGCUAGAUGAUAUUCAAGCAACUUAUACAUGAUAUUAAUGAGGCUUACCACAUGAAAUAUUGAAGCCUUGUUGUCUUAGUAGUCGAAAUCGAAGUGCAACAUCAUAGAGAUCAUCAUUUAUAUCAGCAAUGCCAUGAUAGUUAUCAUAGGUGCUUUGUAAUGCUUGUUCUAUCUCGUUUUCAAAGUGGUAUGCCACCCCAAGCCGUUGAAUUGCAUCGAUAAACUUCAGCUGUUUCGAAGGGUUACUAGCUGCAGCUAUCAGCUCUCUUCUAACUUCCUCCUUUAGAUCUUCCAACUGCUGCUCUUUAUGGGCCAGAGUUAUCUGUAUCAAUAAACUGCAAGAACAAAAAGUGAGAAAAUCUUUAGGUCUUGUUAUGCAAACUACAUACAUGAUCAGAAAAUUACCUCAUCCUCAGGAGUGUUGCUCACGAUGAAGCUAUUGCCCCAAAUGCUAGGCUGAUAAUUUGCAGUUCGGCGAGUAGUCUCUGAAUUAGCAACUGGGGCUGGAGAAGACCCGUUGCUGGUUGCGAGAAUUAAGGCCAUGUGUAACUCACUCGUGAGAAAUGCAUGUGUUUUAAAAUAUAUUUAAAUGGAUGAAGAUAAAAUUAAUUUAUAAAAUUUUGAAUUUUUUUUUUCAAAUUAGUGAGUCAUAACCUAGUUUUCCCUUAAUCUUUCAUUGUACAAUAAAAUUAAUAUCAUGGUAAUAAAAGAAUUUGGAUAUAACUAGGGAACUAAGUUCUUUUAUAUACAACACAAAAAUUAGUGUCUAGAUGAAAAGAAAAUUACAAAUAAUUUGUUUUUCAAUCACACCUAUUGUAAGAAUCAUAUUAUUAAUUAUUUUGAUUCUUAAUUAACAAUAAUUAAGAAUAAUAGAAAUAUAUUUUUUUUAAUUAAAAUGUGAUUUGAGUUAGGAUGACUCUUAAAUUUUUGACAAAUUUUCAAUGCCAAUUUUUCAUUUAUAUAAAACCACAGAAUAUUUCAUUUAUAUAAAAAUUAGGUCCAAAUGAUGCUUGACACGUCAAAUGUCCUUUCAAACAUUGAAAAAGUAAAAAAAAAAAAACAUUGAAAGUUACAUGAUGUGAUUCAAUUAAACCACAAAUUCCUUAGAGGAGAGGUAUAUAACCUGCCAGUCACUUUAUUAUAUGAAAAUCAUUCCUCCGCCUUAUCAUAAUAAUUGAUUCUUCACCCAUCAAUAAUUUUAAAUUCCCCUAAUAUGGCAAUUUACAUCUCCUCUUUCUAUCAAUUUUUAGACCCAAUCUUAUAUUAAUUUCUAAAAAUUCCAUCCCUUAAAUCGGAGUGGCGUGACAUUAUUUAAUAAAUUCCAAUAAAACUAUAAGAGUUCUAAACAAUGAAUGAAUCCAAAAUAAUCAUUUAAGUUUUAUUUAAUCAUUAUAUUUAUUUAUUAAACAUCUUUUAAGUAAGACUUAUUACAUAAUAAGGCUUACUUAUUUUAUAAUUUAAUUAUUUUAAUAGUUAAGAAAAUUGGAGGAUGCAUUGAAUUGAGCAAAACUAAAUCUCAAUCAUAAAUGAGCAAGUCUAUUUUAUAAAGAGACAAUAAUGUUUGGAAGGAAGUACACUUGUGUUGGACCAUCUAUGGUCGAAUUCAUACACCAAAAUCUCUAGAAAAUCCGAGUGGGCACCAUCACCGUUGAAUAACGGCCCUACUUGGUAUGUGGGGUGAUGUUAUGGGUUUUGGAUGUUAAUAUGAAAAAAAGGGUCGAGUGUUUUGCAAAUAUUGCCGGCCGCCCUAUUUGAUUGAGACAUGAAUGAUCUUGGCUGAUUUGUAAACUCUAUUUGAAAGUAGUAAAAGAUUUGUGUAAUCAUUAUUUCAUUAUAAAAUUAUCUAAAGAAAAAUUAUUAGCGAUUUAGGGCAUUAGUCUAGUUAAAUUAAAUUUGUAAUUUUUUAGGUCGUUAUAUAUAUAUAUAUAUUAAUGAUUUAUACUCUCUUUAAACAUUCAAGGUUGCUGCAUAAUUAAUUUGAAAUUAAACAGAUAAGUAUAACUAAAUUGAUUUAGAAUAAUGAGCAAAAGGGAUAAGUAUUUAUAUGGAAAUUGAAAAUAAAAUUUGAAAAUGAAUUUAAAUUUAGAAUUUAAAAUAGAAAAACUUUCAAAUAUCUUUCAGUUUAAAAAAUAUUUUUUAAGUUUAAAAAGGAAAAUCUUUCCUUCCUAACUCUUUUUUUUUGGUAAAAUAUCAUUUGAGAGUUUUCAAAGAUCACCCCCUAAGCUUAAAGUCAUUAUUCUUUGUGUUUAAUAAAAAAAUGUUUCAAAACAUUUUAAAUUUGUUUGUUGAGUUUGAGAUAGAAGAUCACAUCCUCUCAAGGUUUCGAGGAGUCCAGUAAGGAGAAUGAUAUGUUUGCAUCGUAGACAUGAAAUUAGGUACAAUCAUUAGAUAACUUUAUGUACUUAUCCUUCAAAUUUAGUGGAUUUUAAAUUUAUGGUAUUUGACCUUGUAGUUCUUAUAUCAAAGUCUUUGGGAGCCUUUGUGGGUGAUUUUCUAUGUAAUCACUUGUAUUUUUAAGUGAUUUUUUUGUUUUUAUUUAUUCUUUAUAUCCUAAUAAAAGAAUAUAUAGAAACUAAAGAUUAGCAUACAUUGAGCUAAAUUCAAGAAGACUAUCCAUUCACUCCCUUUGAGGUGAAUAGAUAAAAAAGAAAGAAGAGAAAUGGGAGAUUUGUCUUUCUUUAAAUCCAAACAAGAUGAUAGGACCCAGUCAAAGAAUCGUGUACUACAACAAUUGAUUACAAGUAUUCUCUUUGGGUGAGAAUAGACCACACAAAGAAAUUGGGUUAAAAAUUUGUCAUAUCCUUUAUUGAUGUCCAUGAGCAAUUUUCAGCAUAUGUUAUUGAAACUAAAGGUCUUUAACACCAUAAUAAAAUAACUUCAAAUAAUAAAAAAAUAACAAUAGCGAAAGCAAAAAUCAAUGCAAUAGCUUUUGUUCUUCUACCACUACUUAUGACUUGUUCUAACACAUGGUUGUUAAUCCCUCAUAAUUCCUUGGCCAGAAGAGAAUAGCAGCUUGACUACGAAAUGAGCAAGCCUAUUUUAUAAAUGAAACAAUAAAGUUUGGAAGGAAGUGCACUCAUGUUGGACCAUCCAUGGUCGAAUUCAUUCACCAAAAUCUCUAGAAAACCCAAGUGGGCACCAUCACCAUUGAAUAACGGCCCUACUUGGUAUGUGGGGUGAUGUUGUGGGUUUUGGAUGUUAAUAUGAAAAAAGGGUCGAAUGUUUUGCAAAUGGCCCUACUUGGUAUUACUAAGCGUGGAUAUGUUGGAGUUGUUUUGGGGCUUAAAUUUCCUUUUUUUUCACGUACAUUGUAUUGACUCUUCUCAUCGUUGUUGUCGCAUUCCUCGGUCCUUAUUUUAAUAAUUUAUUAUAUUUUUUUUAUAUGAAAUGCAAAAUAUUUGAGUACUUUUUGAGUGGUUGCUUAUAAUAUGUGGUGAAAUUUAUUCCUACUAUUAUUUGUUAAAAGGGUAAGUAUUUGAGUGGUGGUUAUUUCUAAAGAAAUUAAGAUUUGGUUCACUUUUUCAAAAAUUAAUUUUUGCUUCCAAUAAAAAAAAUAAAAAAAAAAUGAAAAUGAAAACAUGUCUAUGUGUUAAUUGUUCCAAAAAUAGAUUUUUGAAAAUAGGGAAUUUUUGAGGAAAAGCUUUAAUUGUUGUUAUUUGUUUUCAUUUGUUUUUUUUGUGAAUGUUUAAAAAAUAAUAUAUAAAAAAAAUGAUUAAAAAUAAGGUAGUAUAUAUAAAAGUUUUUUUUUAUUGUAGAGAAAUUUGAAAAACACACUUUUAAUGUUAGAAAAUGAUUUUUUACAAUAAAAAAACUAUUACAAAACAGAUUAGUCAAAUAAGCAAUUCUAUGACACUUUCCUUUCAUCUUUAGAUUUUGUCAUGGUAAAAUUACCAAUUAUGAUUAGAAUUCCUUUUCUAUUUAUUAAGUCUAUAAAUUCAUUGUUUUAGUUAGAGUUCAGUAAAUUUUUAACUACAAAUUUGAAAAUAAAUAAAAUUACUAUUCAGAUUUUUUUUUUUUUUUUGCUUUUUUUCUUUUUUAGAAUUUUGUUAACUCAUCCCUCUUGGUAUUCCUCAAUUGGUAUCAACAAGAAGGGUUUUUUUUAAUACUGCUUUUUUGUCUUUUGAGAAUUUGGUUCAAUAAAGGGUUUGAUUUUAAAUUUUUUUUAGAUAUGUAUACUAAUCAUUAAUUAGGAUAUUUGAUUGAGACAUGAAUGAUCUUGGCUGAUUUUUAAACUCUAUUUGAAAGUAGUAAAAGAUUUGUGUAAUUAUUAUUUCGUUAUAAAAUUAUCUAAAGAAAAAUUAUUAGUGCUUUAGUGCAUUAGUCUAGUUAAAUUAAAUUUGUAAUUUUUUAGGACGUUAUAUAUAUAAUAUACCCCCUUUAUGCAUAAUUAAUUUAAAAUUAAACACAUAAGUAUAACUAAAUUGAUUUAGAAUAAUGAGAAAAAGAGAUAAGUAUUUAUAUGGAAAUUGAAAAUAAAAAUUUGAAAAUGAAUUUAAAUUUAGAAUUUAAAAUCAUAAAUUGCAAAAAAUUAGUGAUUAAUCGAAAAAAAUAACAAAAUGUCAUGAUUAAUCAAGAUAGAUUAUCAAAAUUUCCAUGUGCAUCCCAUCUUGUAAUACCUUUCAAACAAAGGUCGGUGCAAAUUUAAAAGAUAGCCUUACAUUUCUUUGGAAUACCUAAAAAAAUUUUGCUGGUUAGGAGAUAUUUGCAGUGAAGAGGAGCGGAUGAGAGAAGGGAGAGCGGAGUUGAGAGAGUUUUGGAGGGGGAAGAAAGAAAAAAAACGGAGGAAGUUUCUGGAGAGAAGAGGGAGUGCAUUGUGAGUAGUAGCAGAGAGCUUUAGUGAGAAAAGGAUAGGAGAGGCAGGUGUGCAGGGAUUCUGCAGGAGAGUUAGGGUGCUUUUGAGAGAGGAAGAAAGUUGGAGCUGUAGGAAGAGGGGUGGCAGAAGAGAGAAGAGAGAAGAGAGUUCAAAAUUUUUACAGAGGAAGGUAUACAUUGUUGUGAGGAGUUGCAGAGAUCUUUGGGGGAAUGGUUAUGGAGUGCGAGAGAAGCACUUUCUUCUGGUAGUCUGGAGGGCGAGAACUUUGAAAGAGUAUCUCCAGGUACGUCUGUGGUAACUUCUUGGUCUAUUCUCACUCAUCCCUCGGUUUUCUCUUUUUACCUUGCAUUCUCUCUAUUUGGCUCUGGUUCCUAUGGGUAUUGGCUGAUUGCUUAGAUAUGAGUGUGAUAUUGUGUUACUCUCCUCUCGUAUUUGUUUAUUUUAACAUGGCUCACUCCCAUUUUGGUAUUGGUUUUAAACUCUUCUGCUAAACCACUGGUCAGAACCCCUGGAUCUCAAUAUGAAAGGGGAUCCCACUUAAUGCUUGGCUCACUCUGUUUACUCUGCCAUGGGUACACUACAUCUUGUUUUAUUUCUUCCUCCAUUUCUGGUAUCUCAAUCCAUAUCUUGGUUUCUGGCUCACGUUUCUGGAUUUGUUUUGGACUAUUGGUUUUGUGCUCUGGUUUGUGCUUGAGGGGAGAGGGUGGUGCUUUAGCUAUUGCCACAGAUUCAGGGUUCCCAAUGGACGGGAUGCAUAUAGGAGCUACUUCGGCUAUUGUUUUGACUGUCCAAUGGGUGGAAACUAUGGCAACCGAGAGAUCAGAGUGCCUUUUGCAGUAAUCAGAAAGUGAAAUGGGGAGAGUUGAUUCUGGCUUACAUGAUGGAAAGACUAGUAGGGUGGACAUGACAAGAGGAUAUUAUGAUGCAGGUGACAAUGUGAAGCUUGGGCCUACCUAUGGCGAUCGCUGUUAUAAUGAUAUCAAGGAGCAUAGUGAAGUAUAGGAGGCAAACGGGUGCAAAUGGAGCACUGGGUCAUACCAUGAAGCUGUGAAGUGGGGUCCUGACUACCUCAUUAAAGCUUAUACCAUCACUCUUAUUGUCCUUUACAGAGAGAUUCAUGGUCGAAUGUCCACAUUGCAGACAAUGAAGGGUUUGUUUAUACCUUCUGCUUUUUCUUUGGCUGUCUCACAGGCUCUCGUUUCCCUCACUAGUGAAGUUGAUGGGGAGGGACAGGAUUCACCUAAUGUUUAGGCAUCUGAACAGAUGGCUCCAAGAGGACAGUUUGUUUUCGCUAUUGGAGUAGGGGCUUUGGUGUUUGUUCCAAUGUUCAAGGCUGUGACUAGUUUGCCUCAUUUUUAUAGGUAUUUUGCUUGAGUUUGGAGUUCUUUUGGAUUCUGACGCAGGCAUGACCUCUUUGGACCCCCUCAUUUCCCAAGUUUGCAAGUGCGUGAGAGUAAUGAAUUGAAGAGUUAUUCAAGAAGCCAUGAGAAGCCCGUGAGUGAGCUGCUGCUGCAACUUGGAAUGAACCUUUCUUUCUGUUCCAAUACUGAUCUAUGACCCAUUGAUAGAAGUUCACCCGACCGAUUUUUGAAGAUGGAGAGGCUCGAAAACCAUCUAUGCAUGCUGAUGUAGGCCCCAUGUCCGAGACAAGAGGUGCAGAAAAUGCCGACUAUGGUGAUUCUGAUAAUAAAAACAGUGGGAUUUCUUGGGUCCUUAUUGUGAUGAUGCACCCUACAGAAACCCAAAAUUUUCCACUUACAUGCAUGAAUUUAUAGUCCCACACUUCCCGCUAAUGGAGUGCAUCAAACGCAAGUUCUGCAUGGAUCCAUUGAACUCCCCAGAGACUUGGGAUGCUAAGUGAGCUGAAGAUCAAGUCUACAUGGCUGAGAUGUUGAUGCUAAGGAAGGUUACAGAUUGAUUUUGAAUGCUAGAUUUUCCUCAACUGACUGUUCACCCAAAUUCUACUGGUAGUUCUCAAGGACAGUUGGGUUCUCUGAAGAAGCAAAUUGUUGGAAUUGUCCAUCAAAACCAAGAAUUCAGUAUCCAGAAUGAGGAUUUUCCUGCAUCACCUGGAUUUAAAGGUGGAAAUACUUACUUUCCUGUGGACUCUCACCGGAAAGAACAACUCCAUGAUAGUGUUGUGUCAAUGAUGCAAUCUUAGCAUUUUCUUAUGGGAAGGUCUGGUAGAUUUAACUUAGAUGUCCCAUAUUCAUCUCGUCUUCAACAGCAACAACAACAUGCUUCAUCAAUUGGAAGCGGUGGACCACCUUCCAUAGGUCCAUUACUGCUGCCACCGCAACUGCCUCAAUCUCUUUUUCCUCUUCACAUGGGUUCAGCCGCUCCUCGUCCCGCCGUGAUCAUUAACUACGGCACCAGGUAUAUUAAAAUGGGUUUUUCCGGUAACGUGGAGCCGUGCUUCAUUGCCCCGACAGUUGUUGCUGUCAACGAGUCGUUUUUGAAUCAAAAUCGGAGCACCACCAACCCAAGCUAUCCGAUUGUUCACGGCCAGGUUUAUAAUUGGGAUGUCAUGGAGAGAUUUUGGCAGCAGGGUAUAUUUAAUUAUUUGAGAUGUGAUCAGGAGGAUCACUACUUUCUUUUGGCGGGAAGUCCACUCACUGCCCCGGAGAGCCGUGAAUACACUGGUGAAAUUAUGUUUGAAACCUUCAAAUGUUCCUGGUCUUUAUAUUGCAGUGCAGCCGGUACUCGCCCAUGUGACAGGAUACACUACAUCCAAGUGGCAGUAGAUGACAAGGAUGGUAAAAUCCUGGGCUUCAUGCAGGGGCUACGCUUAUUACUUGUCUUGUAAAUAUCUAGCACUGGGGAUUUUAUCGAGUUACCUAGUCAUGGGGUUUCUUCUGGAAAUAUAGAGAUGUUGUGAAGGGGAGAAGUGAUCAUGUCGCGGAUGGGAUAAAGGUUGAUAUACGGAGCCAAAUAUUGCUUUGACAGGAGUGUCCCAAGAAUGAAACCAGUGAACCUGAUGCAAGCCCAGUUAGACAGGCUAUGGAUCAUGGUUUUCCAUUGGCUUCAAUGCAUUAUUCAGGUGCAAUUUCUGGGGAGAUAAGAAGCAAUGGCCUUAAAGCCUACGUUCAUCUAUAUCUUGCUGCACUCAAUGGUGAUUGGAAAAGUGCAAAAGCAUUCCUGGAGUCAAAUCCACAAACAGUGAGAACGAGGAUCACAAGGCUCUUAGAAACUGCUCUUCAUAUUGCUGCUAUGGCAGGAUUUGCAUCUGCAAGUGAUAGAGGUAUCAGGAGAAGCAGAUAAACAGAGUUUUGGUAGGAGGAUCAAGCUCUGCUACCCAGUCAAGAUCUACCAGAGCCUGGUAUUGGAGGGUUUGAAUCAAUUUGUGCCUCGCUUAAGAGUCCGGGCAAUAUCUGAUGUUUUCUCUGAAUGGAAGAUUUCUUCUCUGGAUGAGCUUAGUGUAAUUGGUGCCGGGGUUCCAUAUGAGGAAUUUAUCAACAGCAAGCUAACUCUGAAGUUGGCUUGAAGGAACUAGGACGCUGCCAACACCAACUCUGUCCCCAUCUCUGUGGUUGUCAUUCUCCAUCUCCUUCCACUUGUGCAUGGACUGGAUGUCCACCUUCAGUAUGGCCACCCUUGGGCCAUGUGUUUCCUCAUCCCUGUUUUUUAAAAUAAUUUUCCCAAACUCUAUCUUGGAAAUAAUUUUAUUGAAUUUUGAUUUUCAAAUAAUUUCAACUCUCCUAUCUUUCAUCCUUAGAAUUUUUAGGUUCCAAAAAUUCCAUUUUUUAAUAAAAAUUGGUUGCUACUUUCUUUCUGGCAAGCCAUUUUCACACCUCUUCUGUUUUUAAAAAUGUUUUAAAAUAAGUAAAAAUCAAAUUUUGUAAUUCCUAGUGAUGGAAUUUACGGGUUUGGUUCAGGCAAAAAUGAACGGGCUUUGGUGGGGGCCCUACAUAUGAGAUUUCAAGAUUGAUUAACUGAUUGUUUGCUUCAUUAGCCACAUGUGAUUGAUUUACUCUAUUCCUUGAUAUGCGCUUAAUUAUAUAUGUUCAUUGUUCACUAACCAUGUUUCAUGAUAGCGCAUUCGUGAUUGCCGUCCAGGUACGCAUCUAUUCACAUUUUGCUCAUUCUUUAUACAUGCUUUGCUUCUCAUAUUGUGCAUGAUCGAUUUGAGUAUUCAUCGAUUUUCUUAUUGACUGCCACGUCAGCUUCAUUCUAUUAGUAGGGACCCAACAUUAGGGACUUAGAGGGGUGCUACGGUCCGUACCGUACCUUCCCGAUAAGUAACCUGACCCCCGAACCUGAUCCGGUUUUUCAUAGACCACCUUUUCCAAAACAAGGAGUCACAUUUAGGGUUUUUCUUUCUUAUUUUGUUUACCCUUUAAAAAUAAAACAAAAACAAAAAUAAGUGGCGACUCCAAGUCAUUUUCUUAAUCGAAUAAAAAUCAAUUUUUUCAAAAUAAAAAUCGAGCUCGCCAUCGAGUGGGAAACGCAUCGAGCCGAAAUGCGGGGUCCACACAGGGUAAUGCUCAAGUUGUAUCUUGAGGAAAUACUACAGCCGUGGUUUAUCUGGAUCAGUUUGUCACUAAGGAUAUUAUACCGAUCAACGAGAAAGAAGUCGUGUUGCCAUUAACUCAAGAGUUUCCUAAUUUCUACAAUAAGGAGGACCUUGCCUUGCCUAGUGAACUAGAGCCAUUUUCAGAGAAAGCCUCCUUCAUGACUACCAUUGACUAUGUCGUUUAUGAGAAGAGUGAUAUUUUCAUGCCAUCUCAUGCCGGAAAUCAUGUGCUCUGAGUUGUGAGUUUUAUUUCAUAUAUGAUUGAUUUUGGUUGACGAACCAGAUGCCAUUGCACCUUGCCGUGAGUGCACUCUUGCUGCUGUCUUCACCGAAUUGCUCCAGUUUAGCUGACCUUGACCAUUCCGAAUGAAUAUUUGAGAAGGAUACAAGUAUUUGGAUGUCUUGUUCACUGCUGCAGGAGGAUCUCGGGUCUGGCUGAUACCAUCCGUGGCGCUAAGGAAGCUCAGAGGAGCAACAGUCGCGAGUUUCGUCUCCGGCGACGCUCACUGAAGAAGUCCAAUGUUUUUUUUCUCUUCAGAAUCACCCCGUCUGCACCACCGCUGCCGUCACCACCGCGAGCAUCAGUCGUCCAUCCACUCAUCGGACGAUCGGAAAUCUCAUGGCCUGGGACAGAGCCUCUCACCUCUGCUUGAGCGCACUCUAGUCUUUCAAACCAUCACUCCAAAGAUUGGCUGCAACUCCAAUCUUCGAGGAGCUUCGGUCCGCUCCCUCCUGCAUUGACUCCAACUCUGGUCCUGGAACAGGAUCACCUAGCUCCUCAUGCUCGGCUGGAGAACAGAAAUUGGGUGGAAUCAUCCAAAGUUGCUGCUCUUUUGCUUGAACUAGAAAAUCUCUGCUCUGUAGGUUCCAAAAGUAUUUUAUUUAGCCAGUAGACUGCCUUUCUCGACCUCUUACAGAUUCCCCUUUCUUGGAGUAACAUAUCAUUUGUUCGUCUGGAUGGAACUCUGAAUCAGCAGCAACGGGAAAAAGUGAUUAAACAAUUCUCAGAGGAAAGCCACAUCCUGGUCUUGCUAAUGUCAUUGAAGGCUGGUGGAGUUGGAAUAAACCUAAUGGCUGCGUCCCAUGCCUUUGUUUUGGAUCCAUGGUGGGAUCCAGCUGUAGAGGAACAAGCUGUUAUGCGCAUUCAUCAUAUUAGACAAACAAAAAAGGGUAAUGAUCAAGCGGUUCAUUGUGAAGGGAACAAUACAGAGGAGUGCACUGAUUGCUUCAAAGAUGCAAAGUAGAGCAACAUGAGAAAAUGCGCACUGCAUGGCCACUUUAGCAUGGCCACCUUUCUGAGCCACGUGCCACCCCCCAAAAUUCUUUCCCUUCGUUUUCAAAAAAUAAUUUCCUAACUCCGUUUUCAAAUGUUUUUUCUAGCUUAUGUCAUUAUCAUUAUUAUUAUUAUUAUUAUUUUAUCUUUUUAUUUUUUUUUUUAGCGACUUCAAAUCAUCAAAUCUCCCAUCUUUAGAGUUUUAGGUAUCAAAAAUCCCAUUUUCAAUAAAAUUUGGCCGCCACUUUCUUUUCGGCGAGCCCCCUUCGAAUUUUUCAUAAUUUUAAAAUAUUUUAAAAUAAACAUGAAUUUAAAUUCUGUAAUUCCGAGUGAUGGAAUUUACGGAAUUAAUUCAUGCAAAAAUAAACGGGCUUUGGUGGGGGCCCUACAUAUGUGAUUUCAUGAUUGAUUUACUGAUUAGUUGAUUGGCUUUCCGGGCAUGAUUGAUUUGCUCUGUUCUUGAUAUGCGCUUAAUUAUAUCUGUUCAUAAUUCACUAACCCUGUUCCAUGUUAGUGCGUUGCUGUUUGCCGCCCAGGUACGCAUCUAUUCAUAUUUUGCUCAUUCUUUAUACAUGUUUCGUUUCUCAUAUUGUGCAUGAUCGAUUUGAGUAUUGAUUGAUUUCCUCAUCAUUGCCACAUCAGCUUCAUUUUAUUAGUAGAGACCCGACUUUAGGGACUUAGAGGGGUGCUACGGUCUUUACCGUACCUUCCCGAUAAGUAACCUGACCCCCGAACCCGAUCCAGUUUUUCGUAGAUCACCUUUUCCAAAAUAAGGAGUCGCACUUAGGGUUUUCUUUCUUAUUUUGUUUACCCUUUUAAAAUAAAACAAAAAUAAGUGGCGACUCCAAGUCAUUUUCAAAUAAUCAAUAAAAAUCAAUUUUUCAAAUAAAAAUCGAGCUCGCCAUCGAGUGGGAAACGCAUUGAGCCGAAAUGCGGGGUCCACAAAAAUUGAAAAUGUGAAUCUCAAUAAUGAACUACACCUAGAGGGGGGUGAAUAGGUGUUGUAGAACAAUUUUAAAAUUCUCCCAACAAAGAUUACCUAACCUUAAUAAAACAUCCACAAGCAACAAUGUAUGCAUCAACACUCUCCCAACAAUUUAUAAAUGCAAAACACAUGCAAAUGCUUCAACACUCCUCAAAAAUAAAACAAAAUAUAGAGUGAGAGAAAGAGACAAUGAACACCAGAUUUUUAACGUGGAAAACCUCCGAAGAGAUCAAAAACCACGGGCCUAUCACCGAUUGAAAACUCCACUAUGAAGAAUAAAAAACUGAGUACAAGGUUUUACCUAGCUCAAGCCAACCAAUCCUUCCCGGAAUACUUGACUAGUACCUUCAUUUUCAACUUCUCCUUUUGGAGCACACUUGGAGUCCGCACCAAGCUCAAUCUCGGCCUCUUCUUGAAUCCACACAAGAAGAAAAUGGGUUUUUGCACAACCCAAAUAGAAUGAGAGAUUUAGAUGUGAAUGAAAGAAUGAAUCAACCCAUUUAUUGCUCAAGAAAAUCCAUUGAAAACAAGUUUUGAACACAUUAAGAGAAGUUGAUUUUCUUUGCAAUCAAAAAACCCCAACUUAGGAAAGCAAAAAUGAGAAAUGAAGAACACUUGGGAGUGUGGCUGCUCUCCCCACGUUUUCAGCAGUCUCUCUACACAGAAAAUGAGAGAAGAUUGGGUUUUAAAGUGUAAAAAGAAACCCUUAAUCUAAUGGCUGAGAUUUGAUCAAAAAAACAUUAGUUGGAUAGAUCCACCCCUACACCUGGAUCGAUCCAGAAACAAAGGAAUAAAAGCCUUGCACCAAAAACCAUUUUUCCCAACUUUCUAACACAUUUUAAAGAUUAAAAACCGGGUUGAUUCACACCCAAUCACUCCACACUCGACUACAUACCUUGGUCUCUUAGCAAAGUCUUAGUCUUCAAAGUCAAGUAGUCCGAAUAGGAAUAGGAAAGCCGAGUUAGGGGACACUUAGGAAUUUUGUCCGGAAUUGCCAACCUAGCUAAACACUCACACCUUUCAAACAAAGGUCGGCGCAAAUUUAAAAGAUAGCCUUACAUUUCUUUGGAAUACCUAAAAAAAUUUUGCUUUUCUGUGGAUGAAAUAAUUAAACAUUUUAAAGCUAGAGCCAAGAAAUACGUCGACAAAGAACUAAGGAAACUUUUUUCAUUUUUUGUUAUUUCCUAUUAGGAGAUAAGAAUUUCAUGUCACCUUAUGGUACGGAAGCUUGUGGGGCUAAUCCCAUGGGUGCCCACUUUUUCAUGGACUGCACGUUCCCGGGAGUAUGGCCGGCGAGAACCAACUGCCAAGCUGACUUUCCUAACGGCUAACGCAGGACUCUUAUGUAGGUUGUUGGUAGGCAUUGAAAAUCUGAAACGCAGCAAGGAAAUAAAUGUGAUUAGUUUUAGUUUUAAAUUAGGUUUGAUUGAUCGGAUAAGAUAGGAUAAGGUUCUAUAUAAUAGGGUAUUAUAUCUUUCUAAAUAGAUCUAUCAUAUGAUUAUAUCAUAUAAUAAUUUUCGAUUAGAUAUGACAUUUUGAUAUAUAUAUUUUAUUAAUAUAAUAUUUUAAAAUAAUAUAUUAUAUUAUAUUUAUAUUUAAUUUGUGAAAUAAAUAAAAAAUAAUUGAAAAUAUAUGUAUUUUUAAAUAUAUUUUAUUUUAAAAAUAAAAUUUUAUUUGUGAAAUAAAUAAAAAAUAAUUGAAAAUAUAUGUAUUUUUAAAUAUAUUUUAUUUUAAAAAUAAAAUUUUAUUUAUGUUUAAUCAUAUUUAUCAUUAAAAUAUUUAAAUUUUAUAAAUAUGUUCUUUUAUUUUGUGUUAUUUAAUAUAUAAAAAUAAUUUAUAUAUCAUAUAUUAAUAUUAUUUUAUAAAUAGUUUUUAGUUUUUUUUAAUCAUAAAUUUAAUUUAUAGUAAAUUUUUUUAUUUUAUAAAAUGAAUAUAUUAAAAAUAUAAAAAAUGAUAAAAAUAAAUAAUUUUUUUUUUUAUGUGUAUUUGAUCAGUGAUGGCAUGCAUAUAUGAAAAAUUACUACAAAUAAAGGAAAGUAGCGGGAAUACGAACCAACCGUUGUAGGCCUCAGCUUUGGCAGUUCCAGUGUAAAUUUCUUCAUCAUUGUUUGAAGGAAGUAAAAAAGAUAAAAAUGAAAAAGAAAAACCAUGAGGAACUGGAGCCACAGAUUCAAUGAAAAUGGAAGAAAGCGUGUUUUACUGGGUGACUGGAUUCGGAGUCACUUCUUCGUAAGCAACCGUGUCUUUUACCCUUCUGUCCAUCUUUCUCGAUAGUUCACUUGACCGCUGACCUUAACAUGAAUAAAAAAUUAUAAAAAUAAAAAAGGAUGGAGAAUCUCGAAGCUAGGGAUAAGGUUGGGGUGGGCCAUUGAGAACGGGAAGUUGAGGAGCAUUCAUGUGGCCACUAAAAGAAGAUUCGUAUUAACUAAGGUGGGGUCCAUUCAAUUCUAUGUUCUUUAAGGUUGAAUCCGUAACUGUGGCGCCGCCGUUAGUUUUGGUCAGAUCCUUGAUUUCCUUUCAAUGUCUCUGGCCUCUUGUUUCACAGAUUCUUGAUAAAGUAGUAUGGAAAUUUGAGCUGUCACUCUCCAAAUCUGGACUGUCUACCCUUGAAUCAACGGCUCAGACUGAAAACUCUCACUGUUGGAGAGGUGUCCUUCCUGAGGGGGACAGCAGUAGAGAAAAGAUGAGUGACCCAAUGCCAGCCAGCUGUUUUGAAGGGAGUCCAACACGUGGCAAGAGCGAAUAUAAAAGGUUUGAUUGAUUUUAAAUUUUUUUUAUAUAUGUAUACUAAUCAUUAAUUAGGAUAUUUGAUUGAGACAUGAAUGAUUUUGACUGAUUUGUAAACUCUAUUUAAAAGUAGUAAAAGAUUUGUGCAAUCAUCAUUACGUUUAAAAUUAUCUAAAGAAAAAUUAUUAGCAAUUUAGGGCAUUAGUCUAGUUAAAUUAAAUUUGUAAUUUUUUAGGUCAUUUUAUAUAUAUAUAUAUAUUAAAUAUUUAUACUCCCUUUAAACAUUCAAGGUUGUUGCAUAAUUAAUUUGAAAUUAAACAGAUAAGUAUAACUAAAUUAAUUUAGAAAAAUGAGCAAAAGGGAUAAGUAUUUAAAUGGAAAUUGAAAAUAAAAUUGGAAAAUGAAUUUAAAUUUAGAAUUUAAAAUAGAAAAACUUUCAAAUAUCUUUCGGUUUAAAAAAUAUUUUUUAAGUUUAAAAAGGAAAAUCUUUCCUUCCUAACUCUUUUUUUAAUGGUAAAAUAUCAUUUGAGAGUUUUCAAAGAUCAUCCCCUAAGCUUAAAGUCAUUAUUCUUUGUGUUUAAUAAAAAAAUGUUUCAAAGCAUUUUAAAUUUGUUUGUUGAGUUUGAGAUAGAAGAUCACAUCCUCUCAAGGUGUUGAGGAGUCCAAUAAGGAGAAUGAUAUGUUUGCAUCGUGGACAUGAAAUUAGGUACAAUCAUUAGAUAACUUUAUGUACUUAUCCUUCAAAUUUAGUGGAUUUUAAAUUUAUGGUAUUUGACCUUGUAGUUCUUAUAUCAAAGUCUUUGGGAGCCUUUGUGGGUGAUUUUCUAUGUAAUCACUUGUAUUUUUAAGUGAUUUUUUGUUUUUAUUUAUUCUUUAUAUCCUAAUAAAAGAAUAUAUAGAAACUAAAGAUUAGCAUACAUUGAGCUAAAUUCAAGAAGACUAUCUAUUCACUCCCUUUGAGGUGAAUAGAUAAAAAAGAAAGAAGAGAAAUGGGAGAUUUGUCUUUCUUUAAAUCCAAACAAGAUGAUAGGACCCGGUCAAAGAAUCGUGUACUACAACAAUUGAUUACAAGUAUUCUCUUUGGGUGAGAAUAGACCACACAAAGAAAUUGGGUUAAAAAUUUGUCAUAUCCUUUAUUGAUGUUCAUGAGCAAUUUUCAGCAUAUGUCGUUGAAACUAAAGGUCUUUAACACCAUAACAAAAUAACUUCAAAUAAUAAAAAAAAAUAACAAUAGCGAAAGCAAAAAUCAUUGCAAUAGCUUUUGUUCUUCUACCACUACUUAUGACUCGUUCUAGCACAUGGUUGUUAAUCCCUCAUAAUUCCUUGGCCAGAAGAGAAUAGCAGCUUGACUACGAAAUGAUCCCACAACCACUUGAAUGCGUACAUGUCUUCACGCAUGAUAUUUUGGAUUUCUUUUGAUGGCACAUUGCGAAUGUCAUAGCCCAUUCAAAGUCUUAUCAUUACUCCCCCCCCUCAAAGUGGAUGCUUGUCCUCAAGAUCCCAAUUUGGAAACCGCUGCAGAAGCUCUUCGGUACUCUCCCACGUAGCAUCCUCCGUAGCCAGCAUACGCCACUUGACUAAACUUUCUUCACUAAACUUAGCCCCGCGUUUCACCCAACGAGUGUCUAGUAUGGCUUUGGGCUCAAUCACAAGUGUACCCUCAUCUGAAAAUGGCAGAAGUUCUGAACUGAUCACGGAACCAUCUCCAAGCUUCUUCCUUAGCAGCGAUACAUGAAAAAUAGGGUGCAAGUGCACACUGUCGGAUAGCUUCAGUUUUUAUGCGACGACUCCCACUCUCUCCUCGAUUAGAUAUGGUCUAUAGUAUUUGCUUGCAAGGUUCUGAUGAGCACGUUGAAAGCGAAUUGUUGGCGAUAAGGCUGUAGUUUGAGGAAAACAAGAUCGCCUUCUUGAAAUGUAACAUCCCGUCAGCCACGAUAUGUUAUUUGCUUCAUUCGAUUCCUUGUUAUCGCUAAGUUUUCCUUGAGAUGUUUCAACAAUGCAUCUCAAGUUGUAAGUCUAUGAUCAACUUCAUCAACAAGCGAAGACCCCAUCAAAUACAAUGGAAUAACAAGGGAAGGUCGCCCAUAAAGAGCCUGGAAUGGGGUCAUACCUGUAGAAGAGUGAUAAGUAGUAUUAUACCACAACUCAGCCCAAGGAAGAAAUGUACUCCAUUGGCGUGGUUGUUGAUAGAUGAAACAACGCAGAUAUUGUUCCACACAAUGGUUGACAACUUCAAAUUGGCCAUCCAUUUGAGGAUGGUAGGCAGAACUCAUCUUGAGUUGUGUACACAACAUUUUAAAAAAUUCCUGCCAGAACUUACUGAUGAAAAUGGGGUCCCUAUCACUGACAAUAGAUUGCGACAUUCCAUGUAGUUUCACAAUGCCCUCAACAAAUUUUUCUAAUGGAUGAGAUAAGGGCAGAAAAUGUGUGUAUUUGCUAAGACGAUCAACGAUCACCAGAAUGGUGUUUUGACCAUGGGAGAAUGGUGUUUUGAGCAAAAAUAAAUCUCAACCAUAACAUAUCUAGUUUGAUUUGAUGUGAUUUAGUGUAAGAAAUUUGAUGUAUCAGGUUUAUGAUAGCUAAAAAAUGGUAGGCAAUGAAAAUAAAAUAAUUUAUUCUUGUAGAGAGAAAGGACAAGAGACAAUAAAAUAACAAUUAUAACACUAGACUUCUUCCUUACUAUUUGGUUUUCCUAUCUCCUUUUGUUUGUGCUUCCACUUGGGCUUUCCAUUCUAUUUUAUAGAAAUCUGAGGAAAUUAUUCUUAUAAUUAACGUAGAAAAGUGAGGCAUGUUGAUGUCGGAUAAUUGGAAGUAACGUGUCUCCCUGAUGUCGUCACCCAAUCAAUUGAGAGUGAGACUUCCUUCUCCUCUCCUGCAAAAGACACACCCUCCAAAGAUCUAGUUAGAUUGACAAUUAGAGAGAAUACCCCGUCUUGGGAACUCAAGAAGUGGACUGUCUUACCACCUCCCCCCCCCUUUCUUUUUCUUUUUGAUCCAUGGGAAGACUUUUAUAGUGUUUGGAGCCUUGUCACAUCUAUGCUGGGAAGGUCCUUUGACAUUCACAGUCAUGAUGGCUACACAGAGGGUGACAAAUCAAUCAUUAUCCUUUAGGUGUCUGAUAGGAAUCGCUGGUGGGGUGACCUGGUGUCUUUCUUGUCACCUCAUUCUACAGGCGGCGCAGUGCAGAGCAUAGCAGGUUACCUGAAAGGACAUGGGGAUGUCCCAUCGAGCAUGCUUUUGGUGGGUAGAAGAAUGAUUGUCCACGGAAGCCGGUCAAGGAUCCUGUUUGGAACGCGUCAUGCAUUCUUGGAGGACAUGAAGCAGUCGGCCAUUGACUAUUGGGGUCGGAUUGGGUGUUCCUAGCUGAUGGCACAUGUCCGGACAAAGGCGAAGGGAUGUCAUUUGUCCAACAGAAGGGUGUCUUGCGAGGUCAAGGCAAUCUACCACGUGUCCGCCCAGGGGAGGUCCUUACAAUGCCCCCUUUUAACUCGAUUGUUUUUUCUUGACAGAAAAGAAGGGUUAAAAUGAUUUUUCAAAUUCUUUUAUUGACCGUGCGACACAUGGCGCCUAGGAAGGGCAUUUAUGAAGAGACACCAUUCUUGAAAUUGCUACCAGGCGGCGUGUCACCUCGAGUGAAGCGCGGUUGGGCGCCUUGUCGUUUGGGGUUCCUAGGGAUUUCAUUCCCUGCCCCACCUCCCUCCCCCCCCCCCCUCCCCUCCCCUUCCCCCCGACAACACUUUUCUCUUCGAUUUCACUUUUUGCCUCCCCUUUGCUUUGUUCUAAUAAUACCUAGGUAGCGAUCUUGGGCUUCGCACAACGACACUUUCCUUGGCGAUUUCUCGACUGGUUUACUCAAGCGACUGCGGUUCAGUUCUUUUCCUUGCCGUAAGCACUCACCAAGUAUGUUCCCAUUUCUUCUCUGUGUUGUCUAUUUACCGUUUUUCCUUGAUUGGAGUGCAUGUUUGUGAUUGGGGAUUGCGGUGAUGCUUGGGAGUUUCUGUGGGUCAAGAAAUGACUUUGCCAGACUUUGUAGAAGAGGGUACGUGACUGCUUCGGGCCAUCAUACUCUACUUGGCGUGCCUUGAUAACCCUUAUUAGGGUUAAGUUUGGUUAUUUUUGCAUUUUGAGGCUCUGUUGAGUCUAUUGGGUAUUUGUCUUCCUUUUGUGUGUUUGAAGGUUGCAGCAAGUCAGUCCCUGGCUAGGGUUAGGAAUUGAUGAGUGGAAUUGGGUUUCCCGAUUUGGGUAGCCACUAGAUCAGGCAUGCUAGAUAGUAGGGUCAGGUGGCUGCUUUCUAACUAUCAGCACUGUGCCAUGCAGGUUCGGCUCUGCCCAUCGCUCCAAUAUGCCUGCAAAAAAGGACACUACCUCAUCCACUGUGAUUGGGUAAGGUGGGAAGGGCGGUCGGACAGUCAUGAGUUCCGGACGCCCUAAUCCGAGAAAGCCCACUAAGCUUCUCAAUGAGAGGGAAUUCCACAAACUCUUCUUCAUCCCAAAUGGCGUCUCUAUUCAGUUAGUGGAGGGAGAUCUAACGUCCACAGAGAAGAUUGCACGCAACGCCAUUUUCUUUAGUAAGGAGCAGUUCAACGCGGAACUCCGUUUCCUCUUCCGUCCCUUUUCAAGCAGUUCUUGCACUAUACCCAAAUCCCUCCAGCCCAUAUCCAUCCUAAUAUCGUCCGGGUGUUAAUGGAGUGCAACAUCCUGAACAUGUUCUUCCAUCUAGACCUCUUCCUGCUAGAGAUCCUCUUCGUCUACACCAUCAAAAAGAGCAAAAAGGACAUCUUCAGCAUGUUCGCCCAUAUCCCGUCCCUCCAAUUGGUGACGGGCCUUCCUGACUCGAACAAAGGAGAGGCCAAGGGACAUUUGAAUCUGGCAUAUUGCAACAACCUUGUGAGCUUUCCAGAAACUAUUUGUCGUUUGAAAGCCCUCAUAUUUCUCUCUUGCUCUGGUUGUUCACAACUAAAUAGCUUUCCAGAAAUCCUGGAGAAUAUGGAAAAUUCUAAAGAGCUUUCCAUGAAUAUUUCAGGGUUUUUCUGUUUUAACCAUUGUUGAGAGAAACAGAUAAGGAAUUCAAAACAUAGAAAUGGAACUGAGAUAGAUAUUCCUUAUUUUUGGUUGCUGACAAUUUGUGUAUAUUGUAUUUUUGAUACUAUCAUAAAACUUUCAACGUUGUUCACUGGGAGACUUAGAUUUAACCAUGCCACAUAGGGAACAUGGCAUUUGAUUGUAGUUCCUAAAGAAACUAGAAGCUUUAACCAUUAUCUACGAAAUGCAUAUGAAUUUUGGUUUAGUAAAAGCUUAGCGAAAUUUUGUGAAAAAUCAUUUUCUUUUUUCCAUAGUUAUGAUGNNNNNNNNNNNNNNNNNNNNNNNNNNNNNNNNNNNNNNNNNNNNNNNNNNNNNNNNNNNNNNNNNNNNNNNNNNNNNNNNNNNNNNNNNNNNNNNNNNNNUAGCAGAUGCAUGGUUAUAAGUCUAAGGGGGAGAUUGAUAGAGAUAUACUAUUAACCAUGCAUAAGCGUGAAUUUAAUAGUAUGUUAUUAUGAUGUCAUUCUAUAAACAAUUAUUUCUUUGUAUUUAAUUGGAGAUUUGCAUUAGAUAAAUUAAUCCUUCGGCAUAAUUUAAUAAUAAUUGUGUUAGUAUAUUUUAUAUAUAACUAACUGGACCAAGUAGAGAAUGGAUGUUUUGUACUGACUGUUAAAACAUAUUCUCUAGGACAUUAGAAAUAAGAUUUAUGUUUUUAAUCAUGAUUUAAUUAAUAUGAUCAAAUAUAAAAUGUCUUGUGUUUUGAUUCAUUAAAGAGUGAGUUUCAUUUAUUGGAGCGAUAAGACUCGAUGAGUUGGACAAAGACGCUUUAUGUUUGCGAUGUAUUAAAUAAUGAUUGAAUCCACGUCUCGGUAUAGAGAUUGAUGAUGCACUUUAAGUAAGCUUAUAAGGUUUCAUAGUGUAAACCCUGCAGGUGGAUUUUUAUCCGACACAUGAAUUAAGUUAAGCGACAAUCUUGAAGAUCUAUUGUUACUCAAAUAAAUUGUCAGUAAUUUGUUUGAUGUAAAUAGCAUCUGUAAUCUUAACGUGGGAAACAUAAAUUAUUAUGUAAUGGAAUUGUAAGAUUAAUAAGGAGUUCAAUCAUGAAUUUUUGGUGGUAUAAUUUGUGAUUAAUUAUAAUGAGAAUAUACUAGUCCUGUAUGAAUUCUUAUUAUAAUUAGUAGCCUUGUUAAUUUUAUUCCUACGGUCCCUGUUGUGCCUUAAUUGUUUGGACUAUACAUGAAUUAUGUGUUUUAAAUAAAUGAUAGAUUAGUUUUUAAUUAAAUUUUAUUUAAUUAAAAAUAGAUAAUCUAAUUUAUUUAAAAUGAGCAUUUUAAGGGAGAGGUUGCAAAAUAUACGCUCAAGAGUUUCUAAGAAAGCGGUCUUCUUCCCAUCGAAGAGAGGUAUAUUAGAAACAGAAAAGAGAGUGACAGAACCCUAGCUAUUGUUUUUUCUGCCCACUCAGAAAUCAUAGUCCGGAAAUUGAUAAGGUAAACAGUAGAAGAUUGUAGGAGAUUGUGGGCGUUUUCAGCAGAGAAAAAGGUCAGUCUCUUACAUAUGGUUUUGGCUUGCCUCCAUGCUUGUUUCAUCAUGAUUUGUUUCCGCUGCGUAAAUCAUGGUUUCUAUCAAUACCGGUGUUCUACCAUGUCAAGCCUUCAGAUGUAGGACACCAAUCGGGAAGUUUUGAAGACGCAUUUUUCAACCAUGAGAAGGGUGCAGAUCAAGAGAAGAAGGAGCUAAUAGAGAAGGAGGAUUGCCUUGAAGAAAGCAGCUACGCUAACCGGAUACCAUGUGGAUAACCAGUAAUAAUUCUUCUCUUUGCCUUUGCUUUAUUUUUUAUUUAUUUAUUUUUUGUUUCUCUAAUUACAAACCUGGGUAUAUUUCCUAUGUAAAUUCAUUUUUCCUCUAAUUUUGGGUGUUAUGUGCAGUCGAUGUGGGAUUGUAGUUAAUGCUUGAGAAGGACACAUUGAAAUGACCUUCUGUUUUUAAAUAAAUAUUAUAUAUUUAUAUUGUCAAUAUGUCAUAGAAUAUAUUUAUAUAUAACUUACAAAUAAAUAUUAUAAAUUAUAUGUGGAUAAAUUAAUAUAUGUUUUUGUAUAUAUAAAUUAAUUAAAAUAAAAUUAUUGUAAAUAAAUAAAUUUUAAGUUUCUAAUCUUUUGUAUAAUAACUAGACAAAUUUAUAAAUAAAAUUAUCAAUAUUUUAAAAUAAAGAACACACAUAUGUAUCAUCAUUUCUUCUCUAUCAUUGAAUAUAUCAAAAUUAGAUAGGUGCAUAUAAAAUAUGCUUUCAAAUUCUAAAUAUUAUUGCUAAAAAUUACAAAUUAUAUCAUACAUAUAUCAAUUUAUUCAACAAAACAACUUCAAAAUAUCUAUUAUACUUCUCAUAUCAUUUCUAAGAGUUUUUCUUAAUAUUUUCAAAAAUUUUGAUCAAUUUUUGUCAUACUAAUAUUUUAUGUCAAAAUAUCCACCGAUAUUUCCUAAUAUAUCUCAAUAUAUCCGUAAAACCGAGUUAUCAAUAUAUUUGUCGAAACCAAUAUUUUUAUCUAUGGUUGUAACAACCCAUGAAUAGAGGAAAAUUACUAUAUAUUUUACUAUUUGAUCAAUAAAUUAAAAAAUGUCGAAAUGGUUGCAUUUCAUUUUGUCUUCACCACCACUUUUACUAUUUUAUUUUUUUCGUACUUUUUCUACUUCAUUUGGUUGUUAUUAUUAUUAUUAUUAUUAUUCACUUAAAUACAUUCAAAAUCUAAAGCUUUUAGUGCAUAAUAUAGUAGUCUAGUUUAAUGAAUACCUCUAGUAAGAUAUUACUUUAGAGAGAGAAAAUGUAAAAGAUAUCUCUAAACUUUUAACUGCUCUAUUAUUAGUGUCGUUAUGGUACUAAAUUUUUUUAUAAAUCUUCAAUAAAAGGUCGCCAAACCAUGAAAGUGGCGUACUUCUAUCAUAGUUUUUGGUGUAGGCUACUCUUGUGGAGCUUGAACUUCAUCAUUGUCAACAUGAACUCCUUCUGAACUGUUCAUAUAUUCAAGAAAUAACAAAUUGUUGGUCAUAAAACUACACUUCUUCAAAUUAAUAUAUAAUUUAUUUUCCUGCAACACUAUUAGAACUUCCCUCAAAGGUUGAAAGUGUUCUUACUCAUUCUGGUUAUAAAUCAAAAUAUAGUCAAUAUACACAACAACAAAUUUCCCAACAAAAGGUUGGGAAAUUUUAAACGUUGUUUUCCAUUCAUCCCUAAUCUUAUACGAAUUUGGUGAUAACCGCUUCACAAAUCUAUUUCUAAAACAAUUUUGAACCUUCCAACUAAUCCAAUAUGUCAUCUAGGUGCAGAAUUGAAAAUCGACACUUUACAGUGAUCUUAUUUAUAGCACAAUUAUCUAUGCACAUAUGCCAACUACCAUCUUUGUUUGUAGUAAGCAAGUUUGGGAUUGCACAUGGGCUCUUGCUUUCGCAAAUAAAUCAUUUUUGUAACAACUCCUCCACCUUCUUUUGGGCUCAUUCUGUAAUGCGAUAUGUUAGGCAAGUUUCCUCUUAAGGACUAAACCAAUAUGAUGUUGGAUGUCACAUCUUGGAGGCAAACCAUCAAGUAAAUCACUGGCAUUGAACUCUUGAAAUUCUUCCAACAUUGUUUGCAACUAAUUAGGCACUUCCACAAUUGCUUUCUCUUCAAAUUUAUUUUAUAGCACUUAUCUUAUUGGUUCUAGUUCAUUAGUGGAUAAUCUUUUUCUUUAAUUCCUUAUCCAAAUUUUACCUAGUCUGUGAAUGCGAAUACUAAUAUCUUAACAAUAAUUCUAUCAUAUUGUGCCAUAGACAUUUAAUCCACACCUCUAAAGAAAGACAAGAGAGGUUAGUUAGAGAAGAAGUUCUACCACUUUAGACUUUUUGAGAUCAUGGUGUUUGCAAGGAAGUUAAUAAAAUCUAGAAAUAAAGGUACUACUAGGAGUUAAGAGCUUCUAGAAAUCAUUCAUACAAAUAUAUGUAACCCCUUUCCGAUUUUAACCUUUAGUGGGAAGAGAUAUUUUGUAACCUUUAUUGAUGGUAUUUCUCUUUUAGUUAUGUGUAUUUUAUCAGUAAAAAGAUAGAGUAAUUAGAUAUGUUUAAAAUUUUCAAAUGAGUUAGCUCUGAAGACAAUUACAAUGAUACAAUUUGAUUGUGGUGGUCAAUACUACAAAAGAUACAAUCAAACAAAACAUAAUAUUUUAAAAUCAUUUUCCUUAUAUUAUCAAGAGUAUAGUAUGGUUGCUUAAUAGGAUUAUUAUGGUAAGGCCAAUGUCGGGUACUCCUUAGGAAAAUGAUGUAGUUGGAAGAAGAAAUCACACUCUUAUUUAUGGUAAGGCCAAUGUUGUAUAAUGCAACCUUACUAGGAUUAUUAUGGAUUGAAGCAUUAAGAAGUGUUCACAUAUCCUAAACCAAGUGCCUUGUAAGACAAUCUCAAAGACUCCUUUUGAGUUAUGAGCAAGUAGAAAACCAAGUCUAAAUCAUCUAAAUGUUUAGGGAUGUGCAACACCAAAUUAUAUAACCCAAAUGCAUGAAUAUUAGAUUCUAGAAUAGUGAACUGUUAAUUUGUAGGAUAUUUAGAAAGGUUACAGAUUUUAUGCCCAUUAUACAAUACCAAGAUUGUUGAAACUCUAAACGCUAGGUUCAUUAAGGAUCGUUAUGAGAGUGCGAGUAUGGGAUCAAGGCACAUGGCUAUAGAUGAAAAUAAAACUCCUAUUGAAAGUACAUUUCCUCAAGAUAGUGUUAUUAAUCUAUCAAUUACAAUGCAAAAAAAAUUGAUUUAAAUCACCAAGGGCUUGAAGAGCAAAUACUUCCUACAAAUGAAAUCCCAAUCAAACUAACUAUUAACAUGUCAUUACAGAGAUCACAAAAAGAAAGGAAAGUAAGCACCAAAAAAAAAAAGUUCUGCUUUUUGACAUGCCAAUUUGUAGAUAAGGUAAGCUUUUCAAUAUCUUAAUCCUUGCUUGGAAAAUGAUGAGUUGAUUAAAUUGAUUCUCCAUAAUUUUUUUUUUUCACAGAAAAUUGAACUCUGCAUAGUUAAUGAAAUAUUGUACCCGGCCAUCUUGUCUUAGUAACCGAAAUUUAGGAGGAAAAUAUCUUUUUCCUAGUAACUUCCAGGAAUUUUCUCCAUCACGUGAUUUUUGAAUAACAGAAAAGUUUCAAACUUGAUCCAUGUGUUUUAAACAUGUAUUAAAGAUACACAAACUAGAUCAAACACUCAAACUAAAAAUGAAAAUCAAUCAAACCUGCCUUCGACUUCAAGAAUUAUACGCAAGAGGAACAUAUGGUUUGAUUGAGAAAUGUUACUCCUAAAACCUAUGUACGUUUGAUUGGCCUUUUAGGUCAAGGUUAAAUUAUAGCUUAACAGGAACUAGAUUCACAAUACCUUAUGUGAAUUGAUGUCAUCCAUGAGCCUCCCAAUUACAGUUGAUGUCGUGAUAAUCUUGGGGUCACUGAUCACCCAAUCAAAGGCCUCCUUUGUUAAGAUUUCUCCCAUACUCAUAUACUCUUCUAUUGUUGGUUUGUGUCCCUCAUGGAAGCAUUUACCCUCAUAAAAAUAAGCUCUAACUUGGUUUUUCAUCUGUCAAACAUUCAAUCAAGUUACAUAUAUAACCCUAUGUUACUAUACAAAACAAAGUCAAAUGCAAAAUGCCUUACUGCUUCUAUCACAUAUUGAACCUGAUAUUGGUUUCCUUCUUUAUCCAUCUCUUCCUCAAUUUCUUUGUACACAUGUAAGAGUUCCACAUAGCAGAGUUUCACAUAUUUUGGAAGGUGAUCUAUGCUUUUAACAUCCCACAUGAAAAUUAAACCAGGCCUAUUUAAGUAUCACAUACAGUACAAAUGAUGAAGGUUUAUAAUUUAAUUUGCAUGUAUCAAACCUCUCAAUGGCCUUGGUAAAGAGCUUGAGUACUUCAAGUGUGCCAUAUGUGUCAUAUAUAUCAUCUACAAUGGAUGUCAUGGCAAUUAUUUCGGUUAGAAUUUGUCUAGCCCAGACAUAUUGAGGCUCAAAUCACACCCCAAGUACCCAGAAGUAGCCUUCCACCAAUCUAUCUCAGGCAAAAGGUAGCUUUGUGGCGAAGUCUAAUUCUUUCCACCACCUAAAAUUCAUUAGAACAAUUAGUUCAGGUCAAAAUGAGAAGGUGACUAGGUAUAUCUGUUAGUGAUUUGAAAGCAAAACUAGCAAUAUUGCAUAGCUCCUCCUUGUAUAUACCACCUUGAUUGAAAUCUAACUUGGCUAGCUUUAGUAGAGUUCUGUCAUGCAAAGUUUCAUCCUGGUAGAUAGAUAUAUAACCUUGCCUCUAGCCUCUCUAAACCUUUUCUAAUGGGCUGCUUCAAGGCAUGAGCAACUUGUUCUGCAAGAAGAUAUUCUAAAUGUUCUACCAUGGACCUUAGAUGGGUGGUGGUGAAAGCAAGUGCUUCAUCCUGUAUGUUUUUCUCCAUGAACUCUGAUAUGCAUGUGCAGCCUCAUGCAAGCCUAGCAUUUCUAGUACAUCGCUGAUCAAAGCUUUCUUGAAGUUACCCUUUUCAUCCUUGAACUUGUUGAAUGUACCUACAUAAAUAUCAUAAUUUGAACAUAAGAUUGGAAUUAUGAGAAGGAUACACUUUAGCUUAGACAUGAUAGUUCCUUGGUCUCUUACCACAUGAAAUAUUGUACCCAUCUUGUUUUAGUAACCAAAAUUUAAGAGCAACAUUAAAGAGGUCACCUUCAAUAUCAUCAUCAUCAAGAUAGCUAUCUUUAAUAUGUUGUAGCACUUCUUCUAUCUCUCUUUCAAAGUGGUAUGCCACCCCAAGACGUUGCACUGCAUCCAUGAAUUUCAGUUGUUGGGAAGUGUUUACCAGCUGCAUUCAUUAGCUUCCUUCGAAUUUCCUCUUUUAGAUCUUCAACCUGCUUCUCUUUGCAGGCCCGUGUUUCCUGUGGCAACCAAGUAAUUUUACUAGCCAACACAAUAAGUCAAAAAACUUUUGAAUAGGUAUUUAUAAGCCACAUAAGAUUAACACAUAUUUUCAUUCAAUUACCUCGUCUUCUGGAGUGUAGGACAUGAACUGGUCACCCCAAAUGUUAGGGUGAAAAUUGGCCACUGGCUGAUUUUCAGUUUAGAAAAUUUGCCUAGAGGGCAUGCUAAGACUAGACUAGACAUGUUAAUUUCUUGGAAUGCUAUACUUUGAAUGCUGAAUUUGUAAGUACGAGUGCAAUAACUUGGGAGGCUCCAAAUUAUUUACAGGGCAGCAAUGGCCUUCAGCAGCUGUAUGUUGUUGAAAAGAAAGUGAAAUUUGGUUGAAUUUUGGGGCACAAUGUAUGAAAGGUAUUGAUGACGGGAAAAUGAUAGGAUUUUCUAGAGUCUCUUGGAUAAAUUCACACAAAAGUCCAAAUGAGCCAUUAUUCUUAGGAGCUUUUUCUUUCAUUUUCCAUUUUUUAAUUAUUUAAUUUUUUAAAAUUUUGAGUCUCUUAUCAUUUUGUACAUAUUAUUUACUAAAAUUACAAUAGUUUAGUUAAUUAAGGCAUUUGAAUGCACUAAAAUCCCUAUAAAUAAAUAGCAAAGGAAGUAUAUGCAUGGUACUUUCAAAUAACAUUCUCCACACUUUUCCUGAAAGAAGACAACACAACAAACAAAAUAAAAUGGCUUUGAAAGGUCAAAAAAUCUCAAGUGUAAUGAGGUGGCCUAGGCUUCCUUUGCAAUGAAAUUAAUGAUUUCAUUUUCCACGUUGGCUUUAUCCACCUCUAUCCCUUUUCCAAAAAUGACAUGUCCUGACAUUUUUCCCCAAUCACUUGUUAUCUUUUUCUCAUGGUUCUAAUACCACUGUUUAAAAAGAGAUAAUUGAUUGAGAAUUUUUUUAAAAAAUAAAUUGUCUUUCACUACUCUUGUUCACCAAUUACAUUAAUCUUUAAUUUAUAAAACAAAAAUUACUAACAACAAAAAUAUUAAAAUUUUGCAGUACUCUUAAUUAAUUAAAGAUACACAGACUAGAUCAAACACUCAAACUAAAAUAAUCUAAUCGAGUUUCAAAGAUUUAAUCAAAUUUAAUUUUUGAAAGCUUUUCAAAUUAAAAGCUUCCUUUAAAAAAAGGGGAGAAAAUUAUUAGAAAUAAAUGAAAGCAUUCUACCUUUUCUAACAAGUAUAUGGAGUUUGGGACGAUUAGACAAGGUUUCAGUGUCACAUCUAUGAAAGUGUAUAAAACCUAUUCACUCUCAAAGCUUGUAUAUAGAUGAAUGAGAUUGAAAUCCAAAAAAAGAUUCAAAGAGAAAAAGAGAGAAAAGAAAAUUUAAGAUUUCUUAUUAUGAAUUAUCUUGAAAAUAGGUAUAAUACUAUCAAAAUUUAAAUAAGACUAAUUUACCCUUACUUCAAAAAAGAAAUAAAAUAAUGAUAAUAUAGUAACUAAAUAAAUAAGAGAUAUAUUAAUUAAAUACAUAAUUCUAAUAUACUAACUACAUAUAUUAAUAAGCAUUCCCACGUAUAUCUCUCAAUAUUGUUUCCUUGAGAUACUCUAAGAUUCUACCCAUGCCAUUUCUCUUAAAGUCAUAUCCUUAGGUCAUUGUUUAAUAUCUCAUAGUCCAUUAUUGUGUGUUGACUCAUUUCCCUUGAAGUCAUAUCCUUCCGCACAUAUUAUUAACUGAAUGGAGCAGUAAAACAAAUAUAACAUAAGAAAUCAAACUUAAUUAUUUUGAAACCCAGAGAAACUAGGUGCUACAUAUAAUGUGUCCAUCUCACCUUAUUACAAUGAUGUAUUACAUAUUACUCCUUCACCUUAUUAUAAUGAUUUAUUAGAUACGGGACGUUAAUCAACUCAUCCAUUUGGUUAUAUUAUAGGGUUAAUGAAGAAAGCCGCAAUGUUAUUCUUCAUCACUUUCCCAACAUGUGUGUAACUGUCUUGCUCUUUGUAAAUGACAUCCGCGGCUCGUGUAAGAUUGAGAACACGAGCAAGGAGAGGCAUUGGAACAGCAGUAGGUUUGAGGCAUUCCUGGUUAAUAUCCAUCCAUGCAUUCUCAAUUUGCUUUCGAAACUCACUGUAUGCCUGUUCUUCAGAGACACCAUAUUGCUUCAUGUAACAUUCAAUGGCUGAGGCCACAUGCUCUCUCUUUUGCUCAAACUGCAUGUAUAAUACAAAAGUUGAGAAAAAACAAGCGUGUUAUAUUCUUCCCAUUUGAAACACAUAUUCUGCAUACCUUAUGUGAUGAGAUGUCAUCCAUGAGCCUUGCAAUAAAAUUUGAAGAUGACAUAAUCUUAGGAUCGCUGGUCACCCAAUCAAAGGCCUCCUUUGUUGCUAUUUCUCCCAUUCCCACCAAGGACGUGGUUGCAAGCAUGCAGUAUCCAGAGCUUACUAGUGCAACACGCAAGUACUCUUCGAUUGUUGGCACGUGUUCUUCAUGUAACCAUUUGGCCUCAGCAAAGUAAGCUCGAACUUGAUUCUUCAUCUAAAAAACAUUCAUCCAAGUUAUAUCUAUGUAUAUAUGAGACCAUAUAAAAUAUCAUCAAUGCAAAAGGUGGGGAUCCGGAGUUAAAGAUGUCCUACUACUUCUUUGGCAUAGUGAACCCGAUAUUGGUUUCCUUCUUUCUCCAUCUCUUCCUCGAUUUCUUUGUACACAUCUAAGAGUGCCGCAUAGCAGAGUUUCAUGUAUUCUGGAAGCUGAUCUAUGCUGUUAAUAUCCCACCUGAAAAUAAAAUAAUGAGCCUCGAUUUAGGUAUAUAUAAAUACAAAUAUUAUACACAAUCAAGGUUGGUAAUGUGCAAGUAGCAAACCUCUCAAUGGCUUCUGUGAAGAGCUUGAGUUCUUCAGGAUUACCAUAUGCAUCAUAGAUAUCAUCUAGAAUGGAUGUCAUAGCAAUUACUUUGGUUAGAAUUCGUCUAGCCCGUAAGUAUUGAGGCUCAAAAUACACCCCAAGUAUCCAGAAGUAGCCUUCAACCAAUCUGUCUCGUGCAAAAGGUAACUUUGUAGCAAAGUCUAAUUCUUUCCACCACCUAAAAUUCAUUAACAUGAUCAGCAUACAGGAAAGUGAUAAGAAUGGCCAAGUACAUGUGGGGUGAUCUAAAAACCAACCUUGCAAGAUUGCUUAGCUCUUCCCUGUGCAGUGACUGCACUAGAUUGAAAUCUAAUUUUGCCAGCUCUAGUAAAGUUUUAUCAUGGAAAGCUUCAUCUUGGUAGACGGAUAUAUACCAUCUUGCCUCUAUCCUCUCCAAACCUUUUCUAAUGGGCCGGUUCAGGGCAUGAACAACUUGUUCUGCAAGAGGAUAUCCUAAACUUUCUACCAUGGCCUUGAGGUGAGUGGUGGUGAAAGUAAGUGCUUCUGCAAGUAUGUCCUCUCCAUGAACCCUGAGAUGUGCAGCUUCAUACAAGCCUAGCAGGCCUCGUACAUUUGUGAUCAAAACUUCCUUGAAUCUACCUCGUUCAUCCGUAAACUUUUUUAAUAUACCUACACAAACAUCACCAGUACUUGAACAUAAGAUUUAAAUGAUAAGAAGGUUGAAUAUAAUUUUUUCUUAUUCAGUGAUAAUUAAUCCUUAGUCUCUUACCACAUGAAAUACUGUAUCCUUGUUGCCUUAGUAGUCGAAAUCCAAGAGCAACAUUAUAGAGAUCACCAUCAAUAUCAUUGAGGUCAUGAAAACUCUCAUAAAUAUGUUGUAACGCUUCUUCUAUCUCUUGUUCAAAGUGGUAUGCCACCCCAAGCCGUUGCACUGCAUCAAUGAAGUUCAGCAAUAGGGAAUGGUUAGCAGUAGCAGCCGUUAAUUUCCUUUUCACUUCCUUUUUCAGAUCCUCAAUCUGCUCCACUUUGCAGGCACGUGUAACCUAGACCAACAAAUUUUAUCAUCCAACAUCAAGAAAAAUAACUUCUAAAUAAGUAUAUAAACAUAAUUUCAUUGAAUUACCUUGUCUUCAGGGGUGUAGGUGAUAAAUUGGUCACCCCAAAUGUUGGGGUGAAAAUUUGUCACGGGACGAUUUUUGGGUUUAGGAAUCUGGGCUAGAGAACAUGCUGAGACUUGAGUAGACAUGUUAAUUCCUUGGGACAGUGACAGAACAGCACUAUACCUUGAAUGAUGAAUUGGUAAGUAUGAGAGAAAUAGCUUGGCAAGCUCCAUAUUAUUUAUAGGGCAGCACUGGCAUUCAGUGCACGGUUGUAUGCAGUUGAAAAGUAUGUGGAAUUUGGUUUGGUUUUGGGGCCCAUGAUUUGGAAGGGCUGUGCACAGAAGAGACUGAUGGUAAGAAAAGUAUUGGUCUUCUAGAGCUUGUGUGAAGAGGCGGCCUAGACUUCCUCUACACAUGAAGUUCACAUGUUUAAAUUUAAAAAGCAUGCUUAUAUUUAGUACGUAUUAUUGUGUACAAAUUAAGGCCAUUGAGGUCACUUCACCGUACGAAAACCAUUGAAUGCAUGUAAGAGUGUGAAAAUAUAUAUAUCUAAAAAAAAGAUAAUUAAUUUUUACUCAAACAGUUCUUAUGUUAUUAUUAUAUCAAAGUUUGAAUGAGUUAAAAUUCGACUUGUAUUAGAAAAUACCAAUAAAAAACUUUAGAGUUUGAGUUUAAUUUAACCUCAGUCCAAUUUCUCAUAUCAAAUCAAAUUAGACAUGCUACUAUCGAGGACUAAUUCUACCCUAUUCAUAGCAUCCUCCCAUUUUUUUAAAUAUUAAAAUAGUUAAAUUAUAAAAUAAGUACACCUCAUUAUAUAAUAAGUUUGACUGAAUAGAUGUUUACUAAAUGAAAAUAAUGAUUUAAUAUAACUUAAUUAUUGAUUUUAAAUAAUACAAUUAAUUUAAAGUAGAAAAUCAAAAUAAAUAAUUUUUCUAAUUCUGAAAUAUUAUUUGGUUUAGUACUUAUAGGAUUUUAUUUUUUGAUAUUAAUUAAAGUAAAACAACAUUAUAACUUAGAGUAAAUUUAAAUAAUAAAUUUUAAGUUAAUGAUUUACAUAUAAUUUAAUUUAAAUUAAAAUAAUAAUUAUGUACAAAAAUAUUUUAUUUGAUUUAUAUUACAUUCAUUUGAGUGAUAGGAAGACUAAUUAUAAUGUUUAGGAACUAGUUGAAAACAUUUUGGAUUCAUUGAUUAUUUAAAACUCUUAUAGUUUUAUUGGAAUUUAUUAAAUAAUGUCACAUGACUACGUUAAAAUUUCAUACAGAAAUUAAUAGAAAAAGGAGAUGUAAACUGCAAUAUUAAGGGAGUUCAAUUAUUGAUGGGUGAAGAAUCAAUUAUUAUGAUAAGGUGGAGGAACGAUUUUCAUGUGAUGAAUUGCUUAGCUGGUUACAUACGUUUCCUCUAGGGUCUGGAUAGUUUAAUUUGACUCACAUAAAGUAACUUUUUAUUUUUUUAUUAUUGUCAUUAUAAAUAUUCAAAAUGAAGAACAUGUUUGUAAGGACAUUUGUCAAAUCAAGUAUCAUUUCAUUGAUGUAGGACCUACACAUCAGAAUUAUUUAUCAAAUCAAGUAACUUUUUAUUUUUUUACUAUUGUCAUUACAUACGUCUCCUCUAGGAUCAAUUAUUGACAUUCAAGCAGAAUUAUUUAUUAAAUAUUAUGUGGUUUAUGUAAAUGAAAUAUUGGGAUUGAAAAUUUGUCAAAAAUUUAAGAAUUAUCCUCAAAAGGCAUGAUAAGGAUAGAAGCAUGUAAUAUUCACUUUUCAUAUUCUUAAAAAAUCUUGUAAAUAUCUCUUGUUGAUUAGUUUUAUGAUUUUAGGUAAUUAGUUUCUUGAUUUUACCUCCUUAACUUUUGGAGAUUUAUUCUUUCAUAAUUUGUAGAUUGUAUAAAUAUGUGUAUAAAGUUAUCAAUGAGAAUUAAGCCAUUCAUUCUCUAAACUUUACGCAGCCAUUCUCUCCCUCAAUACUAAUUGGACUGCAACCUUCAUAAACAAACUAAUUUUGUUCCCAAAAAAAUGGUGAGGAAUUACUUUGACACUUAUCACUUACACACACGUUGUGAACCUUUUUAACCACUAUUAAAUUUCAAAUGCUCAACAAGUCCUAUAUAUGCAUAUCCAAGGUACAACCAUUUUGAGUACAGUUAAUUUCAUUCACUCUCCUUGAUAUUUGGUGUAAAUAUACUAAAUUACCAUUAAUUUCAAAUUUUGUCAAUUAACACCCCUAUAACUAAGUGUAUUUCAUCUAUAAAAUUUAUUUUUAUAGAGAAUAAAGUUUCUUUUUUAAAGAAUUAUAUAAUACAUCUAUGUGAAUUUUCUACCUAAAACCUCUCUAAAAAAAUAAAUUUUAUAAAUGGAAUAUAUUUAUAGAGGUGUUGUUUGAUGAAAUUUCACUAAACUUAUGGGAAUAUAAAUGAAAUUUAUUUUUUUAUUAUAAAAUUUUUUAGACUAAAUUAAAGGAAUUUAUUUUAAUAGAAAAAACAUAAAAAUUGGUACAUAGCUAAUAUUUUUAUGCUAACAAGAAGGGAAGAGAGAAUAUAUAUAUAGAGAGGGACAAUUGUGUUUUGGACCUAGUUAGGUCCAAAAAUUAAGUUUUGAUCCCUAUAAGUUCACUAUUUAAGCCCAAGACUUAGAAAAAGAGUGAAAAUUGAAAAGAAUUAUGUGAAUUUUUUAUCUUUCCAAAAAUGACCUUUAUUGACUACGAAAAUAAAUUAGAAAAACAUUAAUUUAAUUUUAUAUGUAAACCUCAAUAAAUUUUAAUUUAAUUUAGAGAUUUGGAAAAAAAUACACCAUUUUCCAAAAAAAAUAAAAAUAAAUUAUUAUUAUUAUUAUUAUUAUUAAUUAAAAAUCAAACAUCUUGGAAAAUAUAUAUUUUUAAAUUAUGUAUGUAAAAAAUAACUAUAAAUAUGUCAAAAUUAUUUUUUUAAAUGAUAUAUUUUUAGAAUAUAUUUUUUAAAAAAAAUUAGUUUUCUAAAAAUAAUAAAUUUUCAGAAUAAUUAUUAAAAAAAAUUAAAAUAAAAAAGUUUAUCAAACAUUGUGAUAAAAAAUACUCAAAAUAAUUUUGAAGGGUAUAUUGGUUUCUUUAUAUUUUAUAUCAUUUUCAUCAAUUAUGAAACUUUCAUGGGCCAAAUCUUAAUUUUUGGGCCCAACUGGGUCCAAAACACAAUUAUCCCAAAAAUAUCUUAAAAUCAAACUCAAACAUAAUCUAUAUAUACAAUUUUUAACUACUGUUUUCAUUUAAAAUUGGUAAAUAUACCUGUUAGCCCAAGGGUUCUCCUAAUCGGGUUUUGAUGAUAACAAACCAUGGUUAAGUAACUAAUUAGUUUAAUGUUUAAGAAUCUCAGGUAUAAACUCGAAAAUUCAUCAAAUGACCAAAUGGAUACAAGAUCAAGACGCUUGGAAGACUUGAGAUCAUAGGAAAUGAAUGUAAGAUGAUAGCAUGAGUACACUUAGGAUGUUCAUACCUUUUCAUGCAUCUUAGAAAACUCGGUUUAUUCUUUAAAACUUUAUUUUCUUUAAGACCCGAGUUUUAUCAAACAUACCUUAGGCAAAUUGAUUCAAAAGUGGCAUAUUAACUCACCUAAAGACCUUGUCUAAGUAUUGGAAAAGAAAGAAAUCAAAAAGGAUAGGUUUUCGGGGCCAAAAGGCUCAACCGGUCGAGGCUAAAGCCAACCGAUCAACCGGUUGUGGAACCGGUCGACCGGCUGAGGUCGUCCGGUCGAGGACCGAUCGAGGAAGGUUAAAAACCUUCUCUCUCUCCCAGUAGCCUUCUCUUUCUGGUUGAGGUAAUUCCUUUACAGGUCGAGGUCCGGUCGAGGUCCGGUUGAGGCAACGGUAACCUGUCAUGCAUUAAAUGCUCCAACGGCUAGUGAACCAGUCGACCCCUAGCUCGACCGGACGAGGUUGCUUUUGGCUGUUUUUGACUCCCGAGCUUAGAAACCUAUAAAUUGAGAGUUCCACUUCAUUUAUGACUAAGAGAACCUAUAAGAUUAUUUCUCGAUUUCCUCUUAGCACUAGAAUAUCACGAAAAAAUUGUUCUUGUAAACGUUGUAGACCAAAAUAUUCUUUGGAAACCUUUCUAAUAUUUGCAAGGAAACUACAUCCCUCAAAUUGAGAAGAGAUUUCAUUACAAAUGGCUUGGGCAAUCGCUGUUUUGCCAAGUCCAUCCUCUCCAUAAAUCCCAAUCAUGUGAACAUCUUCUGAUUGAAUGUUCAUAAACUUAACUAAGUCCUUCAAUAUGAAUUCAUUUGUACUCGGGCUAUCCAUAAUAAAGGGCUUAGACGCCAUUUCAUCCCAAAUUUCUUUAAUGACUUCCUUUAUAACCACGGACUCAUGCCUGAAUUAAAAUGCACAAUAAAACUUAUGAUGGAUCUGAAUUUAUGUACUAUGAAUGAUAAGAAAAAGCAUGAAAAUUCAUUCGUAACAUGUUUUAUUCACAGCAACUGCCUUGUGCAGAAAUAGAAUCAUACAUUAAUAAAGGGACAAAGCCAACUAAAGAAAUUUUUUUGGUACAUUAAAUAUUAUUAUAUGAUUAUAUCAAGUAUGUGCCAAUGAAAAAUUAAAAUAACAUGUAAAAAUAUGUAAGAUCAUAUGUUAGCUUUUGGUGCAUGAAAUUUUAGAAUCUUGUUAUGAAACUGAUUAGGGGUGAAUAGGCAGUCCUUUUUAAUAUUGCACAGGUGAAGGCACUCAAGUGCACUUAGAGUCUUAUAGGCUCAAGAGCCACUUGAGGACAACUACCAUCAUCCUCAACCAAAGAAGUGAAUUGUCGGGGACUAUUGGUUGCUUGACCUCCAACACCAAGGGGUAAUGGCGUUGGAUGAAGCUGAAGCCCCAAUCAUAACAUUGUAACAAAAGGUCAUCUUUUUGAAAUCAAAUUGAUUGAUUUGGUUGUGACGGUUUUGGCAUGCUUCAAUGGAACGACCAAGGGAUCCAAUAGAACAAACCUCCACAGGAGUGUUUAGGUCCCAUGAAAAUGAAUUUCGCCUAUGGAUAACACCUAAAGGGGGGCUGAAUAUGUGUUUUUAAAAUAAUUUGAGAUGGUAUCUUACAAAUGCUUACAAUUCCCCUAUUUUUCUCAAAUUUUUUAAGUUUCUUUUUCAAUCCUAUCAACCAUCAAGCAAAUCACAAGCAACAAUAGAUACAUCAAUACUCUCCCAAUAAGUUAGUCAAUGCAAGUCACAUACAUAUGAAUCAACAUUCCUCAAUCAUGUUAUGUAAGAUAUUGCAUCAACACAAAAAUACAAUUUCACAUGUCCUUGACAUCAACACCAAAAACUAAAAUAUACCAUAUUCUUUCAAAAUUUCAAUGAUCUAAUUUCAGCUUAUAUUGCAAUUAAUCAUCCAAAGUAUCAUAAUGGAAAUAUCAUAAGCUAAUGAAAAAUGAAUCAAAGUAUGAUAUAGAAUAGAGAGAUAAUGGCACCGAUAUUUUAACGUGGAAAAUCUUUGAAGAGAUAAAAAAUCCACUAGCCUUUAGUGAUCAAAUCAUCCACUAUGAAGAAAAUCAAUUAAGUACAAGGAUUUACCUAGUCUAAGCUUUCAUUCCUCCCAAACCACUUGUCUAGAACCUUCAAACUUUAGCUAUUAAUUUUCUUAUUUUGGAGCAUACUUGGAAUCCAUACCAAACUUAAUCUUAGCCUCUUCUUGAAUCUAUAUAAGAAGAAAUUUUGGUUUUAUCCCAAAAUUAUGAGUAUGAGAGUAAGGAUGAAUAACACAAUGAAUCAACCCAUUUGGAAAGAAAAUUUCUCAUUUGAAAAUUGAUUUUCAACUCAAACCCAAGUGAUUUUCUCUCAAGGCAAACACUCUCCCAAUUUAGUUAGAAAAACUUGAAGCUCAACUCUCACUCUCAUAGUUGUCUCUCCUCUCCUAGAAAGGUGGCUUAAAUAUUAAGGUUUUAGAACUCAUCCAACUAUUGAGAGUCAUUUGGAAAAAGUUGAAGGAAUAUAGAUGUGAUUGAAUUUUGAUCGAUCAGACAAUAAUUAAAAAGAACUAGGUACAAUAGAAACUAUUAGCCUUAAGUUCCAUCAAUCAAUUAGAAAUCGGUCCAACUUAUUUAAACGCUAUGUUUUACACUCCUUAAGUAAUCACUCUCUUUUUCAAUAAAAUGAUAAGAGUUUAAAACAUGGUUGAUCAAUGUUUAUCAUCAUCCAACACCUCAAAAGUACUUACCAUCUCCUCAAGUCAUCUUCAAACAUGAACACUUUGAAAAAGGCAAGAGUCUAAGGGAGGAUUUUAAGGUAUGAACUAAGAGAAGCACAAUUGGAAUUUUGACCCAAAAUUGUCAAUACACAAAUAUACUUACAACCCAAUUUUUAUUUUGUUAUUCCUCUUAAAGAAAUUUAUCAAUUAAAAGAGAAAUUCAAUUGCAUAUAAAGACACACUAUACAUGGAAAACCACCUACAAAGUCUUCUAGAGACUCUGUGAAUGUGACAAUCAUAGAGUCAAGAGAUAGUAGAGCUCAUCUCAAAGAAAAGUACAUAUAAUUACUUGGUUGAAGCUAUCCCUAAGACUUAUACCCCAAAACCUAUAUUGGAUCUCACAUCUUUGAUGUAACACGACACAUGCUCCUUAUUGCACUUCUGGACACCUUGAGGGAAUGCAAAACCCUCAUAAUCCCAAAUGCAAUUCAUAAACAGUUUUUCCAAGUUUCAAGAUAUAGAAAGGCUAAUAAUCUUUUCAGUAUUUACAUCAAGAUAAGUUUGAUUGAAUAAAGAAGAAGAUUGAAGUUUUCAUUGACGCUUAUUAGGCCAUGUUAGUAGAAGAUAGGAGGGGGUCUACCUCGAGUUAUAGCACAUUUAUUUAGGAAAAUUUGUUGACGUGUGCAUAAAGUAAAAAAAUAUCGUGUAAUUGCUACACUAAGUUGAGUUUAGGUCUAUUGUUCAAGGGAUUUGUGUCAUGAUUUGGUUAGAGCUAUUGCUAUUGUGACAAAAAAAGCUACCAUAAGUAGAACUCACAACUUAGUUCAUCAUGACAUAACAAAGCACAUUGAAAUUGAUCAUCAUUUCACCAAAGAAAAAAUGGAAGAAGGGUUAAUAUGCAUUACCUACAUUCCUACAAAGAAACAAACUGUAGACAUCUUAACAAAAGGUUUUCCAAGACAAACUUUGAGGAUCUAACAUACAAGCUAGGAUUACUGGACAUUUUUCUCCAAUUUGAGGGGGAGUGUAGAGAAUAUUAUUUAGAAUUAAGUGUUUUAUCUUUUAGUUUUAUUAAUAUUCUAUUUUUAAAAUUCAAAAUAGUAGGCGAUUAGGAAGUUUUAUCUCUUUGAAUUUUCAGUUUCUAUUUUCUAGAGAUUUAAUUUAGCCUAGAUUCUAUCUGGUUAUUUCCUAUAUUCUAGGGAUUUAUUUUAGCCUAGAUUCUAUCUGGUUAUUUCCUAAAUUUUUAACCAUUAAAAUUCUUCUCUAUUUUGAGAAAAAAUAUAUACCAUAAUUCCAAAAUUUCACUCAAAUCACUUCAAUUCACCUCCUAGCCUCCCAUAGGCAUCCUCAGCUCUUCCCUUUCCCUAUAGUUCAAUCUUCAACACACCAAAAUUUUUAUUUCUUGUAAUUAACAACCCUAUCUUAGAGCAUGGUGAACACCCAUGAUAAAUGCAACAAUACACAGACGCAUAUUAGGUACGAAUCAUUAUAAAAAUACUGGUUGUUUAAUAUUCACUUUCCAUAUUCUUAGAAAAAAUUGUAAAUAUCUCUCGUUAAUUAGUCUCCUGAUUUUAGGUGCUUGAUUUUAGGAAAUUUAUUCUUUUAUAAUUUGUACAUUGAAUAAAUAUGUGUAUAAGUUCAUCAAUGAGAAUUAAUUCAUUCAUUCUCCAAACCUUACAUGUUCAUUAUAUCCCUCAAUAGUACUUUGGCUACAACCUUCAUAUGGUAUUAAAGCCCAAGGUGCUCCAAUGUCAAUCCUAACACUCCAAAAAAACCCUAAAUCUUUUGCCUCCUUGUUCUCUCAUCUUGCUAUCAUAAAUCCUUUUGAAAACAAUCAAACUAUAAUCUCCAUCAAUGUAGUCGCCUAAACCCCUCUCAAACUCACCAUAAAUAAUUACACCUCUUGAAGAUUUCAAUUUCAUACAUUUCUUGUAGGUUACGAUUUCAUGAGAUUCUUAGACAAAUCUCAACCUUGCUCACCUCCAAUUUUGAAAGAAGAAAAUCAUGAAAUUGUGAACUUGGAAUACUCCUUAUGGGUUUACCAAGACCAAUUCAUUCUCAAUGUUGUUGUUGGUUAUCCUUCUCCUACCAUUAUUUCAUUCAUUACUAUUAACAAAACAUCUCGAGAAGCAUGGACCACCUUGGCCAUGACAUGCCAUCAAGAGGAAGGAUCAUGCAAAUCCAAGGUUAACUAAUCGACUUCAUUAAAGGUUCUUCAUUCUACUCUUAGCCAUACCAUGCCACCUACAAUUUCUCUACAAGAGUGUUUAGGUCCCAUGAAAAUGAAUUUCACCUAGGGAUAACACGUAAUUAAAGGGGGGCUGAAUAGGUGUUUUUAAAACAAUUUGAGAUGGUAUCUUAAAAAUGCUUACAAUUCCCCUAUUUUUCUCAAAUGUUUUAAGUUUCUUUUUCAAUCCUAUCAACCAUAAAGCAAAUCACAAGCAACAAUGGAUACAUCAAUACUCUCCCGAUAAGUUAGUCAAUGCAAGUCACAUACAUAUGAAUCAACAUUCCCCAUUCAUGUUAUGUAAGAUAUUGCAUCAACACAAAAAUACAUUUUCGCAUGUUCUUGACAUCAACACCAAAAACUAAAAUAUACCAUAUUCUUUUAAAAUUUCAAAGAUCUAAUUUCAGCUUAUAUUGCAAUUAAUCAUCCAAAACAUCAUAAUGGAAAUAUCAUAAGCUAAUGAAAAAUGAAUCAAAGUAUGAUAUAGAAUAGAGAGACAAUGGCACCAAUAUUUUAACAUGGAAAUUCUCUGAAAAGAUAAAAAAAACCACUAGCCUUAUGUGAUCAAAUCAUCCACUAUGAAGAAAAUCAAUUAAGUACACUAGUCUAAGCUUUCAUUCCUCCCAAACCUCUUGUCUAGAACCUUCAAACUUUAGUUAUUAAUUUUCUUAUUUUGGAGCAUCUUGGAAUCCAUACCAAGCUUAAUCUCAGCCUCCUCUUGAAUCUAUACAAGAAGAAAUUUUGGUUUUAUCCCAAAAUGAUGAGCAUGAGAGUAAGGAUGAAUAACACAAUGAAUCAACCCAUUUGGAAUGAAAAUUUCUCAUUCGAAAAUUGAUUUUCAACUCAAACCCAAGUGAUUUUCUAUCAAGGCAAACACUCUCCAAUUUAGUUAGAAAAACUUUAAGCUCAACUCUAACUCUCAUAGUUGUCUCUCCUUUCCUAGAAAGGUGGCUUAAAUAUUAGGGUUUUAGAACUCAUCAACUGUUGAAAGUCAUUUGGAAAAAGUUGAAGGAAUGCAGAUGUGAUUGAAGUUUGAUCGAUCAGACAAUAAUUAAAAAAGAACUAGGUACAACAGAAACUAUUACCCUUAAGUUCCAUCAAUCAAUUAGAAAUCAGUCCAAAUUAUUUAAACGCUAUGUUCUACACUCCUUAAGUAACCACUAUCUUUUUCAAUAAAAUGAUAAGAGUUUAAAACAUGAUUGAUCAAUGUUUAUCAUCAUCCAGCACCUCAAAAGUACUUACCAUCUCCUCAAGUCGUCUUCAACCAUGAACACUUUGAAAAUGGCAAGAGUCUAAGGGAGGAUUUAAGGUAUGAACUAAGAGAAGCACAAUUGGAAUUUUGACCCAAAAUUGUCAAUACACAAAUAUAAUUACAACCCAAUUUUUAUUUUGUUAUUCCUCUUAAAGAAAUUUAUCAAUUAAAAGAGAGAUUCAAUUACAUAAAAAGACACUAUACAUGGAAAACCACCUACAAAGUCUUCUAGAGACUUUGUGGAUGUAAUAAUCAUAGAGUCAAGAGAUAGUAGAGCUCAUCUCAAAGAAAAGUACACAUAAUUACCUGGUUGAAGAUAUCCCUAUGACUUAUACCCCAAAACCUAUAUCGAAUCUCACAUUCGUGAUGUAGCACGACACAUGCUCCCUACUGCACUUCUGGACACCUUCAGGGAAUGCAAAACUCUCAUAAUCCCAAGUGCAAUUCAUGAAUAGUUUUUCCAAGUUUCAAGAUAUAGAAAGGCUAAUAAUCUUUUCAGUAUUUACAUCAAGAUAAGUUUGAUUGAAUAAAGAAGAAGAUUGAAGCUUUCAAUGAUGCUAAUUAGGCCAUCUUAGUAGAAGAUAGGAGGAGGUCUACCUCAAGUUAUAGCACAUUUAUUUAGGAAAAUUUGUUGACGUGUGCAUGAAGUAAAAAAAAAAUAUAGUGUAGUUGUUACACUAAGGUUGAGUUUAGGUCUAUUGUUCAGGGGAUUUGUGUCAUGAUUUGGUUAGAGUUAUUGCUAUUGUGACAAAAAAAAAAAAAAAAAAACUACCAUAAGUAGAACUCACAACUUAGUUCAUCAUGACAUAACAAAGCACAUUGAAGUUGAUCAUCAUUUCACCAAAGAGAAGAUGGAAGAAGGGUUAAUAUGCAUUACCUACAUUCCUACAAAGAAACAAACUGUAGACAUCUUAACAAAAGGUUUGCCAAGACAAACUUUGAGGAUCUAACACACAAGCUAGGAUUACUGGACAUUUUUCCCCAAUUUGAAGGGGAGUGUAGAGAAUAUUAUUUAGGAUUAAGUGUUUUAUGUUUUAGUUUUAUUAAUAUUCUAUUUUUAAAAUUCAAAAUAGUAGGUGAUUAGGAAGCUUUAUCUCUUUGAAUUUUUGGUUUCUAUUUUCUAGAGAUUUAAUUUAGUCUAGAUUCUACCUAGUUAUUUCCUAUAUUCUAGGGAUUUAGUUUAGCCUAGAUUCUAUAUUGUUGUUAAUUUUUUCUCUAUAAAGAUACUAGUUGUUCAUUCCAAUAAAUCAAGAGAGAUAUUCCAUUUAUUUUCUAAACCUCUGUUUACAACUUCUAUUUUAGGUUAUAAAAUGCUUAAGAAGUCACCUAGAGAGAGAUUUUAAUGACUUGACUUGUAGCAAACAUCUCAUGAUUUUGCAAAGUUUGUCUUGGAGUUAGGGCUCAAGUGCAAUGUCCAUGACAUUCAAGACCACAUAUUUCCCUAGGUUACUCUCAUUUUAAAAAUUUAGUUGUAUAUGUUGAGUUGAUGCAAAGGUCUCUAGGAGGUAUCUCUUAUCCCUAGUGUUUUUCCAUAACCUUUUAUCUAAAUUUUUAACCAUUAAAAUUCUUCUCUAUUUUGAGAAAAAAUAUAUACCAUAAUUCCAAAAUUUCACUCAAAUCACUUGAAUUCACCUCUUAGCCUCCCAUAUGCAUCCUCGGGUCUUCCCUUUCCCUAUAGUUCAACCUUCAACACACUAAAAUUUUUAUUUCUUGUAAUUAACAACCCUAUCUUAGAGCAUGGUGAACACCCAUGAUAAAUGCAACAAUACACAGACGCAUAUAAGGUAGGAAUCAUGGUAAAAAUACUAGUUGUUUAAUAUUCACUUUCCAUAUUCUUAGAAAAUUUUGUAAAUAUCUCUUGUUAAUUAGUUUGUUGAUUUUAGGUGCUUGAUUUUAGGAAAAUUAUUCUUUUAUAAUUUGUACAUUGAAUAAAUAUGUGUAUAAGUUCAUCAAUGAGAAUUAAUUCAUUCAUUCUCCAAACCUUACAUGUUCAUUAUAUCACUCAAUAGUACUUUGGCUACAACCUUCAUAUGGUAUCAAAGCCCAAGGUGCUCCAAUGUCAAUCCUAACACUCCAAAAAAACCCCAAAUCUUUCGCCUCCUCAUUCUCUCAUCUUGCUAUCAUAAAUCCUUUUGAAAACAAUCAAACCAUAAUCUCCAUCAAUGUAGUCGCCUGAACCCCUCUCAAACUCGCCAUAAAUAAUUACACCUCUUGAAGAUUUCAAUUUCAUACAUUUCUUGUAGGUUACGAUUUCAUGAGAUUCUUAGACAAAUCUCAACCUUGCUCACCUCCAAUUUUGAAAGAAGAAAAUCAUGAAAUUGUGAACUUGGAAUACUUCUUAUGGGCAAAACCAAAAUUCCAUGAUUAGCAAAGACAAAAACAAUACCCACAAAACCAAACAUAAAUUUUCUUUUACCUCAUUUACCUUACAACCAAAACUACUAAACUAACCAUCAUUACCUAGGCCCCCUUAAGAUUCCUAUUUGGCAUCAAGCUAUGUCAAAUGAGUUCAAUGCUUUCAUGAACAAUGGUACAUGGGACUUGGUACCUUCUCAUCCUUCAUAAAAUUUGGUAAGUUGCAAGUAGGUGUUUCAUUAUUUCAUAUCAAAUGACUCUUGAUGUGGCCAUCAACUCGUAUAAAGUGAGGCUUGUGGCCAAAGGCUUUCACCAACAUCUUGGCAUUGAUUAUAAUAAUACUUUUAACCCUAUUAUAAAAUGAACCAUAAUCAUACUUACAUUGGUUAUAGCUCUAUCAUGUGGCUAGCCUCUUUGUCAACUUGAUGUCAAAUGCCUUCCUUCAUGGCCACUUGAAGGUGGAUAUGUUCAUGACCCAACCACGAGGCUUCAUUGAUCGCAAUUAUACCAAUCAUGUGUGUAAGUUGAAAAAGGCUCUUUAUGGACUUAAACAAACUCCAUGAGCCUAGUAUAAGGAGUUGAGGGAGUUUCUUCUUUCCAAAGGUAUUGUCAACUCUUGGUUCAAUAUAUUUCUUUUCAUCUACAAGAGUUAUGGUUUCACCAUUUACUUUCAUGUCUAUCUAAAUGAUUUUGUUUUGACAGGUAAUGAUUCUCAAGCUCUUAGCAAGUUAGCCCAACAACUUCCUAGUCAAUUUUCCAUCAUAGAUCUCAAGGCUAUUUCAUAUUUCCUUAGCAUUGAAGUUUUACCUCAUCAUCAUGGAUUACUUCUUUCCUAGAAAAAGUAUAUUCAUGAUCUUCUAGACAAGACAAAGUUGUUCAAGCCAAGGAAGUCCAUAGACCUCUCUUAAUGAAUCAAGUUCUCACUUAAUGAUGGCUCACUUUCAUGAAUGCUAUCAAGUAUAUGCAAGUUAGGGGCUUAGAAUAACUUUCUCACUUUGGUCUAGAUAUUGUCUUUUCUGUUAACAAGUUAUCCCAAUUUAUGCAUAAACUAACGAUGGGACAUUAGACUAUAGUCAAGCGACUACUUCAUUAUUUGCGUUGUAUCGUUGAUCAUGGGUUUCUACUCCAAUAAAGUUCCCCUUUGUCUUUUCAUACCUUCUUUAAUGCGGAUUGGGCAAGUAAUUCUAAGGAUUAUACUUUUAUAGUAUGCUUGUAGUAUUUCUUUUUCUCAAUCCCAUGUCAUGGAGUUUCAAGAAGCAGAGAUUUGUAACUCGGUCAUCCACAAUGAGUAUUGAUCCAUGGCUUCCACUGCUUCCAAGUUAUUGUGAAUCAAGUCUUUUCUUCAUGAACUUAGGGUUUCCUUACAAUCUCUAUCGAUCAUUUAUUGUGGUUACAUUUGAGCUACUUAUCAUUAUGUCAAUCUAGUAUUUCCCUCUUAUAUGAAGUACAUUUCCAUUGAUUUUCAUUUUUGUUCAUGACAAGGUUCAAAGUGAUAAACUUUGAGUCUCACAUGUCUAUUUUUUAUAUCAAUUUGUGGAUGCUCUCACCAAACCUCUAUCUCAUCAAUGUCUUUAACUUCUUCGAGUCGAGAUUGUUAUCUCCAAUGGAGCACCAUCUUGGGGAAGGGGGGCAUGAUAAGGAUAGAAGCAUGUAAUAUUCACUUUUCAUAUUCUUAAAAAAUCUUGUAAAUAUUUCUUGUUGAUUAGUUUUAUGAUUUUAGGUAAUUAAUUUCUUGAUUUUACCUCCUUAACUUUUGGAGAUUUAUUCUUUUAUAAUUUGUAGAUUGUAUAAAUAUGUGUAUAAAGUUAUCAAUGAGAAUUAAGUCAUUCAUUCUCUAAACUUUACGCAGCCAUUCUCUCCCUCAAUACUAAUUGGACUGCAACCUUCAUAAACAAACUAAUUUUGUUCCCAAAAAAAUGGUGAGGAAUUACUUUGACACUUAUCACUUACACACACGUUGUGAACCUUUUUAACCACUAUUAAAUUUCAAAUGCUCAACAAGUCCUAUAUAUGCAUAUCCAAGGUACAACCAUUUUGAGUAUGGUUAAUUUCAUUCACUCUCCUUGAUAUUUGGUGUAAAUAUACUAAAUUACCAUUAAUUUCAAAUUUUGUCAAUUAACACCCCUAUAACUAAGUGUAUUUCAUCUAUAAAAUUUAUUUUUAUAGAGAAUAAGGUUUCUUUUUUAAAGAAUUAUAUAAUACAUCUAUGUGAAUUUUCUACCUAAAACCUCUCUAAAAAAAUAAUUUUAUAAAUGGAAUAUAUUUAUAGAGGUGUUGUUUGAGGAAAUUUCACUAAACUUAUGGGAAUAUAAAUGAAAUUUAUUUUUUUAUUAUAAAAUCUUUUAGACUAAGUUAAAGGAAUUUAUUUUAAUAGAAAAAACAUAAAAAUUGGUACAUAACUAAUAUUUUUAUGCUAACAAGAAGGGAAGAGAGAAUAUAUAUAUAGAGGGACAAUUGUGUUUUGGACCUAAUUAGACCCAAAAAUUAAGAUUUGAUCCAUAUAAGUUCACUAUUUAAGCUCAAGACCUAGAAAAAGAGUGAAAAUUGAAAAGAAUGAUGUGAAUUUUUUAUCUUUUCAAAAAUGACCUUUAUUGACUAUGAAAAAAAAAGUAGAAAAACAUUAAUUUAAAUUUUAUUUUUUUGUAAACCUCAAUAAAUUUUAAUUUAAUUUAGUGAUUUGGAAAAAAAAAUACACCCUUUUCCAAAUAAAAAUAAAAAUAAAUUAUUAUUAUUAUUAAUUAAAAAUCAAAUAUCUUGGAAAAUAUAUAUAUUUUAAAUUAUGUAUGUAAAAAAUAACUAAAAAUAUGUCAAAAUUAUUUUUUUUAAAUGAUGUAUUUUUAAUGAUUUGGAAAAAAAAUACACCCUUUUCCAAAUAUAAAUAAAAAUAAAUUAUUAUUAUUAUUAAUUAAAAAUCAAAUAUCUUAGAAAAUAUAUAUUUUUUAAAUUAUGUAUGUAAAAAAUAACUAAAAAUAUGUCAAAAUUAUUUUUUUUAAAUGAUGUAUUUUUAAUGCUUUGGAAAAAAAAUACACCCUUUUCCAAAUAUAAAUAAAAAUAAAUUAUUAUUAUUAUUAAUUAAAAAUCAAAUAUCUUAGAAAAUAUAUAUUUUUUAAAUUAUGUGUGUAAAAAAUAACUAAAAAUAUGUCAAAAUUAUUUUUUUUAAAUGAUGUAUUUAAAAAAAAAUUAGUUUUUUAAAAAAUAAUAAAUUUUCAGAAUAAUUAUUAAAAAAAUAAAAUAAAAAAAUUUAUUAAAUAUUAUGAUAGAAAAUACUCAAAAUAAUUUUAAGGGUAUAUUAGUUUCUUUAUAUUUUAUAUCAUUCCCAUAACGGACAAAGCUUCCCGUAAGGCAGCCUUCCACCUCUUUAUCUUCGCCUUUUCCUUGUCUGCAUUUUCUUCGUACAAGGAAAAUGGCGUUCCGUAAUCCCCCUCCUGCUUACGCACAUGGGACGGGUCCACAUGGUAGAAAAUGGGAUAUACUAUUCUUCCUGUUAUCCUCCUACAUUCCAUGAUCUCAUCAAGUUCAUUCAAACACCACCCGAAAUCAGCGAAGUUCUUUGAGAAAAUGACAAUGAAAACUCUUGAUCCUUUAAUAGCUUUCGAGAUUGCUGGCGCUAAAGCUUCACCCAUUCUGAUUUCCUCCUCAUCUCUAAAGGUGUGAAUUCUCUUUCCAUUCAAAGCAGUGUAAAGAUGAUCAGCGAAACUCUUCCGGGUGUCUUCUCCUCUAAAACUUAAGAAGACAUCAUACAAGAUAUCAUAACUACCAUCAAGAACACAAGUCGCAGCAGAAGCAGUGGUAGAAGAAGAGGCUAUCCCGCUGCUGAUCAUUUUGUUAACUCCUUUAAUCGAAAGCCAAGGGCCGGAAUGCAAGAGGCAGUCUCACUCUUUCUUUCUUGAUUCCAAUUCCCCAGACAUGAUUGAGCUGUAACCCGAUAGUCCAUGCAAGGACGAGGUUUAAAUUAUCUAACCAUCUUUGGUUUUAACUUUCAUAGGUAUGUAAAUUUAUAAAUUUAUAAAUUAAAAAAAAUGAAUUUUUUAGAGAAAUUUUCCAUAAAAAUAAAAUAAAAAAAUUGGAUGGCUGUGUUCAAUAAUUCUCUAAUAAAUAAAGUUUUAUUUUCUAAAAAAUAAGUUUUAUGUAUGAAAUAUAAGGGUGUGAAAAUAUUUUUCUAAAUAUUUUAUGAAUUUUUCAAUCAUAUUUUAAAAAAAAAAUCCCAUGAUUUUUUUUUUAAUAAUAUACCAAUUCUUUCUUGGUUGCAGAAUUUAGAGUGCAUCAUGGCACUAAGAAAAUGACUAAGAAAAAAUACAAAACAAAUGAAUGAUAUUAAUAGUAAUAUAUAUAUAUAAAUAAUGUAAUAAUUAAUUUAAAAAUUAUUGUUUCAUGAAAACAUAAAAAAAUGAUAAGAAUAUUAAUAUUAAUAUCAAUAAUAUCAUAAAAUGAUAUUACAAAUUAUUUUUUUAUUCUCAUAAUUAAAAAAAAAACCAAAGUUAUUAUAUUUUUAUUAUAUAAACUUUAUCAUUUUUGAAUUAUCUUACUUUAAAAUAUAACUAUCAAGAAAAUAUUAUAAUAAUUAGAACUUACAAGCUUUAAGAAUUAUAUUUAUAUAUAAAAAUAUAAACAAUAAUGUUAAUGUAAUAUUAAUAAUAAGUAUAAUAUCAUGAAUAAUAUAAUAAUUGUAAUAUUUAUUAAUGAUGAUGAUGAUAAUAAUAAUAAUAUAAUUAUUCUAAUGUAUAUUAUAUAAAAUUUAAAAGAUUAAAAAAAAAUUAAAAAGGUAAUCAAAGUACAUCAUUAAAAUUAUGGAAUGACUAUAAAUUUGAUAACCCUCAUUUUCUUUUAAUAUUUCUUUUUUAAUUUUUUUGAAAACCAAACAAAAUCUUAAAAAGAAAUUAAUAAACUCUAAAAAAAAAAAAAGUUAGGCAUCAUCUUCAAGAAAAAAGUGUUGUGAAGGACAAACAUCUUGAUCAAACUUCAUAUUUGUCGUUUUCUUGCUGCAUGAUUCCAUCAAAAUAAUGCUACAACAAAGACAGAAUUGUACUGCCAAUGAUGUCAGAGAGGUGAUGCUGUGAUGUCCUCAGAUCAUACCAAGAUAAGCAUAGAAAGUUACAUCUCUCUUCUCUUCCGUUUCUUUUUAUUUAAAGCUAUGUUUUGGGAAGUAAAAUUGUUUUUUAAUUUGGUUUCAUCAUGAAAAAAAAAAAAAAAUAGAAUUAUAAUUAAUUAUAAAUUUAUAUAUUUUUUAAAAGAGUUAAAAUAAUUAAAAUAACAUAUAAAAAUAUUUUAAUUUUAAUUUUUUUAUUAUUUUUUUCCCUUCUCUAUUAUCUUUUCACUACUAGAAACUCCUAUUUUGCUACAAUAUUUUUUUACUUGAAUAAUCUUUUAUGACAAAAAAAAAAUUGUAAUGAUUUUCUUUUUAAUGGCAAAAAAGUUCUUUUAGAGAUGAAAUUUUUAUUUAAGAUAAAAAAAUCAUGUUUUCAUAAUAAAAAAAUAAAUUUUCAUAAUAUUUUAAUAUGAAUGAUGUAUUCAUGAUAAAAAUAAAUAAAUUUAAUCAUAAUAUCAAUUUAUGGUAAAUAACUUGUAAAAUCUUAUCACAAAUUUUUAUUCAUAACAAAUAAUUUUUACUAGAUUAUAAAUCAUUUACGGCAUACUUCUUUUAAUAAACUUAUAUCUCAUACUUUUAAAUUCAAUAUUAUAUAUAUAUAUAUAUAUAUAUAUAUAUAUAUAUAUAUAUAUAUAUAUAUAUAUAUAUAUUUAAAUUUAAUAUUAUAAAAAAUAAACAAUUUUAUUGUCACCGAACAAAUUUUCACUCACCUCUAUUUAAUCUAAACCCUAAGCUUAAUGAUAAAAAGCCAAGGGCCUUUGAAAAGAAAGGAAAGAAAAAGGAAUGCAAAAAUUUGAUUUAACCCGAUAGUCCAUGCAAGAACGAGGUUUAAAUUAUCGAACCAUCUUUGGUUUUAACUUUCAUAGGUAUGCAAAUUUAUAAAUUUAUAAAUUUUAAAAAAUAUAUAUAUUUUUUAAAGAAAUUUUCCAUAAAAAAAAAAUUAGAUAGUUGUGAUCAAUAAUUCUCUAAUAAAUAAAGUUUUAUUCUCUAAAUUAUAAAUUUUAUGUAUAAAAUAUAAGGGUGUGAAAAUAUUUUUCUAAAUAUUUUAUGAAUUUUUCAAUCAUAUUUUAAAAAAAAAAUCCCAUGAUUUUUUUUUUAAUAAUAUACCAAUUCUUUCUUGGUUGCAGAAUUUAGAGUGCAUCAUGGCACUAAGAAAAUGACUAACAAAAAAAUACAAAACAAAUGAAUGAUAUUAAUAGUAAUAUAUAUAUAAAUAAUAUAAUAAUUAAUUUAAAAAUUAUUGUUUCAUUAAAACAUAAAAAAAAAUUAGUAUUUCUUUUAAUUAAUUUUCUAAAAUAAUUUUUGGUUUGUAUAUAAAAGAACUUAGUUUCCCAAAUUCUUUUAUUACCAUGAUAUUAUUGUGGCUGUGGUCUAUUGAGGUUUGUUUGCCUAUGCUAGAUAUUGCUUUUUAUUGCAUCUCUAGUGUUUUCUUUUAUCUUAACAUGAUAAAUGCAUAAAGUGUCCCAUAUUUAAAUAUUAUGAUGACAAUAUUAUAAACCAAUGGUGGGGUUUGGGUAUACAUGCAUCAGUUAGGUUCACAGUUCACCUUCAUGACCUCCUAUAUAAAUCAAGGCUUUGCCGUUAUAUCUAGCACCUAUUAUACCAAAAGUUUAAGUUCAUAUAAAUCAAGUCAAUUGGACUAUACCUUAACAUUAAAAUUAAUGUGAGAGUGACCAAAAGUUUAAGUUAAUAUAGAAAUCAAGUCAAUUGGAGAGAGACCAAAGUUUGAGUUAAUAUAAAUCAAGUCCAAUAUAUAUAUAGAGAGAGAGAGAGAGAGAGAGAGAGAGAGAGAGAGUCGUUAUAUCUAGGUACCUAUUAGACCAAAAGUUUAAGUUAAUAUAAUUCAAGUCAAUUGGAUUGAUACCUUAACAUUAAAAUUAAUGCAAGAGUGACCAAAAAUUUAAGUUAAUAUAGAAAUCAAGUCAAUUGGAUAGGGACCAAAAGUUUGAGGUCACUUCACCGUACGAAAACCAUUGAAUGCAUGUAAGAUUGUGAAAAUAUAUAUAUAUAUAUAUAUAUAUAUAUAAAGAUAAUUAAUUUUUACUCAAACAAUCGUGAAAUAGGAUUAUCAGAAUGAAUAAUCUCUUUAAGGGAAAUAUUUUGGUAUUAUUAAUUUUAAAAUAUGUUCUUUUAAAAUUUAAUAUACAUUUCUCAUAAUAAGGUUGUUCUAUAAUUCUUAUGAUUUUAUUAUAUCAAAGUUUGAAUGAGUUAAAAUUCGACUUGUAUUAGAAAAUACCAAUCGAAAACUUUAGAGUUUGUGAGUUUAAUUUAACCUAAGUCCAAUUUCUCAUGUCAAAUCAAAUUAGACAUGCUAUUCGAGAACUAAUUCUACCCUAUUCAUAGCAUCCUCCCAUUUUUUUAAAUAUUAAAAUAGUUAAAUUAUAAAAUAAGUGGACCUCAUUAUAUAAUAAGUUUGACUGAAUAGAUGUUUACUAAAUGAAAAUAAUGAUUUAAUAUAACUUAAUUAUUGAUUUUAAAUAAUACAAUUAAUUUAAAGUAAAAAAUCAAAAUAAAUAAUUUUUCUAAUUUUGAAAUAUCAUUUGGUUUAGUACUUAUAGGAUUUUAGUUUUUUAAUAUUAAUUAAAGUAAAACAACACUAUAACUUAGAGUAAAUUUAAAUAAUAAAUUUUAAGUUAAUGAUUUACAUAUAAUUUAAUUUAGUUUAAAAUAAUAAUUAUGUAUAAAAAUAUUUUAUUUGAUUUAUAUUACAUUCAUUAGAGUGAUGGGAAGACUAAUUAUAAUGUGUAGGAACUAGUUGAAAAUAUUUUGGAUUCAUUGAUUAUUUAAAACUCUUAUAGUUUUAUUGGAAUUUAUUAAAUAAUGUCACAUGACUACGUUAAAAUUUCAUACAGAAAUUAAUAGAAAAAGGAGAUGUAAACUGCAAUAUUAAGGGAGUUCAAUUAUUGAUGGGUGAAGAAUCAAUUAUUAUGAUAAGGUGGAGGAAUGAUUUUCAUGUGAUGAAUUGCUUAGCUGGUUACAUACGUCUCCUCUAGGGUCUGGAUAGUUUAAUUUGACUCACAUAAAGUAACUUUUUAUUUUUUUAUUAUUGUCAUUAUAAAUAUUCAAAAUGAAGAACAUGUUUGUAAGGACAUUUGUCAAAUCAAGUAUCAUUUCAUUGAUGUAGGACUUACACAUCAGAAUUAUUUAUUAAAUAUUAUGUGAUUUAUGUAAAUGAAAUAUUGGGAUUGAAAAUUUGUCAAAAAUUUAAGAAUUAUCCUAACUCAAAUCAGAUUUUAAUUGAAAAUAAUUAUAUAUUUUUUAUUUUGAUUAAUUAUUUUUAAUUAAGAAUCAAAAUAAUUAAUAAUAUGAUUCUUACUAUAGAUAUAAUUGAAAAACAAAUUAUUUGUAAUUUUCUUUUCAUCUAGACACUAAUUUGUUUCCCUUAAUAUUAGUAUUUCUUUUAAUUAAUUUUCUAAAAUAAUUUUUGGUUUGUAUAUAAAAGAACUUUUAGUUUCCCAAAUCUUUUAUUACGUGCCAUGAUAUUAUUGUGGCUUGGGUCUUUUGAGGUUUGUUUGCCUCUGCUAGCUAUUGCUUUUUAUUGCAUCUCUAGUGUUUUCUUUGAUCUUAACAUGACAAAAUGCAUAGUGUCUCAUAUUUAAAUCAAUAGUGGGGUUUGGGUAUACAUGCAUCAGUUAGGUUCACAGUUCACCUUCAUGACCUCCUAUAUAAAUCAAAGCUUUGUCGUUAGACCAAAAGUUUUUUAAGUUCAAGUCAAUUGGAUUGAUACCUUAACAUUAAAAUUAAUGUGAGAGUUACCAAAAGUUUAAGUUAAUAUAGAAAUCAAGUCAAUUGGAGAGAGACCAAAAGUUUGGGUUAAUAUCAAUCAAGUCAAGAUUUGAACUUCUUUUUUUAUUUAAAAAAAAAGAGAGAGAUAAAUUGGAACUUCUUUUUUUUUUUUUUUUUUUUGAGAGAGAGAGACAAGGUUUUUUUAAAAAAAUAAAACUGGACAAUUGGAAAUAAAACAAUAAAAUUGAAAUAAAAACUGGACAAUCCUUUUUUAAGUAAGUUGUAAAUACAAUUGGAAAAUCAUUUAAAAAAAACUGUAAAGUUUUCUUCUUCUUUUUUAACUUGUGAAAAUCAUGUUUUGAGAGAUAGGGAGAGAGAUAUUUGAAUUUUUUUUUAAGAGAGAGAGAAAUUCGAACUUUUUUAAAAAAAAACACAAUAAAAUUGAAAUAAAACAAUGAAAUGUUUUUUUAAAAUAAAACUGGAAAAUCUUUUUUUAAAUAAAUUGUAAAUACAAUUGGAAAAUCAUUUUUUUAAAAAAAUAAAACUGUAAAGUUUUCUUGUUCUUUUUUAACUUGUGAAAAUCAUUUUUUAAAAUAAAAUCUAAAAAGCAUUUUGUUUUAAUAAAACAGUAAAACCUUUAAAAAAAUUGCAAAACUCUUUUUAAAAAUAAAAUUGUAAACUUUUUUUUAUAUAAAUAAAAUUAUAAAAAUCAUGUCUUAAUAAAAAUGGUAAAAAAAAAAAGAAAAAAAAAAGAAGCUUUCUAGUAAAUAAAACCAAAUUUAAUUUUUAUACUCGUGUAAAUAAAAUUGUAAAAAUCUUAUUUUGAAUCAAAACUAAAGAAAUCGUUUCUUCUGUAAAUAAAGUUGGAUCCGAAUAUUUAUUCUUUUCAAAAUAAAUUUUUAAAAGUCUAUUUUAAAGUAAUUUGUAAAUAUCAUUUUUUUAAACAAAAUUGUAAAUUAAAUACAUUUUUUAAAAUCCUUUUCCUAAAUAAGUUAUAAAAAAUAUUCUUUUAGAGAUAAGAUUAGAUUUGGAUACUUUUUUGUAAAUAAAAUUCAUAUUGUAAUAAAAAUAUCAUAAAAAUAUUCUCUUCUCCAUGAAAAUCAAAGUGGAAUGUUGGUAAAUAGAAUUUGUGAAAAUUAUUCUUUUUUUUUAAGAUAAGUAAAUAAAAAUCAUUUCCUUAUAAAUAAUAGAAUACUUUGAAGCAUUUUUUGUAAAUAAAAAAAUAAACUAAAACUUUCUUUUAUACUUAAAAUAGAUUGAAAUCAUCAAAUUGGAAUAACUUUUUUUUUUUAUGUAAGUAAACUUUUUUAAUCCUUUGAAUUAGAAAUAAUAAAACCAAUGUUUUUAAUUAGUUUCAUAAAUCAACUUAUGCAAAUUCUCUUAUCAUUUAUUUUGUAUAUUUUUGUAACAUGAAAAACACCAUGACUUGUUUUAUAUUUGUGUUCUUUUUUUCUCGGUAUCCAUGAUUAAUUAUUUAAUUAUCAUAACAUUUGCUUACUAGAGACAAUAGGUAUAAAAGCUUAAAGAGGUAGUACAUACAAUUUAUUCUUGUACCUUUUUUAUAAGUAAUCCGACUCCCAAACUCAUUCUUGGUAAGCAGACAACAUAUGUAGAUUUUAUAGUCACUUGGGUACUUUUCUUUAAAGGAAAUCAUUACCUAUAAACAUUAUGUAUAUUUUUUAUAAUGAUAACUCUUAUUUCUCAAAUGAAUUAAAUCUUUGUUCUAAAUUUGUAAAUAUAUAUAGUGGUUAAACAUUCAAAUAGAAGUUGGUGAGCUAGUGCAUUCAGUUAGACUUGUAAGCUUCUUGCUGUAGUUAGUUUGUUAGUUGCUUAAGUGUACUAAUAAGUAGGUAUUAAGUUAGAUUUAAAAAAAAAAAAAGUUUUGGAUAAUUCUUGAUAAUAUAUAUAUAUAUAUAUAUAUAUAUAUAUAUAUGUAUUUAAUUUUCUUCUUAGCAUAAUUGAUCUCAAGUGAAAAUUUUUAAAUGUUAGUUUUGGAUAAUUCUUGAUGAUAGUUUAAUAGUUAAAAUUUUUAAAUAUUAGUUUUGGAUAAUUCUUUAUGAUAGUCUUUAAAAUUUUUAAACUAGAGCAUAAUUUUUUUUAAAAAAAUAAUAAUAAUAAUAAAAAGGCAAAGAUUGAUGUGGCUUGUUUGGUGAUCAAAGUAGAGGUUUCUCCCAUAGUAAGGGAGGGAGAGGUGUUCAACAAAAUAAUUCUCUAAGAUUCAACAAUCAAGAUGAUCAUUAUCAAUCAAGGCACUCUAUCUUGUAGAGCAACUCAGAACAAGAAAGAAAUAAAUUUAAUUACAAACAACUAUAAAUCAGGAAGUUAUUAUGAUAUGCCAAAUUUGUGGCAAACCAAAUCAGACGACUAAAAUUUGCUGGGACAACUUACCUCUAAUAAUCAAUGUUCUUUUUAAUUUACCCGUUAAGGACAAGGACAACAAGAUUUUGGUAAGAGGGCCUAGGUAAGGAAAUCUUUAUAACUUGAAAGAAAAAAAAAUGGAGUUUGAGUGUUAUCCAGGGUACUACAACAGAUUCUAGUAUCCGACAUCGAAGGCUCAGAAAUCCAAGUUUCCGAGUUUUACAUAUUUUAAGGUUUAAAAACAAAAUAAAUAUAUUCAAUUGGAUUCAAAGGCCUGUCGUUUGUGUUUCGUGUCAGCAAGGCAAAAGUUGUAAAUUAUCUUUUUGACAAUCAAAUACUAUUUAACAAUUUCCUUUGCAUAAAGUCCAUUGUGAUUUAUGGGGUCCUGUGGUUAUUAGUUCUCAAAAUUUUCGGUAUUAUGCUCUUUUUGUUGAUGAUCAUACUCGUUUUUCAUGGUUGUUUCCCUUGAAAAGGAAAUUUAAUUUUUUUUUCUUCACUUGUUUUCUUAUAUUCCAAAGACAAGUUGAAAAUCAAUUUGGUAAGAGGAUCAAAAUCCUCCAAUCUAAUGGAGGUGGUGAGGUUACAAUAGCAUCAUUUAUUAAUCAUCUUGGACAAUGUGGCAUUGUUAAACAAAUUCCAUGCCCCGCUACAGCUAAAUUUAAGAGAAAAACGUAUCCUUGUGUAUUUAUUGACUAUAGCCCUUUACAUAAGGGCUAUAGAUGCCUUGAACCUCAAACAAAUUGUGUCUAUACCUUUAAACAUGUUAUCUUUGAUGAGCAUGAAUUUCUUUUUGCUACUCAUACUAUUUCUUCUGUGCAAGAAUUUAUGAAUGGCUAAAUUCAAGUAACACAUCCUUCGCUCAAGCCACAUCAAACACCUCAACACCCGUUCCUCCUACUGUCCUUCCUAUCACAGAACCUACUAUCAUUGUACCUCUUAUCACAAACACAUCUUCUCCUUCUCUAACGAAGUCCACUCUAGGCACCCUUUACACCUGAUCCUUCUUCUCCACCAUCUCUACACUCCACCCCAGAUUUAAUGAAACAACUAUUUGUUGAUCUUCCAAUUCCACCCCCUUCUCUAUUACCACAAUGUACGCAUCCUAAUUUUACACCAGUGGUUGAUCUUAUUGAUCCUUCUUAUCUACCAAAACACCAUACACCACUUCUCCCGAGCAACAACACUCAUGGCAUGGUCACUCAUGCAAAAUUGAGACAAGAUCCUUCUUUGGCUCUACAUGUUAGUAACCUACUCCUAUUGAACCUAAAAAUCUUAAAUUAGCACUUAAACAAUCUCAAUGGACAACUAUUAUGCAAGAAGAAAAAUAGGCUCUCCAACAAAAUAACACAUGGAAUUUGGUUCCUAGACCAACUAAUGCCAUCAUCAUUAAUGGCUCUUUAUGGGUUUAUAAGAUCUAAAGUUUCGUUUGUUGUCAAACCUACAACCAUUCACCUUACCCCAUCUCUUGUUGUCACCUUUAACUAGAUUAUGAAGUAAUUAGAUGUGAAAAACAUCUUGUUAGAUGGUCAUCUCAAGGAAACAAUUUAUAUAGAGCAACCUCCAAGGUUUGUUGAGCCCCAUUUUGUUAGGAUAGAUACCUUAAAAACAUGAUAUGAUACAACAAAUUUGGAAUUCAUUAUUCAUUUAAUGAUAUUCUAGUUUUACUUUUAUCUAUUCUUAUUUCAUGCAUUACAUUUUAUGAGCAUUCUCAUCUAACAUCUUUUGUAUUGUAUAUGACUUGUGUACAUUAGCAGUUGCACGAAAGAAUCAAGUCAUGGGUUCAUUGUAAGUAAAUGAUUUGUUCACAAUUGGUUCAUGGACUUAAACAAUCCAUUUGAGGUUGUAAUUAAAGGGGUGGUUGGUUUUGGCUAUCGAGAUAGGUUUUCCACUCUAAGUGUACUAGUGUGUAUGGUUACACAUUAGACGGAACUUGCAGUGAGUCAUGGCUUAAGGCUAUCAAGUAAUCAUGACUUCAACAAAUUGUUUUAUUGUAUUGUCUCUCAACCUUAAGAGAAUAUUAAGUUUGUACUAAAGUUAGUAGUAACUUUGACCUAUGAGUGAGAUCGUAAGUUAAUCAUAUAUUCCCUAUGAAUUAGGUUAUUGUUGAUGGAAGCUUGUAGUAAUAGGUAUUUUCAAUAAAGGCAUUAUGAUAUCUCAUAAGAUUAAAACAAAGUAUCCUCUUAGCAUUAAAAUUUGCUCUUAAAGAUUUCAGUUAGCUAAAAUGUUUCCUCAACAUUAAAGUUAAAUGUUUUCAUGGUUGUUUGUACCUUUCCUAAGCAAACUAUACCAGAGACCUCCUUUAGAAAGCACACAAGCUAGAUUGUUCUACCAUGGCCACCGCCAUAUUUGCUAAAGAUUCACCAAGUACAAAUGAUUUAUAACAUGUAGACCCAACCAAGUAUCCCACCUUGUUAGUAGCCUCCAACAUCUGGCAUUCAUUAGACCAGAUAUUACUCAUGUAGUCAACAAAGUAUGCCAACACCUCGAACAACAAACUAAAGCAAAUUUCAAGGUUGUGAAAUAAAUCCUAUGUUAUUUAAAAUACAACCUCAAUUAUGGAAUUCGCUUUUUGGCUUAAAGUUCCAUAUCAUUAUAUGUUUUGUUGAUUCUGAUUAGGCAAGGUAUCUAAUAAUAAGGAGAACUACUAGUAGUUUUUGUAUUUAUCUUGAUGACAAUUGUAUUUCCUGGGCUUUCAAGAAACAAGGGACAAUAGCACACACUCUUCAACGAACCGUUGUCAAAUUGGCCAAUUGGCUCACCUUUCUCUUCCUACCACUUCCUCAACCUCCACUGCUCCUUUGUGAUAACAUGAGUGCAAUACAUAUGGCCAAAAUCUAGUGUUUCAUGCUCUAACAAAGCACAUAGAAUUAGAUUACCAUCUUGUUCGUGAAACAAUUGUUAUGGGACACCUUUGUGUUUAGUACGUUCCUAGUCAUCUCUAAAUAGCAAAUAUUUUUACCAAACCUCUAUCAAGAAGGGCUUUCUCUAUUUUCUGCUACAAGUUGGUAGUUCAAUGCAUGAUCCUCACUAACUUGAGGGGGGUUUAUAGAAGUCGAAUGCCUCUAGAUUCAGAGCCACAAUCAGCUCCAUAGCCAACCAAAUUAACAACUCACCAUUAGAGACAAAUAUUGCAAUGUGCAAGGCCAUUCUAAUGGGUCUUCCCUCUACCUUAUUAUGCAUGCAAGGAGCCAAUGGCUAGUGCAUCUUCACAGAACCAUCUAGAUGUUGAUUUGGUUUAUAAAAUAGGAAACAAAUCCUUUUUUUUUUCUAUCUAUAAUAGCACAACUUAAUUGAUUAACUAAACUCAAGCUAAAUCAAUUGACUUGCCUUUCAUUCUCCAUUCAUCUUUGUCUAUAUAUUUUUUGCAUAGCAAGUCAGCUAUCAUCUUAUUCUCGUGUAAAAACUAUUUUUCAAACUUCUUUACUUUGGUACCUAGGAAAUCACAUGCAUGUGUUUGAUGUUUUGUUAGAAGACUGUUAAAAGAAUGGUAGAAAUUUUUCUCAAGGCUGGAAGAAGCUUGAAAACAUGGAUAAAAGCUCAUGUUUGAUAUGUUUUUUUAUCAUUAAAAAAGGGUUUUUGAUGUUAAGUUUUCAAUUUGAAUCAACCCAAUUUCUUAAAUGUCACUUGUGCAACAUUUUCUAUGUUUCUUUUAUAGUUGAUUAGUGGUUGAUCAGAGCGACCGACCAAUUGACCAAUGUAAUCAAUCUAUUUAUUUUGGUAAUCUAUACAAGCUAAGCAACUGGCUCUAUUAGCAUCACCAAUCCCCAGGCUCAUUUUUCCACAGGUUAAUGAACAGUGAUUCACUCUUAACCUUCAUCACUUCUCCAACAUUCGUGAAUAUAUCCUUGCGACCUUUGUACAUGAAAUCUCCCGUUCAUGCAAAAUUGGCAACCUGUGUAAGAAGCAUUGGAAUAGCACUAGGUCUUGGUUUAUAUCUUUCCAUGCUUUCUCGACAUGCUUGCUCAGCUCAAGGUAUGCAGGCUGCUCUAAGACACCAUGUUGCUUCAUGUAACAUUCAACACUAGAUGCACUAUGUCCUCUCUCUAGCUCAAACUACACAAAAACUAAUAAGAGAUAUUUACAAAAAUGGUAAGUAAAUUCUCAUGAAGACCCCCUUUGUCUUUGAGAUAUGAAUGGGCAGUGUUAUGGAGUACUAUAUCUGAGUACCUUGUGUGACGCCAUAUCAUCAUUGAUCCUAAUAACUGUGGAGGAAGCUCUGACACUCUUUGGGUCCUUUAUUACCCAAUCAAAGGCCUCCUUUAUUGCCAUUGUUCCCAUGCCAAAAGAGAGAGAGAGAGAGAGAGAGAGAAUUGUGAACAUGGGGACAUCUAAGCUUACUGGUGCAACACCCGUGUACUCUUUGGUUGUUGGUAGUUGGUACUAAACAACAAAAUGAUAUCAUGUUGGAGAACUAAGUUUCCCAAAAGUUUAAGCUAUUAGAAUUUGGACUCAUAACCUAUAUCAUGCUCUCCAAAACAAACCAAGACAAAAAGGAGCCCGAAACCAUAAAGGCAAAUAAAGUAGAAGCUAUAAGGUCUAUUUGCAUCACAAAUCUUCGGGCUAGCCUUAGAUUGGCACAAGGUCAAUGAACAAUGAAGCAACAUUAUCUUUUAUCACUUCUCCAACAUUCGUGAAUAUAUCCUCACGACCUUUGUACAUGAAAUCUCCAGUGUUGGGGAUAAAUGUAUGCCCAAGAUCCAAUCUAUCAUGUAAUCAACUUUAGUUUUAAUAAGGUAUUAAUUCUUUAUUUCAUUAUCAUAUCUGUUUAAAAUAGUUUAUAUGAUAAGGUCCUUGAUUAAAAUUUGAAAAUUGUUAUCAUGAUAGAGAUUAUGAUAAUGAGAAGCAAUUCUUUUAAUAAUUUUAAUCUAAACUGUUCUUGAUCAUAGGAUUAUUGUCAACAGGACAUCAAUAAUCCAGAUAGAUCAAUAUAUAUGUGAUGGUCUUUAUUGGAUAAAGAUUGAUAUAUCUCAUUUGUUAAAUUACAUAUAUAGAUGAUGCACAUGUAGAUGUGAUCAUUGAACUGACUCAACUGAGAAUUUCUAAUGGUUAUCUUUACCUUAAAUUGUCAAUAGGAAUUUCUUAAGAAGAAAUAUAAUAGUUUUCUUUGACCUGAGAUUAUCAAAGUAAUUAACAAGUUAUUUAUUAUAUUUUAAUCCCGGACACCUAAUGCCUUAGGGCACUAGUUGAAUGGAUAUUGGAUAUAAUUAAAUACUUGUAGAAUUAAUGAUUAAUCAAGAAGGAAUCCAUCAACUCGUGGUAAUGAGUUUGAGCUCUAUGAUAAAAAUAAGACCUUGGCCAAGGGCAAUUGAAUGAAUGAAGAAAUGAGUUUCUUAAGUCAUUCACUAAAUAAAUAAUGUGUUGACUUAUUAGAGUUUGAUAGUAAUACCAUACUCUAGAGUUAGCCUAGAGCUGUAAAUGAUGGAAGGAAAUAUUACAUUAUUCUUCUACCGGUUCUUGAAAGUAAAAGAUAUUACUUCAUACUAUCUGGACGUUAAGGAGUGUUGCUAGACGCCUACCUUAAUUAGUAAAUUGAUUUGAUUAAUUUACUACCAGCUUAGUAAUGAACCUACGGGGUCACACACAAACCAGUGUUUUAAUCUUUGCAAAGAGCUAUUUAUUAUUAUUUGAUAAUUAAAUUAGAGAAUUUAAUUUUAAUCAAAUAAAUAAAUAUGUUCUAUGUGGAAUAUUAUUAUAUUCUUUGCUAGCACCAAGAAUAUAAUUAAUAUAUAGAUAAAAAAAUAAAAUAUUUUUCUUUGGACGUGGAAGUUAGUCCACGAGAAUGUUUGCUAAACAUUUGCAAACAUAUGGGUACAUGCAGCAACUUACAGGAGGGAUGUGGGUUUUGUUUUAACUUACAAGACUUGGUCAAAGUGUUUUUCAAAUGCUAUUGAAAAUAGCAAAAGAAAAACAAAUGGACCUAUAGAAUCUCUUAGUAGCCCAAAAAAGGAGGACACGAUAGAGAUAGAUUAAGUGAUAAAAUCAAAAAUCAAAUUAGUUGAGUUAUCUUAUCACUUAAAACAGAAGUUGUAUCGGAUAUGCUAUAUAGCAUAUAUACACAAUCUGAAUAAGGAUCGAUCUAUCUUUAUCCUCCUUGUUUUUACGCCAAAGAAAUACAAAGUGUUGUUCUAUUUUUUUUUUUAAAGUUCCGCGUAUCAAAGGGUUGAUAGCAAAGAUUAAUUUCGGUGUGGAUACACGUAGAGUCUUCAUACAAUUGGAGAAAAUUUUAUGCUUGAAGAACUGAUAUCCAGGUUAUUAUUUUAAAUUUUUUGAUAGCUGCAGUAUAUAUUUUGAAUGCAAAAUAGAUCAAUUUUCCGCUGUAUGUGUUAUAAAUUUAUUUUAUAACCUUUCAUCCAGUGCGUGCAAAAUUGAGAACACGUGUAAGGAGAGGCAUUGGAAUAGCAGUAGGUCUGAGGAACUCCUGGUUUAUAUCUUUCCAUGCUUUCUCAACCUGCUUGUUAAGCUCGUGGUAUGCAUGUUGGUUUGAGACACUAUAUUGCUUCAUGUAACAUUCAACACUAGAGGCAAUAUGCCCUCUCUCUUGCUCAAACUACAUAAAAAACAGCAAAACAUCAUGUUUAAACCUCAUGGUCUUCGAUUUAUGAAUGAGAAGCUUUUUGGAAGUAAUAUUUCAGGGUACCUUGUGUGAAGCCAUGUCAUCCAUGAGCCUAAUAAUUGUGGAGCAAGCUCUGACGAUCUUUGGGCCGUUUAACACCCAAUCAAAGGCCUCCUUUGUUGCUAUGAAUCCCAUGCCAACAAAAGAGAUGAUUGUGAACAUGGGGACAUCACAGCUUACUAGUGCAACGCCCAUGUAUUCUUCUACCGUUGGUACAUAUUCUCCAUGGAGCCAUUUGGCUUCAUUGAAGUAAGCUCGAACAGAGUUUUUCAUCUGGAAUAUGUUCAACAAAGCAAAUAUAUAUUAAAACUACUAUAUAUUACAUGUAAUGGGGAGACAAAGAUAGAACUCAAGGACUCUUACUGCCUCUUUUGCAUAGUGAACACAAUAUGAUCUUUCUUCAUUCUCCUUCUCCUCAAUUUCUUUGUAGGCAUCUAAGACAGCCCGGUAACACGGCUUCAUGUAUUCUGGAAGCUUAUCUAUACCAGUAUUGUCCCACCUGAAAAUUAGGUAACCAGUUCCCCUUCUAAGUUUACAAUAUGAAAUAAAUUUAUCUGAGUGAAAUUUGUACCUCAUUCCUCUCAAUUGCCUCUGUGAAGAGCUCAAGUUCUUCAAGAGUCCCAUACGCAUCAUAGAUAUCAUCUAUCACUGUUAUUAGGACAAGCAAUUUGGUCUGUAUUCUUCUAGCAUACGAGUAUUGGGACUCAAAACAUGCCACGACAAUCCAAAGGUAGGUUUCCACCACUCUAUCCCGGACAAAAGGUAACCUCGAAGAGAAAUCUAAAUCUUUCCACCACCUGAGAAAUACAUUAAUUCACACAAAUUAUCCUCCAAGUCAAAGUUGGAAUUUAAGUGAAUGUAAUAUUUGAGAACUAACCUGGUGAUGUGGCUUAACUCUUUCUUAUACAAUGACUGCAGUAGGUUGAAAUCUAACUUGGCAAGUUUCAAUAAAGCUUUACUAUGUGAAGCUUCAUCUUGGUAGAUGGAUAUGUAAGGCCUUGCCUCCAGCCUCUCCAAACCUUUCCUAAUGGGCCGGUGUAGGGCUUGGGUUACUUGUACUGCAAGAGGAUGGUCUAAAUGUUUUACCAAAGACUUGAGGUGAGUGGUGGUGAAAGCAAGUGCUUCAUCUAGU